CUGAGCUCAUUAACAAAAGCUUGGUCCAACCAAUGGAUAUCAAUAUUGCUAAUAAGGCGAGCUCUGUCCGUGUACAUGACAUGGUGCUUGACCUUAUCACUUCCUUGUCAAAUGAGGAGAACUUUCUCGUUACAUUGGGUGGUCAGCAUACCAGGUCACUGCCAGGUAAGAUCCGUCGACUGUCUCUCCAAACCAGUAAUGAAGAGGAUGUCCAGCCAAUGCCAACCAUGAGCAGCUUGUCCCAUGUGAGAUCACUUACUGUGUUCAGUAAAGACCUCAGUUUAUUGUCAGCACUUUCAGGUUUUCUUGUCCUACGUGCAUUGGAUUUAAGUGGUUGUACUGACGUGGGUAAUCAUCAUUUGAAGGAUAUUUGCAAUUUAUUUCACCUGAGGUAUCUGAGUCUACAAGGGACAUCUAUCACUGAGGUCCCGAAAGAGAUGAGCAAUCUACAGCUUCUGCAAGUGCUAGACAUAAGGUCCCCCAUGAAAAAAUUGCCAUCAACCUUUGUUCAGCUAAGACAGCUGGUGUUCGUUGACAUGGGUAUUAAUAUGGUCUCUACAUUGCUUCUAAAAGCAAUGUCCACCUUGCCCUCCCUCUCUUCCCUUGCAAUCACAUUAAGAGAACUGAGAGAGGAAGACCUCCAAAUACUUGGUAGCAUGCCAUCUCUGCGUGAUCUCUCUCUAUUUGUAGUGUAUCAGGGAAAAGUCACAUAUAAAAGGCUAGUCAUUGGCAAUGGUUGUCCCUUCCAGUCUCUGACAAGGUUCAGUAUAAAGAGUAUAGAAGCCACUGUCUUCAUGUUUGCACAGGGAACCUUGCAAAAGCUCCAAAUCCUGGAGUUAGAUUUGUAUGUUGAGAAAACAAAACACCAAUUUGGUGAUUUUCAGUUUGGGCUAGAGAACCUGUCUUCGGUUGAGCAUGUCUAUGUGGUUGCUCGUAGUGGUGGUAGUGAGGAUGAACUGACCAAUGCACUUGAGAAAGAGCUUGAUAUUAAUCCCAACAAGCCCAUACUGACGGUGAAGCAGGUAACUCCAUGCUGAUUCCCCUUUGUUCACAGUAACUUAACUAUAGUUACUUGUCUGCUCUUUACACUUUACUACUUGUAUAGUAUUGACUCCUACUCCAUUCUGGAAUUUGGCGCUUCAAGUACUACUAGUUCACUCCGCGCAGCUUCAUAGUCUAGAGAAUUUAAAAUGCAUGCGGCCGCAAAGCCAGCGCGUGAGCAGCAGUCUCCAAUGAAACGACAACUUGCUUCCUGGCGACUGAUGAACGGCGGUGCUGGAGGAAGGGAAGCACGCGAAGGCGAGCGGCAGGGACGUGGGGCUUCGCGUGCGCUGCAUGCGUCCCAUCUAGACGUCCAGAGCUGCCAAGUGCAGCCGUUGCCCGUCCUUUGCGCGGCCAACAUCCGCUAUACGCCACAAAAUAUUGUCUAGUAGAAUCGGUUCGUCUCUAGGAGCUCUAGGAUGGAAGGAAUCGACCUCGGAGGCUCUCCACCUCCGGCUAGUGACCGUGAAAAUAUAUCUUAGAGCACCAGCACCCAGGCCCCUCUUAUCUAGCCAUCCAUUCUUCGCAUCAAGAUCCGUGUAAGUACAUUUCUCUUUUUUUCUCUCUCACAUAGAACGUGUCUUCAAAUUCAAACCUUUGCAGAGCAGUAAAACUUUCUAGCUAGAAUCUAGGAUAAAUUUUUUAGAUUUUUCCGUCCAACAUAAAUAUACAAAAUAAGUUUCAUUUGAUUAAAAUAUAUAUUUUUUAGUAUUUAUGUUGGACGAAAAAUUCAGAAAGUUUUAUCCCACAUUCUAGUUAGUAAGUUUCGCUGCGCUGCAAAGUGUGAAGUUCAUAACAUAUUCUAUAUGAGAGAAACGAAAAAGCGAAAAUUUCAUAUAAGAAGUUAGUUGUCUUGCACAAAUCUUAAAGCAAUAUUGAAGAGUCAGAAUAGCAGGGCCUGGGUGCAAGUGCUCUACAAAUCUGCGUCCCUAGUGACCGCCGCCAUGUAAUCUCCUGCUCUGGCGCAUCCUGGCCUGCUCCACCAACCUCUUAGGCUUUGUGGAGCCGUAAUGAAGCUUCUACCGUCGUACCGCCGAGGCUCUGCGACCCCUAGCACACCUCCCUGUGGCGGUAAUGCCUCGCUCCGCCAGCCGCCUUGGUCAACCAUGUCCUCGUCCCGGAGUUUCCCCUACAUUGCAGACCAUGCGGACAUGGUCUAGGUGAGCGCCUGGUGUUUGCUCGGACACUGGACGAUGUAGCAUGCUCUCCCGCCAGCUCGUGCCGCUGCCUCGGGUGCUCCUAUGCUGUCCCGGGCGCCGCCUCCGUGUGCACGAUCGCUGGUGUUCAAAGCGCCGGUGAGACACCGACGGGGGCCCAUCCUUGGAUUGAUUGGGUUAGGGUAAUCCCCUGUUAGCAUAUUAAACUGACAUGUUGGUCCGGCCGUUUUUAUUUCCUUUCAUUAAAUUAUGCUUACUGUAAGGCCACAUCACCAUUGACUGGUCAACUGGAAUUCCACGACAGCAAACCACCAUAUAACUGUGUAACGCGGGGNNNNNNNNNNNNNNNNNNNNNNNNNNNNNNNNNNNNNNNNNNNNNNNNNNNNNNNNNNNNNNNNNNNNNNNNNNNNNNNNNNNNNNNNNNNNNNNNNNNNNNNNNNNNNNNNNNNNNNNNNNNNNNNNNNNNNNNNNNNNNNNNNNNNNNNNNNNNNNNNNNNNNNNNNNNNNNNNNNNNNNNNNNNNNNNNNNNNNNNNNNNNNNNNNNNNNNNNNNNNNNNNNNNNNNNNNNNNNNNNNNNNNNNNNNNNNNNNNNNNNNNNNNNNNNNNNNNNNNNNNNNNNNNNNNNNNNNNNNNNNNNNNNNNNNNNNNNNNNNNNNNNNNNNNNNNNNNNNNNNNNNNNNNNNNUAGAGUAAACAGUUUCAAUAGUUUAGGGUAUAUUCUAACCACUAUUGAAGUUGGUAAAUUAAACGUUGUGCUUAGUUGAGGGUUGUAAAAUAAACCUUUUUUCUAUUUCAUUUAGUUUUACUUAUUGUCUUUUUAUUUGUUACUUCCACCGUUCCAUAAUUCUUGUCGUGCAUUCGAACUAAAUCCACGACAAGAAUUAUGCAAUGGAGGGAAUAAUAAAAUAGAAAUGUUUGCUGCUGAUAGUUCCUCUUUAUUCCAGGUGGGCGAGUGUUUGGCCUCUGACUUGUUGCUAAGUUUAAACUGGGCACUUGGUAUGGCACCGAAUCCUAUUGAGGCAUUGCAUUCAGUUUAAGUGAAUAUCUGUCUCUAUUAUUUCAUUGGUAGACAUAUAGUAAAUCUCUGAUUAAGGUGCCGUAAAUGCUUGGAUACUAAACUAUUGUAGAAAAAUAUAAAAAAAAUUCCUUAUAAAGUGUUGUAAAACUAGGGGUUUGUAGAUUAAGUUAUUUUACUCAUAGCGAGGCUGUUGGAUGAAUUAUUGUAGAAUUCAAAAUGGUUACUCAUAAGAACUUAGAUAUUUCUGACAAAUUUCAAAAAAGGUAGAGAGAAACUAGAAAUCAAAAGAUACAACUUAAUUCAUUUGUACGGGAGCUAACUAAUGCGUUGUUUGGUGGGUGCAGGUCCCGAAGUGCUGUCCAUAGAAGAGGAAUAACCUGAGUUGAUGGAAUAUAUGAUCAAAAUCUUACAAUGUUUCAACAAUGGACCGAUCUUUGAUUCUACUAGCAAAGAACUGAUCGAGGAGGAUGCCUGUGGCCCAUGCAGACACAACCAAGAGCUUACCAGAUGGAAUUUCCGCAUUAGUUCAAAACUGUAGCUAGUACAUGGAUGGUAUUUUGUAACAAAUCAUACGGUGUAGCGACUGAUCCAACCAUUGCAUGCACUUGGAUUACUGUUUCUCUGUCAAGAAAGUACCAUUAAAUCUGAAUAAUUACGGCUAUUUAUUGAGUGUGCUUGUGAUGUACCGGGACUGAAGUAAAUUUAUGUUAGCUUGUUGGCAGAAGUGAUGGCCGUAUAGUUUAAUUUAAUCUGAUUUGUUAGUAAUAACAAGAUAUCCGGCCUGGUACUAAUAAGCGGCAUGCAUGCAUGUAGAUGUGAAGCGGCUCAUCGGCCGGAGUUUCUCUUAUUAUGAGUCGGUGCAGGGCGAUGCAAAGUAGUGGCCGGAGGAGAUCUCGGCCAUGGUGCUCGCCGGCCUCAACGUCAUGCGCAUUAUCAACGAACCAACCGCAGCGGCGAUGGCUUACAGCAUCACCAAGGAGUGGAACCACGCUGAAGAGAGGGUUGUGGUCGUCUAUAACUUGGGCGGUGGAACACUUGAGUGGCCAACCGACACUUGGGGGUUGUGGUCGUCUAUAACCUGGGCGAUCGAACCAACCUACGUGCAUGCAUGUCGCGAUGUGCCUUUUCUUGGUUACGUUUCCAAAGUCCAUCCAUUCGCCAUUAUCGCUUCGCGUAUCCCGCCCCAUUCAAUUCUCGAAUCCUUUUCUUUUAGAGUCAAUUACACCACAGGAUGCCUGAACUUGCGGCAUACAUUGAACCAGUGACAGAAUUUGACUUGGGCGUGCAUCUACAGUGCUCAUCAUGUUUGUAUACGUACAAGGUGUUGAUGUGGCAUGCCAGCAUGGCGCGGGCCCACCUGACAGUGACUGGGAGGCGGGGACGAGGGCAUGUGGCCUUUUUUGGCAGAAAACACCUUACAAUUAUUUUUUGUCACGAAAAAGCCCAUGGAAUUCUUUUGUUUUUUAAAAAAUCUCCUCAGACGUGUCUCUAUGACCCUUGGGACCCACCCGUCAGGAAACAAUACGAAGAGAAAUUAAUACGCACGAACUAAUCAUUUAAACAUGACCAUGCUAGCCAUCACACCAACUCUUACGCGCUGUUCCCCUAAAAGAAAAAACUCUUACGUGCUGUUCCCCUAAAAAUUAAACUAUUUUACGUGAUGUCCAUCACACAUGGGUCCAUUUUUCACACUAUAUACUAUUUAUAUUUGUUAUUUUAAUUUUGUUUUUAAAAUUAUACAUUAAUAAUUUGUACAAUUACUUGAACAUUAUUUUGAAUAAUAAUAUUUCUCUUAAUGCGAAUACAUGAAUAUAGCCUAAAAAUACAUGAAUCUUUUUCUGAAUACAUUAAUAAUAUUUAUGUAAUUUGAUGAAUAAUAUUUAUUUGGUUAUGUACGCAUUGUUAAAUAGUCAUGUGUAUUUUUUGAAUUACGUGAACAAUAUUUCAAAUAAGAACAUAUUUUAGAAUUGUAUGAACAUUAGCUUAAAUAAGUAUAUUCUUUAUAAUUUUGUGAACAUUACUUAAAAUAGUUUAUUUCAUUGGCAGUGAUAUUAUUUAUAAUUUAAAAAUUUCUAAGUAAGAUAAAAUAGCUAACAUGUGAAAAAUGGACCGCCGUGACAGCAGCCCAUUUAAGACUUAUGUGCGUGCAUCAAAUGGUACUUGAUCACUUCGCUAGCCCGGCCGGCUGUAGUCUUGCAUGUCUUCUGUUAGAACCACGGCGGCGCAAUAUUUUGCAUAUUAUCUUCCUCCUUGUAAUGUAUCGUGACAAAAAAAAAAACAGGUCACAUGCCCUCAUCCCUGCCUCCUAUUCACUGAUGGGUCGGCCCUGUGCCAUGCUGGCGCACCACAUCAGCACCCUACACGUAUACAAGCGUAGUUAGCACCGUAGAUGCACGCCCAACCAAGUUCUGUCACCGAUUCAAUGUAUGCCGCAAGUUUUAGCAUCAAACUGACUUUUGUCGCCAAGUUGAGGCACCUGUGGUGUAAUUGACUCUUUCUUUUAUCGCUCCCAAGGAUCAUCCAUGCGGGCGUUUUUUUUCUUUAUUUUUUUUGAGUGAAAAAACUUGCUUGCUACAGUAGCACGCACGCGCACGUCCUCCCAUUCCAUCUUUUCAACAAUAUACCCAUUCCAUCCAUCCCAUCCCAUCCCAUCCCAUCCAGCCCUCGUGAUGUUGAAAGUAUAACCAUGCUCGGUUUUCAGGUAAACUCUCUUUACCUUCAUAGUUUCCAUAGCACUGAAACAUAUCUUAUCCAAUACAAAAAUUCUUGCAUGGCAGGGGAUACACUAGUAGAAUAGUGAAAAUUAAAAAUUAUAAGUUGAAGCAAAUGAAGAAUAUAUAAGUCAUGCUUAAUUACGAAAAAAGAUUUGUCGUUGUGACUUACUGUAUCGAAUUCGAAGGUCUCAUCCAGCUUGAUGCUGAAUCGCCUAUCAUCAACAAGGAAAUUUCUGUUGCACAGGCCGCGCUGGUCUUCACAGUAUUCGCACAUAAUGAAAUCUUUUUCAUCGUUAGACGACAUUUCCUAUGUUCAUAUAUGUGAAACAUUAAAAACUUAGUAAUUCUAUUAAUUCAACUAAUUCAACUACUUCUAUUAAUUCAACUAGUUCUAUUAAUUCAACAAAUUCAACUAAGCAUUUACUAAAAAUAAACUUGUUCUAUUAAUUUUCUUACUAAAAUAAACUAGUUCUAUUAAUUCAACUAAUUCAACUAGGAAUUUACUAAAAACAAACUACUUCUAUUAAUUUACUUACUAAAAUAUAUAAAGUAACUAUAUAUAGUAAUAUUUUAAUUAGAUNNNNNNNNNNAUAAACUAGUUCUACUAAUUCAACUAGUUCAACUAAGCAUUUACUAAAAAUAAACUAGUUAUAUUAAUUCAACUAGUUCAAAUAAUCUCAUAUACCUACAUUUUCUUACUAAAAAUAAACUUGUUCUAUUAAUUUUCAUACUAAAAAUAAACUUGUUAUAUUAAUUCAACUAGUUCAAAUCUCAUAUAUAUACCUAAUUAAUAUCUAGCUAAUUCAUCUAAAAUUGACAUUAAUAUUUAACAUCUUUUCAUAUAAUUCAUCUAACAUUAACAUUCAAACAUUCUUAUCUACGUAAUUCAUCUAACAUUAAUCUAAACAAUAGAAAACAGAAAAUAAGUAAAAAAAAUAUGUGUGUGUGUAUUUGUGUGUGUACGAGCGGGGGCCGGUGUACGGGCGGCGGCGCGAGACGGCGAUGCGACAGGGAUGACACGACGACGGGCUGCGGGCCGGGGGCGACGGCGUGAUCGAGACGGCGACGUAGUAUGGGGCGGCAGCGACGGGCGGCGGGGGCGACGGCGGUGACAGCGAUGACGGGCGACGGGAGCGACGGCGCGCGGCGGGGCCUGCGAGGGUGGCGCGUGAUGGGCGAUGGCGCGGUGGUGACGGCGAUGUCGCGCGAAGAAGUUGGAGAAGAAGUGGGUCAAUGAAACUGAUUUUUUCGUAAAUGCCAUAUAUAUAGGAGGGGCCUUUAGUACCGGUUGGAGCCACCAACUGGUACUAAAGGCCAAUUUUUGCCAGGUUAAGCAACGGGAAACGACCCCCUUUAGUACCGGUUCGUGGCCUGAACCGGUACUAAAGGCCAACGCAUUAGUACCAGUUGGAGCCACCAACCGGUACUAAUGGUUGUGCGCUGCCACUAGCGGUGCACAAUGUUUAGUCCCACCUCUCCGAGCGAAGGGCAGCCGCACUGGUUUAUAAACCCAGCUGCGGCUGCCCCUUCGACCUUCUCUAUAUAGCAGGCUUCUGGGCCUAACUUCGGCGCGCUGCCCUGUGAGCCUGCUGGCCCUUCUUGGCCUGUAUUUGCAAACCCUAGGUCUGGCAGGCCCACUGGACAGCGCCCCAACAAUUUUUAUAUAGUGUUUUCUUUUCUGCAUUAUUUAUUUUUGAGUAAAAUUUUUAUAUAAUUUUUGCGUUUUCUGUUUUAUUCAUUUUCUUCUAUUUAUUUCUGAGUAGUUGUUUUUGCUGUAUUUAGUUUCUUUGUGAAUAUAACAAUUUUUAUAUAGUUUUUUCUUUUGUGAAUUAUUUAUUUUCUGCUAUUUAUUUUUGCGUAAUUUUUUUAUAUAGUUUUUUCUUCUAUUUUAUUUAUUUUCUUCUAUUUAUUUCUGAGUAGUUUUCGCCGUGACCCUCUCUACUCUUUUGCACAUGCUAUGCGGGUGAAAUGAUGAUACCAUGCCAAGUUCCAACAUUUUCAGAGUUCAUUUUGUAGUGAUUUUCAAUUUCACCGUCAUUUAGCUCUCUAAACAAAUCGGUAAAUGUGUGAAAAACAGCAAAUGAUGUCAGAACGUGUUGGAAAUUGAUGACAUCGCUUUGAAUGUUGCAUACUGAACACAAAAAUAGGCUGGAGUUCAAAAAAGUUUAAAAAACAUUGAAGUGCCCGUGUAAUAGAUGAGUUCUCGUCCGAAACCCUGAUACUCCGAAAGAGAUUAUCCAGUUUGUACACGAGGUGCGUCCAGUUUUCGUCGUGACCCUCUCUACUCUUUUGCACAUGCUAUGCGGGUGAAAUGAUGAUACCAUGUCAAGUUCCAACAUUUUCAGAGUUCAUUUUGUAGUGAUUUUCAAUUUCACCAUCAUUUAGCUCUUUAAACAAAUCGGUUAAUGACUGAAAAACAAAAAAUGAUNNNNNNNNNNGAGACGGCGACGACGGGCGGCGGGGCCGGCGAGGGCGGCAAGGGCGGCGCGCGAUGGGCGACGGCGCGGCGGCGGCGGCGAUGUCGCGCGAAGAAGAGAAGAAGUGUGGUCGAUGAAACUGAAUUUUUCGUAAGUGCCAUAUAUAUAGGAGGGGCCUUUAGUACCGGUUCGAGCCACCAACCGGUAAACCGGUACUAAAGGCCAAUUUUGGCCAGGUCAAGCGGCGGGAAACGGCCGCCUUUAGUACCGGUUCGUUACACCAACCGGUACCAAAGGCCCACCCAUUAGUACAGGUUGGAGCCACCAACCGGUACUAAUGGUUGUGCGCUGCCACCCGCGGUGCACCAUGUUUAGUCCCACCUCGCCGAGCGAAGGGCAGCCGCACUGGUUUAUAAACCCAGCCGCGGCUGCUCCUUCGAACUCCUCUAUAUAGCAGGCUUCUGGGCCUAACUAGGGCGCGCUGUCCUGUGAGCUCGCCGGCCCUUCUGGGCCUGAAUUUGCACACCCUAGGUUUGGUAGGCCCACUGGACAGCGCCCCAACAAUUUUUUAUAUAGUUUUUUUCUUUUCUGCAUUAUUUAUUUUCUUCUAUUUAUUUUUGAGUAAUUUUUUAUAUAGUUUUUUCUUUUCUGCUUUAUUUAUUUUCUUCUAUUUAUUUCCGAAUAGUUUUUUUUGCUGUAUUUAGUUUCUUUGUGAAUAUUUUUGUUUUAGCUCUCUAAACAAAUUGGUAAAUGAUGAUGUCGCUUUGAAUGCUGCAUACUGAACGCAAAAAAAGUCUGGAGUUCAAAUAAGUUUAAAAAACAUUGAAGUGCCCGUGUAACAGAUGAGUUCUCGUCGAUACUCCGAAAGAGAUUGUCCAGUUUGUACACGAAGUGCGUCCAGUUUUUGCCGUGACCCUCUCUACUCUUUCGCACAUGCUAUGCGGGUGAAAUGAUGAUACCAUGCCAAUUUCAACAUUUUCAGAGUUCAUUUUGUUGUGAUUUACUGUUUCACGAUCAUUUAGCUCUUUAAACAAAUCGGUGACUGAAAAACAGCAAAUGAUGUCAGAACGUGUUGGAAAUUGAUGACGUCGCUUUGAAUGCUGCAUAAUGCCGGCUCAAAAAAAGUCUGGAUUUUAAAUAAGUUUAAAAAAAAUGAAGUGCCCGUGUAACAGAUGAGUUCUCGUCCAAAACCCUGAUACUCCGAAAGAGAUUGUCCAGUUUAUACACGAAGUGCGUCCAGUUUUGAAGUGAGUGGCGGCCGACGGGGGAGGACCGGCGUGGGGGAUUGAGGGGGAGACCGAGUGAGUGGAGAGAGUGAGGGCGUAAACAUGUAAAAAUAUACAUAAAAAAUACAUUGAUUAUCAAUGAUCUUUUUGUGUACAAUCUGAAUUGUCAAUAUGAGUCCUCAACGGUUUAGAAACCGGUGAAUUCUCAUAUUGAGUUCACAAAUUAUACACAUAGAGUUCAAUGAAGACCAAAUGCUUGUGAUAGUUUGAGAAAACAUGUAAAAAUAUACAUAAAAAAUACAUUGAUUAUCAAUGAUCUUUUUGUGUACAAUCUGAAUUGUCAAUAUGAGUCCUCAACGGUUUAGAAACCGGUGAAUUCUCAUAUUGAGUUCACAAAUUAUACACAUAGAGUUCAAUGAAGACCAAAUGCUUGUGAUAGUUUGAGAAGUAACAUAUUUAAGGUGGUAAAAAUCUUGCUAGGGGAGCGAGGUGGGACUAAAAACAGCCUGCCACAACCUCUUUACUACCGGUUCGUCCCACGAACCGGUACUAAAGAUGACGGCCGGGCCCAGCAUCUUUAGUACCGGUUCGUGGCAUGAACCGGUACUAAAGGUCUCCUCCCGCCUAGCCAUUUGAACCGGCACUAAUGGACACAUUAGUGUCGGCUAAAAUGCAAACCGGGACUAAUGUGUGUCACAUUUGACCCUUUUUCUACUAGUGACGACUUCGUCGAGCUCGUCAGCGAGCUUUGUUCGUCAUCUUCGUUCGUCGGUCGUGUCGCCGUCACCGGAAGUACUCAGCGUCGGGACUGGGGCCGACACUCGGAACAUUCUACUGAUGUGGUAGAUGCUGUGCUGAGCAAACAUAAGCAGAGUUAGCAAGGGACUGUAAUAGUUACGGGAAAACAAGGCAGCAGUGGGGAUUACGGUCUUAUAGGUUGGCCUGAAACCAUUUUAUCGGGGAUGUGCUUUAUCUUAUGCCAGUUUGGAUCUCCUUCUGUUUCACAACUCUUCAUGAGCUCAACAUCGCAGCACCGAAGUAUGAACAGCUUCAGAGACUGGGGCAGUGUCGGAAGCGACCGGAUAUUCAUGCAAUGCUCGAUCUUCAGUGCCUUGAGCGAAGUGAGGUGCUCCAAGUUGCCUGGUAAGGCGUCCCAGCUGCAGUCCUCAAGGUUGAGCAUACGAAGAUGAGGGAAAGCCUCAAGUUGAGGGCCAGGUCCCAGUCGGCUGCAGCCAUAGAUUUCAAGUAGUUUCAGGUUCUUUGGGCCACCGGUCAGCUUACCCACCAUCCAAUCUGGGUACCUUGAGCCGUUGUAGUCAUAGAUGAGCAGUGCUUCUAGCCCCACGGGAGGGCACAGGCCCUCAAGCACCUCUGCUGCAACUUCCGCAUUGCCAUUGCCCCGUGUAUGGGAAGUCAAAAAACAUAGUAUCAGUUCCGUGAGCCUUUCCUUGGCAGCUAGAUUGGCUUCCUAAGUUGAUAAGGUCAUUCCUUAGCCUGAAGAAGGGUAUUCUUUGAAGUGAGCUCAGCGUGCCUAUGUUAGGAAAGCUCACAUCCCAGCAGAAUAUGUGCCGCAAGUUGAUAAGGUCAGCAGCACAGGUAAAAUCCGAAAUUUUGCCAAGACCAAAAUCUAGCAGCUGGAUAUGGAGAAGUUUAGCUAGUGCACUUGGCAAAAUAACCUUGCAGUUGUCACUUUUCCGGAAAGCUAGAUAGCGGAGGUGCUUUAACUGAGUAAUGGAUUCUGGGACCAAGAACUUAUCACUGGGAUUGCUGGUUGAACGGCAUUUUUUGUUGAAAGCAAUGGCCAGUACCCGCAACUUCAGCAGCCUCACGCACAUACUCUCAAUGACCUUUUCCUCAACUGGUCUAUUCUCUUCGACCACACAAAUAAUGAGAGUGCGUAAAUUUUCCAAUCCAAGGAUCUUCCUGGUAAUCAAUUCCCCAUCAUACUUCUGAACAAAAAGAUGACGGACAUCUCGAGGGACAUCUUCUUGGCAUUCUCCUUGUUUACUCCAUCUAUUCUCGAUUCUGAAGCAAUCAUUUCCAGCAACCUUGACUAAUAAAUCAUGCAACAGAUCAUGAAUUGUAAAAUGAUCAACGCCAGAACCAGUUCCUUUUUCUUGCAGAAAUGAGCAUGACACUAACUCUUGAAUGUAGCCCUCGGCAACAUCUUCCAUCUCCUCCGUUGCACAACUGGUCUUUACAAAUCCUUGUGCUGUCCACAGGCGGACUAAUUGGUCUUUUUCCAGUUUGAAUUUUCUGGGGAAAAUACUGCAGAAUUCAAAGCAUCGCCUAAUGUCCGGAUCAAGCUGCUGAUAGCUCCACCAAAGAGCAUCCAUGGUGUAAUUCAACAUGUCAAGCUUUGCAACAUUUUUCCAAAAACUGAUAUUUGGGUUUGCCCCAAGCCGUCCUGCAACUGUUACUGCUGCAAUAGGUGAUCGGUGUAGUUUUUUGGCAAUCUCUCUCCCAACUUGUUCAAAUUCUUGAAGGGCAACUCUUGUAUCACUUAGCGCAUAAUGCAUAAACAUCGCCAAGUACUGAUCCUCAUCCAAAUCAGGCAUUUCAAUAAAUUUAUCGGCACCCAGAGCUCCAGCUGCUUCUUUUGUUCGAGCCGUCACCAGGAUUUUGCUUCCUUUCAGCCCAACAUUGAGUGGAGAGAUUAGCUCCUCUAGGUGUUGGUCAUUCUUGUUUUUCACCCAGAGAUCAUCCAAUAUCAAGAAGAAACGUUUGCCACACAAUGCUUCCUUCAACUUCUUAUCUAGAGCCCCACGAUCUGAAAUAUUGGAGUGACUAUCUCCGGUAAUAUACUUCAGAAUUUCAUGAAAUAUAUCAUCCACACUGAAAGUUUCAGUCACAUGAAUGCACAUGAUGGUGUCGAAAAGUUUCUCAUCCUUGCAUUCCUCCUUUAUGUAAUCUUGAAUAUAUCCUGCAAACGUGGUCUUCCCAGACCCAGCAACACCAUAUAUACCAAUCACUGAGUAACAUGGAUCAGCACUUGAGCUUGCUGCAUCAUGCUCUGGUAUCUCACGAAGCCUUACCAUGAUAUGAUCACGCAGCCCCUCUCGACCAAAUACCUUCCGCUUGCUAGCAGUUCUAAUUCUACUCCUAUUCUUGUUAGCAAUAUCGUCUGGUGCACUCUUGCUUGCCGUGCCCAAGAGCGGUGACUUCGUCACUUCGCUGAUGGUACUUUGUACCUUCUCUAUUCUUUUAUUCAAGUUCCAUCUUGAGAUAGCAGUAAGGACAACAUCCAAUGCAGUGGCAUUCUCCUGCAAGAUGCAAAAUCUCAAAUGGGUAUGUCUGUCACAUGUCUAUUCUAUCUAUUAGAAAUAGGUGACCAUAAUACAAAACAAAUUAUAUAUCACUGGUGGAACAAAAAUCGCCAAGCAAUUACAAAAAUGACUGGUACAAAAAACUGACCACAAGUAAAUAAAAUAGUAUUAAAGUGUAAAUAAUAAACAAGGGAAAUAUGAUAAUGAUAACUAUAUUGUCCAUCUAUCGUAUGGAUCACAUUUUUUUUUCAAAUACAGGUUUUCUUUGUUGACCUCAAUGACUGAUGUCAAAUAAGAUAAUUAGUAUUACUCUCAUUAUCAUAGUAACGGAUUAGAAAGAUAUUGUAGUACGAUGCAUGACACAUAAAGUUCAGAAAAGAAUCUUUCUUAACACAUGGACGGAGAGCUUUUACAUGUAUAUAGAGUACAUAUAUAUAAGAUGAGGAGUGGGCGACGAAAUUGGAUGUACCUGAUAAGUUGUGACACCAACCACCUCAUAGGACCAAUCUCGGUAAAAGCGUAACCAGUUGAAGCUGGAUGUACAAUAGUACUUGACGAAGUUGAAGGAGCUGGAAAAGCAAGAGAGACACCGCCCCAAGGAAUCGGAGGAUGGAGCUGUUGGUUCGUGUGAGGCUGCAGCACUGGUAGUUACCGGAAUAGACUCGCCGCCGGAGGGCGCCGCAACAUUUAUAGUCACAUGACCGGGCUCAUUUGAGGCGGCAACACCGAUAGUGACGGCCUCACCGGAAGCGCUCAAGGAAACGACACAAAGAGCUCCUCCGUGCCCACUGCAUUAGCCGAGCCCAUCUGCUCCGAAUGAUGCGUGCAAUCCCGUCGAGGAAGGAUUGCACGACGCCGUCGAGGAAGUCUCCGACGCAGAUCUUCUCAUGAGCAUCAUCGAAGAUGUCCUCUGCAUCCUCCCGAGCGUGCCUCAGCAUGGCGGCCAUCUUGUCCAGUGCGGCCACAUCGGAGUUUGAUUUCUUUCCUCUCAGCAUCAUCCUCUCCUGAUCUACGGCCCGCAGCGUGUUCUCCAUCUCGGGCAUGAUGCUGAUCACUAGCCCCUGGAGCUUCUGUGCCGCAUCGAAACCCAGGCGGGAAAGGAUCUUGGGCAGGAUCAAGGUGAUGACAGGCGACACCAACCAGCCCAACACGACCAUGGACCAACCAACAGAGGCAACGUCCCAAGCAGUAGCCAUGGAAUGCUAUGGAUUUUCUAGGAAGAACCUUCUUGCUGGAACAUAAGAUUUAAGGAAUCAUUUUACAAGACACAGCAAGCAAGGCAGAGACAGACAGAAUAGAGGUUUGGAAAAAGAGGUGAUCUUUAGCUACGUACCAAUAUCUUCUUCUGCUCGCUGCUUGUCGAUCUGCUUCUCCACUUCUUGUGCCUACCCGGCGAUGUUGCGGGCGGCCGGCAGCGAGGAGCUAGCUAUCUUUAUGGUUGGAGUACAGAGCUCCUGGCGUUAGAGCAAUGGUGGGGAGGAGGCCGACUAGCAGUUGGAAUGGCCUGCUAUUUACUUGGACAAAAAUGAAGCCUUAUCAGCAUGGACAGCAUUUCCAAGCAAGGGCGCGCAAGUGGCAGGAUCAAACACGGAAGCAUCCGUUGAACAGCUCAACAUCCGAGUAAAUACCAGGAAGCACGGAUAUACAGUAGUAUGAAAUGAAAUGAAAUACGGGGAAGAAGUUGAAAGGAUAAACCAAAUACAAAGACCUCAGCAUGAGUCGUGUCCUCUGGUGGCCACUCGUUUCUCCAUCACAAGUUGGCAUCAAAUAAGAAGACUGCAGAGCAAAUUAAAGACCAGCGAAAGCUACAUAAAUUAGGUACUCGAAUUUCCAUUUCCAGAAAAUAAUAAUCUGAGCUUAGUGCAUGAGUUGCUACAGCUGAGCAGUUUCAGAGAACCCAUUCAACGUCUGUUUAGGCAGCAGAAAAGUGAAGAGGGGUGGGGUUGCAGAUGAUGCCCUUAAUUAGCUACUCUCUCCGUCCAGAAAUACUUGUCAUCAAAUGGAUAAAAGAAGAUGUAUCUAGAUGUAUUUUAAUUCUAGAUACAUUCUUUUUUAUCCAUUUUGAUGACAAGUAUUUUCGGACGAAGCGAGUACCAAUCCUUCCUUCACGAAGUGUCAUCCUCCCUGCAGUGCAGUGGAAUCGGUCCUCGAUCGCUUCACCACUUGCUUGAUGUAUUAUUGUACGCGAUUGAUUGCUGGUUUGGUCGUUAGCUACGUUGGACGUCUUGGUACGUUGUGAUAGAAGAACGCGUGGACAGUCCGCACAGAAGAUUCAGCGUGGAAGCCAGGCCCUGAUGCGCGGGCCAACGGCGAGAGUGAGAUGAGAGACCGGAGAGGCAGUGAGCGUGAAAUCUAGGCGGAAGUAUAUAGAUUUUGGAAAAGGAGGCUUGCCCCCGGGCUCUGCAUCUGAAGUAUAUAGAUAGGCGAGCAAGACUUUUGGUUACAGAGAGACUUGUAGCAAUUCCAUCGAGCUAUAGUACGUAGCUUCCAGGCAACGGGCGUACGUAGCUUAGCCGUUCCAUUCAUUUUUAUGGUUCUCUUGGACCACUCGUGUUUUUCUUUUACUACUACUACUACGAAAAAGGGUUUCCCGCGCUUUAUAUUAUAAAGCACAACAUCCAACAACAUGAGAGUAUAGGUAGAGGGUACAGAUAACAAAUAAACGAGGUCCGGCUGGGGGCACAGCCAAACAAGCCCCAAAGACAAGAAAAAGGCAACUCUAAUCAGGCUCCGGUGGUGGGGGUGGUGAUGGCGGGGCCAUCGCGGCUGCAGAAGAGCGAAGACCUGCGACGAUGGAGUCAGUGAAGCCACGAUCACGUCGCUUACCAAGCGGUCUCUAGAGCUGUAGAAAUCCACACAUUUUAAAGAUGGCAUCAGUGACACGACAAGGAAUCACGUGCUCGAUCACCAGUUUAUUACGGCAAUUCCAGAGGGUCCAUGCCAGGGUACCCACUCCUACCCAAAGGGAGGGCCUACUAAUGGGGGGGGAUCUAGGACCUCCCUGAACAAGCCUGGGAGAUUAUCAUGGCACCAUGUCCCAUCCACGACAUCCCGGAAGCCACUCCAUAGGAAUCGCACCGCCGGGCACCACAAGAAGAUGUGGUUGGAGUCAUCCGGAACUCCACAUAAGGGGCAAAGGCCAUCACCCGGACCAUUGCGCUUCUGGACCUCUGUGCCCGAAGGCAGGCGACCAGAAACCCAUUGCCGCACUAGUAGAAAACAAGGCUUUGGUUGAAGCUCAAUCUACACAUUAGUCCCGGUUGCAUUACGAACCGGGACUAAUGUGAGCACUAGUCCCGGUUCGAGUGGUUAGUGCGUCGGGCAGGCAUUAGUCUCAGUUGAAAUGGGACCUUUAGUCCCGGUUUGAGACACCAACCAGGACUAAAGGGUGCGAUGCCCUUUAAUCCCGGUUGGUGUCUCCAACUGGGACUACAGAUUAGACCAUUAGUCCCGGUUCGAGCCACCAACCGGGACUAAAGGGGUUGAGGCUUUAGUCCCGGUUGGUAGCUCCAACCGCGACUAAAGUGGUUCUGAAAUUUGUUUUUAGUUUUUUGUUUUUUAGUUUCUGUUUUGAAUUGCUUAUAUCUUUUAGGAUAUUUGAUAUUUUUGAGUGAUUCUUUUUGCAUUAGAUUCAAAAUUUUGUCUAGUUUUUGUUUGUGCCAUUAGUUUUCAAUUUGAAUGAUUUAAAUAUGAAUUCGUUCAAAUUUGCUUCAAACCCUAGAUUGUGAAUAAUUUGAGUUUAAAAAUAGUUUUUAAUUUAAUUCUUUUUGCUCCUACUCACAUGUUAGAUUGUUGUCACAGUAAGAUUUAUUUGGUUAUUUUUAGAAUAAUUUAAAUUAGGAUUUUAAUUAAAACAGUACUGUUUUGAUUAUAUAGUUGUUUUAGUCCUUUAAUUGUUGUUCUCAAUUAUUUUUAGUUAGUUCUUUCUGUAGAUUUUAACAUGUUGUAGUAUGCUUCGGUUAGACAACAGUAGAUAUUUUUUAUAAUUAAUUAAUAUUUAUUUUGCUACUAUUUUGUAUUAAUAUUUGUUUAGCCUUUAAUAACAGUUGAUAAAACUAGUUUUGCUAUAGUAAAAAGUAAUUCCUUUUGCCACUUUAAUAGAACGUGACUCUGGCUUGGUUAACCUUAGUUGUGACUCUGGCUGGGACGGUGCUACCAGAUGUAGUAGACGGUAGCAUUGGAUGGACACCAUCCCGGACUAAAGGGGUUCUGCAAUUUUCAACCCCCCAACCCCGUAUCGUCAUUUCAGUUUUGAAAAAAACAUAAUAAAAUGAUAAAAACUUCAAAAAUUAAAAUCCUUCGAGAUAUAGUUAUGUUACUACAUCUACUAGUUAGGGAAAUUAAAAAACAUAAAUUUCGACAUGUUUUGCAAAAAAAGUGUUAUGAAAAAGUAAAACGGCUAUAACUUUUGCAUACGAUGUCGGAAAAAAACGUAUAAUAUAUCAAAAUGUUCAGCACGAAAAAUCGGUUCCGAUUUCGACGGUCAUAGGCCGUUUUGCAAAUUUUUGGUUUAUUAUAAUAGUUUCAAACUCAAUUGGUGCUUCAUGCUCAAGUUCAACUCCUAAGGGUUAAUAGGAUUGACAGCUUACUAUUGUCAGGAAAACAACAAGUCCAGACUUGGAAACUAGGGGGAAUAGAACUUGGAAGUUAAGUGUGCUUAGGCUGGGGUAGUGAGAGUAUGGGUGACCAGCCGGGAAGUUAGACGAUUUUGGAUGAGCGGUCCAUACUUGAGCAGUGAUGAGGGGUGAUUAGAGAUUAAAUUGUCAAAUAAUUCAGAAAUUUAAAAAUGGGAAAAAAAUUCAAAUUGUUUUUCAAACAAAUUCAAAAAAACAAAAUUUUCAAAAUAAAUUCCUUUAGUCCCGGUUGGUGUUACCGGUUCGUGGAGCUCCUUUAGUCCCGGUUCGUAAGCCAACCGGGAUUAAAGGUUUUGGGCUUUAGUCCCGACCCUUUAGUCCUGAUUCCAGAACCGGGACUAAAGACCCUCUAGAACCGGGACUAAAGGCCCGUCUUCUACUAGUGCCACAAGAAGAUAUGUAUCUUAAAUGGUAACUUGAUCUCCCAUAGUACCGUAAGUUCAUUGGGACCCGGAGUCGGCAAGAUCACGCGGUACAGGAACUUAGUGGAGAAUGAAUGUGUUGACUUUGAUGGCUAUGAAUGAUUGCAGGUUUUGAAGAUGUACUUUCUGUGUGCUGUGGAGGACCUGGAAGGUACAUGUACAAUGCGUCGGUUCAAUGUGGCGAUGCAGCUGCAACAACAUGCGUUGAUCCGUCUGCUCGUCUGUACUGGGCUGGCGUUCAUCUGACCGAGGCGGCUAACAGAUACAUCGCAGGCCGUUGGCUGGUCAAGAUAAACUCACUCAAAAGUUAGGGACGAGGCAACUUCAAUCAGUGGGCAGCCAUGAGGGUACCAUGUUUAUCAAAACGGACGAAGUACAAGCCUAUCAACAAUGCAUGUGUUAUAUCUUUGUGUGUCUUUUUGUUUUGUUUUGCGGGGGAUAUCUUUGUGUGUGUGAUCAGUUGUAUUGUUCUUCAAAAUCAAUAAAAACCUGAUACAUCGUCAAUUAAACGAACAUACGGAAGCUAUGACAUUUGUCCACAGGUAUGACUUGAGGCAUGACUUCGUACAUGUUUUGCUAUGACUUGAAGGUUUUCCUUUUGGUAGGGAUAUUUCUUGUUCACCCCCCUCCUUCCUCGAGCAUUCUUUCUCGUUUUUGUGGGAUUACUAGACAUCUUGCAGGUUGUUUUUUACCUAGAAACACUGUAAGGCUAGGCCCUAUUGUGUAAAUUUUUACUGCAGCAAAAUAAUUAGAUAAAAAAAGAACGAAAAGAACAGAGAAUAACGCAAGGACCCAGAUAUUUGUUCCUUUUCCUGUCCCUGAUUAUUAGCAAAUGUUUGUGAUUCCAAAAUCUUAUUAUUUCUUUGGGUCUUGAUAUUCUAACAACCCAUAUUUAAGAUGUCCAUGGGAAUAACGCAAGGCAGUGCUUGGCAGGAUAAAAGGCACUCAUCAUGUCUGUGUUCUCCAUGCAACAUGGAGUUCCGGCGGCCUGGAGCAAAAUUGCAGUCCCAGAGUAAGUGCACAGCAUAGUACUCGUCAACCAAAUUGCAUAAAGGAUUUUCUUCAAAGAAGAUUUCCUUACACGUUAUCAUAACACAUUACAUAAUUGUAGCUUCGGAAAUGCAAUGAUUUCAUCAAAAGAAGACUUCUUGAGUUUAAUCUGCCAAGCAAAAGGAUGCAAAAGAAUACCUAUUGCCUCAGUUGACUUGGAAUUUUCCACGACUUGAAGGAUCAUGCACCACCUGCCCCAUAGCACAUGAAUCCAUGUUGUUGCUAUUUGUUUUAUGAAAUAUAUCAAAUAGGUUAUGAAAACAUUUUUUUAGUGUGAUGGACAUGCUUAGUUCUGCUUUUCGGAGUUUAUUUGCCUCUAUUGGAACGACUAAAAUAUGAUAUUCAAUGUUUCGAAAGGUGAAUGUGCAGAUUUAUUACUCAUUUCUAACCUCAUGUAUUUGUUCCUCGAAAAGGAGGAUGAAACCCUGCCGCUGCACCUUCUUCGUCUACAUAACCCUAUAAUAAUUGUCCAUAAUUAUAUAUUAGGUCACCUUGGUUUUGGGCAAUGUAUUUUGUACGUGAUUUGUACUGUAAAUAGUGCAAGAAAAUAUUGGUGUUGCAAGAACGAGGGUUGGCUCUUCGGUUUUUCAAUUUAACUUGAUACUCUAAAUUUUAUCCUUGAUCUUCUAAUAUUAAUGAAUUUGUUACUGGUGCCUAUGACAAUGAACGAGUACGCCACUUGAAAUCCAUAAGGGUUUACGUGAUAUGCCAUUUUUAUUUUACCUUGAUAAACUACAAAGGCUAAGAGAAUGUAAAAUUUCUAGUCAAGUCCUGAUGUAUACUUCUUUUUUUAAGGAAAAGGAACAUUUCUUGGGUACUAUAGAUCGUGACUCAAGAGCUGACUUUCACUUAUGAUUUGGGGUACCCAACAUAAUGGACUUAACGUGCUCAAGUCCUGAUGUAUACUUCUUUUUGUUUUGAUAAGGAACAUUUUUUGUUAAUGGACUUAAUGUACUCAAGAACAUGUUAUAUUAUAGCGUGAGCUACCGAUGGAUUUGACUUAACGUGCAUUCCCCAACUGCACCGAUUAGAAUAUCCGUAUGUGCGAUGUUUAACUGGAUUACUUUUAUAGUUAGUACAAGCAAAAAAGUAUGUUAAUAGAGAGACAGAUAGGAAGCCAUUCAUUAGGAUGCCGUAAGGGUUGUACAAUGAUGUCUGUACAAGUUGGUCCUAGCUCGUGAUUCCAUCGAACAUUUUGCCGCCAAGUUGACUAGGACUCUAUAUGGCCCCCGGAAGCAAAUGGGCCAGCACCACCACGUCGGGCUCUUUCCAUAUUGCCUGUGCAGAACUCAAGAUGCACAAGCUCGUAUCCGUGGCUUUCCUAGUCUUCAUCUCAUGGUCGACGCUGGCGGUCUCUUCCCCGUCCGGAGUCCCUUGCUACCAAUCCAUCUUCAGCUUCGGCGACUCCUUUGCUGACACGGGCAAUAACCCUGUCGUCUUCAAAUGGUACUCCAUCUUCGACCCCGUCACGCGCCCUCCCUAUGGCACCAGCUUUUUCGGCCGCCACACUGGUCGCAACGGCGACGGGCGGCUCAUCAUCGACUUCAUUGGUACGUGCUCACAUCAGCUGUUCUUGGGCCGGCCAGUGCCAGCAACUACAAUACGUACAUACCAUCCUACAACUAUAGGUUCUUUCUCGGUGCAGCUGAGAACUUGGGCCUACCAUAUGUCCCGCCCAACCUGGCGCACAACGGUAGCUUCCGGCGAGGCGCCAACUUCGCCGUUGGUGCCGCAACCGCAGUCGAUGCUGGUUUCUUCCACAAGAGGGGUAUCCCCAGUGCCACCAGCAAGUUCCCGCUGAACACCAGCUUAGGCGUGCAGCUGGAGUGGUUUGAGUCCAUGAAGCCUUCCUUAUGUCGCACAGCCCAAGGUUACUUUAACCAUUCAAUGCCAUCGUUGUUAUCUUGUAGCUAGCUAUCAUUAAUUAUCCAAGUAAGCGGCUGAUGAGAAGUCAAAUUGUACGCAUGCAGAGUGUAAGAAAUUGUUCGGCAGAUCCCUCUUCUUUGUGGGCGAGUUCGGAGUCAACGACUAUCACAUGUCGUUCCAACAGAGAACGGUACAGGAGGUCAGGUCCUUCGUUCCUGAUGUCGUCGCGACCAUCUCCAAGGCCAUCGAGGUACGUUACGUACUCCAUCUGGCUAUCAAGUAGAUGCAUGUACUGAUUGAUCCAAGCAGGAUCCAUGAUAAACUAAUUGCUCGUGUGAGCAGAGGCUCAUCACCAUGCAUGGCGCGAGAAGCCUGGUUGUCCCUGGCGUGAUUCCGUCGGGAUGCUCACCGCCGAUCCUGACCAGGUUCGCUGACGCCUCACCACCAUCAGCAUACGACUCCAGGACCGGUUGUCUGAAAGCAUAUAACGAGCUGGGGUUGCACCACAACUCGCUGCUGCAGGCUGAGCUAGCCAAGCUUCAGGCCAAGCACCGGAAUGCCAGGAUCAUCUACGCCGAUUUCUUUGGCCCAAUCAUGGACAUGGUGGAGUCGCCUCACAAGUUUGGUCUGUCGCCAACUCAACCAAAAGAAUCUAAUAUGUGUUAGUUGCACAUAUACAAAUUUUCAUUACGGAAAGGUGGUUGACAGUUGACACUGAUGGAUGAUCACAGGUUUUGAACAAGACGUGCUUACGGUGUGCUGUGGAGGGGCUGGACGAUACAGAUUAAAUUCAACGGUUCCAUGCGGCGAUGCUGCUGCAACAACGUGUCCGGAUCCAUCAGCUCGUUUGUACUGGGACGGUGUCCAUCUGACGGAGGCAGCUAACCGCCACGUCGCCAAUAUCUGGCUGGGCAGCAUAACCUCGGCAACAAGAGUCAGCAGCAGCAAGUGUGCAAAGGGGCCAUAUCGACCAACCAGGUGAAAAACUCAUUUCUACUGUGGCUGUAUCCCAGGGUUGCUUCAAAAUUUCUUCCCAACCUAAUGUUCUAUGUAUUCAACAUUUUCUGCACACACAAUAUAAAUAAUUUUGUUGGGCCUCAUUAGUAUGAAAUAAUUUCAUAAGAAUUCAACAAACAAAAUUUUGGAUGUAUUCUCGGAAAGUGCCACCAACUGAAUUUUCAGUUUUGUCACUUAAAUUGCAACGUGUUCUGAAGCAAGUUAAGAUACAUUUAGAUCCAUUCCACAACAAUUUCAAUUUUUUCAGAAGUUUCACAAAUUUUCAGAAAAAACAACAAACUUCAUUUCAAUAAUAGGAAAAAAAACUAUAUUGGUUUCAUAUAAUUCACAACUAGAGGCGCACAACAGACCCACUUCACAAAAAGUCAACCGACAUCCACACAUGAAACUGGAAUUCUAUUUCAAUUUAGUGUCAAUUUUACCAAUAUUACAUGUUUUCAUUUUCAUUUCACAUGGUUUGGGUGGGGACACCAUCCAAUCUAACCAAGGCCUCCUUCUGCAUCCUACAACGAUCCUAUGAUCAGUGUGUUGUUGGACACAAUCGAACACCCAUACUUACCAAGACCACACGGUCGGGGAUGAUUAAUCGACACUUCAAACAAUGCAAUAGAAACUUCAACACAUCAAGUAACCCAUCGAUAAGCCACAAUCAAUUGUCUAGGAUAGCUCCCUAGUUGUACAUGAUUGUUCGUUCAGCAAGACUUGCAACUGUUCAGUAUUGAUGUUAAACAAGCUGCAAUUGCUUGCAUGCAGCUGGGCUACAUAAAUUUGCUUUGAACGGGUAGCAUUAAAUGAGCAUAAAGCACAUUGGUUAGUAUAAAGAGAACAGUGGAAGGGGCGCGUCGCUUCAGCUCAGGCGGCGCGCCAUGGCGCGCCCCAACCACUAAUGCUCACCAACGCAACGCUCGUUGAUGCACUACGUCUCCUGCUUGUUGUGUCACAUCAUCUUGUACGCACGGUUCAGCAACCACCUGAGGUGCAACCGGUGGACGGUGGUGGUGUAUUAUUGCUGUCAAUAUAAUGAAGUGAAUGCAGCUGUUUCUGUCUAAAAAAAAAACUGAAUGCAACUUAGCGCAUCUUUCCCCUAAACCUUCCGGUUUCAAAAGUCUCUAUUUCACUAGUAAAAAACAGGGCUUUCGUCCACUCCCAAUGUACACAUUAGUCCCGGUUGCAUUACGAACCGGGACUAAUGUGAGCAUUAGUUCCGGUUCGAGCGGCUAGGGCGCGGAAAGGCCUUAGUCCCGGUUCAAAUGAGACCUUUAGUCCCGGCUUGAGACACGAACCGGGACUAAAGGGUGCGAUGCCCUUUAGUCCCGGUCGUAUCUCAAGCCGGGACUAAAGAUUAGACUGAUGUANNNNNNNNNNNNNNNNNNNNNNNNNNNNNNNNNNNNNNNNNNNNNNNNNNNNNNNNNNNNNNNNNNNNNNNNNNNNNNNNNNNNNNNNNNNNNNNNNNNNNNNNNNNNNNNNNNNNNNNNNNNNNNNNNNNNNNNNNNNNNNNNNNNNNNNNNNNNNNNNNNNNNNNNNNNNNNNNNNNNNNNNNNNNNNNNNNNNNNNNNNNNNNNNNNNNNNNNNNNNNNNNNNNNNNNNNNNNNNNNNNNNNNNNNNNNNNNNNNNNNNNNNNNNNNNNNNNNNNNNNNNNNNNNNNNNNNNNNNNNNNNNNNNNNNNNNNNNNNNNNNNNNNNNNNNNNNNNNNNNNNNNNNNNNNNNNNNNNNNNNNNNNNNNNNNNNNNNNNNNNNNNNNNNNNNNNNNNNUCGCCAUUUCAAUUUUGGAAAAAACAAAAGAAAAUGAUAAAAACUUCAAAAAUUAAAAUACUUCGAGAUGUAGUUAUGUUAGUACAUCUACUAGUUAGGAAAAUUAAAAAACAUAAAUAUGGACAUGUUUUGCAAAAAAGUGUGAUCAAAAAGUAAAACGACUACAUCUUUUGCAUAUGAUGUCGAAAAAAAGUAUAAUAUAUCAAAAUGUUCAGCAUGAAACUCUGCAUCCGAUUUUGACGGCCAUAGGUCGUUUUGCAAUUUUUUAGAAUCCUCAAAUUCUAAAAAAAAGUUUUGCUCAAAUUUUAGUUUUUUUGAAUUUUGGUUAAAUCUGGUCAAACUGUGGUCAAACUACUUAUUCAAGAAAUAUUAGUGUUACUAAAUAAUUAUUCAAGAAUAUUAGUGUUACUAAAUAAUUAUUUUAGUUUUUUUGAAUUUUGCUCAAACUACUUAUCCAAGAAAUAUUAAUGUUACUAAAUAAUUAUUCAAGAAUAUUAAUGUUACUAAAUAAUUAUUUCAGUUUUAUUGCAGCAAACAAGAUAAAACAUCUCGAAAGAUUGGGGUAGUGUUGGAAGCGACCGGAUGUUCUUGCAUCCUCUAUUCACCAGUGACGUGAGGUGCUCCACAUUUUGAGGUAAGAUGUCCCAACUGUAAGGAAGUGUAGAACCCUUUGGUCUCGGGCAGCACAUAUAUAUUGAAUCAUUGCCGUGGCUUACAAGAUUGGGAGGUUGUUGGGACUCUUGAGAGUUGUACACGAGAGGGAGAAAGAGAGAUUACAUUGAGGGAGAAGUUUAAGCAGAAGAAGAGAUAGACUAUGUUUAAACAGACAAGCAUAUCUCUAUCUAAUACGUCUAGCACUCCCCCUCAAUCUGAACCCUAUGGAACUUCUCAAGGUUGAGAUUGUACUUGAAGUCAUCCAACUUUCUCACUCUAAGAGGUUUUGUGAAGCCGUCGGCUAGUUGAUCUCCAAUUGGAAUGAACCUUAUGUCAAGUAGCUUACGAGCUACUCUUUCUGUGAAAAUGUGAAAAUCAACCUCAAUAUGUCUUGUGCGUGCAUGGAAAACAGGUUUAGCUGAGAGAUAGAUUGCACCAAUAUUAUCACACCAUAAUCUCGCAGCCUGUGGAAUUUUAAUCCCAAGUUCACAUAGCAAAGUCUGAAUCCACAUUACUUCAGUUGUAGCAUUUGUUAGAGCUUUGUACUCAGCCUCAGCCUCAGUACUUGAUCUUGAGAUAGUUGCCUAUUUUCUUGCACUCCAUGACACAAGGUUUGUUCCCAAAAAUAUAGCAAAACCACCUCUGGAUCUACUGUCAUCAGCACAUCCUGUCCAAUCUGCAUUAGAGUAAGCACUAACAAGCAUGGAUGAGGACCGGACAAUCUGAAGUCCAAGUCUUUCUGAAAACUUUAGAUACCUCAAAAUUCUUUUAACUGCAGUCCAACGAGCAGUGGUAGGUGCAUGCAAAUAUUGACAUACUUUAUUCACAGAAUAGGAAAUAUCAGGAUGUGCUCCAUGCAAAUAUUGACCCAUGAUGUGCUCCUACUCCUACUGCAUGACUGCCGCCGCCAGGGCUCCUCUCCUUCGGGCCAACGCCAACUACUACGCCGCCUCGCUUGGGAUCGCCACCUUGCAGCUCGCCGGCCUCAGCCGCGGCCUCACGGCCACCGCCGCCGCCGUCUCCAUCCCCACCAAGAACACCAUCGUCACGCGUAAGUCCCUCCCCUCCCUUUGUUUCUUCCCCUAUGUUAUAUCCAUCGAUUCCUCAACCUAAGUUGCCAGCCAUCCACAUUCCGGUUACAUUGCUCUGUCUUGUGCUGCUCUGCUCUUGUUUUCUUCAGAGUUCAGACUUCAAAAGUUGUGUAUGCGUAUAGGUAGUGGAUGAACAGGAAAUUGGACAGCUUAGAAUGGCCAGGAAGGUUUUGAAUGAUUUGCCAGGAAUGUAGAACCAUUUCAGCAGCUGUCCUAAGUGUGUUGUUAUCAACAUAUACAGUUGUAACAGGAACAGACAUGCUAGAUGUAGAAUAAUAUUAUACUGUAGUAGCCAAGGGGGCCAUAAUCGGAUUGGGUAUGUGGAGAUGGAGGUCUAAUUCAAUUUACACUGAAACUGGGGACUGUCUGAAAUUCUAAUUUAUAGAGUAUUUUCCGUUGCAAGAGAUAUCACAACAUGGCAAUGGUGGCUACAACCUGGUCAGGCUAAACGAAUCGCUUGUGCUUUGACUCUUUUUUACUUGCCUAGCUACAUUUACAUGCGUUUUCUAAUUUUCUUCCCAAAAUAACAUCAGUUGAAUUAAAUGGUUAAGGGUCAUGAAUGAAUGGUCUAGUUCAGGUUGGAUCUGCCCCUUCCUCGAGAAGAAGACGAACCGGGCCAGCAAGGUGUCCUUCUCGAACCACAAGACCAAGAAGCAGUAGUUUGUCAACCUGCAGUACAAGAAGCUGUGGUGGGAGGCCGGCAAGCGCUACGUCAAGCUCAGGCUCCCCACCAAAGCCCUCAAGACCAUCGAGAAGCACGGCCUCGACGCCGUCGCCGUAGACCUCAACAAGAAAUGAUCGAUACAAGUCGGUUUGAGAUCUCCUAGCUAUUUGGAUCCUCUUCUUGAUUUUCUCACAUCAUCCAUUUCAGCGACAAAGAGCAGAUCACUUUAUAAGAGAAUCACAUAUUGUUUCCCCUUGUGUGGUGUGCACCGAUCAGCUCCAGGAGAAAAUCUGGUUUGAUCUGGAUGAUGAGGAGGCUAUACGUUUCUUCCAGGAUCUCAUCAACAAGGGUGUGAGCGCAUUGUUCCCUCAAACGGUCGAGACAAUCCAUAGAUGGGCUCAAGAAUGGCGAUGAACAGGUCCUCCUUAUUUGUUCAUGGUGUGUUUGGUAAUGUUUGUUAAUAUUAUUGUCAUAUAAUAAUGUGCUCUUGCGAUGGCCACUGAGAAGCUCCCUUUUUUUGAUUAAUCUCCAUUUUCACAAAUAACAAUGGAUACCAGGUACAGACAUUUUUUGAGGAACGGUAAGCAGAGACUGUAAAUGGUCAUCUGUACCCGCUUGGAUACUUCUAAGUUAUUUGUGAAUGUGUCUGUAUUAAACGUGGCUUGUGCGUAAUGUAAUCAGAAGAGUAUAUGGUGUACUAGAGGUGGCAGCAAUGUGUUGAUAAGACUGGAAUGGAAAUGCUAAGAACUGUGUGCUGAUGCCUGUUGAAAUGCUAGCAGCAUACUUGUAUUUCAAGUGUGACGUGCCUGAAUCGGUUUGAGACCUGAACCUGGUGUCAUGACAGAGAAGAACGCGGAGAGCAGUCAAAUUAUCGUGCUUACCAAGUCGAAAAAAGCUGCAACAUUUCUCAGCGUGAGAUAAUUAGCACUCACAAGUUGUAAAAAUUGGAUUCGAAAGUUUGUGGCGUGGUAAAUACGUCCAUGAAGCUGAUAUCUUUAUCCUCAUAUUGCUUGUCUGAUGGCUGCAUGCAUCCAUGGAAGAUCAUUUGCACUGCAUUGUGUUGGGAGAGUCGUGAGUUCUGGCACUUUCGACGCGUGUGGGCGACUUCAAAUGUUGUGUGUGUGUGACUGCUGCGUUGUGGGCAUCCACAACCACCUGGCUAGGGAUAGCCAUUUUUUUUCCUGUUUGGUUGAGUAGAAUGUCAAGUGGUUGGAGAUAGCCAUUUGUGUGUUUAGUUCGAGGGCUAAGGGGAGAACAUGUUGUUGUUGUGAUAACCACUUUUCUUGAGGUGGUGAGAUUACUACCAUUUAUUCAGGCAAUUUGAGCAACAAAAAUUCUCGGCUCUGAUUUGGGAAUAUAAACAGCAGCUCGGUUUCAUUGAUCAUCUUCACUGACAGUAAACAAACGGACUUAUAAUGUGGACUACUGGGUCUUAUCUGAACAUAAACUAGCAGAGGUAGUUAAAUUGACUAGUGCCAAAUAUAAUCUCAGAUUUGGGGAAAAACUCAAGGAGAGGGCACAACACGCAUAGCACGGCCGGCCAGAGCAACAGCAAUCAACGCACGACGCACGGCCGGCCGGAGUGCAGGACGCACAUGCAGCAAACCAAACACACUCUGCAUCAUUUUGAUGCAGGCACCCAGUGUUCUUGAUUUACAUGAUAAUAACAACACUUGUAACAGGAAGGAAGGAACACAUCUUCCUGGGGUACGCUUAAUGUAACCGGUUUUCUACAUCAAUUUCGGUUGCUUUGGCUCUUACACACUUGCAUAGCUGCAUUUACGUGCAUUUUGUUCCCAGAGAAUGUCAGUUGAGUUUGCCAAGUGUUAAGCUCAUCAAAGUUCAGUUUCGACAGUAUCUUCAGUACUUUAAGUUGGUUCAAUUUCGUCCACUGUUUUAAAUAGCCCGCUAUAGCUCCGCUAUAGCACGCUAUAGCGUUUACAAAAGGUCUUACGCUAAGAGACUUUGGUCCAAACUAAUGAGCAAACAUUUUAAAUAGCGCGCUAUAGCUCCGCUAUAGCACGCUAUAGCAUUUGAAAAUGGUCCGUCGCUAAAAUGCUUAGCGCGGUAUUUAAAACUAUGGUUUCUCAGUUAACUCUGGCAGUGUCGUUUCUUCAGCAGAUAACUUUGCAGCUGUGGUCCGCGCCAGAGCGAGUCUUCCGUUUCCUUGCAUGUAGGCAGGAAGCGUGCAAGUUCACGUUGCGGUGUAGGUCUUUUCUUUCGUUUAUAGGGUCUUGUUGUACGACAAUACCAUCCAUUUUUCACGCCCCUUUCGUUGACAGAUCUUCAUCAAGUAACUUGUUGCAGAGGUUGUUAUAUACUCUGGAUGCCUUAGCAUAAUCAUCCACGAGGCUACUGAAUUCAUUUAAUCAACGAAAGUCUUGUCGGCAUUACCUACUUCAUUCAUGUGAAAGGAUUGGAUGUUUUAGGACACCGAUAUCCACCACACGUGUAGCAUAAUAGGCAUUUGCCCACACACCGUGUGUGGCAUGAGCAAGGGGCAGUCCACACGGGUUGUGUGUGGGUGAACAGUACAAUUGCUCACACGUGUGCGCACAGCUACUUCGUGCCACACGCCCAACAAGUACUACUCAUCCCCAUCCCGCGCGUAUGGUACGAAGCAAAUAUGCCCACACGUCCUGGCGCAGCUACAAUAGGUACCUGCGGGAUGACAAUUUAGUUGCCAUCCGGGAUGGCAGAUGUAGUUAUCCGGGAUGGCAAAUAUGGUUGUAAAAGCAUGGCAACUCUCUCUGUUUUGGUUAACUAUAGUUGCCAUGUCUAAUUUAUGGUAGUUGCCGCGUGUAAUUAAACCAUAGUUGUCGUGUGUGAUUAACUACUUGCCACAUAUAGUCAAACAAUAGUUACUAUUUGUGUUUACCUAGUUGCCACGUGUGGUUAAUCAUAGUUGCCAUGUAUGUUUACCUGAUUGACACGUACGCGCAACUGCAGUUGCUGUCUAGCAAACAAAUCAUAGUUGCCAUGUGUGUUUACCUAAUUGGCAUGCACGCGCAACUGCAGUUGCCAUCCAACAACGUCGUGUCGGCGAAAAGCAGUUCGCCCACACGCGCGUGGACUAGGUGGCGGCUGUGUGGGCAGAUACUAGUUCGCCCACACAGCGCAGCUGGCAACCGCGUUGUUGUGGGGCGUGUGGGCGACCUCUCCAACGCCCACACACCAGCCUUGUCCUACGUGGCACGCGAAAACUGCCUCGGUGUGUCAAGAUUCGUGCAAACUUAACUGGACGGUGAUCCAGGCGUGUGGGCGAGUUGCAAUGUUGCCACACGUGUGGGCGUUAGUGUUUUCCGAUGUUUUAAGGGAGUAAAGUUACACUUACCAUAUGAAGUGAACUUUAGCAUCUUUUUUUUUAUUGUAAAACCUCAAUACAGGAAGGCUGGGUGCUAUGCAGGGUGUUCCACAAGAGCAGAACAACGUGCUCCCCAAAGGCCACCAUCUGAAGAAGCCUGCACAUUCUCCAGUGAGCUGGACCUUCUGGCUGUGCCACCGCUCAAGCCCCUCAUCGUUGCCUACAUCGCCUCAAUGGAUCAGUGAUUUUCUGGGACAUGCUGGGCUGGGACAACACAGAUGAAAGCCAUCAGGACAGCUCUGAGCAAUUCAAGGCUGGAGUUGCCUCCAAACACUGAAUCUUGCUAUCAGAUUACUGUGCUGCUAGUGCUAGUGACUGAAGUGUGGUGGUGACUAGUAAUUAGACGACAUAUUAUUUGUAAUGAUCUUGGAGUGGUAUUGGACCAUUGGCUGAUGCAGUGUAUUUUCUUAGGAUUUGAUAAAGUUAGCUCUGAUGCAGUAGGAUUAGUGAAAUGGCUUGGUAUAGCAUUUGUGCACAGGAUAGCUGAAAAACGGGAACACUUAGACCAUGUGUGCAAAAUACUAGAGAGCUGACUUUGGUUUCUCGACAAAGGCCCUCGAAAUGGAGUACUGCUCACAGCAACCCCAAGCCAGCACCUUGCAGAAACACAAGCAGAAAACAAUCUAGACGCAGAAAUAUCUACCACACAGUACAUUUGUAGUAUUACUUACUGAUAGGCAAAAGUAGACCAACAUCAAACUCCUUCACACUGAAUACUGAAUACUAAUGACAGAUGAAAUUAAACAGUAUGGCCACCAGGGUUGCAGAAAUCACACUGAGUACGUAGUACUGAGCACUGAGCACUCGCAAAUCACAGCAACGCAUUUCAUUUGAUGGUGUAGUCAACAUGCAUCCUCAGAAACACAAGAGAAUAUUUGUAUUAUUGUUAUACACCAACAGAGACAGCCUGGUCAACUGACAUAAAGCAUUACAACCAGGAAGAAAGUCAAGCAUCAUAACAUCAUCAACAAACAAAGUAAUGAUUCGGGAAAUAACUUAGACAGAUAUAUUAAUCUCGUGCUCGACGGAUCUGCCUUCACCACCAUGGUCGCCAUCUUCUUCUUCUUCUUCUUCUUCUUCCUUGGUUUCGGGAGGCUCCGGCUUCUGAUACCUGUCGGCGGAUGUCUCCAUCCCCAUGAAUGACAAGAGACACCAGACAUCAGAGAGCAGCUCUAGGCCUUCACUCAUGUUCUUCGCAUGCAAGUACCCCCUGCACCUACCGGCAGAGUAGCAUAGCAUCUCAACCCAUACCCCCUGGACCACCUCCCACCUCUCCCCUUCAUCCUGCAGCUCCAUCAACGCUUCAGCAAGCCUGCAUGCAUUGGGAACCAAAGCUCCUAUCUUGCUGGCCUGUAACGAGGGAGGCUGUUGCGCCCUUUGAAGAAUUCCCUGUGCAAGUCCACUUACGUCCGGUGCUAACACGCCACCCAUCAUGAGCUCGACAUCAUCACAGGCAACGGUGAAGAUACCGUUCCUGGUUCCGAGCAUCAGCAUCUCAGGACGGAUGGAGAGCAGGUAAGCCAUGUGGUUGGAUAUCACUCUGCUUUGAGCGGCAUGCUUUUGGCCGUGAGGUGUUGUGUUUUGGUGGUGAAAGCAGAGGUCUGUGGCGAUGUCAUCUUCAAGCUCCACCCCAGCCGUUUGUCGCGACCCAGACUAUGCUUGUUCAGUGUCCAUUGGCCUCUGUGGCUGUUGAACCUCCUGUAGCUGGCAGCGUCGUGGAUGUAUCCUGUCCACCCAUUCCUCACAUAUCCAAGAACCAAAUUUGUAAUUGGGAUUGAGGAUACUGGUGCGUGUUGUAUAUAACAAUGCAUGUUAACAUAGUCCUUGCAGCAGACAACCGUGGCAAGCUUCAUCAAAAUAGUGGGCCUCUUCUUACGAGCACAGAACGAAAAGAAGCUAUAUUGGGGAACCUUGAUAUAUCCAAAGGCUCCGAUCCAAGGACCAAGCAAGAGCAAUAGGAAAUCCAGCAACAUGCAUGGUACAAAAGAACAAGAUGUAAGUUAUCUUGACAUCUGUUGCGUUGUAGUCAUGAUAUUUGUGGCUUGUGGAGAAGAGGAUGGCAGAAGCUAAGGUCAGGAAUGGAAGCAAGAGAUGCAAACAGAAGCCAAGGCCACUGAGUAUCAUCGUCAGUUUUGUGUAGAGGAACCCAAAUGACCAAGCGAGUACGCGGUUCAACAACCUAUGUGCAUGUUGGUAAUCAAGGGCCAUUAAAAGCCGUAGGAUUUUAAUCCGACUAGAGUACGGAGUUGAUAUGUCUACCAGUAGCCUGUAGACAUAAUUUUCCUUAGAGUCAUCAGCUAGUUUUCCCGCUUUCUCUUGAUCACUUGCUAACUCUGACAGCAUCACGCACCUGCUUGCUUGUUGUAUAAAUUCUUCAAGCGGAAUGUCCUUCUCUUCGACUGCUUCUUCUUGUCUUCCACUUUUGGAAAACUCAUAUCCAAGACGGGAAAUGCAGUCUCCGCACCAACGUGCAACCAGACCUUGUUCGCGCGUGGAUGGGGAGGAAGAGGCGACCAUGCCACUGAUACUGGCGUUCUUCAGAGCCCAUGGCUUCUGGAUGGACCUGAUAAUCCCAACGACGAACAGCAAGAUUGCAGCCUGCAGUAACCUCUUCUCCCCGGACCACGACGUGCAGAACACGUAGAGGGCGACCGUGACCUGGGACACUGCGGUUAUGGCAUGCCGAGUCCACAGCUCGUUGUCUUCGAUGUUGUAGGCGGUCAUCGCGUGCUGGCCCCUGAGGUGGAUGAGGAGGACAGGCGUCCACAGGACCUGCAGGCCGCUCCCAUUGGCGGGCAGCUGCUUGUGGCGGUUGAAGAGGGUGGCCAGGGCGUAUAUGGCCAGAGCAUCCCCGCCUAGGUAGGCAAGCCACAUAAACAGUCUGAGCCAAGAUGGAAGAGCACACCUGCGCACCAGGGAGGAGAAGAAGAGGAAGUACUGGAUGAAGAGGCUGCCCAGCACCAGAAUGCGCAGCUGCCACUCAUCCCACCAUUGCACAGCGCCAGAGAAACUCAUACUUUGUGUGUGUGUGUGUCUCUCUCUUGGUCUUGUGUAUAAUUUGCAGCAACAGAUGUAGCCUUCCUCUUCUUCUUUCAACUCCAAUGGAUUGAUAGGUAGCCAAGAGAGAUGCAUGCCCUCGAAACCAAGAUGGAAAGGAAAAGAAAAGGGUGUUGUUGCGUGCCUUGCGUGGUGGUGAUAUCUAGUAGUUAACGUGCUCAUCGUGAUGUCGGUACAUCUUCUUUCCUUUACUUUUUCCGCUUACACGUAUCCCUUGCUUGUUGGUGGUGAUCACUCACUGAUACUAUAUUAAUAACCAAAUCCUUUUAAGGAUUCUUUCAUGCGGGGAAGACAGCGCCUAUUGUAUAUUUUAUUUGCGGGGAAGACAUAGUGUCCUGAUGUUGAUAGCCUUCUAGUACUUUGUUUUUCUAAUCUAGACAAGAUGUCACAUCUAAUUUGUUUUUUCUUUGUUUGUUGUUUUUCUUUUUUGGUUGACCUGAAGACUACCGGUGUCUGCUUUAUUCGAUGAGUUUCAAAUUUUCCUAUUUAUAUAUCCAUGGGAUAACUUUUUCUUCAUACUUUUACCUUUUAACCCAUAGAGUACGUGGAUAAUGGGUACCCAUUGCUAUCCCUAAUCACGCAGAAGGUAGGUGCUGGCCCAUGAACCCACGACCCCAUCCAUGACUGUGUACGUGUGUUAAAAAAUAGGAUUUGCUUACUCGUGUGCACGUGUGUUGCGUGCACUAGAUUGUGUCCUCCUUAAAAAAAUUUAGAGUAUAUUGGGUAAAGAAAGCUACUAUUUUUUAUGUAACUUUGUUAUGAACGGUUAUCUGUCUACUGCCAGUUUUAUUUAAAACGUGAAUACUUUCAGAUCUAUACGAAAAAAUGUACAUCGUGUAUGAAAAUUAAAAAGAAGUCGUCAAAAUAUGUACUUCAAAAUUAUAAUCUUUGUAUUUAAAAAAAUGUUAACCUGCAUAAAAAAUUGUAAAAAUUGAUGGUAUUAAAGGGUUCUACAAAAUUAUGGAUAACAAAUGUUCAUGAAAUUAAAAUUGGGCAUGAAUUUGGAAAAAUAUUCAUAAAAUGAGAAUGGUGUUUUUAAUUUGAUAAAAGUUCAUGAAUUUUUAAAUCACAAAUUUGAAGAAAAUCGCUAGUUUACAAAAAUGUCACAAUUUUAAGAACUGUGGCUUUUGGUAAGGGGGAGGGGGCGGGGAGGUAGAUAUUUUCACGGAAGCCGAAAAUUUGGAAUCGCUUCAGCCAAAAAACUGGCGCGCAAAGUGUGAUUAGACACGGUCCCUUAUUCAGAACUGUGUAUGAUAUGUGGACAUCACAAACGAUUCAGAUAGCUUUUACCCGUGCGUGAUGAGUUUGAACGUCACAAGUUUUGGUUCGAAUUUCCAUGGUUAUAGUGGUCAUCCACGUCAUUGCAUAAUUUGGGUACACAAAGGAGACUAAAACACACUCACACUUCUUAAUCGAGCAAGUUCAGCAAUCAAACAGAGCAAGCUGACCUAAACACUACUCUAACAAAUUAAAGACCGGCGCUCUUAAUUAAACAAAACAAAGAGUACUACUACGGCUAGUGCUCGUCGAUCUCCGCCGCCGCCUCCCCAUGUCCAGCUCGCGCCAGACGGUCUCCUGGGGAAGGGGCUCCAUGGCAUCCAUCGCACCAUACUUGGCAAGCAUCUCGCCAUCCGCGUCCGCCAUCUCCUUGGAAAAGGCCGCCACGAGCUGGGCGUGGGCGGACGCAAUCUGGGCUUGGACAGGCUCCGUCGUCGCAAGGUAUGCGGCAGAGGAACGGACGGCUGCUCGAACGCUCUCGGCGAUUGCCAGCUCUUCGGCUGUGGGUUGCCGACCGUUGUCGGAGAAGCUUCGUUCGAUUUGUGGGGUGACCGCCAAGAGCUGGGUGUGGGCGGCCUCAACAUGGUCGUGGCCGGACUCGAUCAGGGCUAUGGCUGCUGCCGCGGAACGGACAGCUGCUGUGCCGCUCUCACCAGUUGCUAUCCCCAAGGCAGAUGUUGCUGCCGCCACCUGAGAAGCAACAGCGGCCGUUUGGGCUGCCUUUGCCGCCCGGUCGCAGAUUGCGGCCACGCUCAUGCACCUCGUUAGCACGUGCAUGGCGGCUGUGGCCGCGCUCUCGCCGGAGUGGGCCACCGAAGUUGCCCUCACGACGUGGGUCCACGUGCCCAUCUUUCAUUGGUGACGAUUGAACAGUGAAAUGAUAUUUGGGGAGCGAGCUGGUGUGCUUGAGACGCCGGUUGUGGACUGUAGCCGACGUACCUUCUCGCGUAAGCCAUAGGCGUACUAUACACCAAUGGUGCUCCAGGAUAUUUUGUGCUGCAUCUCACACGGUUGGUGAUAAUAAACUGUGUGCGAUCUACUUGAUUUUUCAUCUUGAUUUGAAUUACAUAAUGGGGUCACAGCGGCAAUGGACGGUGUGUGAAUUGCUAGACCUUUUAUCUGGAGUGAACAUGCGACUAUAUGUGUGUCGUAAAAUAAUUGGAAUUAUUCAGGGUUCGUUUGAACAUUUUAUACAUUAAAUUGGUUUUCUAGCCAUUUCAGCUGCACAACUCAAAAUUAAACUACAUACACAUGCUCCAGUGCACCAACAUGGGUUGUAAAAUCAUAUAUGUGUCCAUGGGUUUAUGCUUAUCUCCCAUGCAAGAAAUGGGGAUGAAAUUCGAACAUCACGGCACCGUGGCUCUCCGGCAAAUGUCGACGUACUUGCUUUUGUAAUUCUAGUAAAUCCAAAAUUCGUCUGAAAUUCAUGAAACUUGGCAUGCUAUCAUGGAGCAGCAUCAACAUGUCGUGGUAGAAAUUAUGUCCCAUUUGGGGCAGGUUUGGGUAUAAGCUUCUCAUAAAUCAGAGCUUCUCACAACAAGUGUGAUGGUUUCGGUAGGGAACGUUUCACCUUUUUGGACGAAACGAUAUCCGUUGCCUCUUCCCGAUUUCAAUUUUUUUCCUAGUGUCAACAUAGAACAACAGGAGUGUUGUGUCAAUUUUUGAGAUUUUUCGGGUUUCACUUGGACAUUUUUAUACAUUAAGAGAGUUUUCUAUGCAUUCAUGUGCAUAAUUCAAAUUUGAACUAUGGGCACAUGCUCUAAUGCAUAUAAAUUAGUUGAAAAUUCAGAUCCAUGUCCUUGGUUGCCUGCUUAGGUCCCAUGCAAGAAAUGGGAAUGAAUGUCAAACACCCUACCACCGUCACUCGGUAGUAAACAUUGAGAUACCUACUUUUUAAAUUCUAGUAAAUCCAAAACUCGUCUGAAAUUCAUGAAACUUGGUAUGCUAUCAUGGUGCGGCAUCAACAUGCCGUGGUAAAAUUUUUGUCCCAUUUGGGGCAGGUUUGGGUAUAUGCUUCUCACAAACUAGAGCUUCUCACAACAAGCACGGUGGUUUCAGUAGGGAACGUCCCACCUUUGGGGACGAAACGAUACCUAUUGCCUCUUAUUGCUUCCAAAAAAUUACUCGUGUCAACAUAGAACAACAGGAGUGUUGUGUCAAUUUUUGUGAUUUUUCUGGGUUGGUUUGGACAUUUUUAUGCAUUAACUGAGUUUUCAAUGCAUUUAUGUGCAUAAUUCAAAUUUGAACUACAUGCACAUGCUCCAGUGCAUAUAAAUUGGUUGAAAAAUCAAAUCCGUGUCCUUGGGUGCAUGCUUAGGUCCCAUUCAAGAAAUGGGAAUGAAUUUCAAACACCAGGGCACCGUUCUUUGCGGCAAAACAUUGAGAUGCCUCAUUUUUAAAUUCUAGUAAAUCCAAAACUCAUCUCAAAUUCAUGAAACUUGGCAUGCUAUCAUGGAGCGGCAUCAACAUGCCGUGGUAAAUUUUUUGUCCCAUUUGGGGCAGGUUUGGUAUAUGCUUCUCACAAACCAGAGCUUUUCACAACAAGCAUGACGGUUUCGGUAGGGAACGUCCCACCUUUGGGGACGAAACGAUAUCCAUUGCCUCUUAUUGCUUUCAAUUUUUUUUGUGUCAACAUCGAACAACAGGAGUUUUGUGUCAAUUUUUGUGAUUUUUCGGGGUUGGUUUGGACAUUUUUAUGCAUUAACUGAGUUUUCAAUGCAUUUAUGUGCAUAAUUCAAAUUUGAACUACAUGCCGUCUGCCAAGGCAGACGGCAAAGGCAUGGAAGGCGGACGGCAAAGGCCUUUGCCAUCUGCCGCGGACGGCAAAAGGCGCCGGCAAAGAAAGGAUCGGCAAAGCCUUCUUUGCCGUCUGCUUCCUGAUGCGGACGGCAAAGGAGCCUUUGCCAUCAGCUGCGGACGCCAAAGAAAGCCGACGGCAAUAAAUUCGCUGUUAGUCCGUUAGGUGGCUAACGGCAGUCUUUGCCGUCCGUGGCUGACGGCAAAGAGCAUCAAGCCUUUGCCAUCUGCCACUGUAGGCAAACUGACCAAAUGGGUCAGUUGCCAGGAAGCACAGGUGGUAACCCCGUGGCUUCUUUGCCGUCCGCCGCGGACGGCAAAGAGCCCGUUGCCGUCGGUGGCAGACGGCAAAGAGCUUGCAUUGCAUCUUUUUUUCUGUUUUUUCUUAUACCCAACCAUUUUCACAGCAAAUAGAUGAUACAUAUAUAUUUUUCACAUGGCAAGUUCACAACAAACAUAUGAGAUAUCCAACGCAUAUAAUUUCAUCAUACAUGCAUAGUUCCAUCAACCAUAAUUAGCAAGUUCCACAUACAUGCAUCCAACCAUACAUAUUACAAUAUUGUCAUCCUACCAUACAUGCAUAGUUCAUCAAUACAAAAGAAACAUAGUUCAUCCAAACAAGCACUCCAUCUAUGCAAGCUUCCGUGAAGCGAAUGGAUUCUGCAAAAUGGGAAAUAAGAAAGUUAGAAGAAGAAGAUUAGAAGAAGAAGAAGAAGAAGAAAAUGAAGAAGAAGAAGAAUAUAUGACAUUUAUGAGCUAAUUUAGGUGAAAUUGAUCGUUUGUGAGCUAACUUAGGUGAAAUGGAUCGUUUAUGAGCUGACCUAGGUGAAAUGGAUCGCUUAUGAGCUAACUUAGGUAAAAUGCAUCAUUUCAGAGCUAACCUAGGUAAGAUGGAUCAUUUUGGAGCUAACCUAGGUAAAAUGGGUCAUUUUAGAGCUAGCUAGGGUAAAAUGGAUCAUUUAUGAGCUAAGCAAGGUAAAAUGGGUCAUUUUAGAGCUAAUUUAGGUAAAAUGGAUCGUUUAUGAGCUAACUAAGGUAAAAUGGAUCAUUUUAGAACUUACGUAAAAUGGAUUGUUUAUGAGCUAACUAAGCUAAUUAUGCCAUUUUUGACAUAAGUAAGCUAAGUACAUGUCAUUAUUGAGCAAACCUAGUUAACUAAGCAUAUUAGAGCUAACUUUGGUCAUUUUGGAGGAAACAAAGCUAAGUAUAGAUCGUUUUAGAGCUAACUUAGGUAAAAUGGAUGGUUUUGGAGGUCAGUAAGCUUAUUAAGUCAUUUUGGAGGAAAUAAAGCUAAGUCUAGGUCUUUAUGCAUUUGUUAAGCAAAACACUAGAGAAACUUACCGUGAUAAUGGAGGUGUGGGAGCGGGCUGGCUCGUGCCGGUAGUUGGAGAAGGAUCGUGCGAUGCUUGUCUGGAGUUACGCUGCACCAAAGAUCAUUUCCAAUGUCUCGUUAGCAUGAUGACACUCAAAUGUUAAGACUAGCAAGUAGUGUCCAUUCAAAUUAAACUCACCGUCGUCCCAGGAGCAAUCUCUGGCAUUGGCGGAGUGGUCUGAUCGGACUUCUCGCACACAGACUGCACAUUUGGUUUUGACGACUCAGUCAUACUAGUUAGUAAUGAGACAAACACUACAUGAAUGUUUUGGCUAAUCAGCAUAAGAAACUUACCACAAGGAGCUCAUACAUUACCCUUGCCUGCAUGCCAUUCCGUGCCCUCUCCUCCUCCAACAUCUUUGUCGUCCUCUCCUCCAACUCCCGCUGCCUCUCCGCCGCCUCCGACAGAAGUUUCUCCGUUCUAUCUCUCUCACUCUGUAUAGCAGCCUGCAACACCACUCCUCGUUAGCAUUUGUAAUCAUUGAUGGAAGCGCACACAAUGUAAUGGAGAAAGAUAUCUGAGUACGUAUAACUAACCUUAAAGGCGAGUUGGACUGGCCGUUCACGAGGCCUUAUCUCAGGAGCGGAUCUCGACUAGCGCGCCAUGAUCUCCGGGAGAGUGCCAGGACAACGGAUAAGCCUUUUCUUCUUCUCUUCUUCUCCUCCUCCUCUUCUUUCUUCUUCUUCUUCUUCUUCUUCUUCUUCUUCUUCUUCUUCUUCUUCUUCUUCUUCUUCUUCUUCUUCUUCAUAUUCUAGCACUAAAACUAAACUGAAUCUCACACUAAAUCUAACAGUAAGACAUAUCUAGCACUAAAUCCAACACUAAGAAUUAAACAGCAAAAAUAGAAAAAACAGAAAAAANNNNNNNNNNNNNNNNNNNNNNNNNNNNNNNNNNNNNNNNNNNNNNNNNNNNNNNNNNNNNNNNNNNNNNNNNNNNNNNNNNNNNNNNNNNNNNNNNNNNNNNNNNNNNNNNNNNNNNNNNNNNNNNNNNNNNNNNNNNNNNNNNNNNNNNNNNNNNNNNNNNNNNNNNNNNNNNNNNNNNNNNNNNNNNNNNNNNNNNNNNNNNNNNNNNNNNNNNNNNNNNNNNNNNNNNNNNNNNNNNNNNNNNNNNNNNNNNNNNNNNNNNNNNNNNNNNNNNNNNNNNNNNNNNNNNNNNNNNNNNNNNNNNNNNNNNNNNNNNNNNNNNNNNNNNNNNNNNNNNNNNNNNNNNNNNNNNNNNNNNNNNNNNNNNNNNNGGGGCAAGCGGCGGCAUGUGGUGGGGGCGGCGGUGGGUGGCGGGGGCGGCGGCGGGCGGCGGGGGCUGCUCUGGUCAUCGGGGAGGAGAGAGGGAGAGAAACAGAGAGAGGAAGGGGCGGGGUGGGGCUCGGCCGUUAGUUAGGUUACUUCUUUGCCGUCCGCUUUGUUUUCUCUUUGCCGUCUGCUAGCAGACGGCAAAGAGGGGGGUUAUUGAGUUUUUUCCAGUUAGCUCGUUAGUGGGGGCCAGCUUACUCUUUGCCGUCAGCCAGCGGACGGCAAAGAACAGGCUGAUGGCAAAGACAUUCUUUGCCAUCAACCUCUUCUUUGCCGUCCGUUUUCUGUAAGCGGACGGCAAAGAACUGGCAGACGGCAAAUAAGCUAAUUCCAGUAGUGACAUGCUCAAGUGCAUAUAAAUUGGUUGAAAAAUCAAAUCCGUGUCCUUGGGUGCAUACUUAGGUCCCAUUCAAGAAAUAGGAAUGAAUUUCAAACACCAGGACACCGUUGAUUGCGGCAAAACAUUGAGAUGCCUGGUUUUUAAAUUCUAGUAAAUCCAAAACUCGUCUGAAAUUCAUGAAACUUGGCAUGCUAUCAUGGAGCGGCAUCAACAUGUUGUGGUAAAAUUUUUGUCCCAUUUGGGGCAGGUUUGGGUAUAUGCUUCUCACAAACCAGAGCUUCUCACAACAAGCAUGAUGGUUUCGGUAGGGAACGUCCCACCUUUGGGAUGAAACGAUAUCCAUUGCCUCUUAUUGCUUUCAAAUUUUUUCUCGUGUCAACACAGAACAACAGGAGUGUUGUGUCAAUUGUUGUGAUUUUUCGGGGUUGGUUUGGACAUUUUUAUGCAUUAACUGAGUUUUCAAUGCAUUCAUGUGCAUAAUUCAAAUUUGAACUACAUGCACAUGCUCCGGUGCAUAUUAAUUGGUUGAAAAAUCAAAUCCGUGUCCUUGGGUGCAUGCUUAGGUCACAUGCAAGAAAUGGGAAUGAAUGUCAAACACCCUACCACCGUCACUCGGCCGUAAACAUUGAGAUACCUACUUUUUAAAUUCUAGUAAAUGCAAAACUCAUCUGAAAUUCAUGAAACUUAGCAUGCUAUCAUGGAGCGGCAUCAACAUGCCGUGGUAAAAUUUUUGUCCCAUUUGGGGCAGGUUUGGGUAUAUGCUUCUCACAAACCAGAGCUUCUCACAACAAGCAUGGUGGUUUCGGUAGGGAACGUCCCACCUUUGGGGACGAAACAAUACCCAUUGCCUCUUAUUGCUUCCAAAAAAUUUCUCGUGUCAACAUAGAACAACAGGAGUGUUGUGUCAAUUUUUGUGAUUUUUCGGGGUUGGUUUGGACAUUUUUAUGCAUUAACUGAGUUUUCAAUGCAUUUACGUGCAUAAUUCAAAUUUGAACUACAUGCACAUGCUCCAGUGCAUAUAAAUUGGUUGAAAAAUGAAAUCCGUGUCAUUGGGCGCAUUCUUAGGUCCCAUUCAAGAAAUGGGAAUGAAUUUCAAACACUAGGGCACCAUUGUUUGCGGCAAAACAUUGAGAUGCCUCAUUUUUAAAUUCUAGUAACUCCAAAACUCAUCUCAAAUUCAUGAAACUUGGCAUGCUAUCAUGGAGCAGCAUCAACAUGGCAUGGUAAAUUUUUUGUCCCAUUGGGGGCAGGUUUGGGUAUAUGCUUCUCACAAACCAGAGCUUCUCACAACAAGCAUGAUGGUUUCGGUAGGGAACGUCCCACCUUUGGGACAAAAAAAUAUCCAUUGCCUCUUAUUGCUUUCAAAUUUUUUCUCGUGCCAACACAGAACAACAGGAGUGUUGUGUCAAUUUUUGUGAUUUUUCGGGGUUCGUUUUGACAUUUUUAUGCAUUAACUGAGUUUUCAAUGCAUUCAUGUGCAUUAUUCAAAUUUUAACUACAUGCACAUGCUCCAGUGCAUAUUAAUUGGUUGAAAAAUCAAAACCGUGUCCUUGGGUGCAUGCUUAGGUCACAUGCAAGAAAUGGGAAUGAAUGUCAAACACCCUACCACCGUCACUCGGCUGUAAAACAUUGAGAUACCUACUUUUUAAAUUCUAGUAAAUGCAAAACUCGUCUGAAAUUCAUGAAACUUGGCAUGCUAUCAUGGAGCGGCAUCAACAUGUCGUGGUAAAAUGUUUGUCCCAUUUGGGGCAGGUUUGGGUAUAUGCUUCUCACAAACCAGAGCUUCUCACAACAAGCAUGGUGGUUUCGGUAGGGAACGUCCCACCUUUGGGGACGAAACAAUACCCAUUGCCUCUUAUUGCUUCCAAAAAAUUUCUCGUGUCAACAUAGAACAACAGGAGUGCUGUGUCAAUUUUUGUGAUUUUUCGGGGUUGGUUUGGACAUUUUUAUGCAUUAACUGAGUUUUCAAUGCAUUUACGUGCAUAAUUCAAAUUUGAAAUACAUGCACAUGCUCCAGUGCAUAUAAAUUGGUUGAAAAAUGAAAUCCGUGUCAUUGGGUGCAUGCUUAGGUCCCAUUCAAGAAAUGGAAAGAAUUUCAAACACCAGGGCACCGUUGUUUGUGGCAAAACAUUGAGAUGCCUCAAUUUUAAAUUCUAGUAAAUCCAAAACUCAUCUCAAAUUCAUGAAACUUGGCAUGCUAUCAUGUAGCGGCAUCAACAUGCCCUGGUAAAGUUUUUGUCCCAUUUGGGGCAGGUUAGGGUAUAUGCUUCUCACAAACCAGAGCUUCUCACAACAAGCAUGAUGGUUUCGGUAGGGAACGUCCCACCUUUGGGGACGAAACGAUAUCCAUUGCCUCUUAUUGCUUUCAAUUUUUUUGUCAACAUCGAACAACAGGAGUGUUGUGUCAAUUUUUGUGAUUUUUCGGGGUUGGUUGGGAAGUUUUUAUGCAGUAACUGAGGUUUCAAUGCAUUUAUGUGCAUAAUUCAAAUUUUAACUACAUGCACAUGCUCAAGUGCAUAUAAAUUGGUUGAAAAAUCAAAUCCGUGUCCUUGGGUGCAUGCUUAGGUCCCAUUCAAGAAAUGGGAAUGAAUUUCAAACACCAGGGCACCGUUGAUUGCGGCAAAACAUUGAGAUGCCUGGUUUUUAAAUUCUAGUAAUCCAAAACUCGUGUGAUUUCAUGAAACUUGGAAUGCUAUCAUGGAGCGGCAUCAACAUGCCGUGGUAAAAUUUCUGUCCAUUUGGGGCAGGUUUGGGUAUAUGCUUCUCACAAACCAGAGCUUCUCACAACAAGCAUGAUGGUUUCGGUAGGGAACGUCCCACCUUUGCGACGAAACGAUAUCCAUUGCCUCUUAUUGAUUUCAAAUUUUUUCUCGUGUCAACACAGAACAACAGGAGUGUUGUGUCAAUUUUUGUGAUUUUUCGGGGUUCGUUUGGACAUUUUUAUGCAUUAACUGAGUUUUCCAUGCAUUUAUAUGCAUAAUUCAUAUUUGAACUACAUGCACAUGCUCCAGUGCAUAUUAAUUGCUUGAAAAAUCAAAUCUGUGUCCUUGGGUGCAUGCUUAGGUCACAUGCAAGAAAUGGGAAUGAAUUUCAAACACCAGGGCACCGUUGAUUGCUGCAAAAUAUUGAGAUGCCUGGUUUUAAAUUCUAGUAAAUCCAAAACUCGUCUAAAAUUCAUGAAACUUGGCGUGCUAUCAUGGAGCGGCAUCAACAUGCCAUGGUAAAAUUUUUGUCCCAUUUGGGGCAUGUUUGGGUAUAUGCUUCUCGCAAACCAGAGCUUCUCACAACAAGCAUGAUGGUUUCGGUAGGGAACGUCCCACCAUUGAGGACGAAACGAUAUCCAUUGCCUGUUAUUGCUUUCAAUUUUUUUUCUGGUGUCAACAUAAAACGACCGGAGUGUUGUGUCAGUUUUUGUGAUUUUUUGAUGUUCGUUUAGACAUUUUUAUGCUUUAACUAAGUAUCCAAUGCAUUUAUGUGCAUAAUUCAAAUUUGAACUACAUGCACUUGCUCCGGUGCAUAUAAAUUGGUUGAAAAUCAAAUAUGUGUCCUUCGGUGGAUGCUUAGGUCACAUGCAAGAAAUGGGAAUGAAUUUAAAACACCAGGGCACCGUUGAUUGCCAGCAAAACAUUGAGAUGCCUGGUUUUUAAAUUCUAGUAAAUCCAAAACUCGUCUGAAAUUCAUGAAACCUGGCAUGCUAUCAUGGGAUGGCACCCGACAUGCUGUGGUAUUUUUCGUGUCCAUUUUGAGAGAAGGCGCACUCGAAUAAUGACAACCAACAAAGGCAUUUUGAAAAAAUAUCUGCCACUUUAAUAUCUCAAAUGUUUAUAUAAUUCAAACCGUGUGCGUUCUGUUAAGCAUUCACGUGACGCCAUGUGUCUUGAUUUUAAUGGCUGUAGGAGGUGCCGUGCGGACAACUGCUUGACCUUAACUGAACGGGAGCCGUGCGAGCGCCGUCUGGUGCGCAGGCUGACCGAGAGGCAUGCAAGCUAUCCUCGAAUGUGCAGGGUCAUCGGGAAGCGUGCAAGCUGUACGCUGCGCAGGCUCACUGGGGAGCGAGCCCUUUGAGUUCCAUGGCCGCCUGCCUUGCUCGCAUCCUCUCCAUUAAUGGCGCCCAAGCUGUAGUUUAAUUCGGAUUUUAAAUAUAAAACACUCGUCGCAAACAUUUUAAUUAGAACACCCAUACGCAACCGACAACUUCCCCAGGAAGCCAAAAGAAAAUGUGCCGAGCAGGAUUUCUGCAGCUCUUGCUCGCAAACGUUUUAGUUAGAACACCCGUAUUCAAAGUGAGAGCAACGCAGGAUUUGUGCAUCCCUUCAACGCAAACGGUUGUUUUGGACAAUCCGUGUGCGACCACGUACAAACAAUUUGGUAAGAUUUGUCAAUCCUUGUAACACUGUGAUUUGUCAAAAUAUGAAGCUAAAAAUCACUAGCAGUAUCUAAUUUUUGCAACUAAAAUUCAGUAAUUAAGCAUAGAUUUCAUUAAUAGAUUAAGCAGUCGUUCUUCAUUUAUACAAACAGUUCAACUCGACAGCUGCACCGACUAAACUUUUCCCCAAUUGUUGCCGACCACGUACUGAAAUAGCUAGUUCAACUAUAUAUACUAGCUAAUUUUAAGUGCGGUGUACAGUUCCACCACAUCUAUAGUCAGAUGAACUAAACAAAAUAGCCCCUAAAUACUACUACUACUACUAUUGCGGAGGGGCUUUGUACUAGUUCCGGCUGCCUCUCCUCUGCCGAGCGCGCUCAGUAAGACGCGGAGGAGGAGGAGCCUACCGACGAGGUGGGCAACCACAAUACGGUGCCUGCCGCUGUUGCAGCUUCAGCGACGCUCACCUCGAACGCCCUCUGCCGCUGCAGACGACCCCUCUCGAAGCGGUGGUUCUCCUCGUACAUCUCCUGAUUCCUCGCCUCUGAGGCGACGUGUGCCGCGGCCACGGCGGUGGUAAGGCUCUUUGCGUGCUCGACGAUGCGCUCCUCCUCCACCCGCAGGAACUCGGUGUAGCACGCAAGGUCGCUGAUGCACGUGCGGGCAUCCACCUCCGCCUCGCGCAUUUGGGCGGUGGUGGCGGAGCGGGUGAUGACCCUGGCGGUCGACGGUGGGCUGGCGGCCAUGGCGGCCAACGACGGGGUGGCGGGCACGACCACCACCUCCCGCCUUUGGGCCGCGGUGGCGGAGCUAGUGAUGGCCACAGUGGCCGGCAGUGGGGUGGCGGCCACGACGGCCACCUCCCGCCUUCGGGCCGUGACAGCGGAGCGGGUGAUGGCCCUGGCUUUCGACGGUCGUGUGGCGGCAACGGCGGCCGGCAACAGCUGCCGACGGGCAGCGGCGGUGGAGCAUGUGGUGGGUGUUCCGCGCACACCCAACAGGGAUGCCACGUGCACUACACUACGCAGGGGACUGCGCCGCCGCCACGGUGUAGCCUCCGAGCUGGAGCUGUCCUCUAAUGACGGCAGAGUGGCUGAGCGAUGACGACGGACCGGUGCCAUUGGCGAUUGUGGGAGAAGCAGACGAGAUAAGCUACAGGGAGGGAGGGGAAAUUGUGAUGCAGGACUCGCUGGCCAUGAGGGUUUUUAUAGCAGGCCGGUAAGCAUUGGGAUUUUGGGGGAUUUCACCGAGUCAGGCGAGAAGCUUGCACAGGAACCUGCGAGGUUGCGCGGGAAUGCGCUCAUAGAUGAUUCAUUGACGCCACCGUUUGGCCAAAAGAACGCCCCCGGGCGCUGCGCAAGCUUGCGCUGUAAGCCGUCUGCGGUAGCGAGGUGACAAGACGUGCGAGAGGAGGACGAAAGGCCACGUACACAUACGAUUAAUACAAAAAACGUUUGCGAUUUAAUUACCUACUAUACCACCGUCCUGGUUUAUAAGUAUGAUUUAACUAAUAAAAUACGAAUGCAUGUCGCCAAAGAUUAUAUAGUUGGAUUUGUAUUUGAACAUAGUUUCCAAUUAUAUAAUUUUUAAAACAUGCAUUAACAUUUUGUUGGUCAAAUUUGAGGGCAAAGUAUGGCACAGAAUAUAAAGGAGACUUUAGACUAGACGGAGGUGGUAGCACAUGGCCGCUCUCUACGCAGCGACGCAACUGUCGGCCGGCUUGUAGGUGACCAUUUCCUGCGUGUUCAACUGCUCUAUGCGUGUGGUUGCUUGUGGUUCAGGCGGCUGCGGCGCGCUCUGCUCGCGUCCUGCCGCGCGCGCUCUACUCUCGCGUCUCUCCGCGCGCGCUCUACUCUCGUGUCCUUUCGGGUGCUCUGCCCUCGUCCCUCCACGCGCGCUGCCAGUGUUUGGGGCCGGUGCACGAUCACGCACGUCCGUGUGCAAGCGAUUGCGCCGGGCGCGGUGGCGACGAUGCAGUUACCCGCUGCAAAAACUUCCCCUUUUAUUCCUGCAGCCAUUUACCUUCAUCUCUCGUCUCACACGACACAAUAAGCACACCCACGAGGACACAUACAGAGAGGACAUCUAGCGGUUCCAAUGGCGCUCCCCAUGGCUCCAAUGGCGCUCCCAGCGGCCGACGACGAAAACAGCGGGCAGUUCACCACGCAUCGGUCGAGGACAAGUGCCGAGUGGUCAGCUUCGACCUCGAGUACACCAUCGGUCGUGCCGGGCACGAUCAGAAGGUUGCCCUCGCCCAGUUGUGCAUGCGACAUGACGUCCUCGUCUACCACUACACCUUGCCACAAGGCCUUGCGAGCGUUUCUCCAGGUUUAUCAACAGCUCCGACUACAGUUUCGCUUUGGUGGACACCACGAACGAUCUAAAAGCGCUCUAGGUUUCGGACUUGAAAUGCCCGAAUCUUGUCAACAUCCAGCACCACAACAAGGUCCGGGCAGCGACAAAAACAAACUAAACUCCCUGGUUGACCUCGCCUCAGCCAUCAUUGACCCCUACAACGUGAAGAUGAAGGAAGAGAGCAAUAAGGACAAGAACGCCUGGCACAAUGUGUGGCAUGAGAGACUGGAUGAACGACAUGUCAAGUACGCGGCCAUGGACGCGUACACAAGCUACGAGAUGUACAGGCGGAUCGUUAUGAGGAACUAUCUUCUUCCUGACCCAGACGAGGGAUCGAGCCACAUAGCAGUGGCGGGAGCGUCACAAGAAGUAGAUGACUAGACGAUCAUUUCUCCUGCUUUAGAAUGCAUGCAAUUGUUUAUUGAGGUGUGUACGAAUGAUCUGCAUAGUCACUUAUGUAAUUGGAUGUUUAUUUCAGUUAUAUAUAUAUAUACAUAUAUAUAUAUAUAUAUAUAUAUAUACAUAUAUAUAUACAUGUUAUUCUACGGUAGACAGAGCAAUUCACACGGUUUAUUAGCAGCAAACGUCUGUCUUAUUAUGGGUCUUCACACACAUUUCUGAUUACGUACCUGUUUGCCGCGUAUCACACACAUCUUGUUCAGUUGAAUCGUUUCUGUUCUCAUGUCUCAACGCAAACAGUUCAUCCGAGUGAACCGCAUGCCGUAUAUCGCACAAACCUUUGAUCUGGCUGACCGUUUCUUUUGUGUUGCCCAAUCACAAACAGUUCAUCCGAGUGAACCGUAUGAUGUACAUCGCACACACUUUCAUCUGGCUGCCCGUUUCUUUUGUUCCUCCUCAUCACAAAUAGUUAAUUGAACUGAACCGCAUGCCCUGCAUCGCACACGCAACUAAAAUCUGAACCGUGUUUGAUGGCUCCGCCAUCACAAACAUUUUGCACCUUUUUGACUGUUUUACACCACCUUUUGUGAUUAUGGCAUCGCACACAGUUUCGUCGAAGGGUCUUUGAUCGUAGUGUCGCGUUUGGACCAUCCUGCAGUAGUGGACACCUUUUUGGGCCACAGGCGUGCACGCGGUGGUUAUCGUAGCUAGGACACUCAUGUGUGACGCUUCCAUCUGUGGGCCCAUGAGGCCACCGUCGAUGCAUGCAUGCAUCACUUUGACCUACAUCGAGAGAGGUUAAUUAAUUUCACCAUCGACGAGGAUUCUUUUGGGUUUUACAUAUUACGACAGGAGCAUAUAGUAUGCGGUGAAGAGGGGGGAAGGGGACCAUCAUAUGUAGUACGCUUCAUGAACCCUGCUCGGUGUGGGUGCAUGGUUUACGGUUUUUGAGGCAUGUGGGACAUCAAAGUUGUGCAUUUUGGGUAUUCAACAUAUAUAUGUUUGGCCCACAUGCAAAGCAGUGGUGGUUGUCCUCUCGCACCCACUUAAGCGGUUAUCAGCGAUAUCGUUACUUUCCAUCUGUGGGCCUGCUUGAUCCAUCACUACUUUUUGCCUGACAACAAGAGAGGUUAAUUUGACUUAGGAGGGGAUUAUUAUUUUUGCUUGUAAUACUGUGUGUAUAUAUAUAUAGGUAUAUAUAUAGGUCAUGCUCUGGGAUGACAUGCAUGAUGCAGUUUGAGAACACACACAUGCAUGCGUACGCAUGAAUCCAUCCCAUCGAGUCAAAAUGGCUAGUACAACAACACGUCAUGAACCGAUCUCACACUGUGUGGGGAGCUAGUGUACGAUUUUUGACGCACGCGCCACAUCAAUGUUGUGAAAUGGUAUUCAAACAUGCAUGCACGCAUCACCUCCAUACAUAUGCAUGUAGUGGUUGCCUUCAAACGGUACACUCCCUCGCGUGGUCAUCCGUGAUCACCUGGACCAACAACAAGAUAGGUUACCAUGGCGGAUUCUUCAUUUGGUUCGUGUUAUCAUAGUAUUGGUCAUGGUGAGAUUCAGGCCUUAAGUUUGAGCGCAUAUACUAUGAUGCAUGCAUGCAUGAAUCCCCGUCGUUGGCUUGAAGUGUGGUGUAACAUACAUAUGCAUUGUCAACCUAACCCUCACUCAGUGUGGGGAUUUCUAGUUCGAAAUCACGGCGCAACAUCAAAGUUGUUUCAUUGUUACUCAAAAACACACCUCUCCAUACAUAUGUUUGGGCCACAUGCAUGAAGUGGUUGUCUUCGGGGACUAGCUACUUUUGUGAUUAUUGGUGAGCUAUCCCAUCUCCGGGGUCGCAUUGACGUCCAUCACUUUGACCAACAACAAGAGAGUGGUUGUACGACCAAGGUGGAUUAUUCCUUGUUCGUUUUACGAACCAUCUUGGUGACAUAUGCCUCUCUGGCCCGCCGACUGAAAGUGUGUGUGUGUGGGGGGGGGGGCGGUUGCUACUNNNNNNNNNNNNNNNNNNNNNNNNNNNNNNNNNNNNNNNNNNNNNNNNNNNNNNNNNNNNNNNNNNNNNNNNNNNNNNNNNNNNNNNNNNNNNNNNNNNNNNNNNNNNNNNNNNNNNNNNNNNNNNNNNNNNNNNNNNNNNNNNNNNNNNNNNNNNNNNNNNNNNNNNNNNNNNNNNNNNNNNNNNNNNNNNNNNNNNNNNNNNNNNNNNNNNNNNNNNNNNNNNNNNNNNNNNNNNNNNNNNNNNNNNNNNNNNNNNNNNNNNNNNNNNNNNNNNNNNNNNNNNNNNNNNNNNNNNNNNNNNNNNNNNNNNNNNNNNNNNNNNNNNNNNNNNNNNNNNNNNNNNNNNNNNNNNNNNNNNNNNNNNNNNNNNNNNNNNNNNNNNNNNNNNNNNNNNNNNNNNNNNNNNNNNNNNNNNNNNNNNNNNNNNNNNNNNNNNNNNNNNNNNNNNNNNNNNNNNNNNNNNNNNNNNNNNNNNNNNNNNNNNNNNNNNNNNNNNNNNNNNNNNNNNNNNNNNNNNNNNNNNNNNNNNNNNNNNNNNNNNNNNNNNNNNNNNNNNNNNNNNNNNNNNNNNNNNNNNNNNNNNNNNNNNNNNNNNNNNNNNNNNNNNNNNNNNNNNNNNNNNNNNNNNNNNNNNNNNNNNNNNNNNNNNNNNNNNNNNNNNNNNNNNNNNNNNNNNNNNNNNNNNNNNNNNNNNNNNNNNNNNNNNNNNNNNNNNNNNNNNNNNNNNNNNNNNNNNNNNNNNNNNNNNNNNNNNNNNNNNNNNNNNNNNNNNNNNNNNNNNNNNNNNNNNNNNNNNNNNNNNNNNNNNNNNNNNNNNNNNNNNNNNNNNNNNNNNNNNNNNNNNNNNNNNNNNNNNNNNNNNNNNNNNNNNNNNNNNNNNNNNNNNNNNNNNNNNNNNNNNNNNNNNNNNNNNNNNNNNNNNNNNNNNNNNNNNNNNNNNNNNNNNNNNAAUCAAACCACCCUUUUCAUACAUAAAUUUGGUCCACAUGCAAGUGUGUUCGUGUUCUGACCCUCUCCCACGUCAUUUUUUGCCAAAUUUAUGAACAUUAGACAAGUCGGAUGACGCAACAGACACGGUUCACUCAAACUAACCGUGUGCCACACCGGUGCCCCUGUCACGCACACAUCCGCAUAGUACAUUGGGCUCCACGAGGCUCCCCCUCUCAAAAAUAUCUGCCCGCCUCGAGGCUUUUUCUGUUUUCAUAACACAUGGUUGUUAUCUCCGGACCGUGUGCGAUGUUUCUUGUUCCCAAUCCCGCCUGCAUCCCUAGAAAAUAUCUACCCGCCUCGAGGGUUUUUCUGUUCCAUAACACACAGUUGUUAUCCCCGGACCGUGUGCGAUGUUUCUUGUUCCCAAACCCCCCUGCAUCCCUAGAAAAUAUCUGCCCACCUCAAGGGUUUUUCUGUUUCAUAACACACAGUUGUUAUCUCCGGACCGUGUGCGAUGCACUAUCAUCAAAAUUUUCAAUAGCCCCGGCAUUUCACUCCCGCGUUUGACUCCCGUGUAGUAAAAUUUUCAGUACCCGCGUCAUUUUCACAAACUCCCCCGCCCCCCCUCCACACACACAAACAACACACACACACCAAAACCUCCUCGGGCGUGCGCGCACGCACACACACACACACACACCAAAACCUCCUCUAGCAUGCACGCACACACACACCCCCUCCCUCGAUCGAAACCCUAGCAAGGUACCCACCGCCGCUGCCGCCGCCGCCGCCUCCGCAAGGCCUCCAUUGUCAACAUCUGCCGGUUUGCCCGUGCAGCUUACCCACCGAUCUCCAUACAUAGGACGCCCUGAGUUUCUUAGAUGACGCCUGCCAAACGCCCCCUUUCCCAUGGAUCCCCAUCCCUCUAGAGCGUCGCAGCCUAAGCAUGGUUACGCUUCCCAUGGAGCUCGAGGAGCGACUGCCCCAAAAGAGGUGUAUCGUGGUCUCUUCGCCCAACGUCGCCGAGGAAGCUGACGACCAUUACUGGCGGCAGGUACUCAACCAGCGGGCUAGAGUAUGCGGGCAUGUCUCGGCCGCCGGCUACGACAUCGAGGUCAUCGACAGCGACGGCCGGACGCUGGCUAUGUCACAGGUUAAGUGGCCCGCCCACAACCCCUUGGGUUCAACCGCCGCCGAUCUCAUCCAUGUCCCCGCCGCUGAUCUCCUCUAGCUGGCUGUCAACAAUUUGCCAUCCUACAUUGCCAUCGAGCCCCUUUUGUCAUUUCUUCAGGACACGUUUUGCGACCCUGGCUUGGGAUCCACAACUUCCAAGUCAGACCUCAUCGACGGUGACCACGAGGAGGGCACCCUCUCCGGUGCUUCCAAGGGGAAAGAGCCCAUCUGCUCUUCCAAGGGGAAAGCGCCUGUCUGCGACAUCAGGGAGGACACCGUACAGCCGUGCUCUUCCAAGGGGAAUGAGCCAAUCUGCGACAACAUGGAGCGCAUCCAGGGUCCAUGCUCUUCCCACGGGAAUGAGCCCAUCUGUGACAAGUGAGGAAACCCAUGAUUUGUUUUGCCGUGCCUCUUCACAGGGGGAAACCCAUGAUUUUUUUGUCGAGUCCCUUUUGUAGUGUACUGAGAAUAUGUCCAGUUUUAAUUGCUAUAUCUGGUUGUCUGCAGUAUGCCUUGUUUAUUUCAGUUGUUCACAAUGUGAUGCUCUAUAUGUGCAAUUAUUUACCGUGCAGUACAUUUCAUCAAUCCAGUUUUAAACAUACCGAUAGGAACGCAUAUAUUUGCUUGCUGUUAAGCCUAUUAUAGCUAGCAUAUGCCUCUUUUAAAGUUUAUUGAUUGUUCGGUUGUUUGUAGUUAGCAUAUGUCCAGUUUCAAAUGCUAUCUUUGGUUGUUCGUAGUAUGCCUUCUUUUAUUCCAGUUAUUCACAACGUGAUGUUCUAUGUGUGCAAGUACGAACUGUGCAGUUCAAUUUCAUCGGUACCAGUUUCAACAAUACCACUAUGAAUGACUACAUUUGGUUGCUACAUCUUGUAGUUAACACACCUUUCCAUUUUUAUUUAACAAUAAGGAGUGUACUUAGACCGGCACAAUACCAGUUUGAAUGACUAUGUUUGCUUGUUGUUAAAUGUUAGGCCUGUAGCAGUUAACACACCUUGCUACCUCUUUGAGCACUGCGUUGGGUGGUUUUCCCUUGAAGAGGAAAGGGUGAUGCAGUAAAGUAGCCUAAGUAUUUCCCUCAGUUUUGAGAACCAAGGUAUCAAUCCAGUAGGAGACCACGCUCAAGUCCCUCGUACUCACACAAACAAAUAAGAACCUAGCAACCAACACGAUAAAGGGGUUGUCAAUCCCUUCACGGCCACUUGCAAAAGUGAGAUCUGAUAGAGAUGAUAAGAUAAUAUUUUUUGUAUUUUUAUGAUAAAGACUAAAAAUAAAGAAAGCAAAAUAAAUGGUAACAGAAAUAAUGGUAGAUUAAUAUGAUAGAGAAUAGACCGGGGGCCAUAGGUUUCACUAGUGGCUUCUCUCAAGAGCAUAAGUAUUACGGUGGGUGAACAAAUUACUAUCGAGCAAUUGAUAGAAUUGAGCAUAGUUAUGAGAAUAUCUAGGUAUGAUCAUGUAUAUAGGCAUCACGUCCGUGACAAGUAGAUCGACUCCUGCCUGCAUCUACUACUAUUACUCCACACAUCGACCGCUAUCCAGCAUGCAUCUAGAUUAUUAAGUUCAUAAGAACAGAGUAACGCUUUAAACAAGAUGACAUGAUGUAGAGGGAUAAACUCAAGCAAUAUGAUAUAAACCCCAUCUUUUUAUCCUCGAUGGCAACAAUACAAUACGUGUCGUUUCCCCUACUGUCACUAGGAUCGAGCAUCGCAAGAUUGAACCAUAAGCUAAGCACUUCUCCCAUUCCAAGAAAGAUCAAUCUAGUAGGCCAAACCAAACUGAUAAUUCGAAGAGACUUGCAAAGAUAACCAAUCAUACAUAAAAGAAUUCAGAGGAGAUUCAAAUAUUGUUCAUAGAUAAUCUUGAUCAAAAACCCACAAUUCAUCGGAUCUCGACAAACACACCGCAAAAGAUGAUUACAUCGAAUAGAUCUCCAAGAGAAUCGAGGAGAACUUUGUAUUGAGAUCUAAAGAGAGAGAAGAACCCAUCUAACUAAUAACUAUGGACCCAAAGGUCUGAGGUAAACUACUCACACAUCAUUGGAGAAGCUAUGGUGUUGAUGUAGAAGCCCUCCGUGAUCAAUGCCCCCUCUAGCGGAGCGCCAGAAAAGGCCCCAAGAUGGGAUCUCACGAGUACAGAGAGUUGUGGCGGUGGAAAUAGGGUUUCGGCUCCCGUUCGGAUGUUUCCAGGGUAUAUGAGUAUAUAUAGGCGAAAGAGGUUGGUCACGAGAGCUACGAGGGGCCCCUGAGAGUGGGGGGCGCGCCCAGGGGGCAGACGCGCCUCCGUGCCUCGUGGCCUCCUCGUUGAUUGCUUGACGUCCACUACAAGUCCUCUGGAUCACGUUUGUUCCGAAAAUCACAUUCCCGAAGGUUUCAUUCCGUUUGGACUCCGUUUGAUAUUCCUUUCCUUCGAAACACUGAAAUAGGCAAAAAAAACAGCAAUUUGGGCUGGGCAUCCGGUUAAUAGGUUAGUCCCAAAAAUAAUAUAGAAGUGUAUAAUAAAGCCCAUUGAACAUCCAAAACAGAUAAUAUAAUAGCAUGGAACAAUCAAAAAUUAUAGAUACGUUGGAGACAUAUCAAGCAUCCCCAAGCCUAAUUCCUGCUCGUCCUCGAGUAAGUAAAUGAUAAAAACAGAAUUUUUGAUGUGGAAUGCUACUUAUCAUAAUUUUCAAUGUAAUUCUUUUUUUUGUGGCAUGAAUAUUUAGAUCCGAAAGAUUCAAGAUAAAAGUUUAAUGUUGACAUAAAAACAAUAAUACUUCAAACAUGCUUACCAAGCAAUUAUGUCUUAUCAAAAUAACAUAGCCAAAGAAAGCUUGUCCCUACAAAAUCAUAUAGUUAGGCCAUGCUUCAAUUUUGUCACACAAAACGUUCUCAUCAUGCAUAACCCCGAUGACAAGCCGAGCAAUUGGUUCAUACUUUUUAACGCGCUUCAACCUUUUCAACCCUUACGCAAUACAUGAGCGCAAGCCAUGGAUAUAGCACUAUGGGUGGAAUAAAGUAUAAUGAUGGGGGUUAUGUGAGAAGACAAAAAGGCAGAAAGUCUCACAUUGACGCGGCUAAUCAAUAGGCUAUGUUGAUGCCCAUUAAUUGAUGUCAAUGUGAGGAGUAGGGAUUGCCAUGCAACGGAUGCACUAGAGUUAUAAAUAUAUGAAAGCUCAACAAAAGAAACUAAGAGGGUGUGCAUCCAACUUGCUUGCUCACGAAGACCUAGGGCAUUUUGAGGAAGCCCAUCAUUGGAAUAUACAAGCCAAGUUCUAUAAUGAAAAAUUCCCACUAGUAUAUGAAAAUGACAACGUAGGAGACUCUCUAUCAUGAAGAUCACAGUGCUACUUUGAAGCACAAGUGUGGAAAAAGGAUAGUAACAUUGUCCCUUCUCUCUUUUUCUCUUAUUUUUUUCUUUUUUUUCUUGGCCCUUCUCGUUUUUUUUCUUUGGCCUCUUUUUUUCUCUUUUUUUUAUUUAGUCUGGAAUCUCAUCCCGACUUGUGGGGGAAUCAUAGUCUCCAUCAUCCUUUCCUCACAUGGGACAAUGCUCUAAUAAUGAUGAUCAUCACACUUUUAUUACUUACAACUCAAGAAUUACAACUCUAUGUGAAUGCCUCCGGCGGUGUACCGGGAUAUGAGUCUAUGUGAAUGCCUCCGGCGGUGUACCGGGAUAUGCAAUGAAUCAUGAGUGACAUGUAUGAACCAUUAUGAAUGGUGGCUUUACCACAAAUACGAUGUCAACUACAUAAUCAUGCAAAGCAAUAUGACAAUGAUGAAGCGUGUCAUAAUAAACGGAACGGUGGAAAGUUGCAUGGCAAUAUAUUUCGGAAUGGCUAUGGAAAUGCCAUGAUAGGUAGGUAUGGUGGCUGUUUUGAGGAAGAUAUAAGGAGGUUUAUGUGUGAUAGAGCGUAUCAUAUCACGGGGUUUGGAUGCACCAGCGAAGUUUGCACCAACUCUCAAGGUGAGAAAGGGCAAUGCACAGUACCGUAGAGGCUAGAAAAUUGUGGAAGGGUGAGAGUGCGUAUAAUCCAUGGACUCACAUUAGUCAUAAAGAGCUCAUAUUCUUAUUGCAAAAGUUUAUUAGCCCUCGAAGCAAAGUACUACUAUGGAUGCGCCUAGAGGGAUAGAUUGGUAGGAAAAGACCAUCGCUCGUCCCCGACCGCCACUCAUAAGGAAAGCAAUAAAAGAACACCUUAUGCGUCAAAUUUGUCACACAACUUUUACCAUACGUGCAUGCUAUGGGACUUGCCAACCUUAACACAAGUAUUUCUCAAUUUCACAAUUACUUAACUAGCACACUCUAAUAUUACCACCUUUAUAUCUCAAAACACUUAUCAAGUAUCAAACUUCUCAUAAUGUUCAAUGAACUCAAUAUGGAAGUUUUUAUUGUACUCAUCUUUGAUGCCUAUCAUAUUAGGACUAAUUUCACAAUUAAAGCAAAUUACCAUGCUGUUUAAGACUCUCAAAUAAUAUAAGUGAAGCAUGAGAGAUCAAUAUUUUCUAUAAAAUAAAACCACCGCCAUGCUCUAAAAGAUAUAAGUGAAGCACUAGAGCAAAAACUAUAUAGCUCAAAAGAUAUAAGUGAAGCACAUAGAGUAUUCUAAUAAAUUCCGAAUCAUGUGUGUCUCUCUCAAAUGGUGUAUACAGCAAGGAUGAUUGUGAUAAACUAAAAAGCAAAGACUCAAAUCAUACAAGACGCUCCAAGCAAAACACAUAUCAUGUGGUGAAUAAAAAUAUAGCCCCAAGUAAAGUUACCGAUAGACGAAGACGAAAGAGGGGAUGCCUUCCGGGGCAUCCCCAAGCUUAAGCUUUUGGUUGUCCUUGAAUUUUACCUGGGGGUGCCUUGGGCAUCCCCAAGCUUAGGCUCUUUCCAAUACUUGUUCCAUAGUCCAUCAAAUCUUUACCCAAAACUUGAAAACUUCACACACUACAAGAAAUAUGUCAACUUGUGACCCUCACUAUUGGCCGCUGAAAGGUUAUAGUUUUUCAUUUGCGACCUUUUUGUGACAAAAAACAGAAGGUCAAAAGCUGGCAGUCGUAAACUAAAAUUAGCGACCUUCUCUCUGAGAAGGUCGUAGACGUUUACGACCAAAACAGAAGGUCGUUGAACCCAUGACCUUUUGUUUUGGUCACCGACUCUCUACCCAGGCCACGUCGGAUCCGACGUGGCAAUCCGACGUGGCAAAAUUGCGACCAAUUGAGAAGGUCGUUGAUAAGAUUCAGCCCGGUCCGAUUGGGUGUUUUACAUGGGCCAGGCCCAACAAUUUGGCCUUUUUAUAUUAUUGUUUCUUAAUAAUUUUGGUCAGCUAUAUGGGCCAGGCCCAACUAUUCAGCCUUUUUAAUUUCUGGGCCAUUACUAUUAAUUUUCUAUUUUCAGCCAUAUUAUUUUUGUGCCGGUCCCACUAGUCAGAUUGGUCCCACUUGUCAUGUUGAUAUCGCAAUUGGACCCACAUGUAAAAAAAUUCAAAAUUUGUCAAACAAUUUUCAUAAGUGGGUCCCCCUGGUCAGGUUUCCAUUUCAUAGGUAUUGAAAUUAUAUGCACAAUCAAUAUUUCAAACAGACUAUAGAGCAAAUGAAAUUCAUCCAAAACAACACUAAAUGUUGCAAUACACAAUAUGCUACUCUGACUAAUAUUACACUCCUGAUAUUACAAUACAUAAUAUGCUACUCUUGCUGAUAGGCUUCACGGCUUCACACUUCAUACUUCACCUAUGCAAAAAAAGAAGAAGAAUAAGAACGUGUAGACAGCAUCAAACAUAGCUUAUAAGCAAGAAUUGACAAUAAGCUCACUUUAACAACACAAGAUUUUGAUAUAUUUUUACAGUUCAUGAGGUCAGCUGACUAUUAACGGCUUUCCCAUAGAUUACAAACAAUUAUGUGUACAAGGCAAUUCAGCAUUUAAGUUGGAAGGUGUUCAAUAGCAAAAUAGAACAUGAUAUGUACUAAAAAACUUGAACUGGCAAUACGCAACUAAAUUGGCUGUUACAACAAGCAUGACAUGACAACAUCUGCUUGAUAGAUUUGAUUAAAUGUGUAUGAAGCAGCAGCACGCAUAGACAAUGGUAGUAUAUAUGAAGGAUUAUAGAUUGCAUAACUAGUCAACUAAUCUUCCAUCUAUAUUUCUAUCAGCAGCACACUAGAUAGGCCACACAUUUAUUCCUACAGUACAAUGAGGUAAAAACAGAUUAUGGUGCCUGCCAAGUGAGGUAAAAAUAGAUUAUCAGCAGCACACUAGAUAGGCCACACAUCUAUAUUUCUAACAACAGCACACUAGAUAGGCCACACAUUUAUUACAUUUACAUGGUGGUGGCUGGCUGACAAUCAUGGCUGCUAGCUCAUGCUGCCAGCAUGCGUGCACUUCUCCCCGCCGGAACCAACCCAACCCAAACGAAGUAACAGUAGCAAACCACACAUGUACUAGUAAACUUCAGUAUGAAACAGUUUCUCGCCGAAAGAAACUACCAAAGCAUUUCCAAGAAUUUCGAAGAAACCACCUCAAGUCAAUACAGCCAAGGAUAUUAUUUUCCACAAGCAAAAAACUAUGGUUCAGCUCCCACAUGGGCAUGGGGUUUUUUGGGUUUCAAGACACAAAUCACAGAACUGGAUGGGCAUAUAGAAGGUACAUUGUGAAUAUACAGUAUCAACCUGCUGGAGUUACUUGUCCUUAGUGAUGAGCAGAUGCUUCCUCCUUGGGCUUGGUCAUCCGGACAGCCAAAAAAACAAGCAACUGUAAGAAGAUGGAUUGAUGGUAAAAAGAGUGAAGAAUUGUGAUUCAAUGAACAGAAAAGCAUAUGUACAUUAUAAUACUGCAGACAAGAAAAUAAUAAUCCUAAUAUGAAGAUAAUUGUUUUUCUUAUUGAUGGCUGUAAGAUGGACUGAUGGUAAAAAGAGAGAAGAAAUGUGAUUCAGUGAACAGAAAACAAGACGUUAUUAUUCAGCAGUGAUACUCGAUAUUUGACAAGUAUGGUUUCAUGUAUACAAGUUAGGCAGAGCAAUGUACAAGAUAAAUCGUUUUAUAUAAAGCGUGUCCAAUCAAUAUCCAAAAUGCUAUCGAUCAGAGCAUAGAAACAGAGUCCCAAAAAUCUAAUUAGCUGCUGCGGCGACAGCCACGCGCCAUGCCGGCAGCGGCAGGCUGGGGUGAGGGUUGGGGAUGACGCAAGUGUUCCCAGGUUAUUAACAGAGAAACUGGGUGAUUAACAUCUCUCAAAAAAGAAAAAAAACAACUUAAUAUAUUGACUGCGGCAACAACAUCUACUUGUUACUGGAGUCCCAGUUCAAGAUGGCCAGAGGCCACUUGGUACCAUGGAACCUGCACAAUUUCCAUCAUAUAUAUGAAUGAGUUAGGAAGUAAAGUAGAGUUGAACUACCCAGCCUCAUACAUAUAUAUAUAAAGUGUGAUGCACUACUGCUACAGGAAGUUUCAUAGGCUUUCAAGUGAAGGGAUACACGUUGUUCAACUAUCGUGUUUAUUUUUUGUUGUUGGGGAAAGCAAUAGCUUAAUCAAUCCACUUCUCUAAAAGUAUGAACAGCCUAUCACUCAAACAGUCCUUGAGUGCUAAUAUAGUAUUGUAUUGGUAAAAAAACAUGUCACCACGAAGAGCUUUAACAGUUAGCACCAUUUUUUAUUAGAGAAGUUUAGAGAGAGAUUUGAGAAAUCUAUAUUAGAGAAAACUUCAGUGCAUACAGAAAUUCUCUCAAGUCUCAUUGCAAAUAUCAAGUGCAUACAGAAGCUUUGAUUUGAGUGGGAAUGGUAUGAAAGGGGCAUAUAAGGACAAUAUACCCAAGAGUUGCAUAUCUAUAUAGAAAUGAUGUUGAUCACAUAAGUAAAUAACAGUGAAUGACAAACGAUCUGCACUUAAGAUCGCACACACACCAACCAGCACCAAAAAAGUAAAGGGUAAAUAACAAUCUCACACUAUUGUCACUAGUGCACAGUUCUUCAUAGAAGAAACACUGCCUAAUACAUACCUACCUAGGAAAUCAAAACAUUGUAGGAAUAGGUAUAUCCAUAUAUUUUGAAGAUGAACAACAACAAAGUGAUAUACUUACACGCACACAUGCAGUUUUAAUUAAUUAAAUGAGUAGGCAACAAAUGCAAUUGGAAAUCUAGGGGCAGGAGGUAGUGAGAGCAACACAUGAGGGAUCGUCAAGAUGUAGGGGAUGUAGGUGUCUCACUUGGUUUCAAAAUAAGAUGCACACAAAGACAACCACAUAAAUAUAGCAGUGCAUAGUACUGAGGAAAACAGGGACAUCUCUUUGCCAACAUGUAUAAUUCGGAGCAGCAAUAGCGAGCAGAGGAAGAUGAGAGGGAGAUGGAGAUGCUACCUGUCGUGGUGGGUCGGCGUGGACGUGCUUGAGCUCGGGGCAGGACCUCUUGGUCGCCCUAGGAGCAGAGCAGCAAACCCCUCAUGGCCCUCCUGCUCGCGAUGCCGUAUAAGCCCGCCACCUAAGAAUAGCAAAAUAUGAGUCUGAACCAGGAUAUGGAUUCAGCAACAAUAACCAUCGUUAACAAGCACACUUCCUUUCAUGUAGGUUUAAAAUAUAAACAAACUCAUGAUUCACUUAUAUAUGAUAAAACAGAACAUAUGGUUCAGUUAUAGUCAUACCACCUAUACAAAGAUCAGGCAAAGAUAUAUUUUGACCUGAGGACCAACAUGUCUGCCUCAGCAACUAUCUAAAAUUAUCAAAUAUGCCAACAAUUAUUUAUUGAUGCUUCCCACUAAGCUUCAUUAGCUACAGGUGAAAUGAUGAGAGGUCCAGGAAGAGCUAACACCUCAUAUAAUCAACACACAAUGAUAAUAAUAAUAAUUAAAAGGAGAGAACCUACCAGAUAAAGCACGCAAUUUCAUCUCUAUCCGUUUGUGAAAAGGAUCGUUCAAGCCUUCCGAAUUCUUAUUCUGAAUUUUUUUAAAUCUACCCUCGGAUAAGACAACUUGACGGGUCCUGAUAAACCUAAACAUAUGGGAUAUAUAACAGUUUAUUUUUGCAUAUAUAUAUAUAUAUAUAUAUAUAUAUAUAUAUAUAUAACAGUUUGUACCCAAGUGGAGAAUUAGCAGAGAGAUAAAUGGAUGGGUUAAGUGUGUGUCAGUAGCAACCUCUAGCGACUUGUACCCAAGUAAGAUAUACUGACUUAAUCUCUCUGAUUCUUAGAUCUAGUCCUGCUCGUGUUUCGGUACCAUGCGUAGAGACGUGACACGACAGACUUGCUGCUGCUCCGGGCGGAAACUCAUUCACCUCAGCACCCUGCAACCCUGAGGAAGUUGUCGUAGGGGCUUGACGCCGGCAGCUUCAGGAAAUGUUGCUGGAAGGGAUCGUCUGCCGUCUGCGGGUUGCUGGUGUUCAUGUACUCAGGGUAACCCUUGAAGUUGUCAUCGGCGAACGGGUUCGUGCUCUACGCCCCGGCCUGCUUAGACAAAGCCUCGUUGGUUUCAGCAUCUUGCUAAAAUGUAGUACUAACAUGCUUCUCUCAGAUGCGUUGUGAGAGACUGAAGAAUGGUAUGCAGAGUGGAAAUUAUGCUACCUGAGGCAACAGUGGGCAAUGGAAGAGGGCCAGCUCCAUCUGGUUGGGCAGAUGGCAUGGCAGCGGAGCUGCUUGCAUGUUCGUCUGGAAGCUCAUGAAGGUACACAUCAGUCUUGAGGUCCACUCGCGGACGGCGGGGUCGAUCACGUCCUUGUACACCUUGUCCUGCCCUUGCAAAUACACCUCCUGCACCCACCCACACACACAUUCAUUCAUUCAUUCAGCAGCAUCACCAAGUGUGUGCAUGCGUAUGGAGCAGAGCAGAGGAGAGGAUUCAUGGAGGAGUACCUGCCAUCCGAAUGGGUAGACGAAGGAGUAGCCGGCCUUCUUGUCGAUGACCGGCAUGAACUUGCCGUCCGCCGCCGCGACUGCGUAGUACCUUUGUUGGGGCUGGCCUCCGCCAUGGCCCUGAUGGUGGCGGAGAGCAGCCUCCGCGCCGGCGUCUUGGCGGUCGGGGAAGGGAGGCCGAGGCCAUGGCCGUGGAGGGACCUCGUCGCCGGCGAGCACGAUGGAGUGCGGGCACUUGGUCCUGUCCUCCUCAUCUACCGGGUCCGGCAGGGACGCGCCCCCGAGGGCGUACAUGUCGGCGAAGAUGCGGGCCCCAGCGGCAGCGGCCUCGGCAGCGACCUUGCGGAGUGAGCCGCCGGCGCGGGAGGAGUUGAGGCGGCCGAGGUCGAGCCCGGAGACGACCCCGACGGCGCCGCCUCGAGGGCCUCCCGGUGCGCGCGCACGGAGGGCCGUGCUGGCGCGCCCCGCCUGCCAGCCGCCUCAUAGACGUGCAUCAGCGGUUGGAUCUGGAUGGGGAUGGCCGUGUGGCUGUGGUGUAGCGAGCAGAGGUGGUGACGGCGAUGGGGAAAAGGGAGCGGGAGCGGCAGCACCGAAGGGGAUAAGGGAUCUAGGGUUUCGUGGGUGGAUGAGGAUGAGAGGGACAUGGGGUGAGAGCGACGAGGGAGGUGUGGGCCGCUAGAUCCGGGUGCAUCCCACGGUGCUUAACGCAUGAUCCGCGUGACAUGAUUUUGGACCAAUCAGAACGCAUUAUCUCCUUUGAUGAGGUUAAGACCAUUUAAAUUGGUCAUAAUAAUUGAUUGAAAAUAAGUUGUUAAAUCAUGUAUGCUAUUUGAUGGCCUAGAAAUUUAUAUAAAAGUAAAUAGAAAUAAAAAACCUUCGCAUUGUGUCACCAAGUGUGACCUACUUUUCAGUAAAAAUAACAAACUUUGAAUAAUGCAAAUAUCAUUAAAAAAGUGUUCUCAUAAAUGAGUUUUUUGUAAGAUAAUCAUUUCUCGAGUGCCCAAAAUAAGCUUUUUUUGUGAAGGACCUACCAAAUAUUUGUUGCAAAAUUGUACCAAAUCAAUUUUCUAAAAUACUAGGACAUAUUUAAUGCACAAUUGACCAAAUGGUUGGGUGUCAAAAGUUUUGAUCCACCUAUUGUGAAAAAGACAAAUUUCUGCCGAUUUAGUAGGAAGCGGGUCAAAUUUGAACUGCAGCUGCCUCAUCGUUUGCUCUUUAUUUUUUCCAAAAAUCAUUUCUAGGUACAUAACUAUCUAUUUAAUCAUAGAAACAUCAAUUUUUUUCCAAGAUUCAACAACUAGCUAGGAACGGUCAAGCCCGCAGUUUUGACCGCAUUUUGAAACGGGCAUAAAAAAUUCAAAAAAAUCAAAAAAUUGAAAAACAUUCGCAUUGUGUCAUUAUAUGUGACCAAGUUACCAAGAAAAAUAAUAAACUUGUAAUACAAAAAAUAUUUUAAAAAAGUGUUCUCAGAAAUGAGCUAUCAUGCGUGAAGAUUCAUGGCUUUCAAGCCAAAUGAUCAAUCUUAUGGCCACAUUCAUGGCAUAGUUUGUUUUGUUGACCUCAUAUUGUGCACAAGGGUGCAUCUUGGAAUGACAAACAAUGUUGCCUAAGGAAGUUAUCAUUUUCUUUGCACGAAAAAAUCAUUUUCCAUUUUUUGAGUGCCCAAAAUGAGCUUUUUUGUGAAGGACCUACCCAAUAUUUGUUGCAAAAUUGUACCAAAUCAAUUUUAUAAAAUACUAGGACAUAUUUAAUGCACAAUUGACCAAAUGGUUGGGUGUCAAAAGUUUUGAUCCACCUCUUGUGAAAAAGACAAAUUUCUGCCGAUUCACGAGGAAGCGGGUCAAAUUUGAACUGCAGCUGCCUCAUAGUUUGCUAUUUAUUUUUUCCAAAAAUUAUUUCUAGGUACAUAAGUAUCUAUUUAAUCAGAGAAACAUCAAAACUUUUCCAAGAUUCAACCACUAGUUAGGAACGGUCAAGCCCGCCGUUUUGACCGCAUUUUCAAACGGGCAUAAAAAAUUCAAAAAAAUCAAAAUAUUGGAAAACCUUCGCAUUGUGUCAUUAUAUGUGACCAAGUUACCAGUAAAAAUAAUAAACUUGUAAUACGGAAAUUAUUUUAAAAAAGUGUUCUCAGAAAUGAGCUAUUAUUUCAAGCCAAAUGAUCAAUCUUAUAGCCAUAUUCAUGGCAUAGUUUGUUCAAAUGAUCUCAUAUUGUGCACAAGGGUGCAUAUUGGAAUUCCAAACAAUGUUGCCUAAGGGAGUUAUCAUUUUCUUUAAACAAAAAAAUCAUUUUCCAUUUUUUGAGUGCCCAAAAUGAGCUUUUUCUGUGAAGGACCUACCAAAUAUUUGUUUGCAAAAUUUUACCAAAUCAAUUACCUAAAAUGCUAGGAUAUAUUUAAUGCACAAUUAACCAAAUGGUUGCGUGUCAAAUGUUUUGAUCCACAUCUUCUGAAAAAGACAAAUUUCUGCCGAUUUAGGAGGAAGCGGGUCAAAUUUGAACUGCAGCUGCCUCAUAGUUUGCUAUUUAUUUUUUCCAAAAAUUAUUUCUAGGUACAUAAGUAUCUAUUUAAUCAGAGAAACAUCAAAAGUUUUCCAAGAUUCAACCACUAGCUAGGAACGGUAAAGCCUGCCGUUUUGACCGCAUUUUGAAACGGGCAUCAAAAAUUCAAAAAUAAUCAAAAAAUUGGAAAACCUUCGCAUUGUGUCAUUAUAUGUGACCAAGUUACCAGUAAAAAUAUUAAACUUGUAAUACGAAAAUUAUUUUAAAAAGUGUUCUCAGAAACGAGCUAUCACGUGUGGAGAUCAAUGGAUUAAUUUCAAGCCAAAUGAUCAAUCUCAUGGCCACAUUCAUGGCAUAGUUUGUUCAAAUGAUCUCAUAUUGUGCACCAGGGUGCAUAUUGGAAUGGCAAACAAUGUUGCCUAAGGAAGUUUUCAUUUUCUUUGGACGAAAAUACCAUUUUCCAUUUUUGGAGUGCCCAAAAGGAGGUUUUUUUCUAAAGGACCUCCCAAAUAAUUGUUGCAAAAUAGGACCAAAUCAAUUUUCUAAAAUACUGGGACAUAUUUAAUGCACAAUUGACAAAAUGGUUGGGUGUCAAAAGUUUUGAUCCACCUCUGGUGAAAAAGACAAAUUCCCGUCGAUUCAAGAGGAAGCGGGUCAAAUUUGAACUGUAGGUGCCUCAUAGUUUGCUCUUUAUUUUUUCCAAAAAUCAUUUCUAGUUACAUAAGUACCUAUUUAAUCAUAAAUACAUGGUUUGGUGGCGAUACGUCGAGGUUUGGACGGUGGCCGAGGGCCCCAACUCUAGAGCACGUAAACUCGCAUGCCUGCCGCGUGGUCACCGCGUGACCGUGGCGUUGCCAUGUGUUCUGGGUGGCCUAGGCAUGUCUAGUGGGUUGGGCACUCCCCAGGUAGGUGCUAGGAAGAAAAUCACAACAUAAGAUUCUCACGAGGAGACCGAUCGAUGCUCAAACAUGAAUAAGCAGCCAAGUGUUUGAUUAGCGGUAGAGGAAAUGCAUAUGGCUAAUGGGCGUGAGUUUUGGCCGAGGAUGAUCAGUUACUAAGAAGACCGUCUUCACAAAUUUUCAGCUCAAAAGGAGGAGCCUAGGUGGUACUUGCUUUGCAAAGUACCACACUGGACAUAAAUACGAAUGUUGAAGCUGGGCUCAAAAUAAUGAAUGGAAAGCUGGCAUUUGGUGGAGGAUGGUUAUUUGGGCGUAGGAAAGCAUUGUAGAAAAUGGAUACCAUUUGGACAUGCCAAAGUGGUACUUCCUUCACAAAGUGUUUUUCUGAACAGAAUAGGAAAAUGAAUAUUUUUGAAUUAUUUUUGAACUAGGCAAGGAAGGUUUUUACAUAUUUGACGAAGAUAUGACCCAAAGAAUUUAUGAGAUUUUUUGGGAAUUUUGGGAAUGACAGAAAUAUAGGUUGCUUCACAACCUAGGGCAAAAACUGCCACAUGUACAUGACACAUAGGCAAAACUGAUGAGGUGGCGCCUAGUCAUAGCAACCCACCACAAUUUACAAGGUUAUGACCAUCUAUAUUGGUCAUGAUCAGCUAGAAAUAAGGCAGCGGACCAGUGCUAUCUGCUUUAUAACCAUUUCGUGUAAGGAAAUUAUGACCUUUCUGACCAAAAUGGUCGUUAUAGUUUAGGGUUUGGAGCCCCCCGAACAGCUUUUCACCAAUUGGUCUCAAAUGGUCAUAGAUCUAUGACCAAUUCUUCCAGGGUCACUGACAGAAGGUCACUAGUUGACAUAUUUCUUGUAGUGACAACACACAACUCAACAGAAAAUCUCAUGAGCUCCGUUAGCGAAAUAAAACAAACCACCACUUUAAGGUACUGUAUUGAACUCAUUCUUUAUUUAUAUUGGUGUUAAACCCACUGUAUUCCAACUUCUCUAUGGUUUAUUUCUGAUGAAUGCUAGCGUUUCAACUCUUACGACGAAGGGUGCCAAACAUGGCACGUGCUGGAUGUCCCACACGUCAGCGAAAGGAGUGGGACAUGAACAGCGUGGUAGAGCCCAGCGUAAAAAAACAGCGUGGUAGAGCGUCUCCACUUCUUCCACUUCUGGGUCGGAGACCACACAUAGUAGUACUUAGUGGUAUGAACGAUACAAAGUGCGACCUGGAGAGAAAGACACGUCUAGUUGGAAGGUCUCGGGGCAUACACGUAAACAAAUAUAAAAGUUAAUAUGUGCCUCCAACUAAUAUAGUAGUAGUAGAGUACUUAGGCACGUACUCCAUAACAUCACCGUGCAUUGCACGUACAACAUUUAGUGGUAGUACGUAGUAAGAGACAAAUGCCGCCCAAGAGUUCCCUUCUCGACCUACUUUUGGGUGUUUGGUAGAGUGUAUGGAGGGUGCAAGAGUCCACACUAGUUUAGCACAAAUACACUAGAAGCAUGCAUGAAGAGAGCAUGCAUGAAGAGGGGUGUUGAGUUGAGCAUGCAUGAAGGGGGAACAACUAUGCUGAGACGAGAACGCAACCAAACAAACCCUAUAUGCCACACAUGUUCAUACCAUUUGUGCCUUUCUACUUCACUUACUGCGCUACAUUACUCAGGUUCGUACGUCCACUCCUGGGUACAUAUCCGUCUCGUAGUUCCAGUCCCAUGUGUUCUUCAUAUAGAUGGAAUGAUCCUUGCAUAACACGUGCACCUUGAUGCUAGAUGUCUCACGUGUUGGCAAAAGGAUGAACAAAGCUCACGUAAAAAAAAUAGAGUGGAAGAACAUAGAUUCCGGAUGACCGAGAAGGAGCAAGGAACCUCGUGGUGGAGCGUCUGCACUCAUAAUAUUAAUAUUAUUCAGCGAUAUAAAAUUAACCAAUCAUCACCACAGUGGACUGGAAGAGUACGAAACACGGCAGCCCAGUGUAGUUACAUCAUACUAGUACAUGGCUAACCCACGCUAUCACCAUAUUUCUUGGCUUCCUUGCGACACCUAUCUCUAGUAAUCCAGCAGCCUGUAUCGCUUCUCCCUCCUCGUCUUUAUCAAAGUGCGGCGGGCUGGCGUUUCUGCCGUCUAUUGAGGUCGGUUAACUAUCACAUGUUAGCGACAUGCCAAGAGCAUUCUAAAAAAAAUUUCUUUCACGUUCCGUUUUCAAAAACAAAAAAAUCCUUUCACGUACGAAAAUUUGCCUGUAUGCUUUGAGCAACUUGCAUGUCCUAUACUGCUCCUGUUUGAUACUCUAACUUAGCUAGAGGUUAGACUAACUCAUGACUAACCCUGAACUAACUGUAGCCAAAGAGGUGUUUGGGUGACAGGGUUAGAUUUACAAUAAAUGCACGUCAUGGAGAGAGAAAAGUGAUUUUUCAGUGGUCCCAAUGAGAACUAUCUCCAGUUAGCACCUCUUGGGUGGGAUAGUUUUUUUGAUGGGUUCGGUGCAACUUGCUCCAAUUUAAACCCUCAUGCUUGGAUACUUUAGGGCUAUUUGAGCCCCAACUAGCUCAAACUAACUCUAACCCAUGGAUCCAAACAGGGCCUAUGGCCAGUCUCGACGCGGAGCAGUCGCGUACACCGGGAAGCGGCGCUCUCUCGGCCGUCGCGCCACUUCAAAGCCGACGCCAGUGAGAGGUCGCCUCCGCUCUGGCCGGGCAUUAAUGCGGCACUGACGCUCCAGGGCGACGCUGACCGUUUCACGCGGAAAGCGCGCGCUGGCAAGGGAGUAUAGGUUUUGAACCGUUUCAGGUGUAGUACUGGUAGUUUGCAAAACUACUCAAUUAUUGCACUUAGUUUCCUAAGAAAUUGUGGUAAAAAAUGUUACUCCACAACCCGCUUCCCUUCUCCCUCCUCUUCCACCGCCCGCGCACGUCCGCGGGAAGCGACCGGUCAGCCCUUAUAUAGGAGUGCUAGCACAAAAAGAUGCAUGCAUGACCACUAAAAUUUCCAUAUUAAAGCGCCGCUCCGGCGGGAGUAUGGCGUAUGUUGUUACCUUUGGCCGGCCCAUGGCUACCGGGCGACGGCGACCAGAGAAGAGUCGGCGGGAGGGGAAUGAAUGCAGCUACUGUUUGGGUUCGCCUUCCGGCUUAAAUAAAUGCACAGCAUCACGUGUACCCGCGGGUGCACAAAUUGUAACAUACGUGUCUGCUUAAGUGGGCGUCACGUAACUGGUGUGUGUGUGUGAGAGAUUCUGAGAGACAGAGUGCGUGUGUGCGACUCUACUCUUCGGACAUGUACUCAACCUUUUGCAUCGGGAUAUAAGUAUAAUGGUAUUUACUUUAGCUAGUGAUUUACGUGGCCAUGUUAACGUGGUUGUGUCAAAAAAUGUCACUUCCUGCUCGUGAUUUGCGUUAUAUAAUUACAAGCAAGAUUCUCGUGCAUUGCACGGAACAUCAAUAUGCAUUUUUUACAGAACACCUGUUGUGAUUGACCCAUGCAGGAGUAAUCCCAUGUGUAAAAACUAAUGAUAUCUCGAGAAUUUUAUCGGAAAACUGGUAUCUCGAGAAUGUCAUCGAAAAAAUGAAAGAUGAGAGAUAAGGCGAGGAGGAGUGGAGCGUGGUGGUGACUGGUGGUCGGAAUGGGCGGAGGCAUGGGGAUGGACGGCGCCGGCAGGCGGCAGCGGCCACCAUGCAUGCUAGAUUGUUCCAGAGACUUAUUCCUUUUUAAUUGCUGAGCAAUGAGGUUGCGGGAGAUAAUGAUGUGGAGAGAGGUGCAGGUAUCUUUUGUAAAAUUAUCAUAGUUUGCUUUCUAUCCUCAGAUAUAGAUCAUACGGUCUGUAUUACAAGAUGGCAGGCACACCAUCACCGCCAACUCGUUUUUUAUAAGGGUACAGAUGAUAAGUUUGCUAAGUAAAGUGGAAUUUUUCCAUGUUAUGCAAGUAAAUAAAGGUGAUUGUUUAUCAUACGGGUAAGGUUGGAUGAAGGGUGGUAGGAACAAAUGCUCCGCCUAGAGCAUGUGUGUGUGAGAUGGAGUCUUAGUGCGUGUGUGUGGUGUGUGUGUGUGUGUGUGUGAGAGAGGAGAGAGAGAUGGAGUCUUAGUUUGUGUGUGUGUGUGUNNNNNNNNNNNNNNNNNNNNNNNNNNNNNNNNNNNNNNNNNNNNNNNNNNNNNNNNNNNNNNNNNNNNNNNNNNNNNNNNNNNNNNNNNNNNNNNNNNNNNNNNNNNNNNNNNNNNNNNNNNNNNNNNNNNNNNNNNNNNNNNNNNNNNNNNNNNNNNNNNNNNNNNNNNNNNNNNNNNNNNNNNNNNNNNNNNNNNNNNNNNNNNNNNNNNNNNNNNNNNNNNNNNNNNNNNNNNNNNNNNNNNNNNNNNNNNNNNNNNNNNNNNNNNNNNNNNNNNNNNNNNNNNNNNNNNNNNNNNNNNNNNNNNNNNNNNNNNNNNNNNNNNNNNNNNNNNNNNNNNNNNNNNNNNNNNNNNNNNNNNNNNNNNNNNNNNNNNNNNNNNNNNNNNNNNNNNNNNNNNNNNNNNNNNNNNNNNNNNNNNNNNNNNNNNNNNNNNNNNNNNNNNNNNNNNNNNUAGAAGGAGAUUGUUAAGUGUGAGUGUGUGUUUUACCCAUCCAGGCGGAAGUUAUGUGCACAAAAGAGGAGAACGAUUCGAUGUGGCGUUACGAUUGAGGGUAAUUAAACGUAUGGAGACAUAGAGACCUUGAACGUGCAUGUGUGAGAGGUAUACAUGUAUACGUGGGAUGUGUGUGUGUGCGCGCGCGCAUGAUCGAGAUAAAAGAAAGAAGACAUAUGUCAUAAGAUCAACGACAUGGGAGAGACGGAUCGGUAUGACAAUAUGCAUGCAUGUGAGAAUGUAGGGAAGAAGGCCCGACAAUUGAGCAUGUGUUUUUGUCUUUAAGAGAUAGUGGCGUGGGCUGGAGCAUGCAUCUAUGGUGAGCAGAGGGAGUGAGGCGCAACGAUUGUGCAAAAGAGACCAACCUAUAAAUGCAUAUGUAUGGAGAGACAUAUAUAGUGUGGGUGAUAGGAAGCAAGACUCCUUGCGAGAAAGAAAUGUUGACGGAGAAACUACAGAUAGAUACAGAGAUGGAGAUGCUAGCUAGAGGGACAUCCGCUAGUUUGGGUGUUGGAGAUGACCGUCGGGUGGUUCAAAGGGUGAAGUUAUAUAUGUGUGUGAGAGGGCACUUGACUGCAUGUAGAGAGAAACAUAUGUAGUGUGCGUGAUAGGAAUCAAGAGUGAGGGCGAGAAACAAGGUUGAUGGAGAAACAGAUAAAUAGAAAGAUAAAGAUGCUAGCUAGUGUGCGUUAGAGAUAGGAGUCGAGUGGAUCAGAAGGCUGGGUUAUGUGUGUGGGUGUGAGAGAGAUAGAGAGAGGGUGCAUGUGAGUCACACACAAACAGAUAUCAGAGAGAAAUGAGAUCCAGAGAGACGGAGUUUUGUGUCUGCGAGAGAGAAAGAUAUUUCAAAACGAGAGUGAUAGCUAGAGAGACAUACGAGGGAACGCAAGAUAUCUCUAGGGAGAGAGGGUGUGUGUGAGCGACAUACAAGAGAACAAGGGAGAAAUAUGAGACCCUGGGAGACAGAGUUUGUGUUUGUGUGUGAGAAAGAGAUAUUGAAGAGGAAGAGUCGUAGGUUCUCAUAUCUAAGGAGCGAAAGACAUCUCUGUAUGAGGGGUGUGCGAGUGGCACACAUGGGAAUAGUAGAGAGAAAUGAGACCCCGGGAGACAAAGUUUUGUGUUUAUGUGAGAGAAAGAGAUUCCACAUGGAGAAUCACAGUUAGAGACACAUAGCAGGGAGCGAGAUAUACUUAGAGAGAGAUAGAGUGAUGAAGGUCGAGGGAGAGAGUACCGUCAGUGUGUUACGAAGAUAAAAGAUCAUUGUCGACAUACAGGUAGCACGAGAGAUACCUGAGAGACGAUGAACGCGUAUAGGUCCAGAGAGAUAGUCCUAUAUAAGCAUGAGUGAUAGCUAUAUGAGACGAAUAUCUGGAUUAAAGGGGAUUCAAAUAUUUAAACUGGAGAUCACGACAUCGAUAAUAUCAUAACGCAAAUUGGUGUAUCAAACAUGCAUAUUCAUUUGAAUUUGGGCACACGUGUAAUGUUAUAUAGUUUAUCAAUAUUGGUGAUCCAUAGAUUCUUCAAUUACAAACAAUGCAUGGUUUAUAUGCAAUUAAUGUCUAAACGGGAUUACACUAUAUGUUGCGUGUGUGAAACACAUUAUACAUGUUUGAGAAGUAAAAAAAGCCCGCAUGAAACACACAUUAAUUGGAAACAGUUAGCGAGGAAUGCAUACAUUGGAUUUCAACAUAAAGUGGUUUCAAAUAUUUGAAAAUCCAAAAUGAUGGAUACAACCUUAUGAAUCUGAGAUCAUGCCAUUUUUAAACCAUAUUUAUGUAUAAAUGGUGUUGUGCUUUUGAAAGUAUAUAUAAAAAAAUGAUGUAUAUAGAAUGUAAUUCCAAUUGAAAAUGGAUCCUGCCCGAAAGAAAAAUAGAAUACAAACAGGAUUCGAAUUGAGUUGGCACGGUAAACGUGCACUCUGCAAAAUUUGAACGAAGCGGGGAAAGUCGCAGUGACCGCCCGAAACCAAAAUAUGCGAGAUGGAAAUCACUACUGCCUAUCCCUGCCACGCAAAGCCUAUCUGCUGGAUUUCUAUAGGUUUCGAUAGGGGUAGGUUUGUAAUUUCAACCAAACGUGACGUAACCGCCUCUCACCCGGAUUCAUACACGGUGGGCGCCAAAACACAGUGUGUCCUCGGCCAAAAUCGACUCCCUCCCCGAUUCAUAUUCAUACUCGAUGGGCGCCAAAAACAAACUCUCGUCGACAAAUAUUCGGUGUAUGCGAGAUUACCGUCCUAUCCCCAACUGACUAAUGUUGCUGUGAUGUAGCAGAAAUUUGAAACGAGGGCUAAGUUUGUAAAUUUCCUCGCAUGGUUCCCCCCUUCCUCUCUACCUCCCUUUUCCCCAUUCGUACUCCGUGGAUGCCAAAACACCCUCUCCACCCCACCCUCCUCCGUCCGCCGCCGUCCGCCACCCCAUCCACCGCCGUCCUCCUCCACCAUGCCGGAGCUGAUACCUCGACGCCGCCGUCCAUUACAAGAGAUCGACCUCUCUCAUCCACGGCUUCGGACCGGGAUCCUUGCAUCCCGUCCUCUCGCUUCAUCCCCGCCGUCGUCCACCUUGCCGGCGCCGCUCCUACGACCGUCUCGUCCACUGCGCCCCGCCGCCACCGUCUACCCUACUAGAUCUGCUUCCACGCCACCGACAGCCAUCGCUACCGCAGCACCGUCAAAUUCUCAGCAGAUGCGUACACGGCGCCGCACCAGAGGCGGUACUCUUUCGUAUCGGCUCAACUUAUUUAUCGCAGCAAGAAAAUAGAUCGCCACUUCUUUACUCUGAUUUCUUGUCUUGGUUGCAAAGUUGCCUUUGUCCGGUUUGCACCUUCAGAUCCGCCAUGGCACGCUCAACACUAUACUCCCAAUGCUUAUGGUUUUCCCCUUUUAUAUUCCACACUAGUUAAAUCACAGUAGACUAAAUUUCAAAAUUGGGUCAGUCAAUUUUUCAGAGCUCGCCGGUGCGAUCGAAGGGGCUCGGGUGGUUGUGGGGCCUCGCUGAACAAAGAAAACUCGACGCGGGUGGGGGUUGGGGCGGGGGUGGGGGUGGGGGUGGCGGAGGAGCACAUGCGGUGGGGGCUGGUGGUCCGGCCGGCGGCCCGUGCGGUGUUCUGUAUGGGAAGAAUCAGAGACGAUGAAGAAGAAGGGUUAGGAGACGUAGGAUCUUCAUCCAACCGCCUGAAAUGGUCGAGAGACAGCUGGGAGUUGCAUUCUUAAUACGCUCUGGUUCAUCAUGUGUGGGCACUGCGCAACCAACAUUUUAUUAUCCAAAAUCUGCUUGCUCUUCUUUACCAUGUUCCUCUUCCGUUCUUCUUUAAUAUGUACUCUCUCCAUUCCUAAAUACAAGUCUUUGUAUAGAUUCCACCAUGGACUACAUAUGGAGCAAAAUGAGUGAAUCUACACUCUAAAAUGUAUCUGGAUACAUCUGUAUGUGAUCCAUAGUGGAAAUCUCUACCAAGACUUAUAUUUUGGAACGGAGGGAGUAUGAUAGUAGUACAGUAUGUUCCUUGUACUGAAGAUGAGCAGGGACAUUUGCAGUGUAGAGGUCUAUACGGUCGGUUGUGAUGGACACUUUGAGCCUCUUUGAUUCGUAGGAUCUUGUAAACAUAGGAAUAGGAUUUGUAGUGGCCUGCCCACUUGAAUCCUAUAAGAAUAGCAAGGAAAUGCGGGGAGCUGUGUCGCCUUUGAGAGUUACACUGAUAUUAACAGUACCGCACCUUCACUUGAAGAGAGCUGGUAUCCGAAGCCUUUCUAGCCGUACCGGCAAUACUAGCACAUAUAUUCCAGCAAGUUCCACUUUGCUGAUUUUACUCUGAUGCUUAAGGUUUUCCCGUUAUAUCUACACUAUGAUUUGUGUAGCUGCUUUGUGUCGCACUAGCAGCAGUCCACUCUUGAAGCUAAACACUGCAAUGACUUACAAAAUUGGCACCAAGGUAUUGAGUGCCAUUCUGGAUGCAAUGAAACUCAUACGCUCCCCACCUGUUGAUUCUUGUUUAGAAUAUGAUCCUAAUGACUAUUCUAACCUCGAGGAGUCAAAGGCAGAUGGCCUGUCCUGUUCACCCAUCAAGGUGCCUGUUCUAAUUUGGCAAUGUUUUAUUGAUUGCGGGUAUCUUGCAUAUGUUGUCUUGCAUUUCUUCUACUUUAUUGCACCGCCAUCUGCUUAGUUUACUAAUCAUAUAUGUCGAGAUGCCAUGCCCAUCCAUUAUCAAUACAUAUUCCAUCUGUCAUCAUACCAUGUUUUUCCCCUCAAAUGCUGUUCUUGUGCAUCAGACAUCAAAAAGGAAGAGGGUGAUUGCCGAACCUGAGGAGCACCAGCAAAGUCCUUGAAAAACAUGGUGGUGCCGGAGAAAUCAGACAACACCCCACUUAUAUUGGCUGUACAACCAGUGACACAAAACGUAGGACCGACUCUAGCAGACUGUACCCAUACUUCACUGGCCACACCACUAGCCCCACCGCACAGGACCUGCAGUCCAGCAAAAGGUAUACCGAUUUCAUUUGCCAUAGCACCAGCUGUACCACAGAAAAAUCCCACUCCAGCAAAAAGUACAGCAAGUCCACCGGCCGAAGACCAAUCCCAACUGCAGAGACAGCCAAUUCCUGCAGAUUGGAAUCCCAUUCCAUUUAUUCCCAGUUUAAAAGACAAUGCUUUCAAUGUUGUUAGGGACUACGUGCAUAUAUUCCCAUCAUGGGAAGAUUAUUGUGAAGACAAACACCAUUUUCACAUCUUCCUGUCCAACUUACGUGUAAGUGCUAUUAUUCAUGGUUAUUAUUUUCCUGUUUUCUGCUGAUUGAACACGUCAAUGAUUUACAUUACAUUGUUGUAACUAGGCGAGGGUCAAUCUGGAUAGUCAGGACGAGCAAAGCUUGCUUGUGCUUUUCAAGGAAGCAUUGCAGCAGUAUCGGUGUUACCUGAGGAAAUCACACUUUGAUGGCAAGUCUAUAAACGAAUUUCCGGUGAAGUCUCCUGUGCUAAAUUUAGAAGACAUUGAAUGGAAAAACCUUGUUAUGCACUGGUCUCGUUCCUAGGAUGAGGUACUGUCUAUGAAAUCACAUGACAAUUUGAACUUCUACUUUUCCGCAUGUGCCUUACGGAUCUUUUUUGCAGGAAAUCUGCUCGAAGAAGAAUUCCGGUUUGACAAGAACGACAGGAUAUCGCAAAUAUGCUGCCCGCUGCUUUGCUCUUGUUAGUACCUGUUGUCCUGUAUCACUGUACUUGCAUACAUACCUGGUUCAUUAUGUGACAGCAGUAUGCAUGAUAGCUUGCUUAUCAAUUGUUCGCUCCAAAUUAUCUGAUCUGUAUGAAUGGUUACAUUAGUGUAGAAUAUAUCCAAUGCCAAUUUUUUUAGCUCUGCAUUGUUCUUGUAAGUACAUGAUGUCCUUUAUCAGUGUACUUAUAAUGACAGGUAAUUGUUCAUGUACCAUCACUUUGCAGCUUAUUUUCCUUUGCCCUCCAUUUUCUACACAUCAGAUCUAUAUUUACUCUUACCAUAAGGUUGGUACUGAAGAAGUUUAGGUGUGCAUUGCUCUUGGCUCUACCUUUUGCCUGUAUCGCUGCACUUACAUUUAUAGCUACUUGGUUAUGUAGCAUCACUCUUCAUCUUAUCUUAAAUAUUCUCCAUUUUUUUGUAUAUUAUCACAUCUAUAUUUACUCUUAACAAAAUGUAGAAUAAAGGUAAUGCUUUUGAAGAAGAUUCUGUGGUAAACUUCUUGAAUUGCCCCCCCCCAUCAGCAUGGAAAAGGCCUUUAUAGAGCCUGUCUUCAGCAAUAAUGUAAGUUUGUCCAUCUCAAGCCUUCAAACUUUGUUGUAUAUAUUUGGUUAGGCAUGACUGCAACAACUGUUUAUUUUUCGUGUUUGCAUCAAAUUGCUUGUUUAAAGUUUAUUAUGUAGUUCAUAAACAAAAGUUUGUCCUUUCUCAAUUUAAGUUUUCAGUUGUACAACCAAGUUCCUUCUUUAUACCAUGUAAAUUAAACUAUACGGAGCAAGUGAUCUUCUUUUGCACUGCAUGUAUGCUUCUGUUCUUCAUCUGUAAUCCAGUGGUGUGGUGAACCUACCCACUACAGCACAAUGUCAUAUUCUGCAAUGUCUUAACUAUGAACAAUGUCAUAUCAUUCUACUAUUAUUUAAACCAUCUCUUUAUUUGCCAAUCUGAAAUGGUAUAAAUUGACAGCACACUAACCAUUCAUACUUAUGAGUUCUUGAUCUGUAAUCCAGUGGUGUCGUGAAGCUGCCAACUCCUUCACAAUGUCAUUUCCUGCCAUGUCUUGACCUGAACAAUACCAUAUUGUGUUAAUGCAAUUUUAAAUUGUGUCACUUUAUUCGUCCGUAAGAAAUGUGAUGAAUUGUCAGCACUGAUACUUUUAUGUGCAAAACCUGUGAUCUGUCUGCUUGUUUAUCUUUCAGAGUGAGGAAGAUAUAAGUGUUGAACAAGCGUAGUCUCAUCAUCUUGCUCAGCUGCUUGCGCUGCAGCUCCCCAGCAGGGCUAACCUUUCUUGAACUCUAUUGAAGUGCUGUCGGUUUUGUAUAUUAUUUUGUCGGCGUGUUUAUUUGCACUGGUGGCGAUCUUUGAUGCCCAGUGUAUGUAAUCUGCUGUCUGCUUGUGCUUUAUUAUCAUAGUGGCGAACUUUGAUGCCCAGUGGAUGUAAUAUGCCGUAAUUUCUUUAUUGUAUAGUCUAGGUUUUUUCUUAUUCACGAUGCUGCAGUUAUUUUACUGUAUAUAUAUCCUGUCUUCGCAGUAAACCGGCCAAACCGUAAAAUUACGGUACAUAAUCGGGCCGUCAUGGAAUCACGAUGUAGGUUGGGCCUGAAACGUGCCGAACAGCUCACGGGCCGGCAGCAGCCCGAAAUGAACCCCGGCCCAUGAUUGUGCGAAUCAAAUCACGGGCUUUUACAGGCCAAAAUUGUCUCGGUCCUUGUUUGGCCCAAUCAGAUAUCGGCUGCGAGCAGGCCGGAUGCAAACCGGGCCGUAGUUAGGCCCAACUAUAUGACGGGCUUUUAAAAGGCCGAAAUUAAUAUCGGGCCGAAAUGUUAAACGGGCCUUUAACAGGCCAAAACUAAUAUCAGGCCGAAUUACUAAGUGGGCCUUUAGCAAGUGGGCCCAAAAGCAUAGUGUCCAGUUGACGGGCCGAAUCUGAUAUGGGCCAUAAUUGAGCCCAAAGCCUCUUAAAGGGCCGGACCUGAUCUGGGCCGUAAUUUGGCCCAGAACGUGGUAGGCUUAACGGGCAGGAUCUCAUAUGGGCCACUAUUAGGCCCGGAGCGUGGCAGGCCAUUAAUGGACUAGAUCAAAUAUGGGCCGGCAUUUGGCCCAAAACAUGGCACCGAGUUAAUGGGCCGGCCUACUAGGGUCCUCAAAAUCUUGUGGGCCUACAGCUGGGCCGGCCCAUUAAUGUCGGCAAAAUCUCGUGGGCCUUUAGCUGGGCCGGCCCAUUAUGAUCCGCAAGAAUCUUGUGGGCCUUUACCUGGGCCGGCCCAUUAUGGCACACAAAAAUCUUGUGGGCCUUUACCUGGGCCGGCCCAUUAUGGCCCGCAAAAUCUUGUGGGCCUUUAGCUGGGCCAGCCCAUUAUGGUCCGCAAAAUCUCGUGGGCCUUUAGCUGGGCCGGCCCAUUAUGGUCCGCAAAAUCUUGUGGGCCUUCAGUUGGGUCGGCCCAUUUAAACUUGAUGGGCCAGUCCACGUGUCAACAUAUCAUAGGCGCGUCUCGCCCAUUGGAUGAGUGACACCUGUGCCAACGCGGACCUGACACGUGUCUCCUCCAGCCAAUGAUGAUUUUACACAUGGAAAAUCCCCAUUGGUCGGGGCUGUUAACGGGUUAUCGGAUCCAAAACCCGACCCGAUAGCUUAAUGGCAUUCCGUUACGGUGGAUGCCACGUGUCGGUCACCCUUGACGAAAGCACUUCUGUGACGCGCGAUUUAUCGUCAUGGAAGUGGAUACUUCCGUGAUGAUAAUUUUGGUAAUGUCAUGGAACACUUCUACGACAGCACAGGUAUGACUAUCUUGAUUCUGUCAUAAAUUUGUCAUGGAUGUACAUGCAUGACAAAAAAUGCGACCUACUGUGACAAACACGUAUCAUCACGGAAGUGUAUUUUUUUUGUAGUGCCAACUACAACUAUGGAUAUCCGCCAGGCCAUCCGUGGCAAUAAACCAACUUAGGCCAAAAGCCUAAGCUUGGGGGAGUACGUAUUUCUCACCGACAUUACAUUUAUGUUCACACACUCAUUGCUAGUUGUCGGUGCUCAUACUCUUCCACUGUAUUAUCCAUGCUAGUUUAUUUUCUUUUUAGUUUUCUUCUUGUGUGUUUGAAAAUCCUUAAGAAAAACCAAAAAAAUUAGUUGUAGCUUUUAGCUAGUUUACUUUCCAUGCUUGUAGUAGUAAUAAUUAAAAAGAAAACCCAAAAAUAUUUCCCGUUCUUCUUUUGCUUGUUCGGAGCUCUCCCGUGUAAAUAGUUUUAUUUCUUUUCUUUUCUUUGGGGGUCGAUAGGAGAAGACCAUAAUGAAAUUGUUGAAGUGGCUCUUAUAUGCAUUAUUGUUGACUUAACCAAGAGCCCAUAUUGCCUUGUCUUCUCCUGUAUAUUGAAUGCUCGCGGAUUCCAGCUUAGUCCAAUGCACGUGCAAUAUUAUUAUUAUUCACAUCGUUCGGUCGUGCAAGUUAAAGGCAAUAAUGACGAUAUAUGAUGGACUGAUUGAGAUGAGAGAAGCUGGUAUGAACUCAACCUCUCUUGUUUUUGUAAAUAUGAUUAGUUCAUCGUUCUUGAUUCAGCCUAUUAUGAAUAAACAUGUUUGAAAUGACAAUUAGAGAUUAUAGUUGCUCGUGCCAUGCUUAAUUAGCUAGGAGUUUAUAAUGGUUUACCUUGCGUGCCAACAUGCUAUUAAAAUGGUUGUGAUGUGGUAUGAUGGGGUGGUAUCCUCCUUUGAAUGAUUCGUGUGACUUGACUUGGCACAUGUUCACGCAUGUAGUUGAAACAAAUCAACAUUGCCUUCAUGAUAUUUAUGUUCAUGGUGGAUUAUAUCCUACUCAUGCUUGCACUCAAUGUUCAUUAAUUUUAACGCAUGUUUAUGACUGUUGUCGCUCUCUAGUUGGUCGCUUCCCAGUCUUUUGCUAGCCUUCACUUAUACUAAGCGGGAAUACUACUUGUGCAUCCAAUCCCUUAAACCCCAAAGUUAUUCCAUAUGAGUCCACUAUACCUUCCUAUAUGCGGUAUCUACCUGCCGUUCCAAAUAAAUUUGUAUGUGCCAAACUCUAGACCUUCAAAUGAAAUUCUGUUUUGUAUGCUCGAAUAGCUCAUGUAUCAACUAGGGCUGUCCGUAUCUUCCAUGUUAGGCGGGUUAUUCUCAAGAGGAGUGGACUCCGCUCCUCACUCACGAGAAAAUGGCUGGUCACCGGGAUGCCUAGUCCCGUGCUUUAUGCAAAUCAAAUCAAAAUAAUUGCAAACAAAACUCCCCCGGGACUGUUGUUAGUUGGAGGCACUCGUUGUUUCGAGCAAGCCAUGGAUUGAUGCUUGUUCGUGGAGGGGGAGUAUAAACUUUACCAUUUUGUUUGGGAACCGCCUAUAAUGUGUAUAGCAUGGAAGAUAUCGCCAUCUCUUGGUUGUUAUGUUGACAAUUAAAGUAUGCCGCUCAAAAUAUUAUUUACCUCUGUUUUAAAAUCGAGCUCUGGCACCUCUACAAAUCCCUGCUUCCCUCUAUGAAGGGCCUAUCUAUUUACUUUCAUGUUGAGUCAUCACCCUCUUAUUAAAAAGCACCAGCUGGAGAGCACUGCUGUCAUUUGCAUCCAUUACAAUUAAUUUAUAUUGGGUAUGACUAUGACUGGAUCUCUUUUACCAUGAAUUACAAUGUUUAGUCAGUCCUUGAUCUUUAAAGGUGCUCUGCAUUUAUGUUUGGCAGUCUCAGAAAGGGCUAGCGAACUUUCAUGUUGAGUCAUCACCCUCUUAUUAAAAAGCACCAGCUAGAGAGCAUUGCUGUCAUUUGCAUCCAUUACUAUUAAUUUAUAUUGGGUAUGACUAUGACUGGAUCUCUUUUACCAUGAAUUACAAUGUUUAGUCAGUCCUUGAUCUUUAAAGGUGCUCUGCAUUUAUGUUUUGCGGUCUCAGAAAGGGCUAGCGAGAUACCAUCUUGUUAUAUCAUAUCAUGAUUGUUUUGAGAAAGUGUUGUCAUCCGAGAUUUAUUAUUAUUGCUCGCUAGUUGAUUAUGCCAUUGAUAUGAGUAAACAUGAGACCUAAGUGUUAUUGUGAAUAUGGUUAGUUAUAAUCUUUGCUGAAAAAUUGAAUGCUGGCUUUACAUAUUUACAACAACAAGAGCAAACAGAGUUUGUAAAAGUUUUUCUAUAUCACUUUCAGUUUAUCAACUGAAUUGCUUGAGGACAAGCAAAGGUUUAAGCUUGGGGGAGUUGAUACGUCUCCGUCGUAUCUACUUUUCCAAACACUUUUGCCCUUGUUUUGGACUCUAACUUGCAUGAUUUGAAUGGAACUAACCCGGACUGACGCUGUUUUCAGCAAAAUUGCCAUGGUGUUAUUUAUGUGCAGAAACAAAAGUUCUCCGAAUGACCUGAAACUCCACGGAACUUAUUUUUGGAAAAUAUUAAAAAUAUUGAUGAAAGCAUCAAGGCCAGGGGGCCCACCACCUGUCCACAAGGGUGGGGGGCGCGCCUGCCCCCCUGGGCGCCCCCCCUUCCUCGUGGCCCCCCUGUUGCUCCACCGACCUCAACUCCAACUCCAAUAUUCGUGUUCGGGGAGAAAAAAAUCAGAGAGAAAGAUUCAUCGCGUUUUAUGAUACGGAGCCGCCGCCAAGCCCUAAACUCUCUCGGGAGGGCUGAUCUGGAGUCCAUUCGGGGCUCCGGAGAGGGGAAUCCGUCGUCGUCGUCAUCAUCAACCAUCCUCCAUCACCAAUUUCAUGAUGCUCACCCCGUGCGUGAGUAAUUCAAUCGUAGGCUUGCUGGACGGUGAUGGGUUGGAUGAGACUUAUCAUGUAAUCGAGUUAGUUUUGUUAGGGUUUGAUCCCUAGUAUCCACUAUGUUCUGAGAUUGAUGUUGCUAUGACUUUGCUAUGCUUAAUGCUUGUCACUAGGGCCUGAGUGCCAUGAUUUCAGAUCUGAACCUAUUAUGUUUUCAUGAAUAUAUGUGAGUUCUUGAUCCUAUCUUGCAAGUCUAUAGUCACCUACUAUGUGUUAUGAUCCGGCAACCCCGAAGUGACAAUAAUCGGGACCACUCCCGGUGAUGACCAUAGUUUGAGGAGUUCAUGUAUUCACUAUGUGUUAAUGCUUUGGUCUGGUACUCUAUUAAAAGAAGGCCUUAAUAUCCCUUAGUUUCCGUUAGGACCCCGCUGCCACGGGAGGGUAGGACAAAAGAUGUCAUGCAAGUUCUUUUCCAUAAGCACGUAUGACUAUAUUCGGAAUACAUGCCUACAUUACAUUGAUGAAUUGGAGCUAGUUCUGUGUCUCCCUAUGUUAUGACUAUUACAUGAUGAACCACAUCCGGCAUAAUUCUCCAUCACCGAUCCAAUGCCUACGAGCUUUUUACAUAUUGUUCCUCGCUUAUUUACUUUUCCGUUGCUACUGCUACAAUCGCUACAAAACCCAAAAAUAUUACUUUUGCUACCGUUACUGUUACUUCCAUAUUACCUUUCUACUAAAUACUUUGCUGCAGAUACUAAGUUAUCCAGGUGUGGUUGAAUUGACAACUCAACUGCUAAUACUUGAGAAUAUUCUUUGGCUCCCCUUGUGUCGAAUCAAUAAAUUUGGGUUGAAUAUUCUACCCUCGAAAACUGUUGCGAUCCCCUAUACUUGUGGGUUAUCAGGCACCUGCGUGGUGACAGGCAGCCUCUACACCAACUCAGCAAGCACCUGCGUGGUGGCAUGCAGAUCUUCGUGAAAGCCCUGCCACCGCGCCACCUCAGCUGCCUGCCUGCCUAAUUUAUUUUCGUGUGCUUCUUGUUAGACCUGCUCUUCUCACAACCCCGCGCUGUGACACCCCAAAAUUUUGACCUUGUUUUAUUAAUUAAAAUUUUGCCAGGAAAUUAAACUUCUUCAUUUGUCUAGAUUUACCUUUUGAUAUUAUGGGUUUUUACAUCAAGUGGAAACUUUCCAAAAGUAUUAUUAGACUUGUACACUCUCUCUAUGAAUCAAUUCUUUAUUAGUGGAUUUAAUUGCAAGAUUUGCUCUUCCCUGAGCUUUAUUCUUUUAAAAUGAUUUUUCAUGAAUUUGGAGUCUCUGUUGCAUUGCAACCAUUUGAUUAAUGCAUUUAAAAUUUUUACCAAAAUUUGGGGAUGUCAUGUGAUGUUUCCACACCACUUUUAUGCAAAAAUAUCUUCUGGUUAUUGGAGAUUUUGAGCUCCACAUCAACUUUUCAAAUCUGGUCCAGUAGGCAUUUUUGCACUACAACCUAUUUAAAUAUUCCUUUAAAAAUUCUUCCAAGUGUUUGGAGAUGUCAGGAGAUGCAUAUAAUUCAACUUUAUGCAAAAACCCAGUGAUGUUCUAUGAAAAAUUUGAGUGAAUCAACCUCAUCUUCAUUCUGGUCCAGUUUGGUGAUUUGUACUGCAACCCUAAUUUAUUUUGCUCUGGUGCCCAUGAGCUUUUUCCUACUUAUAGUCCUCCCUACCAAACCCUUAAGUCCAGGAGAUUGGACCCAUUGGAGUAUUUUCAGUGCAUGCAAUGAUAGCCUUUAGUUUCUGCCCAAAACUGGUUUUCUCAAAAACUUACACUGACAAAUUUCUGUUUUUGCCAAACUAACCUUACCACCUUCUUUAGCUCCUAAAGAGACUAGGAUCUGGGGAGUUUGGCCACCCCAAGAGUUGCCUAGAUGCCCAUGGCAUUCUGUCGAACACCCUGUGUGCAGGAACAGUUUUGGCAUAUUUUCUAGUUUGCAUUGUGGACUUGAGCCCCUGACCCAUCCAGCAUGUCCACUAACCUCCUAGCUAUCCCUAACCCUGGCCUGUUAUCUACCAGCAUCACCCACGCUCUCUAGCACGCGCUGGCUUUUCGUCAAACACCUGAUGUGCGUGCUCUGCGCACGGCCAGAGCGCGCGUUUUGCACGUGCGUGCGCUCGGGUCGCCGCGUCGCACCCCUGGCCCUUGCUCGCCUGCAGAGCCACGCCCUGCCCUCGUCCACACACCAGUACCCUCCAAGCCUCCCUGGCGCCCUACAGCGCCGCCGUCAGGGCUCCCUUGGCGGCACACCAGCGUCGGCAGUGGGCUCUGCCGUGGACGGCGCCGCCCAAGCAACCCGCGCGCGCCAGCUGCCCCCUGGGAACAGCCCGAGCCUAUCCACAAGCCCGUCGGCACGCGCUCGUCGCCGCCACGUAGUCCUGUAGCUACAGAACAGCGGUCGCCGGCGAUCCUAUCCACGGCCGCCGCGGGACCGACCUCGAGCGCCUAUAUAAGGGGACCCCGAGCUCAACCUAGCACUCAGGCAACCUCAUUCUAACCCCCUAGUGCCCCCAUCACCCAGCAAUCGACGUCGGGAAGCUUUCUUCCCCGUCUCCGGCCAGUUCGGUCGCCGCCUCAAUCCAGUGCAGUGCGUCGCAACCGGACCCUCCCCCGCCCAUCCAACGCCACCAACCGUCUCCCCAUAGUCUUGCGGAGCUGCCUAGCGCCUCAGCCUAGACCAAGGACCACCACAGCCCGAAGUCCCUUUGCUCCCGAAGCCCCCUCCGCCGCGGAGCUCGCCGCCGGCGACUCCUUCCACCACCGUCGACCCAGCGACCACCGGAAGGACCGCCCCGGUCAGGCGGGUCCAUCCCUGCCCUCAGAUGCCCUCGAGGAGCAGCCGUUCGUCGACGGCGAUCGCCGGAGUUCCGCCUCCGUUCGGGCAGAGGAAGAGGAGGGAGGAGAGACUAGUCAAACCUGACCAGUGGGCCCGCUGGACCCACUGUCAGCAACCCAGCCCCGCCGACGCGUGUUUUAAGUGGAGACGUGUUUCGCAAAAUACGUUUUCGCUCAACAGAAAGCGUAAGCCCCUCCGAAACGUUUUCUUUUUCUGUUUUAUUUAAAACAGAACUUUGACCAAACUUUGACUGGCUAUAUCUUUUAAAAUAAAACUCCAAAUGAGUUGAUUCUUUUUCCUACCUCUCUCAAAUUUCAUCUAGUUUAUUUUAAGAUUUAUUUCAAAAAAUAUUUGGGACAACUUUUUGUACUGUUUUUGAAAUGUGUGUUAUUUGAAUAUUUCUCAAAAUAGGAUUUUGGAGAAAAGGCAACCUUCAAAAAGUGCACCCCCACAUGCAUACACUUGAAGGCAAGCAUUCUGAACUCUGGCAUAAUAUUUUUGUGUGGUGUUUUGGUACGGUUACAACACCACCGUGACUUGGUGCAUACGUUAUUUUUGUGUGACGAUGAAGUCACACACAUGAGUACAUAUUUGAGAUGCCUUACAGUUAGAAAUGGAUAUGCUGGUGAUAGUAAUCAUCCUCGCGAGCUUUCCAUGCAUACCGGCAGGAAGCCGGAAAAGUCGUGGUCUUGGGUAGACACGAGCUUGUCCCUAGUUCCUCGUUGAGACGAGUAUGUCCGGUAUGGCAUGGUGAUGCUUGAGGAGUGGUGAGUUUAUCUGUUAAUGAAAAUAUUUUUGUCAUGCUAAUCUUUCGGAGAAGACUUGGACCUCCUGAGUCGGCCGUAGGUCGAGUCUUGUUCAGUAACUUCCCCUCCUUGUUUUGUACUACCACUUGUCCCUGCUGCAGGUAGGGUACGGUUCAGUAAGUCGUCAACCCCUUACCAAAGCACACACCAUACAGAGAGGCCAUGGUGGAAGAUACCGGAUGCAUCCGGUAGGCAUGCCACCUGGUCCGGGGGCAUGGGUGUUUCCGGCUGGGACCGAGAGGGGGGCACCCCUUAGAGCACGCGAUAUAAAUUUGAUCCCAUGCUACGUCGAGGUUGUAGCCUCCCCACUUAGAGUUUGGCUUGACAGGUGUUGUGGGUGAUUCCAGACACCGGUAAGUUAAGCUGGUGUGUGCAGGUCAGGCGUGUUUUCAAUUAAAAGGCCGUAAGCGGAAUUAGCCCCGAUGGACUAAAUAAAUCCGUUACUCGUGGGUAAAGAGUACACCCUCUGCAGAGGAUAUAUCUAUUUGGAUAGCCAUGUCCAUGGGUAGGACUACAGUCUGAGAUGGGUCUAGUGACGGUAUUCGGAUGGAGAAACGGGUAAACUGGAUCAUAGUAAUGGUAUUCGGAUGGAGAAACGGCUAAACUGGAUCAUAGUAACAGUAUUCGGAUGGAGAAACGGCUAAACUAGAACAUAGUGACGGUCUUCGGAUGGAGAAACGGCUAGACUAGAACUUUGAUUAUGACCUAUGGCACAUGAGGAUUAUGAUUAUUAUUAUUGUGGACUAACCAGUUACUUCAUUUGAAUUAUUGAGUAUCCCUGGGACGGUUCUACCUCCUGGAUAUUCACUGUGAUUAUUCUUAUAUAAGCCCUUUAUGUGGCGUCGCUCAGACGCCCGACUGCGGCAUGCUUGUUAUUUAUUUAUCCUUUAUAAGCCCUUUAUGUGGCGUCGCUCAGACGCCCGACUGCGGCAUGUUUGUCAUUUAUUUAUUACUCAUAAGCCCUUUAUGUGGUGUCGCUCAGACGCCCGAUUGUGGCAUGCUUGUUAUCUUCUUUUAUUCAUAAGCCCUUUAUGUGGUAUCGCUCAGACGCCCGACUGUGGCAUGCUUGUUAUCUUCUUUUAUUCAUAAGCCCUUUAUGUGGUGUCGCUCAGACGCCCGACUAUGGCAUGCUUGUUAUCUUCUUUUAUUCAUAAGCCCUUUAUGUGGUGUCGCUCAGACGCCCGACUGAGGCAUGAUUUAUCUUAUUAUCCUUUUCAAGGCGUCGCUUCAGACACUCGGUCAGUGCAUUCUAUUUUCUACUUCCGUAUUGCAUAUUCAUUUUUUACCUGCUUGCGAGCAUCAUGGAUUUCGUUUAUUUCGUGACAGACGUUAUGAUCGUAGAAUCUUUCGGAGCAUGUUUGCCCACUAUUAUAUUAUACCCGUAUUCAUAAUGUUUGCGAGUACAUUCAAACGUACUCACUGGCUUGUCCCUGGCUAUUGUCUUGGCCAGAUUCCUCGCAUGGAGAGAGCAUUGCGUUGAUAGCCCCGGAACCUACGCAAUGAUGAUAGCAGCCUCGCGAAGAUAGGAGUUAUCCUGGUCAGCUGUUCUUGUGGGAAAUGGAGUCCCAUAGACGCAGAUGAACCACAAAUCGCUUCCGCCAUCAACCACUAGAAACCAAGUGCUGUACUCAUAGGCCACAAUGGUCUUGUACUACAUAUUUUGUUCUUUGCUUGGAAUUCUUGUAUCAAGUUGGUGCCUCAUCAGCUAACAGUAAUCCUGGGGCUGGUGAGCACAAAGGCCGUUUUCUGGGAAAUGAAUAUCCCGAAAAACCGGUCCUGACACGCGCCCGCCAACCGUAGAAGGGAUUCCAGUUAUCCCAUAGGUGUCGUUUCCCACCGACACAUUGUAUUAUCCAUGCUUAAUUUAUUUUCUCGCUUUCUUCUUGUGUGUUUGAAAAACCUUAGAAAAAAACAAAAAAUAGUUGUAGUCAGUUUACUUUCUAUGCAAGAUUAGUUGUAAUAUUAAGAAGGAAACCCAAAAAGAUUUCCUUGUUCUUCUUUUUCUUGUUGGGAGCUUUCUCGUGUAAAUAGUUUUUCUCGUUUUUGCUUUUCCCUUUUAUUUGCUUGUUCAAGAAAACCCAAAACCCCAAAAAUUUUUCAGUGUGUUUCUCUAAAUUUCUUUUGUUUUUAUUGAGUCAUACCGAGGAGAAGACCACGAUGAAAAUGUUGAGUGGCUCUCAUUUGCAUAAUUGUUAAUCUAACGAAGAGCCCAUUUUACCUUGUCGUCUCCUGUUGAAUAAAAUGUUUACAGAUUCUAGCUUAGUCCACGACACUCUUUCACUAUUAUUAUUUUCACAUCGUUCGGUCAUGCAAGUGAAAGGCAAUAAUGACGAUAUUCGAUGAACUGGCUAUGGCAGAGAGAAACGGGUAUGAACUCGACUUGUUCUGUUUUUAUAAAUAUGUUUAACCUAGUAUCCAUGAUUCAGCCCAUUAUGAUUAAACAUGUUUGCAUUGACAAUUAGAGAUUAUAGUUUCUCAUGACAUGCAUAAGUAGCUAGGAGUGGAUAAUGAUUUAUCUUGCAUAUCAACAUUGCGUUAAAAUGAUUGUGAUGUAGUAUGAUGAUAUGGUAUCCUCCUCUGAAUGUUCGAGUGGCUUGACUUGGCACAUGUUCAUGCAUGUAGCUGAAUCAAAACCAACAUAGCCUCAAUGAUAUUUAUGUUCAUGGUGUUCAUAUCCUACUCAUGCUAGUGUCCAAUGUUACUUAUGCAUAAUGUAUGUUCAUGAUCGUUGUUGCUCUCUAGCUGGCCACUUCUCAAUCUAUUUGCUAGCCUUCACCUGUACUAAGUGGGAAUUCUGUUUGUACAUCAAAAACCUUGAACCCAAGUUAUUCCAGAUGAGUCCACCAUACCUACAUAUAUGCGGUAUUACCCCGCCGUCCUAAGUAAAUUUGCAUGUGCCACCUCUAAAAACUUCAAAUAAAUAUCCUUUUUGUGUCCCUGGAUCGAUCAUGGAACGACAAGAGGUGGUCGGUAUCUUCCAUGCUAAGCGGGUUAUUCUCAGAUCGAGCGUUUAUUCACUCGCCAUCGCACGAGAAAAGGGCGGUAAUAGGGAUGCCCAGUCCCAAACUGCAAACAAAAUAGCUUACAAAUAAUCAAAUAAAAACUCCCAAUGGAGUCAAAACCUUUACAUUUACCGCUUGGGAACCGCCACUAGCGUGCUUAGCAUGGAAGAUGUUGAUAACUGAUGGUCGUGAAGUUAAUGAGAAGGGUGCAUGUCUCAAAAUAUCAUUUACCUCUGUUUUAAAAACUUGAGCUCUGGCACCUCUACAAAUCACCGCUUCCCUCUACGAAGGGACUAUCUAUUUACUUUUAUGUUGUGUCAUCACCUUCUAAAAUAAGCGCCAGAACCUGAGAGCACUACUGUCAUGCUGAUGCAUUGUGUGUAGGUAAUGUUGGGUGCAUCAUGACUGGAUCUUUUCUACCAUGAAUUACAAUGUUUAGUUGCUGCUUGAACUUUGGAGGUGCUCUGCAUUUAUGUUUUGCUGUCUCAGAAAGGGCUAGCGAGAUACCAUUAUUGUCAUAUUAUAUCAUGGUUGUUUUGACAACGUGUUGCUGUUUGAGAUAUCUUAUUAUUUGCUCGCUAGUUGAUUGUGUCAUUAAUAUGACUUAAUAUAAUUUUUAAGACUUAUUGUCGGCAUGGUUAGUUAUAAUGUUGGCUGAAAACCUGGGUACUGUUUAAGCUUAGUUAUGCAAACAAGAGCAAAAGAGUUCGUAAAAGUUUUUCUUUUUCACUUCUAGUUUAUCAACUGAAUUGCUUGAGGACAAGCAAAGAUUUAAGCUUUGGGGAGUUGAUACGUCUCCAAUGUAUCUACUUUUCCUAAUGUUUUUCCUCUUGUUUUGGACUCUAAUUUGCAUCAUUUGAAUGAAACUAACCCCGGACUGACGUUGUUUUCGGCAGAACUACCAUGGUGUUGUUUUUGUGUAGAAAUAAAAGUUCUCGAAAUGGAACAAAACUUUGCGAGGAUUUUUUUAUACAAUAAAAGAGAGUUUCUGGAGCCAAGAGCCACCGGAGGGGGGCACCUGGGUGGGCACAACCCACCAGGGCGUGCCUGCCCUCCCAGGCACGCCCAGGUGGGUUGUCCCCACCCGGUGGCCCCGCAGACCCUGAAACCGACGCUAUAAAAUCCUAUUUUUCCAGAAAAAGGGGGGAGAAAGAAUUAUCGCGAUCCACAAGAUGGAGCCACCGUAACCUCCUGUUCUUCAUCGGGAGGCGAUCUGGAGUCCGUUUGGGGCUCCGGAGAGAGGGAUCUUCGUUCCUCGUCAUCACCAACCCUUCUCCAUCGUCAAUUCCAUGAUGCUCCCCACCGGGAGUGAGUAAUUCCUUCGUAGGCUCGCUGGUCGGUGAGGAGUUGGAUGAGAUUCAUCAUGUAAUCGAGUUAGUUUUGUUAGGGCUUGAUCCCUAGUAUCCACUAUGUUCUGAGAUUGAUGUUGCUAUGACUUUGCCAUGCUUAAUGCUUGUCACUUUGGGCCCGGGUGCCAUGAAUUCAGAUCUGAACUAUUUAUGUUAUCACAAUUAUAUCCAUGUUCUAGAUCCGAUCUUGCAAGUUAUAGUCACCUACUACGUGUUAUGAUCCGGCAACCCCGGAGUGACAAUAGUCAGGACCACUCCCGGUGAUGACCGUAGUUUGAGGAGUUCAUGUAUUCACCGUGUGUUAAUGCUUUGUUCCGGUUCUCUAUUAAAAGGAGGCCUUAAUAUCCCUUAGUUUCCAGUAUAGACCCCACUGCCACGGGAGGGUAGGACAAAAGAUGUCAUGCAAGUUCUUUCCAUAAGCACGUAUGACUAUUUACGGAAUACAUGCCUACAUUAUAUUUAUGAACUGGAGCUAGUGCCAUAUCGCCUUAGGUUAUAACUGUCACAUGAUGAAUAUCAUCCAACAAAUUAUCGAUCCAAUGCCUACAAACUUAUCUUAUAUUGUUCUUGCUAAGUUACUACUGCUUUCGUUACUGCUGCACUUGCUACAAAAAUACUGUUAUCACUGUUACCGUUACUAUUGUUGCUGUCACUACUAUCAAAACUAUAAUAUUACAUUGCUAUUGGUCACGUUGCUGCAGAUAAUUAAUCUCCAGGUGUGGUUGAAUUGACAACUCAGUUGCUAAUAGUUGCAAAUAUUCUUUGGCUCCCUUGUGUUGAAUCUAUAAAUUUGGGUUGAAUACUCUACCCUCGAAAACUGUUGUGAUCCCCUAUACUUGCGGGUUAUCAUGUAGUAUGAUAGGAUGGUAUCCUCCUUUGAAUGAUUCGAGUGGCUUGACUUGGCACACGUUCACAUAUGUAGUUGAAACAAAAUCAACAUAGCCUCUACGAUAUUUAUGUUGAUGGUGAUUUAUAUCUUACUCGUGGUUGCACUCAAUGUUUGUUAAUCUUAAUGCAUAUUUAUGACUUUGUCGCUCUCUAGUUGGUCGCUUCCCAGCCUCUUUCUAGCCUUCACUUGUACAAAGCGGGAAUACUGCUUGUGCAUCCACUUUUAUAAACCCAAAGUUGUUCCAUAUGAGUCCACAAUACCUUCCUAUAUGUGGUAUUUACCUGUCGUUCCAAGUUAAUUUGCAAGUGCCGAACUCAAAACUUUCUAAUGAUAAUCUGUUUUGUAUGCUCGAAUCGCUCAUGUACCAACUAGGGCUGUCAAUAUCUUCCAUGCUAGGUGGGUUAUUCUCACGAUGAGUGGACUCCGCUCAUCAUUCACGAGAAAAUGGCUGGUAAUCGGGAUGCCCAGUCCCAUGCUCAAAUCAAAUCAAAAUAACUGCAAAUAAAACUCCCCCAGGAUUGUUGUUAGUUGUAUGGUAUCUGUUGUUUCGGACCAGCCGUGGAGUGUGCUUGUUGGUGGUGGGGGAGUAUAAACUUUACCAUUCUGUUUGGGAACCGCCUAUAAUGUAUGUAGCAUGGAAGAUACAGAGAUCUCUUGGUUGUUGUGUUGACAAUGAAAGCAUACCGCGAAAAAUAUUAUUUAUCUCUAUUUCAAAACUCGAGCUCUGGCACCUCUGCAAAUCCCUGCUUCACUCUGCGAAGGGCCUAUCUAUUUACUUUUAUUGCUGAGUCAUCAUCCUCUUAUAAAAACCACCAGUUAGGGAGCACCGCUGUCAUCUGUAUGCAUUGUUAUUAAUUUAUAUUUAGUAUGACUGUGAUUGGAUCUCUUUUACCAUGAAUUACAAUGUCUAGUCAGUGCUUGAUCUUCAGGGGUGCUCUAUAUUUAUGUUUUGCGGUCUCAUAAAGGGCUAGCGAGAUACCAUCUUGUUAUAUCAUAUCAUGAUUAUUUUGAGAAAGUGUUGUCAUCCGAGAUUUAUUAUUAUUGCUUGCUAGAUGGUUAUGCCAUUUAUAUGAGUAAACGUGAGACCUAAAUGUUAUUGUGAAUGUGGUUAGUUCAUAAUCUUUGCUGAAAACUUGAAUGCUAGCUUUACAUAUUUGCAACAACAAGAUCUAACAGAGUUUGUAAAAGUUUUUCUUUAUCGCUUUCAGUUUGUCAACUGAAUUGCUUGAGGAGAAGCAAUGGGUUAAGCUUGGAGGAGUUGAUACGUCUCCAUCAUAUCUACUUUUCCAAACUCGUUUGCCCUUGUUUUGGACUCUAACUUGCAUGGUUUGAAUGGAACUAACCUGGACUGACGUUGUUUUCAGCAGAAUUGCCAUGGUGUUAUUUUUGUGUAGAAUAAUAAGUUCUCGGAAUGACUUGAAACUUCACGGAGAUAAGUUUUGGAAUUAAUAAAAAAUAUUGGCGAAAGAAUCAAGUGAAGGGGGCCCACACCCUGACCACAAGGGUGGGGGCGUGCCACCCGACCUUGUGGGCCCCUGGACCUCCACCGACCUCAACUCCAACUCCAUAUAUUCACGUUUGGGGAGAAAAAAAUCAGAGAGAAGGAUUCAUCGUGUUCUAUGAUACUGAGCCGCUGCCAAUCCCUGUUCUUCCUCAGGAGGGCAGAUCUGGAGUCCGUUCGGGGCUCCGGAGAGGGGAAUCCGUCGCCAUCGUCAUCAUCAACCAUCCUUCAUCACCAAUUUCAUGAUGCUCACCGCCGUGCAUGAGUAAUUCCAUCGUAGGCUUGCUGGACGGUGAUGGGUUGGAUAAGAUUUACCAUGUAAUCAAGUUAGUUUUGUUAGGGUUUGAUCCCUAGUAUCCACUAUGUUCUAAGACUGAUGUUGCUAUGAGUUUGCUAUGCUUCAUGCUUGUCACUAGGGCCCGAGUGCAAUGAUUUCAGAUCUGAACCUAUUAUGUUUUCAUGAAUAUAUUUGUGUUCUUGAUCCUAUCUUGCAAGUCAAUAGUCACCUACUACGUGUAAUGAUCCGGCAACCCCGGAGUGACAAUACUCGGGACCACUCCCGGUGAUGACCGUAGUUUGAGAAGUUCAUGUAUUCACUAAGUGCUAAUGCUUUGGUCCAGUACUUUAUUAAAAGGAGGCCUUAAUAUCCCUUAGUUUCCACUAGGACCCCGCUGCCACGGGAGGGUAGGACAAAAGAUGUCAUGCAAGUUCUUUUCCAUAAGCACGUAUGACUAUAUUCGGAAUACAUGCCUACAUUAUAUUGAUGAAUUGGAGCUAGUUCUGUGUCACCCUAUGUUGUAACUAUUGCAUGACGAAUGCCAUCCGACAUAAUUAUCCAUCAUUGAUCCAUUGCCUACGAGCUCGUUUCAUAUUGAUCUUUGCUAAGUUACUUUUCCGUUGCUACUGUUACGAUUGCUACAAAACUGCUACUGUUACUUUUGCCACCGUUACUGCUACUUCCAUACUACUUUGCUGCAGAUAUUAAGUCUUUCAGGUGUGGUUGAAUUGACAACUCAGCUGCUAAUACUUGAGAAUAUUCUUUGGCUCCCCUUGUGUCGAAUCAAUAAAUUUGGAUUGAAUACUCUACCCUCGAAAAUUGUUGCGAUCCCCUAUACUUGUGGGUUAUCAGGUAGGUGGGGAAAUUCUUGAUCCUUCUGGAUGCCGAUCCCACUGUCAUCUGGGUGUUAUGUAGCGAGCCACUUGGCGAGCGGGCUCAGCGGGCCCACUCUGGCCCAACGAAUCUUCUGUUGGGCUGCAUGAUCCUCUUGGGCCUGCUGUCGACGCGUCUUGGAGUGAAGCCGUCGGCUGCCUUGGUGGUACGUGUGCUGACAGUAUAUUGAUUAGAGCCCCUAAGUUGAUGUUUAUAAACAAGGGGGAAAAGUCCAUGGUAUGCUACGUAUAUUUAAUAGAAAUAUAAAGUAAUAUACUGAGAUGUUUCAUGAAAUAACUCUCCCAUUUUUCGCCACAAAGGGGAUUUUUUUUAUUAUCAUCAGGGGAUUUAUUACUUGAGAAUGAGAGUGGUGUGCAUACUUCAGAAAGCGCUCCCUCGAUAUUCUAAAACUCCACCUCAAUAGGUUCUCCAGAUACACCGCAUUGUCAACGAAGUAAUCCUUCAUCAGCUUCGCAUGGCCCUCGGUCCUACUGCGCCAAAUGUACCUAUGGCCUUGCCGAGAACAAGCUCUAGUUCUUCUUCUUCAUCCAUCUAUCAUGACCAGCUUGUUUUUGAUCGGCUCGACAAGCGCCGACAACGAGGAUAGCAAAGAAAAAAGUCCUCUCACCCGAAUUUCGUAAAUUGGGACCUUUUUGGUGAGAACGUUUUGCCACUACUGAAAUCAGGAAAUUUGCCGUAUGUCAUUUCUUUACCGUCUGGUAACGGACGGCAAAGAAGGUCUUUGCCGUCUGCUUACAGAAAAUGGACGGCAAAGAAAUGGAUAUUUGCAAUCAGCCAUUUCUUUGACAUCAGCUAGCAGACGGCAAAGAAUCUUGUCCACCUCUUUGCUGUCUGCUAGCUGACGGCAAAGAGAACGGUAGCUAACGGCUAUGGCCCAUCCCCCGCACCCCACCUCCCACUCUCCAUCUCUCUUUCUCUCUCACUCCACCGCGCCGCCCCCGACCCCCACCGCCCUCACCGGUCCUGACCCCCGCCGCGCCGCCGCGCCACCCGCCGCCCCACGGUUUGCUGCGCCCCCGCGGCCCCUGUGGCACGGCGCCCCGCCGCCCCGCGGCAAAGCCUCCCGUUAGCCACCUAAUGUGGCUAACACCUGUUCUUUGAUGUCCAUGUUCUAUGCCAUCUGCCACCGACGGCAAAGGGUCUUUACCGUCCGCUGUGGGAAAGCAGACGAUAAAGAAGCUGUUUACCGUAGCUUACUGUGCCAGACAGGUUUGCCAUCAGCUUUUUGGUCCUUUGCCGUCUGCCAUGGUAGACGGCAAAGAAGCUGAUUCCUUUAGUGUGUCCAAUCUUUUCUUUAAUAUUGGUUCAGUACAAUUUUUAAUCUCCGACGAGAGACAUAAAACCAAAGGAAGAAGAAAGUAUAAUAAAUUUAUUUAUUACUGAUCGUUGUGUUGCGAGUUGUCUUUUUUUUGACAGGGUAAAUAUUUCAUUUCUCAGAUGCUAGCAAUGUCAUUUACAGUGAAAGAAGAAAUGAACUCAGGCGGGUCAGCUUCCCAAACCGAAGAAUUCUUCAACAUAUAUGCUUGUUUAGCCAAAGCAUCUGCUACACCGUUUGCUUCUCGGUUGCAUAAAGAAGAUUUCACCUGUCCGAUGUCAUAGGAGAGUUGAGCGCAUCCGACAAUCAUGGCUGCUUGGGAACAAUUGAAUGUAUAAGGAUCUUUUACUUCAUCAAUCACAAGUUCACAAUCUGACUCGGCUUCUAUCCUGGAGCAUCCCACAUGAGAUGACAAAUUAAUACCACUCCUAAGAGCAAUUGCUUCAACAGAAACCGCAUCGGAAACAUGUGGAACGAACCUGUCUUUAUUAUACUAAUUAUUGUUUGCUUCAAUAUAUAUCUAUACCUAAUAAUAAAUGGGCUAUUGCUUCUGGCGGUAUAUCAGCAAAAUUGCCUCAAAGUUGUAAAAUAUUACCAACCGAUGCCAUAAGUGAUAAAAAACUUUUCACACAGGGGAAUCUCUGCCUAGAUCGGCCCAUGCAGUAGGAACCUUCUAUACCACGCUCUGCACGCAGAGAGAAGACACUGCUUGCCUAUUUGGGCUGACCAAUGUCUGAGAGGCUUGUUUUUUAAUUUUUGUUUUCCUUUUCCUUCUUCAAUUUUUUUCUACUUUAAAUAAUUUGGGACUACAAAAAAUUUCGAUAAAAUCAAAAAAAUGAGAAUGUUGAAAUAAAAUGUUUAAAAAAAAUUCGCAUAUUCAAAAAUUGUGUGCAAUUUUGAAAACAAAUGUUUGAGAUAUCAGAAAAUGUUCAUGUAUUAAAAAUGUUAAUGAAAUUGAUCUAAAAUUUGUCAAUUCAAAAAUUGUUCAUGAAUUGAAAAAUAUCCUAAAAAUUCACAAACUGUUCAUGACUUACAAAAUAGUUUAUUGAUUCAUAAAAUGUUUGCUGAUUCAAAAAGUGUUUAUUAAAUCAAAAGAAUGUUCAUGCGUUUUAAAAGUUGUUCCACCGAUUUCUUAAAAAUGAUCAUCUAUUCUAGAAAUGUUCGCCUAUUCGAGUAAAAUGUUUUAAAAAAUGUUCACAAUUUUGAAAAAAUGCUUGUAAAUAAUAUAAAAUGUUCAUGAAUUCAAAAACUGUUCGUUAAAUCAAAAAAAUAUUCAUGCAUUUCAAAAGUUGCUCCACCAAUUUCGUCAAAAUGAUCUUCGAUUCGAGAAAUGUUCGCCUAUUCAAGAAAAAUGUUUAAAUUUUUUCACAAUUAAAAAAAUGCUUGUAAAUAAUAUAAAAUUGUCAUGAAUUCAAAAAAGUUCAUGAUUUUAGAAAGUGUUCAAAAAUCAGUAAAAAUGUUCACUAAUUUGAAAAAUGUGCAUGAUUUUGAAAAAUUGUUCAUGAUUUCACGAAAAUGAGAGUGAUAGCGUGUCUCGGUGAGGCAGCAAAAAUAUGGUCAUGGCCAUCGGAGAUUAUGAUUAUUUUCUCCGGUUGCAACGCACGGGCUGUUUUGCUAGUAAUAAUUAUCAAGUUAACUUUUGAUGUUUGUUUUUGAAAAAAAAUUGCUGAUCAAAAUGUGAACAAGAUUUGUUCAGAAAUAUAAACCAGAUUUUUUGAUUAAGAAAGGGGAAAAAGGAAUGCGGCCUGAACACCACAGUCUAGAUUACAUUAGUGAAAUAAAGUUAAUCAAGACUGAUGCCUAUGCUUAUGCAAUAUUUGAAGUUCUCCCUCAAAGUUUGUGAUCACUUCAUCAUUUGUUUGUGCACUAUGUAAUACAUUUAACAGUUCACGAAUGUAAAAAAUCAUUUUCAUGAAUUUUAAAAACACACAUGAAAUUUGAGAAAUAUUCGUCAAUAUGAAAAGUUUAUGAAUUGAAAUAAAUGUUCGUGCAUUUGAAAUGGUCACAAAUUUGAAAAAUUAUUUGCCAAUAUAGAAAAUGGUCAUGAAUUCAAUUUUGUUUGCAGAUUAAAAAAUGCUCAUGAAUUUAACAAACAAAUCGUGAUCCAAAAAUUGUUAGUACCUCCAAAACGAUUCUGAAUUUGGAAAAAAAAUGUUCACAAAUUCCUCUUAAGCCCCAUAAAAUGUCUCAAUCCCGUCUUCUCUCCAUUUCCCUGGUUGGAUCCCAUCACAUGCAAUCGGUGUUGGCCAGCAUGGUGGCUCCCAAGGGCUCCCCUAAGUACAUCGCUGAACCCAACUGAAUAAAGCAACGGACUACGAUUGUGGGACUUGAUAUUUCAAAACUCGAUCUCUCGCUUCAUCCAAAAUUCAUGUAGUAUACAAGAAGAAUUUAGUUCCUUUGUCUCUUUUAAUUUAAUUUAAUUUUCCUGUAGUUUAUUUUGUCCUUCCGAACAUCGUCUACUCCAUCCAAACACCUCCAACAAACCAAUCCCUUUAUUUAAGUUUUGCCAGUUUAUUUUGCUUUUCUUCAGCUUAGAAAUGUUUCCAACCAAAUCCUUCUAAGAAAGCAGUCGGCUCGGCUUGAUUACAUUUAAUUAGUUCAUAGCUUUUUGUUCUCCUCAGUUUGUUAUGUACUUCUGUUAUUUAUGGCAUAUAGAUGAACUAGAUGACUGGAUUCUGGUGGGCAGGGAUAGGAUGAAGGCAAGAGUGGAGAAGUUGCACAAUGAAGAUUUGGUCAUUAUCUUUUUUGAACCGCGCGCCCACCAAGAGCCUGGACAGCGUGACGCCAUUCGAGGCAUGGCAUGGACGCAAGCCGAACGUGCAUUUCCUGCGCACCUUUGGGGUGUGUAGUGCAUGUGAAGGACACGCGCCCUGGACUGAAGAAACUCGACGAUCGCAGUCGGCCGAUGAUCUUCGUCGGCUACGAGCACGGCACAAAGGGCUACAGGGCCUAUGACCCAACAACUGGGCGCGUGCACAUCACGCGCGACGCCGUGUUCGACGAAGGGGCACGCUGGGAUUGGACAAAGGAGGAAGGCGCCGUGAACCCGUUCAGCGACACCGACACGUUUGUGGUCGAACACCUGGUGAGCAACGCUCCAGGAGCGACGGAUGGGGGGGGGGGUGGUGCAGCCACCUCGCCUCCGACCACACCACCAGCGUCCCCAGCACCGUCGUCUGCAGCAUCGUCAAAUCCAACACCGUCUACUCCACCGUCUGUCAGCCCAGGAGGGGUGGAGCUAGUGUCGCCGCCGACGUCGUUCAGCGACAACGUGCUCGACGCGGCAGACGACAUAGAGUGCGAGCACCGUUUCCACACCCUGCAGAACGUGCUGGAUUUCAGCCCGGCGGACGACCCAGACGAAGAGCUCCACCUUCUGGCAGCUGAGGAGGCGAGCUCGUUCACUGAGGCAGAGCAAGAAGCAAGCUGGCGGGGCGCCAUGAUCGAAGAGUUGAGCUCGAUCGAGGACAAUCAAACAUGGCAGCUCACAUCUCUCCCUCCAGGGCACCGCGCCAUUGGCUUGAAGUGGAUCUACAAGGUCAAGAAGAACGCGCGCGGGGAGGUAUACUCAAGCACAAGGCUCGGCUCGUGGCGAAGGGCUAUGUACCGCAGCACGACAUCGACUACGACGAGGUGUUCGCUCCAGUAGCGUGUCUCGAGUCAGUGCGGGUGCUGGUAGCACUCGCGGCGAACGCGGGCUGGGCCGUUCAUCACAUGGACGUCAAUCGGAGUUCCUGAAUGGCGAACUCCAGGAGGAAGUCUAUGUGCAGCAGCCGCCGGGAUUUGUCAUCGCCGGCAAGGAGCAUCUCGUCCUGUGCCUGAACAAGGCCCUGUACGGUCUGAAGCAGGCUCCCAGAGCGUGGAGCACCAAGCUAGACACCUGUUUGAGCAAGCUGGGGUUCAUGCGCUGUCCGUCAGAGCACGCGGUGGACGCGCGGGGCACGGCGACCACACGCCUCAUCGUGGGCGUGUACGUGGACGACCUGGUGAUCACCGGAUCCGACGCAGAAGAGAUCACCAAGUUCAAAGGAGAGAUGCAGAAGUUGUUCAAGAUGUAUGAUCUGGGUCUGCUAAGUUUCUAUCUCGGAUUGAAGUGAAGCAGACAGAGGAUGGCAUCGUCAUUACUCAGAGCGCGUAUGCACGGAAACUCCUGGAGAAGAGUGGCAUGGCUGGUUGCAAACCCUGUCACAUCCCCAUGGAGCCCCGCUUCAAGCUAUCAAAGGAGAGCACGGCGCCACCAGUGGAUGCGACGGAGUACCGCAACAUCGUCAGCAGCCUGCGCUAUCUGGUGCACACGCGCCCUGACCUAACCUUCUCGGUUGGGUAUGUUUCACGCUUCACGGAGGCGCCAACUGAAGAGCACCACACCGCUGUCAAGCACAUCUUGAGGUACAUCGCCGGCACUCUGCAUCUGGGCUGCAAGUACGUCAGAGGAGCUGGUGAACCUGAACUCACUGGGUACAGCGACAACGACCUUGGCGACGAUGUGGACACACGCAAGAGCACCUCUGGCACUCUGUUCUUGCUCGGAGGAGGAGUGAUAACCUGGCAGUCGCAGAAGCAGAAGAUUGUGGCACUCUCCAACUGCGAAUCAGAGUACGUCGCAGCAACCACAGCAGCCUGUCAGGGAAUCUGGCUCACGCGCCUGCUCGGCGAGUUCAGAGAAAAGGAAGAGAAGGCAGUGAGACUCAAGGUCGACAACAAAUCCGCAAUCUCUCUUGCAAAGAAUCCUGUGAUGCACGACAGAUUGAAGCACAUCGAGCUCAGGUACCAUUUCAUCAGAGAUUGCGUGGAGACGAAGAAGAUUGAACUCGAGUAUGUGGCAACAGAGUUUCAGCUUGCAAACAUGCUCACCAAGCCCCUUGGUCGUGUUCGACUGCAGCAGCUGCGCUCAAGCAUCGGCAUGAUCGAGGCAACGCCCUGAACGAUCAGUUUAGGGGGUGAUUGUUGGGUAAACUUGGCCCAUACAGUUUUCUUGUGGGUGUUGAAUGCAAUUGCCAUCUUCUUAAGAGCAGCGUCCUUGACUUUCUGCACAUCUGCAUCAGUGAAAUAAUCUGGUAGGGUGAAAUGUUCCAUCAGAGAUUCCCAAAGCUUUUGUUUUGCUCUGUCGUUGACCCAAGUAACAUCUGGGCGUUUAGUUUUUGGCUCUUUCCAUUCUUGAAUGGAGAUCGGGAGUUGGUCCUUCACAAGAACUCCGCACUGACGAACGAACUUGUUCGCAAUGUUCUUAGGCGUGACGGGUUCGCCACUAGCUUUGAUGGAAUCGAUGUUGUACUUUACACCCUCCUUCAACUUUUUGCUCGGGCCGCGCUUUGUCCUGCUGUCUGUAGAAGAAGAUUUGCUCGAUCCGGAGGGCUGAAAGAAGAAAGAUCGAUUCGUUAAUAUAUCUUCAAAUAAAAAAACAUGUGGUGAUCACUAGAUGCCUGCUUAUAUAAAUAUACCUCGCCGGUAGUCUUUGUUAUUUCAAGAUUAAUAUUGUAUUCGUCAUCAUAAUCAUUGUCUGCGUCAUCAUAAUCAUAAUCAUAGUUCAUGACUUCAUCAGCUCGGUCGUCGAGAUCGAAUAUCUUAUCAUCACCCUCCCCGGUAUUGUUCAGAUAUUGGGAGCCGUCAUUUGCUUCAUUCAGAUCAUCUGGCCUGCUAGGGCUGCGUAUGAUCUCGAACAGGGCCUCUUCUCCCUCUCUGUCGGUAUUGUCCGCCAUAGCUUUUAUUUAACUAAUACAGAAGAAAUAUAAAACAAUUUAGUAUUCAAAAAUGAAAAACUGCAAUUGCCAUCAAUAAGGAGAAGAGGCAUGGAUGCAAUCAAUAAGGAAAAACUGAAUCAUAUAGUACAUAAUAUGCAUCGUCUCGAAUAAUAUAUAAUCUCGAAUACAUCGUCUCGAAUAAUAUAUAAUCUUGAAUACAUCGUCUUGAAUAAUAUAUAAUUUCGAAUACAUCGUCUCAAAUAAUAUAUAAUCUCGAAUACAUCACUGGCUAGGUAGCUAAUAAAGAUCGAAUACUAUAGAAGAAUCUAGGCCACUCACGGUUCCUGGGGCGCGGGCGGUGGACACCCAAAGACAAGGAACCAUCACAGGAUCAUAUCUCUGGUCAUCUGCCCAAAGAACCUGCCAGGUAUUGGAGAACCUGACGUCCAUAGCAGCCAUGUAGCGAUGGACGUGCUCGUCCUCCUCCCUGACACGACGACGCACCACCUCCGGCGGGGUCGGCUCCUUCUGCACCGAAUGUGGCCCACGCGAACGCCACCAAAGGAGAUCAGGGUCGACGACGGGACCCGAGGCCGGGUUACUCACCAAGCAUCGCGCCCCUCCAGGUAGCACCUCCCAGUGCCAGCCCGGCGGAGCCCAAUCCUGGACAUGGGUCCUCUGAAGCAGGACGUCGUCGCGAACGGGUCGACGGCGAGGAUGCGGGCCGGGCAUCGUCGACAACAAAUACUAUAUGCCGCAAAAGUAAAGUAACAUUUUUUAAAUGAUUGGAUUAUGAUUUCUUAUAUGCAAAUUCUAAAUUUUAUAACUAAAAAUAUAAUAAACUAAAAAAACAUCGACCAUAUCUAAAACUAACAUUUCUAACAUUUCUAUAACUAAAAUUGUAUAACUAAUUUUUCUUUAACAUUUCUAUAACAUUAAUACAGAAAAAACUAACAUUUCUAUAUAUAACUAACAUUUCUAUAUAACUAACAUUUCUAUAACAUUAAUACUGAAAAAACUGAAAAAACUAAUAACUAAUAACUAAAAACAGAAAAACUAAAAACUAAAAACAGAAAAACUAAAAACAGAACAAAAUUGUGUAUGUGUGUGUAUGGUGUGUGUGUGUAUGUGUGUGUAUGUGUUGUGUGUGCAGGCGACGGCGACGGCGAGCCAAGGCGACGGCGCCGGCGGCGCGCGCGGCGGCUUCGAUUGGAGGGAGAGGAGAGGGGGGACAGAGGCUCACAGCGCGGGCGAGGUCGAGGCGACGGCGACGCGGGCCGGUGCGGGGACGGGGACGCGGGCCGGUGCGGCGCGACGAGGACGGGGGCGGCGCGGAGUCGACGGGGACGGCGCGACGGCGCGGGACGGGACGGCGGCGAUGAAGCAGAGAGAAGUGGGAGGAAACUGACGAAAUUUUCAUAAGUGUUGUUUAUAUAGGAGGGGCCUUUAGUACCGGUUGGAGCCACCAAUCGGUACUAAAGGUCGAUUUUGGCCAGACCAAGCGGCGGGAAGCGCACCCCUUUAGUACCGGGUGGUGGUUGCAACCGGUACUAAAGGCCCACCUUUAGUACCGGUUGGAGCCACCACCCGGUACUAAAGGGGGUGCGCUGGCGCAGGUGCGGUGCGGCAAGUUUAGUCCCACCUCACUAGCCGAGGGGCGCCCGCACUAGUUUAUAAGCCCCAGUGUGGUAGCUCUCUCAAGCUCCUCUCCAAAGCAGGCCUACUGGGCCUAGAUGUUUUGUGCUGCCCUGUGGGCCUACUGGGCCUUUGCGGGCCUGCAUCCUGGCCCAACAACAGGUUGGGUUUCUAGUCGUAUGCAGGCCGCUGUGGCGCAGUAGGCGGGCUUUUUAUUUUCUUAUUUUUUUUGCUUUAUUUAUUUUUGUUUUAUUUAUUUUUGAGUUGUUUUUUGCUGUAUUUAGAGUUUCUUUGUGAAUAUUUUUGCUUUAGGUACAAAAAAUUACAAACUUUCUAUUAGUGCCGGUAGUUUACAAAUUUGAGUAGUUUACAUUUUGAAUUAUUUGAAAUUUGUGUGAAUCACUAGUUUGUGAAUAAAUUAACUUUGAAAAUAGAUUUUCAGUGAUUCUUUUUUCUUAUGUUUAAUAUUAGUGUGUUUUAUCAUUAUAUUCAAUUUGGUAAUGCUUAGGUUAUUUAAAGAAUGAAAUCCCUUUGUAACGGAUGAGUUUUCGUCCGAAACCCUGAUACUUCGAAAGAGAUUGUCCAUUUUAUACACGAAGUGCAUCCAGUUUUUGCGGUAACCCUCUCUACGUUUUUGCACAUGCUGUGUGGGUGAAAUUAUCAUACCAUGCCAACUUUCAACCUUUUCUGAGUUCAUUUGAAAUGCUUUUCAAUUUCAGGGUCAUUUAGCUGAAAAAAAUCAGUAAAUGCAUGAAAGAAUUUGUUUGCACAUAAAAUUUCUUCGCGUUUCAAAUGCCAAAACACAUAACUACCCUAACUAUUACAGAGAUUCCCUCCUGGGUGUGAAACACAGAAGAAAGUGAUGAUAGUGAAGCCGAUCACAUCCCAGAUCUUUGGGUGUGAAACUUUUUCGUCGUGUAUGUCCCUUUGCGUCGUAGCCAUGGAAAAUCUUCAUCAUUUAACUGGAUGCUCGGGUCAAUAUUCACUGUGAAUGGAGCAAUUUCAUCAAACUUUUCAUAAUCUUCUGACAUGUCUGUCUUGUCAUCCACUCCCACGAUGUUUCUCUUCCCAGAAAGAACUAUGUGGCGCUUUGGCUCAUCGUAUGAUGCAUUCGCUUCCUUAUCUUUUCUUUUUCUCGGCUUGGUAGACAUAUCCUUCACAUAGAAAACCUGUGCCACAUCAUUAGCUAGGACGAAUGGUUCGUCUCCAUACCGAAGAUUGUUGAGAUCCACUAUUGUCAUUCCAUACUGCGGGUCUUCCGUUACCCCAUAUCGUGUCAUAUUGACCCAUUUGCACCGAAACAAAGGGACCUUCAAACCACGUCCAUAGUCAAGUUCCCAUAUCUCCUCUAUGUAACCAUAAUAUGUUUCCUUUCCCGUCUUGGUUGUUGCAUCAAAGCGGACACCACUGUUUUGGUUGGUGCUCUUCUUAUCUUGGGCGAUCGUGUAAAAUGUAUUACCAUUUAUCUCGUACCCUUUGAGAGUCAUUAUAUUCGAAGAUGGUAACUNNNNNNNNNNNNNNNNNNNNNNNNNNNNNNNNNNNNNNNNNNNNNNNNNNNNNNNNNNNNNNNNNNNNNNNNNNNNNNNNNNNNNNNNNNNNNNNNNNNNGGAAUAUUGUCUCAGUGUAUGCUAUGGCACAAUUGGUUGCGCAGCCUACAAGGUACAAACGCACACAGGCCCAGCCAGAAGCCCAGCCGAGUGACCUAACGAAAAAUCGAACUCAGCCUACAUACGACGUACAAAGAAACAGACAGUCGGACGAAACCAAGAAUAUAACCUUCCUUUAUUAGUAGGUAUACAUGAGUAUAGACUGGGGUAUACAUACAAAUAUAUAUCAUGUCAGGACAUCUGGUAAGUGCACCCUAUGAUGAUCAAUGAGUUUGACAUAUCUUUUAGGUACGAUCAUGAUGAUCCAUGGCGCACUCAAGAGGAGCGUGUGUUGCCAUGAGCCAGGAACUCUAUGAGGUUGCGGUUGAAGACACAUGGCCUCUCCAGUUGUACAAGAUGCCCUGCUUUGCUUAUGCGUCGCAGGUUCGCCUUCUCCCCUAGCUUGCUGCACCCAUAAUUUAAGAACGAUAGUACAUGUACUGUCUGACGAAUUUGUUGAAGGAACAUGUGGAUAAUAGUUGUUUUCUUACUGUUUCAGACACUCAGCAUCCUCUAUGGGCCACAUGUUGUCAUUUUCACCCCACAACAGGAGUAUGCUCUGCACCCAUCAAAGAAAAAAUUAAUGGAAUGUUAAUCACAAGGAACUUGAGGACAAAGAACGCACUUUCUCAAAUUUCAUUGGUGUGCAGCAAGCUGUAACUUUUUUACGACAAAUAAUUCAAAAAUGGUUAUUUUCUAACAUGUGACGUGGGCUGUAGAUAUAAAAAAGAAGAAAUAUUUCAUCCGCAGAGCUUCUAAUGAGAUGUUCUAGUGCUACAGAGCUUUGUGGUUCUGCUGUAAUUUCCAACGCUAGGGAACACGGUCCAAAUUGCCACAUAAUGUAAUGUAUAUAUCGUAUCAUAAAAUUUGAAAUCCGAAAUCAAUCACACAAUUAUGUAAAAUGAGAAAGCUUGCAGCAAAUAUUUGCUCAGGGAGAUAAAGAAUGAACCUACUGUAGGAUCCAAAAAUUGUUUCUUUAAUGACGGAUUCGCCUAUUUCUCCCUAGCUAGAUACUAGAUGCAUGUCACCAUAAUCUAGAAGUUGUGAAGCUUUAGCUGUAGAAAAGUGCAACGUCCUCCUGAAUUUGCACAUAAAUUUCUAAACUAUGCAACCGCAUAAUGAAAGAAGAAGUUACAUAAAGAAUCAACAUGCUGAGACAUAGACAGUCCUCAUGGCGGUGCUUCAAAACAAAAAUUCUAUUGUAGUAAUUUUCAACAACUGUCCAUAUACCAGACUUCAGGAUUCAUCCACGUGUAAAAGGAUGAGAAAAAUGUUGAUCUAACGAUAGUCAGUCGUUAAGUGCGUGGGAAUCAAUAUGUAUAAUUUAACUAUCACGGUGAUCCUUUUUGACUUCUCGGUUCUCAUCGUGAUUUGCACGGUAGUUGGAGAAUCAAGAUUGGUUCAAAUGGUUAGCAUCAUCGAUUCAGACAUAAGAAUAACUAUGUCCAAUUAUGCAUAGACGAAUUCCUUAUUGUAAACUGGUUGGAGACUGUCAGUGCAUAUAGCGAUGAGAAGUUUGAGAACCUGCUGAAAAACAGGGGCAAAUGCUUCUGUGUCCCCGAGGACUAUAUCUUCUAUCAUCUCAGCUCUCUCCUUUUGGUUGAAAUACAUCACCUGAACAACAAAGCACGUAACGGAUGGUUCAUCUUAGUUUUAACAAGACAAAGAAGGGAGCAGAAAUACCUUAAGAAAGUCCCUGAGAAGGCGAUCCGGAAACCACGGCUUCAUGUGCAUGGCGUUGGAGAACAGCAACCUGAGCUGGCCAACCGACUCCGGCACCAAGAGCUCCGUCAGCGAUUGGGCCCAGCCAAGCCUCCUCAGCAAGUCAUCCCUCAUGGCGCUAGUGUACUUGACGGUGCUGCCGGAGGCGACGACGGAGCGGACCUGGUCCGGAUGCACGGCCGCCAGCUCGAAUGCUACGAACCCGCCGUAGCUCCAGCCCACCACGUCGGCCGUACCGACUCCAAGCUUCCGUAGAGCCGCCGCAAGGCACCGUGCCUGGAAGGCCACGGAGCGGUCUGGCAACGGCGAUGUGGAGCCGCCGAAGUGCACCAGGUCGGGGACGUACACGUCGUAGCCACGAUUGGCGAGGGCGCUCACCUGGAGCACCCACGUCAUAAUGCCGUCGCCGGCGAAGCCGUGCACGAGCACCACGGGCUGGUGCUUCUUCCGCUGCUUCUGCUUCCUGUCCGGUGCAUCGUCAUUAUCAGGGAGCCAGAGGUUUAUGACAGUGCCCGCGUCAUCGACGGCAACGGCGUGCUGCCGGAGGCCGGCGUUUGUCGCCAGACGGGCGACUAAGUGUUUUCUUAGCACUUGUAUCCAGUUCACCAUCCUAUGUAUGCACGUACGUGGUUGCUGCUUAUUUAUUGCUUAAUGGCUGUUGGCAAUUUUAUCGGGGUUUAGGUAACCACAUUUGCAAUGUACCAUGGCGGUUAGCACUUUUUAUUUAUAGGCCGCGCGAGCAUUAAUUAUCUCUUGUCGUCGAUUCCUACCAAACGUCGUCAUUGGUACAGCUCGCGAACUUCUUUUUCUUCCAGAAAACAUGGUUGAAAAGAAAUUCUGCAGACAUGUAAAUUACACGAAAUUCCGAGACGAUUUUUACAUUAGGAAAGAGAUUAGACUACCCACAAUGAGAGUAACAUAGGUAGUAACAUCACACAUAUCUAGGUUAAAUAGAUGAUGUAGCAUGCAAUAAAUGAAGAAAGAGAUGAUAGUGUAACAUAGCUAGUUACUACUAGUAUGAAUAACAUCACACAUAUCAAGGCAAGAUGUGUCUAUAGUCUAAUAAAUGAAGUGCUCCAUGUUACCACACAUAUAUUACUCCCCACUAUAGAGGUAGUAACAUAGACUAGUAACAUAGGCAUGUUACUAGUCUAUGUUACUACCCAUUAUGGCUAGUCUUAGGCCAGAAAAUAGUGUUCGGGCUAACGCUCUGGCGAUGAACGCCGGACAAACCCUAGUCUCACAACCUGCUGUCAAUGACCAUAUGGUGAACAAUGGGCGUGUGGUGUUCUCUUUUUGAAAAAAAAACCCUCAAAUUCUUAUUUUUUGUUUUUUUCUCGCAUAAAGGCCCACAUUAACUGCAUGUGUGGCAUUGGGUGGUCCCACCUGUCAGCCGAACAUCACAAAUUUUAUUAGUAUUAGAAAGAAAAAUAGGAGUCAGGCAAGGAUUCAAACCGUUGACCUAUAGUUAGCCGAGAGCACGGCUAGCCAACACACCAAAUAACAGUUAAAAUCAUAUAAGGAUACUCAGCCUUUAUAUCUUUGUUAAGAGCAUCUCCAACAUGCGCAUAAAGUUUCGCGCGGGCUUGCGGUCCCGCUCCCGCCCCCGAAACCCUCGCUGCCACCACCUUCCCCUGCCCGUCUCUGGCGGGAUCCGGCCGCCCUCGCCGGCGCACAGCCCGGAUCCGCCCCCCUUCCCCCGCCCUUCCUUCCCCGGCCCUCUUUCCGCCCUCACGCCGCCUCCCCGGGAAGCGGCCGGGGCGGCCCCCGCGCCUCUACUCUUGGCUUCGCCGCCUCAUCCUCUCCCCGGCCGUCGCCGGCGGGCACCCCCGGCUCCUGCCCGGGGGGUGCCGGCGGCGGCAGGAUCUCCUCUCCCCGCGCGCGCGUCCUCCUGGCCCGGGGCAGGGGGCGGCGGCGGUGUNNNNNNNNNNNNNNNNNNNNNNNNNNNNNNNNNNNNNNNNNNNNNNNNNNNNNNNNNNNNNNNNNNNNNNNNNNNNNNNNNNNNNNNNNNNNNNNNNNNNNNNNNNNNNNNNNNNNNNNNNNNNNNNNNNNNNNNNNNNNNNNNNNNNNNNNNNNNNNNNNNNNNNNNNNNNNNNNNNNNNNNNNNNNNNNNNNNNNNNNNNNNNNNNNNNNNNNNNNNNNNNNNNNNNNNNNNNNNNNNNNNNNNNNNNNNNNNNNNNNNNNNNNNNNNNNNNNNNNNNNNNNNNNNNNNNNNNNNNNNNNNNNNNNNNNNNNNNNNGGUGUCGCUCGGCUUGGCGGCGGUCCGGUGACCCGGCGGGGUGGCCGGAGGCGGACGUGGUGGCGGCGCUGCUCCUUGGCGGCGGGGCGGCGUGGUGGUGCGGGGUGGCCGACGUUGCGCCCCCGGCCCAGAUCUGGGCCCGGCGGGCCCCAUCUGUGUCCUAGCGGGCCAUCCCCUCGGCGUGGCCUCGUUGUCUGCGGCGCGGUGAGGAGGAGGAGCGGCUCGGAUAUGGGGCGUCGGCGCCGAUGGCGUGCCGGCAGCAGUGCGAAGGCGGGAGCUUUACGGGCCGGGCCUGGUGUGCUCCUGCUAUUGCGUCCGGACGGCUACCGUCGCUGACGGUGGAGGUGGGGCCCUCCCGCGUGCCGACGAUGCUGAUGCCCUAGUCCCGGCUCUGAUUGUUCGUCGCGCUGUCCUCAGUUCGCGGUGCCGUGGUGAGACGGCGUGGGGGCCUCAUGAUCGCGUUGGCGCAAGGUGGUGGUUGGUUUGGUGGCUGGAUCUGGAGCGCCCGAGGUGCGUGUUGGGAUCGGAGGAAACCCCUGUCGGCGUGGCCGACACCGGCGCAGUGUCGUCUGUGGGUGCCACCUGACCUUCCGGGAGGGCGUCGGGGGUUACCCUUCCUCUCGCCUCGUCGUGUACCGGGGGAAACCCUUGGCAGCAGCGUCGUCAUCGUCGCGAUCCUUCUUGGAGGUGUUGAUAGGUGCCGGCGCUUCGGAGUCUUGGAGCCUAGUGGAAGAUCCCGGUGGGCGUAGCAUUUACGAGGCUUCUUCGUUUUUGUUGAUCCGCCGUCGUCGGCAUUUGUUUCUGUUGCUCAUUCUCUGUCUUUUUUUUGGGAGUGAUUGUGCUGCUUCCGCCCCAGCACCUAUCCAUGUACGGUUCGCUUGGUUGCUUUGUAUACAAAGCGGGGAACCCUUUUUCGGUAAAAGUUUUGCACGCUAAAAUAGUUUUAGCAUGCCACUGUAGCAUUUUUAGCGCGUCGGACCCAACAUUGGUUUAGCAGAUGCCCAAAAACGCGCGCAAAAAAAACACGCAGUGCAAAUUGUGAAGCGCGCGCAAUCCGGCACCCCAAAUUUGCAGCUUCUGAUAGCGCUUUUUAGCGCGUGCCCAAUCCUUUUUUGCGCGUGCACUAUUUUACAGCUUCUGCAGAGCUGUCCGGCGCCCAAAAACACCGAAUUUUAGCGUGCGGAGCAAUUUUUGUGCGCCUGUUGGAGAUACUCUAAAUAACGUGAAAUAAGAAUUCUUAUUCAGAAAAAAUGAUACAGCCGUGGGAUUUCGCACCAACGACCUGACAGUUACCACGAGGAGGACCUAGCAAAUACUCCCUCCGUCCUAUAAUAUAAGAGCGUUUUUUACAUUAAGGUAGUGUUAAAAAUGCUUUUAUAAUAUGGAACGCAGCGAGUACUAUACAACAAACGGCAUUUCGUGCCUUAAUAGGAUUGUUAACCUUUAUACAACAGUACGCCCGCUGGCCUAAAUAGACUGCAGUUAUUGCGGCCCAUUUUAAACAUGUUAGUUUUUUUCUUUACUUUUUUUUAGCCCCAAAAAAUGUAAACUAUAAGUGUACAUAUAAUUGUAAAUACGUUUUCAUUUGAGAAUCUGCAGUCCAAGGCAUACUAGGCUAUGUUUUUGCACAUAUAUUUAUAUUAAUUUAAAAAUACAUAUCUAACUUUUAGAAAACACACGAAUUUUAUUAAAACAACAUAAAAACAUUAAAGCUUGCACAACUUUGUAUACAAAAUGAACAUUUUAUAAAAGAAAACUUGUAAAUUUUUGAAGUGAUAUGAUAAUUGACUCUUCAGCUAACGAGCACAUGAACUAACUACAUGCAGCUCCAGCUGCGCGGACGACCCGGCUGCCUCCAACAGAUCCCAACGGCCGCUACUAAUAUGCAGCCCCUUGUGUGAAUUAUGACUACAUCAGGAUAGUUUAUUAGCAGCGAGACAUUUUGACGAGUGGGAGGCCGCCAUUUAUAUCGUACGCAACCCAAUGGUAACAAAUUAUUUAGUGGCGUGUCGCACGCAACCCACUGGUAACCAAUAUACCGGUGGCGUGUCCUUACCCACACACCACAUCUAUACGCACACAUCAUAAUUAACUUUUGCCUAAAAUUUUAAAAACAUACUUACAUUCAACUACUAGUGGCGUGUGAAUAGACACAGAUGCGCCACAGGAAACGUACCUACUAGUGGCGUGCUCUUAUCCCUCCAAUCUACUAGUAACUAUUUUCAGUAUAUUUCAGAGAAAAAUACCACAAUUAGAAUUAAAUUCAAAUUAUUUAUAAGGAUUGAAAUAUUCAAAAAUAUAUAUCCAUAUGCAUAUACAAGAAUAGACACCAAUCUAUUAAUUACAUGUAUUCCAAUACAUAUAUACAUUCAUUAAUUCACCAUAUGCAUCCUAUGGAAUUGAUUACGCACAUGUCAUUUCUCAGCUACAUACAUACAUCAAUAGACCAUAUACAUCACUUGAUUAAAUUGUUGAUCUUCGUUUGCUCCAUAUAUAUGGCAAAGAAAUAGCAUGUCCAAAGAAAUUUAAAGCGUCUAUUAGCAUUGAGAAUGAGGCGUGAAAUGCUCAUAUAGGUUGUCAUGCUAUUAUUUUGUAGGCAAAGGACUCAUAUUCACUAGUAGAAAACAGGGCUUUGGUCCAAGCUCGAUCUACACAUUAGUCCCGGUUGCAUUACGAACCGGGACUAAUGUGAGCAUUAGUCCCGGUUCGAGCGGCUAGGGCGCCGGUCGGGGCUCGGCGGGCAUUAGUCCCGGAUUAAAUGAGACCUUUAGUCCCGGUUGGAGACACCAACCGGGACUAAAGGGGUUGAGGCUUUAGUCCCGGUUAGAGCCACCAACCGGCCGGGACUAAAGCCUCAAGCCCUUCAGUCACGGUUGGAGCCACCAACAGGGACUAAACGGGUUAUGAAAGUUUCUUUUCUGUUUUUCCAUAUAUUUUUUUGUUAUUAGUUUCUGUUUUAAAUUGCUUAUAUCUUUAGGAUAUUCGUUGUUUCUGAGUGAUUCUUUUUUCAUUAGAUUCAAAACUUGUCUAGUUUCUGUUUGUGCAAUUAGUUUUCAAAUUUGAAUGGUUUCAAUUUGAAUUUGUUUAAAUUUGCUUCAAACCCUAGAUUGUGAAUAACUUGAGUUUAAAAUAGUAUUUAAUUUAAUUCUUUUUGCUCCCCAGUCACAUGUUAGAUUGUUGUCAAGGUAAUAUUUAUUUGUAUUUUUUAGAAUAAUUUAAAUUAGGAUUUUAAUUAAAACAGUAUUGUUUUGCUUAUACAGUUGUUUUAGUCCUUUAAUUGUUGUUUUUAAUUAUUUUUAGUUAGUUCUUUCUGUAGAUUUUAACAUGUUGUAGUAUGCUUCUGUUAGACAACAGUAGAUAAAAUUUUAUAAUUAAUUAAUAUUAAUUUUGCUACAGUUUUGUAUUAAUAGUUGUUUAGCCUUUAAUUAUAAUUGAUACAAUUAGUUUUGCUAUAUUAAAAAGUAAUUCUUUUUGCCAAUUUAAUAGAACGUGACUCUAGCUUGGUUAACCUUAGUUGUGUCUCUGGCUGGGACUAUGCUAGCAGAUGUAGUCGACGGUAGGAUAGGAUGGACACCAACCCGGACUAAAGGGGUUAUGCAANNNNNNNNNNNNNNNNNNNNNNNNNNNNNNNNNNNNNNNNNNNNNNNNNNNNNNNNNNNNNNNNNNNNNNNNNNNNNNNNNNNNNNNNNNNNNNNNNNNNNNNNNNNNNNNNNNNNNNNNNNNNNNNNNNNNNNNNNNNNNNNNNNNNNNNNNNNNNNNNNNNNNNNNNNNNNNNNNNNNNNNNNNNNNNNNNNNNNNNNNNNNNNNNNNNNNNNNNNNNNNNNNNNNNNNNNNNNNNNNNNNNNNNNNNNNNNACUUCAAAAAUUAAAAUCCUUCGAGAUGUAGUUAUUUUACUACAUCUACUAGUUAGGAAAAUUAAAAAACAUAAAUUUUCAUAUGUUUUGUAAAAAAAGUGUUAUGAAAAAGUAAAACGGCUAUAAAUUUUGCAUACGAUGUCGAAAAAAACCGUAUAAUAUAUCAAAAUGUUCAGCACGAGAAGCCGGUUCCGAUUUCGAUUGCCAUAGGACGUUUUGCAAAAAAUUUAGAAUCCUCAAAUUCUUAAAGGAAAAAAGGUUAUCCUCAAAUUAAAGUUCUUUCGAAUUUUUGGUCAAACUCUGGUCAAACUAUGGUCAAAUUGUGGUCAAACUAUGGUCAAACUACUUAUUCAAUAAAUAUUAGUGUUACUAAAUAAUUAUUGUUUUUUAUAAUAAAGUUUCAAACUCAAACGGUAAAAUGUGUGACUUCAUGCUCAAGUUCGACUCCUAAAAUCAAACAACAACCGUUGCUGCAACUAGACAGACAUCGUAUAUAGUGAUUCAGGGAUUCACCAUUUUAUACCUGAGGUAGUACCAGAUCAACAAAUUAUAACCAUUUUAUCAAUGAAUCCAGAUCAGGCACUUGUGCUCAGCCAAACAUAGAAAGCUCAUUAGUUUUCAUCCGGUUCACAUCACGAAGAAGCAAUUGAUUUCGGCAUAUGAAAAAUAAUUUUAAAAAUUAAUGAUGUCAUAUUUGGAUUCCUCACAUAUUUCAGAUAAUAAUGGAUUUAUUAUUUGUCGAAUUUCGAUUUACAGAUUUAAAGAUAUUAAUUACGCCAUAUUAAAUGAAUAAAUGGCAAAAAUGAAUAAAAUAAUAUUAUUACUUAUUUUAUUUUCAUUGAAAUUCAAUAUUAUUAUUAUUUAUUUUAUUAUAAUAAUUGUUUGGAAUUCAAAAAAUUAAAUCAUGUGACAUCAGGACCUAAGGGUUAACUGGAUUGAUAGCUUACUAUUGUCAGGAAAACAACAAGUGUAGACUUGGAAAACGCAGAAGUGAAGCGUGCUUGGGCUGGAGUAGUAAGAGGAUGGGUGACCGGCCCGGAAAUUAGACGAUUUGGAAUGAGUGCUCCACACUGGAGCAGUGAUGAGGGUGAUUAGAGAUUGAAUUGUCAAAUAAUUCAGAAAUUUGAAAAUAAAAAAAAAUCAAAAAAUAUAAUUCAAAAUCAAAAUUUCAAAAAAAAUCCUUUAGUCCCCGGGACUAAAGGAAGGUGGAGCCUUUAGUCCCGGUUGGUAACACCAACCGGGACUAAAGGUUCUCCAACCCCACUCCAGAUAGCGGCCACGUGGAGCCCCUUUAGUUCCGGUUCGUAACACAGCCGGGACUAAAAGUGGUGGGCAUUAGUCCCGAUCAUUUUGUCCCGGUUGGAAAACUGGGACUAAAGGCCCUUACGAACCGGGACUAAAGGCCAAUUUUCUACUAGUGAUUUGGAGCCAAAGCAGCAAUUUGGGAUAAUUUUUGAUGCCAAGGCAACAUUUUGGAGCCAUUUUUGUUCAUGUCACCCAUCUAGACUUGAGGAUUGUUUUCUUCGUGUUAACAAAAACACCAACAUCACAUAUAUUACGAUUAAAAGCUUGUAUCUUGAUGGUUCCUAAGAUGUUUCAUCCAUAAAAGUUCACAAACCACUCUUGUAUCACAUGUUUACUAUGGACGGUACUGGAGAGGUUUGUGAACCUGAAAAAUCUUGGGAACACUGAAAUUAGCAGCCGCUAGUGAUAAUAUAUAUGAUGUUUAAGUUACCGUGAAUAUGAAGACAACGAUGUCGAAGCCCGGGUGGGCAGUAUUUGUUGAUGCCAAUCAAAUAGAAGAGAAUUAUUCCUUGAUGUUUCGAUACAUGAGAAACCUUCUAAGAUUCAUCAAGAUACAAUAUUUCUAACACCCUGGGACUGGCACUAUAGAGAUCUAGCACCUCCUCUAGCAUCUACAUUAUAUCGAUCCUAGGGUGCCAUAAAACACAAUGUGCGGAUCGCACCAUAAACUCUACGAGGGUGGAACAGUAAGUAUCACAAUAAAAUUGACGAAAGAAGCUGCAACAAUGACAAAUAUACAACAGCGCCAAAGAUUUAAAUGUUACAAAUGGAUACAAUAAGAGUCUUUCGACCAAAAUACAACUCAUACAAUGUAAGAGAAUAUGUACUUUCUACAUGUAAAGUUCAAUGAACUUGCAUAAGACGGCUAAAGCACAGUAAAUGAUGUCCAUAUCCUAGCCCAGACCAUUGCCUAUCUAGUGUCGUCCUUCAUCAUACCUAUUAAAAGAACAAAUAAUGCAAGAUGAGUACCCAACUAUACUCGCAAGACAUACAUGAUAUCUAUCUACUUAUGCAUCAUUCGCAAGGAAAUGGGUAUGUGUUGGCUUAAACAUGAAGCAUUAAGCAUUCUAUGGAGACACGUUGCAACUUGUGUCUAUCAGAGAUAAGUUAAGAGAGAGUAUAAGGAAAAAGAUCACAUAAGAACCAUCUAUUCCUAUCAUCAAACAUAACAUCACACCAUGAAUCCUCCCUUGCAUCACCCACAAGGAAGUAAGUCCAUGCAAAAUUACUUAAUACUUUAGAAACUAACAAGUUUAUUAAGUGGUCAAGUUUUCACAAUUAUGGUUUCUUUUUACUGGAGACAAAUAAAAUACAUGAAAUUCUGAGGGCAUUCGUGUAUUAGGAAAGAGCUAGGGUGAGAAGAUGGGGCUUAACUGGGGUCCAUGUCAUCCAAGCACCCCAUCCCUAGGGCAUCCCAAUGAGGUAGAGGGCUCCCUUCCCCAUCCGAUGAUCUUUAAAUAUUCCGAAACUUCUUCUAGAUUGAACACCACGUCAGGAUAGUUUGUUACUCCCUCUGUUUCUUUUUUACUUAGGGUAUUAGAUUUUUUAAAGUCAAACUUUGCAAACAAGCUUGGAUGCCAUCCCACUUUCGAUAUGGUGUGUCCAUUCGAAAAUCAAUUUCUAGGAAUUAAUAUUUUCAUAUUUUCACCAAAGAGGAGUUUUCACAAAUUUAGUAGUUACAACUACAACACAAAUUCGCCCGGGAAGCUGAUCUAGGUCGGCAGUAUAGCGAUACGAUGUGUGGACGAGGACAUCAGUGAAGCGCGUACCAUGCGGCUGACGAUGGGGCUGGUGAAGUGCCAAACCCCUCGAGGGCACUUCCCCACACCAGCCCAAGACAAGUCACCUGCGCGCGGGACUGAGUUCAUGGUACAAAAAAGCCAAACACAAUAUAUGCUAAGGUUGACAGGAGUAUUACAUGAUUGUUUAUACAAUGUUGGCAUAACGUUAGAGAUUGUAUCUACUUAUGCGUCAAUCUGAAGUAAAGGGGUAUGUGUGGGUUAAGCAGAAAGCACUAAGCAUUCUAUGGAGAAAUGCUACAAUUUGUGUCUAUCAGAUAUAAGGCAAGAGAGCUAUAAGGAAAAUGAUCACAUAAGAACCAUAUAUUCCCAUCCUCAAACAUAACACCAUGUCUUGAAUGCUCAAUUGCAUCACCCAUAAGGAAAUAAGUUCAUGUCACUUACAUUGUUGGCAAGUUUAUUUAAUACUUCCUCCAUUCCACAAUGUAGUGCACCCGCGUUUCCCACGAUCCAAGUUUGACCGUAAAUUUAACCAACGAGACUGAUUGUGGCAGGAUCAAAAGUUAUAUCACCGAAUUCAUUUCGAAAAUACGAAUUCGGUGGUAUAAUUUUUGUUCCUGCCGCAGUCGGUCUCGUUGGUUAAAUUUAAGGUCUUGAAUCUCGGGAAGCACGGGCACAAUACAUUGUGGAAUGGAGGGAGUAGUUGAACUAGUUAAUAAAUUAGAAACUAGCAAAUUUAUUAAGAGAUCAAGUUUUAGCCAUUAUGGUUGGCGUUAUUCUACGAUCAAGUAUAAAAUCUCUAACUCAUCAAUAACCACAGACGAGGCUAUUUGAAUAGAUCUAACAUUGCACGGACGCACCAAGUUACCCAUACACAUGCGAUAUUCUUUUAAUGUCAAACACGAAGUUAUGAAAUUCAAAGAACCCUAUGUAAAUUUCCCGAUUUGGACUGCCUAAAAUCAUCCACAAAUGAUCUAAAAUGAGGAAGUGCUCAACUUUAAAAUUUGGUCCGCGGGUUCCGGCAUUACUUGCCCCAAUUUGGUAGGAAUCAGACGUUUUGGACAUAAUUUUUGAGUUAUUUUCUUCUACAGGAAGUUCGGACGAGUUGAGAGGCGAUGGCCUAUUUAAACGACACAAAAUAAAAUAGUACAACUACUGCUUUUCAUAUACUUUGCCUCCAUCGCUUGUUCUUGAUCCAUGUUUUAAUUAUUGAAAAGUAGUGGAUCCUGUGUUUCUAGGUGUGGUGGGAUUGACCUAACGCUACCCAUGGCCACUUCAUUCCCUCAUGGGCUCCAUCUAGGGUGUGUGGGUUUCCAUCUUAUGAAAAGUCUCCCCGGGGCGACUUGCUUAUUGCUCUCUAAGCAAGGCUCCUUGAUGACAUUGUCAUGCAUACCACGCUCAACAUCGGGGGUACACGGUGAGAUCUAAAUGUGUCAAAGGUUAUAUCAUAAAAAUGUUACAACUAUUAUUUAGAUUAAGCAUAUAUGAUCAAAUUACGAGGAAUUAUUUAUUACACUGCAAUAUUAUUGGUAAUGUAUCACAAUCGAUGAGCAUUUAUUAAGGUAACCAUCUUUCGCCAUCUAACUAAGGAUAUUAAGAGGACAAUUUUUGAUAAUUAUAUAUUAUUACAAUUUUUGGUAGUUAGAUAUUAGAAUCACCCCUUAACAAGAAGUAUUAAUGGGCCUGCAGGUUUGUCUACAUGCCUGUGACACCCCCGAUUCAAUCGUACAUUAAUCAUACACGCAAACAUGUACGAUCAAGAUCAGGCACUCAUAGGAAGAUAUUGUUGGGAAUCGUAGCAUAAUUUAAAAUUUUCCUACGCUCACCAAGAUGCAUCUAUGGAGUCUACUAGCAACGAGGGGAAAGGAGUGCAUCUACAUACCCUUGUAGAUCGCGAGCGGAAGCGUUCCAAUGAACGUGGAUGACGGAGUCGUACUCGCCGUGAUCCAAAUCACCGAUGACCGAGUGCCGAACGGACGGCACCUCCGCGUUCAACACACGUAUGGUGCAGCGACGUCUCCUCCUUCUUGAUCCAGCAAGGGGGGAGGAGAGGUUGAUGGAGAUCCAACAGCACGACGGCGUGGUGGUGGAUGUAGCGGGUCUCCGGCAGGGCUUCGCCAAGCUUCUGCGAGAGAGAGAGAGAGGUGUUGCAGGGGAGGAGGGAGGCGCCCAAGGCUUAGAUGUUGCAGCCCUACCUCCCCCCCACUAUAUAUAGGGCCAAGGGAGAGGGGGGGCGCAGCCUUGCCCCUUCCUCCAAGGAAGGGUGCGGCCAGGGGGGAGUCCUUCCCCCCCAAGGCACCUCGGAGGUGCCUUCCCCCUUUAGGACUCUCCCUUUUUUCUUAUCUCUUGCGCAUGGGCCUCUUGGGGCUGGUGCCCUUGGCCCAUAUAGGCCAAGGCGCACCCCUUACAGCCCAUGUGGCCCCCCGGGGCUGGUGGACCCCCUUGGUGGACCCCCGGACCCCUUUCGGCACUCCCGGUACAAUACCGAUAAAGCGCGAAACUUUUCCGGCGACCAAAAUAAGACUUCCCAUAUAUAAAUAUUUACCUCCGGACCAUUCCGGAACCUCUCGUGACGUCCAGGAUCUCAUCCGGGACUCCGAACAACUUUCGGGUUUCCGCAUAGAUAUAUCUCUACAACCCUAGCGUCACCGGACCUUAAGUGUGUAGACCCUACGGGUUCGGGAGACAUGCAGACAUGACCGAGACGCCUCUCCGGUCAAUAACCAACAGCGGGAUCUGGAUACCCAUGUUGGCUCCCACAUGUUCCACGAUGAUAUCAUCGGAUGAACCACGGUGUCGAGGAUUCAAUCAAUCCGUAUGCAAUUCCCUUUGUCAAUCGGUAUGUUACUUGCCCGAGAUUCGAUCGUCGGUAUCCCAAUACCUAGUUCAAUCUCGUUACCGGCAAGUCUCUUUACUCGUACCGCAAUGUAUGAUCCCGUGACUAACGCCUUAGUCAUACUGAGCUCAUUAUGAUGAUGCAUUACCGAGUGGGCCCAGAGAUACCUCUCCGUCACACGGAGUGACAAAUCCCAGUCUCGAUCCGUGCCAACCCAACAGACACUUUCGGAGAUACCCGUAAUGCACCUUUAUAGUCACCCAGUUACGUUGUGACGUUUGGCACACCCAAAGCACUCCUAUGGUAUCCGGGAGUUGCACGAUCUCAUGGUCUAAGGAAAAGAUACUUGACAUUGGAAAAGCUCUAGCAAACGAAACUACACGAUCUUUUAUGCUAUGCUUAAGUUGGGUCUUGUCCAUCACAUCAUUCUCCUAAUGAUGUGAUCCCGUUAUCAAUGACAUCCAAUGUCCAUAGUCAGGAAACCAUGACUAUCUGUUGAUCAACGAGCUAGUCAACUAGAGGCUUACUAGGGACAGGUUGUGGUCUAUGUAUUCACACAUGUAUUACGAUUUCCGGACAAUACAAUUAUAGCAUGAAUAAUAGACAAUUACCAUGAAUAAAGAAAUAUAAUAAUAACCAUUUAUUAUUGCCUCUAGGGCAUAUUUCCAACAGUCUCCCACUUGCACUAGAGUCAAUAAUCUAGUUCACAUCACCAUGUGAUUAACACUCACUGGUCACAUCACCAUGUGACCAACAUCUAAAGAGUUUACUAGAGUCAACGAUCUAGUUCACAUCACUAUGUGAUUAUCACUCAAUGUUCUGGUUUGGUCAUGUUAUGCUUGUGAGAGAGGUUAUUAGUCAACGGGUCUGAACCUUUCAGAACCGUGUGCUUUAUGAAUAUCUAUGUCAUCUUGUGGAUGCUACCACGCGCUAUUUGGAGCCAUUUCAAAUAAUUGCUCUACUAUACGAAUCCGGUUUACUACUCAGAGUCAUCCGGAUUAGUGUCAAAGUUUGCAUCGACGUAACCCUUUACGACGAACUCCUUUCCACCUCCAUAAUCGAGAAAAUUCCUUAAUCCACUAGGUGCUAAGGAUAAGUUCGACCGCUGUCAUGAGAUCCUUUCCCGGAUCACCAUUGUACCCUCUUGACCAACUCAUGGCAAGGCACACUACAUGUGCGGUACAUAGCAUAGCAUACUAUAGAGCCUAUGUCUAAAGCAUAGGGGACGACCUUCGUCCUUUCUCUAUCUUCUGCUGUGGUCAGGUCUUGAGUCUCACUCAAUACUCACACCUUGUAACACAGCCAAGAACUCCUUCUUUGCUGAUCUAUUUUGAACUCUUUCAAAAUCAUGUCAAGGUGUGCUGUCUUUUGAAAGUAUCAUCAGGCGUCUUGAUCUAUCUCUAUGGAUCUUGAUGCCCAAUAUAUAUGUAAGCAGCUUUAUCCAGGUCUUCCUUUGAAAAACUCCUUUCAAACAACCCUUUAUGCUUUCCAGAAAUUUCACAUCAUUUCGGAUCAACAAUAUGUCAUUCACAUAUACUUAUCAGAAAUGUUGUAGCGCUCCCACUCACUUUAUUGUAAAUACAAGUUUCUAACAAACUUUGUAUAAACCCAAAAACUUUGAUCACUCCAUCAGAGCGUAUAUUCUGACUCCGAGAUGCUUGCUCUAAUCCAUGGAAGGAUCGCUGGAGCUAGCACACCUUUUAGCAUCCUUAGGAUUGAUAAAACCUUUCUGAUUGUAUCACAUACAACCUUUCCUUACGAAAACUGGUAAGGAAACUUGUUUUGACAUCCAUCUGCCAGAUUUCAUAAAUGUAGCUAAUGCUAACAUGAUUCCGACGGACCUAAGCAUCGCUACGGAUGAGAAAAACUCAUCGUAGUCAACUCCUUGAACUUGUGAAAAUACUCUUUGCCACAAGUCGAGCUUCAUAGAUGGUAACAUUACCGUCCAUGUCCGUCUUCUUCUUAAAGAUCCAUUUAUCUCAAUGGCUUGCUGAUCAUCGGGCAAGUUCACCAAAGUCCAUGCCUUGUUCUGAUACAUGGAUUCUAUCUCGGAUUUCAUGGCCUCGAGCCAUUCGUCGGAAUAUGGGCCCACCAUCGCUUCUCCAUAGCUCGUAGGUUCAUUGUUGUCUAGCAACAUGACUUCCAAGACAGGAUCACGCAUCACUCUGAAGUAGUGCGCAUCCUCGUCGUCCUACGAGGUUUGGUAGUGACUUGAUCCGAAGUUUCAUGAUCAAUAUCAUAAGCUUCCACUUCAAUUGGUGUAGGUGCCACAGGAACAACUUCCUGUGCCCUGCUACACACUAGUUGAAGCGACGGUUCAAUAACCUUAUCAAGUCUCCACCAUCCUCCCACUCAAUUCUUUUGAGAGAAACUUUUCCUCGAGAAAGGACUCGUUUCUAGAAGCAAUUACUUUUGCUUCCAGAUCUGAAAUAGGAGGUAUACCCAACUGUUUUUGGGUAUUCUAUGAAGAUGCAUUUAUCCGCUUUGGGUUCGAGCUUAUCAGCCUGAAACUUUUUCACAUAAGCAUCGCAGCCACAAACUUUUAAGAAACGACAACUUAGGUUUCUAUAAACGGUGUCGUCUCAACGGAAUUGCGUGGUGCCCUUUUUAAAGUGAAUGCGGUUGUCUCUAACGCCUAACCCAUAAAUGAUAGUGGUAAUUUGAUAAGAAACAUCAUGGUAUGCACCAUAUCCAAUAGGGUUCAGUUAUGAUGUUCGGACACACCAUCACACUAUGGUGUUCCAGGCGGUAUUAAUUGUGAAACACUUUCCACAAUGUCUCAAUUGUGUGCCAAACUCGUAUCUCAGAUACUCAUCUCUAUGAUCAUAUCACAGACAUUUUAUCCUCUUGUCACGACGAUCUUCAACUUCACUCUGAAAUUGCUUGAACCUUUCAAUAAUUUAGACUAGUGUUUCAUCAAGUAAAUACACUCAGCAUCUACUCAAAUCAUCUGUGAAGUAAGAACAUAACGAUAUCCACUGCAUGCCUCAGCAUUCAUUGGACUGCAUACAUCAAAAUGUAUUACUUCCAAUAAAUUGCUCUCUUGUUCCAUCUCACUAAAACCGAGGCCUUUCAGUCAUCUUGCCCAUGUGGUAUGAUUUGCAUGUCUCAAGUGAUUCAUAAUCAAGUGAGUCCAAACGAUCCAUCUGUAUGGAGUUUCUUCAUGCAUAUAUACCAAUAGACAUGGUUCGCAUGUCUCAAUCUUUUCAAAAAUGAGUGAUUCCAAAGAUCCACCUACAUGGAGCUUCUUCAUGCGUUCUACACCAAUAUGACUCAAGUGGCAGUGCCACAAGUAUGUGGUACUAUCAUUACUAUCUUAUAUCUUUUGGCAUGAACAUGUGUAUCAUGGCGAUCGAGAUUCAUUUCAGGUGCAAGACCAUUGAAGGUAUUAUUCAAAUAAACAGAGUAACCAUUAUUCUCCUUAAAUGAAUAACCGUAUUGCGAUAAACAUAAUCCAAUCAUGUUUAUGCUCAACACCAAAUAACAAUUAUUUAGGUUUAACACCAAUCUCGAUGGUAGAGGGAGCAUGCGAUGCUUGAUCACAUCAACCUUGGAAACACUUCCAACACAUAUCGUCAUCUCACCUUUAGCUAGUCUCCGUUUAUUCCGCAGCAUUUAUUUUGAGUUACUAACACUUAGCAACCGAACCAGUAUCUAAUACCCUGGUGCUGCUGGGAGUACUAGUAAAGUAGACAUUCAUAUAACGUAUAUCCAAUAUACUUUGUCAACCUUGUCUGCCUUCUCAUCUACCAAGUAUCUAGGGUAGUACUGCUUCAGUGACCAUUCCUCUCAUUACAGAAGCACUUAGUCUCGGGUUUGGGUUCAACCUUGGGAUUCUUCACUAGAGCAGCAAACGACUUGCUGUUUCAUGAAGUAUCCCUUUUGCCCUUGCCCUUCUUAAACUAGUGGUUUUACUAACCAUCAACAAUUGAUGCUCCUUCUUGAUUUCUACUCUCGCGGUGUCAAACAUCGCGAAUAGCUCAAGGAUCAUCAUAACUAUCCUUGAUAUGUUAUAGUUCAGCACGAAGCUCUACUAGCUUGGUGGCAGUGACUAUGGAGAACUAUCACUAUCUCAUCUGGGAGAUUAACUCCCACUCGAUUCAAGCGAUUGUGGCACUCAAACAAUCUGAGCACACGCUCAACGAUUGAGCUUUUCUCCCUUAGUUUGCAGGCUUAAGAAACUUGUCAGAGGUCUCAUACCUCUUGACGUGGGCACUACUCUGAAAUCCCAAUUUCAGUCUUCGGAACAUCUCACAUGUUCUGCGAUGUUUCAGAAACGUCUUUGGUGCCACAAUUCUAAACCGCACCGAACUAUCACGUAGUUAUCAAAACGUGUAUGUCAGAUGUUUUGUAACAUCUACAGACGACGCUGAGGUUCAGCACACCGAGCGGUGCAUUAAGGACAUAAGCCUUCUGUGCAGCAAUGAGGACAAUCCUCAGUUUACGGACCCAGUCCGCAUAAUUGCUACUACCAACUUUCAACUAAAUUUUCUCUAGGAACAUAUCUUAACCAGUAGAACUAAAGCGCAAGCUAUGACAUAAUUUGCAAAUACUUUUUUACUAUGUUCAUGAUAAUGAAGUUCAUCUGAUUAUGUACUCCCACUCAGAUAGACAUCCCUCUAGUCAUCUACGUGAAACAUGAUCCGAGUUCAACUAGGCCGUGUCCGAUCAUCACGUGAGACGGACUAGUCAAGAUCGGUGAACAUCUCCAUGUUGAUCGUAUCUUCUAUACGACUCAUGCUCGACCUUCCGGUCCUCCGUGUUCCGAGGCCAUGUCUGUACAUGCUAGGCUCGUCAAGUCAACCUAAGUGUAUUGCGUGUGUUCCGAGGCCAUGUCUGUACAUGCUAGGCUCGUCAACACCCGUUGUAUUCGAACGUAAGAAUCUAUCACACCCGAUCAUCACGUGGUGCUUCGAAACGACGAACCUUCGCAACGGUGCACAGUUAGGGUGAACACUUUCUUGAAAUUAUUAUAAGGGAUCAUCCUACUUGCUACCGUCGUUCUAAGCAAAUAAGAUGCAGAAACAUGAUAAACAUCACAUGCAAUCGAAUAGUGACAUGAUAUGGCCAAUAUCAUCAUGCUCCUUUGAUCUCCAUCUUCGGGGCACCAUGAUCAUCUUUGUCACCGGCAUGACACCAUGAUCUCCAUCAUCAUGAUCUCCAUCAUUGUGUCUUCAUGAAGUUGUCACGCCAACGAUUACUUCUACUUCUAUGGCCAACUCGUUUAGCAACAAAGUAAAGUAAUUUACAUGGCGUUAUUCAAUGACUCGCAGGUCAUGCAAAAUAAUAAAGACAACUCCUAUGGCUCCUGCCGGUUGUCAUACUCAUCGACAUGCAAGUCGUGAUUCCCAUUACAAAAAUAUGAUCAAUCUCAUACAUCACAUAUAUCAUUCAUCACAUCUUCUGGCCAUAUCAUAUCACAUAGCACUUGCUGCAAAAACAAGUUAGACGUCCUCUAAUUGUUGUUGCAAGUUUUUACGUGGUUUGUAGGUUUCUAGCAAGAACGUUUCUUACCUACGUAUGACCACAACGUGAUUUGCCAAUUUCUAUUUACCCUUCAUAAGAACCCUUUUCAUCGAAUCUGUUCCGACUAAAGUAGGAGAGACAGACACCCGCUAGCCACCUUAUGCAACUUGUGCAUGUCAGUUGGUGGAACCUGUCUCACGUAAGUGUACGUGUAAGGUCGGUCCGGGCCGCUUCAUCCUACAAUGCCGCCGAAACAAGAAAAGACUAGUAGCGGCAAGAAGAAUUGGCAAACUCAACGCCCAUAACUACUUUGUGUUCUACUCGUGCAUAGUAACUACGCAUAGACCUGGCUCAUGAUGCCACUGUUGGGAAUCGUAGCAUAACUUAAAAUUUUCCGACGCUCACCAAGAUGCAUCUAUGGAGUCUACUAGCAACGAGGGGAAAGGAGUGCAUCUACAUACCCUUGUAGAUCGCGAGCGGAAGCGUUCCAAUGAACGUGGAUGACGGAGUCGUACUCGCCGUGAUCCAAAUCACCGAUGACCGAGUGCCGAACGGACGGCACCUCCGCGUUCAACACACGUACGGUGCAGCGACGUCUCCUCCUUCUUGAUCCAGCAAGGGGGGAGGAGAGGUUGAUGGAGAUCCAACAGCACGACGGCGUGGUGGUGGAUGUAGCGGGUCUCCGGCAGGGCUUCGCCAAGCUUUUGCGAGAGAGAGAGAGAGAGAGAGAGGUGUUGCAGGGGAGGAGGGAGACGCCCAAGGCUUAGAUGUUGCUGCCCUCCCUCCCCCACACUAUAUAUAGGGCCAAGGGAGAGGGGGGGCGCAGCCUUGCCCCUUCCUCCAAGGAAGGGUGCGGCCAGGGGGGAGUCCUUCCCCACAAGGCACCUCGGAGGUGCCUUCCCCCUUUAGGACUCUUCCUUUUUUCUUAUCUCUUGCGCAUGGGCCUCUUGGGGCUGGUGCCCUUGGCCCAUAUAGGCCAAGGCGCACCCCUUACAGCCCAUGUGGCCCCCCGGGGCUGGUGGACCCCCUUGGUGGACCCCCGGACCCCUUUCGGCACUCCCGGUACAAUACCGAUAAAGCGUGAAACUUUUCCGGCGACCAAAAUAAGACUUCCCAUAUAUAAAUCUUUACGUCCGGACCAUUCCGGAACCUCUCGUGACGUCCGGGAUCUCAUCCGGGACUCCGAACAACUUUCGGGUUUCCGCAUACAUAUAUCUCUACAACCCUAGCGUCACCGGACCUUAAGUGUGUAGACCCUACGGGUUCGGGAGACAUGCAGACAUGACCGAGACGCCUCUCAGGUCAAUAACCAACAGCGGGAUCUUGAUACCCAUGUUGGCUCCCACAUGUUCCACGAUGAUAUCAUCGGAUGAACCACGGUGUCGAGGAUCCAAUCAAUCCGUAUGCAAUUCCCUUUGUCAAUCGGUAUGUUACUUGCCCGAGAUUCGAUCGUCGGUAUCCCAAUACCUAGUUCAAUCUCGUUACCGGCAAGUCUCUUUACUCGUACCGCAAUGCAUGAUCCCGUGACUAACGCCUUAGUCACACUGAGCUCAUUAUGAUGAUGCAUUACCGAGUGGGCCCAGAGAUACCUCUCCGUCACACGGAGUGACAAAUCCCAGUCUCGAUCCGUGCCAACCCAACAGACACUUUCGGAGAUACCCGUAAUGCACCUUUAUAGUCACCCAGUUACGUUGUGACGUUUGGCACACCCAAAGCAAUCCUACGGUAUCCGGGAGUUGCACGAUCUCAUGGUCUAAGGAAAAGAUACUUGACAUUGGAAAAGCUCUAGCAAACGAAACUACACGAUCUUUUAUGCUAUGCUUAAGUUGGGUCUUGUCCAUCACAUCAUUCUCCUAAUGAUGUGAUCCCGUUAUCAAUGACAUCCAAUGUCCAUAGUCAGGAAACCAUGACUAUCUGUUGAUCAACGAGCUAGUCAACUAGAGGCUUACUAGGGACAGGUUCUGGUCUAUGUAUUCACACAUGUAUUACGAUUUCCGCACAAUACAAUUAUAGCAUGAAUAAUAGACAAUUACCAUGAACAAAGAAAUAUAAUAAUAACCAUUUAUUAUUGCCUCUAGGGCAUAUUUCCAACAGAUAUCACAAGACAACUCUAAAAAAAUAAAAUAAGUCAUACAAGCAUCAUAAUACAAGCCAGGCGCCUCGAGGGCUCGAAUAAAAGUGCUCGAUCAUAGACGAGUCAGCGGAAGCAACAAUAUCUGAGUACAGACAUAAGUUAAACAAGUUUGCCUUAAGAAGGCUAGCACAAACUGGGAUACAGAUCGAAAGAGGCGCAGGCCUCCUGCCUGGGAUCCUCCUAAACUACUCCUGGUCGUCGGCGGCGGCCUGCACGUAGUAGUAGGCACCUCCAGUGUAGUAGGAGUCGUCGUCGACGGUGGCGUCUGUCUCCUGGGCGUCGGCAUCUGGUUGCGACAACCAGGUAGAAUGGAAAGGGGGAAAAGAGGGAGAAAAGCAACCGUGAGUACUCAUCCAAAGUACUCGCAAGCAAGGAUCUACACUACACACUACUAGAAAAAGGGUUAUAGAUAAUAUGGACACUAAUGGCGCAUCACACAUGUGGUGCGCCACUACUAUAUACUAAUGGCGCACCAUGUGUUGAAUGGCCAUUAGUGUCCAAAUACUAAUGGCGCACCACAUCCACGGUGCGCCACUAGUAAAAAAAAAUUAUAAUUUUUUUCAAAAUUACUAAUGGCGCACCACUCCCACGGUGCGCCAUUAGUAAUUUUGUUUCAAAUUUUUUUUCAAAUUGUUUUUUUUAACUACUAAUGGCGCAUCAUGGGUGUGGUGCGCCAUUACUAGUUGAACUAGUAAUGGUGCACCACUCCCACGGUGCGCCAUUAGUAAUUUUGUUUCAAACUGUUUUUUUUUCAAAGCUACUAAUGGGGCACCGUGGGUGUGGUGCACUUGGCCCAAACAUUCCACCGAAUGCACCCCCCCGGACCGCCUUUUCAGUUUUAAAAAAGAUAAAAGAAAAUGAUGGAAAUGUCAAAAAAAUAAAAGAAAAUAAGUUUCCCAUGUGAUAUGUGGUCUACUUGUUGGGAAAAUUUACAAAUAUGAAUUUCGACUUUAUUUGCAAAAUCUCUCUGGAAUUUGUAAAAUGAGCAUAACUUUUGCAUACAAACUCGGAUUAAAAAAAAUUAUAUGAAAUAUCAUCUACUCGAAAAGUUACAUCCGAAUUUAACAGAGGGAACCCGUUAAACAUUUACAAAAUCCUCAAAAACCUAACAGAAAAAAAGUUACGGGGCUUUUAAGAUCUAGAGGGGAAAAAAUGAAAAAAAUUCAAACUUACUAGUGGCAAAAAAAAAUUGGUUUCGAACUUUUUUUGGAAUUUUUUUUCAAAAAAUGAUACGUAAUAUGACCGGGAAGUUUGAAAUAUUUUUCAAAAUUUCAUCAUACUCAUGAACAUGAACAAAGUCCUAGACAUCAACAAGGUUUAAUAGGAUUGAUAUGAUAGAUAUAUCAACAAGUGCCUGUUAAGUGAGGUGGUGCUGGGGUUGGAUAGAACUGCGAAGUUAAGCGUGCUCGGGCUGGAGUAUGUGAGGAUGGGUGACCUUCCGGGAAGUUUGACCACUUAGUGCGAUUUGACUUGAGAUUAAGCAUGUUGACCUGAGAUUAAGCCAUAGUGACCCGAGAUUAAGAAAAAAAUGAAUAAAAAUUUGCAAAUUCUAUGUGGUGCGCCAUUAGUAAGCCAGAGCACAUGGUUAAAUAUGGCCUCCUGGGAGGCAUUCUAAUGGCGCACCGAAUGGUAUACUAAUGGCGCACCACAUGGUGCGCCAUUAGUAUCUGGUAUACUAAUGGCGCACCUGUGGUGCGCCAUUAGUAAUAAAAUUCUAAUGGCGUGGUGCUAGUGGCACACCUGUAGUGCACCAUUAGUAGGCAAAACAGGUGCGCCACUAGCAGGCCUUUUCCUAGUAGUGACAUAUGCAUGGGUAUAUGUGUAAAGAGGCAAUAUCGGUGGACUGAACUGCAGAAUACCAGAAUAAGACUACGCUUCUGGCAGCCUCCCUCUUGCAGCAUGUAGAAGAGAGUAGAUUGAAGUCCUCCAAGUAGCAUCGCAUAGCAUAAUCCUACCCGACGAUCCUCUCCUCGUCGACCUGUGAGAGAGCAAUCACCGGGUUGUAUCUGGCACUUGGAAGGGUGUGUUUUAUUAAGUAUCUGGUUCUAGUUGUCAUAAGGUCAAGGUACAACUCCGGGUCGUCCUUUUACCGAGGGACACGGCUAUUCGAAUAGAUAAACUUCCCUGCAGGGGUGCACCACAUUACCCAACACGCUCCAUCCCAUUUGGCCGGACACACUUUCCUGGGUCAUGCACGGCCUCAGAAGAUCAACACGUCGCAGCCCUACCUAGGCACAACAGAGAGGUCAGCACGCCGGUCUAAAUCCUAUGGCGCAGGGGUCUGGGCCCAUCGCCCUUUGCACACCUGCAGACCUAGCCUCCCUAAUACAAGAGCAGGCGUUCCAGUCCAAUCCGGCGCGCGCCGCUCAGUCGCUGACAUCACGAAGGCUUCGGAUGAUACCACGACGCCGAGUGCCCAUAACUGUUCUCGCGUAGUUGGUUAGUGCGUAUAGGCCAGUGGCGAGACUCAGAUCAAAUACCAAGAUCUCGUUAAGCAUGUUAAUUGAAGUAUCCGUGAACGCCGACCAGGGCCAGGCCCACCUCUCUCCUAGGUGGUCUCAACCUGCCCUGUCGCUCCGGCACAAAGUAACAGCCGGGGGCCGUCGGGAACCUAGGCCCACAUCUAUCGGGAUGGAGCCACCUGCCCCUUCAGCCCCCAUCUCCGAACAGUAUCAUAAGUAAUGUAACAUUAUAAAGUUUAUAGCAUGUGCCCAUGAUCACCUCCCGAGUGAUCACGGCCCAGAAGUAUAGCAUGGCAGACGGACAAGAAUGUAGGGCCACUGAUGGAAUACUAGCAUCCUAUACUAAACAUUAGGAUUGCAGGUAAGGGUAACAACUGUAGCAACAAUGAUAGGCUAUGCAACAGAAUAGGAGUAACCGAACAGUAACAUGCUACACUACUCUAAUGCAAGCAGUAGAGAGAAGAAUAGGCGAUAUCUGGUGAUCAAGGGGGGGGCUUGCCUGGUUGAUCUGGCAAGAAGGAAGGGUCGUCAACACUGUAGUCGAACUGGGGGUCGCCCGCAGUCUCGGGGUCUACCGGAAAGAAGUAAUGGAGGGGGAACAUAAUAAAUAACAGAGCAAUCAAAGCAACACAAAGCAUAACAUGGUGAUACGCGGUGCUAGGGGUGACCUAACGCAGUAGGAGGUGAUACCGGCGAAGGGGGGAAACAUCCGGGAAAGUAUCCCCGGUGUUUCGCGUUUUCGAACAGAUGAACCGGAGGGGGAAAGUUGCGUGUUCGCUAUGCUAGGAAUGUGUGGCGGAUGAACGGGCUGCGUAUUCGGAUUCGUCUCGUCGUUCUGAGCAACUUUCAUCUACAAAGUAUUUUCAUCCGAGUUACAAUUUAUUUUAUAUGAUUUUCUAAAGUUUUAACUAUUUUUAGAAUUUAUUUAAUUAUUUUAAAUCAACAUUAUCCAGAAUAGUGUAAGCUGACGUCAUCAUGAUGUAAGCAUGACGUCAGCUGUCAACAGGGUGUUGACUGGGUCAAACUGACGAGAGGGUCCCGCAUGUCAUUGACUGAUUAAUUAACUAACAGUUAAUUAGAUUAAAUAGUGAUUAGAGUAAUCUAAUUAUGAUUAACUAAAUUAAUUAAUUAAUUGAUAUUUGUAUUUAUUUAUUUAUUUAUAUCUUUUUUUAACGUUCUGGGUGGGGCCCCUUUGUCAUAGGCCCAUAGGGGCCAAUCGGGCGAUGGGCGUCGGGCGCUGGCCCGUGGGUGUGCACCCGACUGGGCGCCGCGGGGCGGUUGGCGGGCGUCGGCGCCGGCGCAGGCGAGGUGCGUCGGGUGGAGGCGACAGGCUACGACGCGGUCGUGGGGGGAGGGGUCGCUCCCCCGAUCCAGAAACGGGGCGGGGAGAGGGAGGAGGUGAGGACGGGGCGGCGUCGGUGAAGGGCGACGGGCGUCGGGGGCGACAGGGUUGGGCGAGCGGCGCGGGGCGCCGAGCUUGAUUCCCCCGAUCCAGAUUGGAUCAGGAAGGGGGGAGAGCGACGUGGGAGAGUGGGGGAGGGAGUGGGGUAGUGGGGGGUUGUGCGCUAGGGUUUCUAGGGUGGGGAGGGUUAAUAGGCGCGGCUGGGCCGGCCUGGUUGGCCCGGCGGCUAGCUGGGCCGAGGCCUAGUGGGGGGGGUCCUCCUCUUUUUCUUUUGCUUUGUUUUAUUUCUUUUCUUUAUAUUUAUUCUUUCGUGAUUUAUUUUAGUUACAUUUAUUUUAAUUUUAGUAAAAUAUACACUUAGCAUCUAAAUUAGUAUUUCAACUUAGUCCACGGUCACAAAAAGUCUAAUCCCCAGAUAACUUAGUUUGACAUUUUAUUAAUUAUAAAAGGCAUUUAAUUAAUGGUUUUGCUAUUGUUUAAAUCCUUAUAGUUCAAUUAAGCAUUUUAUAAAAGCUUGGUUUCUCCACCAUAAUUACUUACGAUUUAUUUGACACAACCCGAACAUUUUAAUUUUAAUUUUUGAAAACUUUUCUUGUUUGCCUCUCAUUUGAAUUUGAAUUUGAAUCGGUUUUGAACUAACGCGAGUUUAACAACAGUAAUCGAGGUGACGUGGCAUUCAUUAAUAGUGGUUUACUGUAGCUUAAUUAUCCGGGCGUCACAAUGCCAGGAAUGACAGGCAGUAAUUAGACUAAGCAUCUUCCAAGAGAUAAGGUAAUUGUACACUGUUGGUAGUCAUGUACCCAUUAAUUAGGCUAGGCUAAUGUUUAUCUAUCAGCAUUGGGAACAAAAUACAUAGGGAUAUUAAGAAGCUUUUACAUGAUGCUAGUUAUAUGUUACAAUCAACCAUAAGAAUAUGUUAGCCCUGGGACUAGCACUAGUAGAAAACGGGUCUUUUGUCCCGGUUCUAGAACCGGGACUAAAGGGUCGUUACUAAAGCCCCCCCUAGUCCCGGUUGUGUUACGAACCGGGACUAAAGGCCCUCCACGUGGCCGCUGUCUGGAGCUCGACCUUUAGUCCCGGUUGGUAACCGGGACUAAAGGAAUAUUUUUGAUUUUUUUCGAUUUUUUGAAAAAAAAAAUGAAUUUUUUUGAAAUUUUCAAAUUUCUAAAUUAUUUGCAUUUAAUCUCUAAUCACCCCUCAUCACUGCUCAAUCUAAUCUCUAAUCUCUAAUCACCCCUUAUCACUGCUCAAUCUAAUCUCUAAUCUGUAAUCACCCCCCAUAAUUCCAAAUCGAUAUUUUUGAAAAAAAAAAUCAAUUUUAUUGAAUUUUUCAAAUUUCUGAAUUACUUGCUUUUAAUCUCUAAUCACCCCUCAUCACUGCUCAAUCUAAUCUCUAAUCUCUAAUGACCCCCCAUAAUUCCAAAUUGUCUAACUUCCCGGCAGGCCACCCAUCCUCUCACUACUACAGCCUAACCACGCUUAACUUUAGAGUUCUAUUCCCCCUUGUUUCCAAGUCUGCACUUGUUGUUUUCCUGACAAUACUAAGCUGUCAAUCCUAUUAACCCUUAGGAGUUGAAGUUGAGCAUUAAGUCACACGUUACACCGUUUGAGAUUCAAACUAUUAUUCUUAAAACCAAUGAUUAUUUAGUAACACCAAUAUUUCUUUAAUAAGUAGUUUGACCAUAGUUUGACCACAGUUUGACCAGAUUUGACCAAAAUUCAAAAAAACUGAAAUAAUUAUUUAGUAACACUAAUAUUCUUGAAUAAUUAUUCAGUAACACUAAUAUUUCUUGAAUAAGUAGUUUGACCACGGUUGACCAGAUUUAACCAAAAUUCAAAAAAACAUAAAUUUGAGCAUAUCUUUUUGUCCUUUUAGAAUUUGAGGAUUCUAAAAAUUUGCAAAACGGCCGUAGGCCGUCAAAAUCAGAUGUGGUUUUUCGUGCUGAACAUUUUGAUAUAUUAUACGUUUUUUUCUGACAUCGUAUGCAAAAGUUAUAGCUGUUUUACUUUUUCAUAACACUUUUUUGCAAAACAUGUCCAAAUUUAAGUUUUUUAAUUUUCCUAACUAGUAGAUGUAGUAAUAUAACUACAUCUCGAAGGAUUUUAUUUUUUGAAGUUUUUAUCUUUUUUUUCUUUUUUCAAAACUGAAAUGGCUGAGACACGAACCGGGACAAAAGGGCAUCACACCCUUUGGUCCCGGUUCGUGUCUCAAACCGGGACUAAAGGUCUCAUUUGAACCGGGACUAAUGCCUUUAGCCGCUCGAACCAGGACUAAUGUUCACAUUAGUCCCGGUUCGUAAUGCAACCGGGACUAAUGUGUAUAUUGAGCUGUGACCAAAGCCCUGUUUUCUACUAGUGUAGCACUAUACAGAUCUAGCACCUCUGCUAGCAUCCACGUUAUAUCUAUCCUAGGAUGCCCAUAAAACACAAUGUGUGGGUCACAAAUAAAUUCUACGAUGGUGGAUUUGUAAGUGUCACAACCAAAUCAACGAAAGAAUCUGCAACAACGACAUAUAACAACAACUUCGAAUAGCCAAAUGUAAACAAAAAUGUAUACUAUAAGAGUCUUUCAGCCAAAAUACAACUUAUACAAUGAAGCGAAUACGUUCCUUAGACAUGUAAAGCUCAAUAAUUGCCUUAAGAAGGCUAAAGAAAUGCAAACGAUGUCCAUAUCUCUGCCCAGAUAUCUUUCUAGGAUAACAUGUUAAUUUUGUCCUUCAUCAUACCUAUUCCUAAAAUCUUACCAUCUGUAGCAAUCUGGAUCAAGAGAAUAAAUAAAGCAAGGUGAGUACACAACUGUACUCGCAAAACUUACAUCAGAUCUAUCCACUUAUGCAUCAUUCUCAAGGAAAGGGUUAUGUGUCGGUUAAACAAUAAGCACUAAGUAUUCUAUAGAGACACGUUACAUCUUGUAUCUAUAAGAGAUAAGGUAAGAGAGUGUACGAGGAAAAAGAUCAAAUAAGAACCAUCUAUUUCUAUCAUCAAACAUAACACCUCACCCUGAAUCAUCCCUGGCAUCACCCACAAGGAAGUAAGUCCAUGGCACUUACCUCAUUGGCACGUUUUUUAUUAGUUGAACUAGAUAUAACUUAGAAACUAACAAGUUUAAUGAGUGGGCAAGUUUUUGCAAUUACGAUUAAAAUUAUUAUAUGAUCAAGGACAAUAUCUCUGAGCCGUCCAUUACCACGGACAUAGAUAUUUGAAUAGAUUUAACCCUACAGGGGUGAACCAAGUUACCCAUACACAUUGGACCGCCUCUUGUUGAACGCGGAAGUUAAGAAAUUGAAAGAACCCUAUGUUAAUGGCUAAAUCUAUAUUGCCCAAAAUCGCCCUCAAAUUAUGUCAAAUGAGAAAGUGAUGAACAUCAAAAUUUGGUCCGAGGUUCCGGGCCACAGCGCGGAAGCUCCAAGCUUGCUUCAAUUAGGACUUUUUUUAUAUGUUUUGGACAUGAUUUUGAGUUAUUUUCUUGUCCGGCUGCCUCAUAUAUAGUUGAGAGGUGACGGACAAUCGAAACGACACAAAAUCAGUUAGUACAUAUACUUUUCAUAUAGCUAUUGCCUCUCUCCCUUGUUCUUGCUCUCUCAUUUGAUUUAUUGGAGAGUAGCGGAUCCGGUAUUUCUAGGUGUGAUGGGACUGACCUAAAAUUACCCAUAGCCGCUGCAUUCCCUAAUGGGUUCCAUCUGGAGUUUGUAGGGUUUGGUCUUGUGAAAAGUCUCCCCUGCGUGUCUUGCAUAUUGUGCGUCAGGCGAGGUCCUCGGCGACUUUGUCUUGUAUACCGCGCUCGGCUUCGGGGCUACACAGUGAAAUCUUCAUUUGUCAAAGGUUAUCAUGAAAACGGUAAAACUAUUGUUUAGAUUAAGAAUAUAUGCCCAAAUAAUAUGGAAUUAUUUAUUACGCUAUAGUUUUACUGGUAAUGUAUCACAAUCUAUGAGCAUUAAGAUAACCAUGUGCCACCAUAUAAGAAAAGGAUAUUAAGAGGGCAAUUUUUUAUAACUAUACAUUAUUACUACCCUUUUGGUAGUUAUAUAUUACGAUCACCCCUUAAGAGGAAAUAUUAUUUGGUCUGCAGGUUUGUUGGCUACAUGUCACGAAUGACGAGCAAUAAGUACAGUAAGCAUCUUCCAACAAUGUACGUAGGAUGGUACUGUUGGUAGUUGUAUACCCAGUAAUUAUAUUAAUAAUGUUCAUUUACCAGUAUUGGGAACAGGAGACGCGAUGAUAUUAAGAAGCUUUUACAAGAUGCUAGGUAUAUGUUACAACCAUCCAUUAAAGACAGUAUAACCGAACCCUUUUCGAGCCCUCUUACGCACUCACUAAUUUAGGCCGUCGGAUCACGUGUCCGAGCGGUUCUUGGCCGUCCAAGGCAGUCUUUUCCCCCGUGCGGGCUGAUACUGGGCCGGCUGUCCUGGGCCGCUAUUCCCGCGGCCGAAUUAGGAGCUUCUAGUUCACUGGCAUGAGCUAACGUCGGAUGGCGAAUGUAUGAUUGUGAUUCUGCUCCGCGUCUUCGUAGCCCCCACUAACCUCCCCUCCCCUCCCCUCCCCUCCCCUCCCGGCACCACGUCACGCUCCACACCCCCAACCCCUCCAAGUGCGUUGCCGCUGUCCUUGUUGCCGCAGAGAGAGGAAGAUAGAGUGACGACAAUGGUAACGGCGAGCCAAACAGAUCGCCCACACCAUGCGGAGUGGAGCCGCUCAGAUCUUCGCGAUGGCGGCGGCCGACGUCACCACCAUCCUCUACAGGUCUGUGUACCUCUCCUCCUCCUGCGUCUCCUAUUUUCUAUGAGUCGGUUGCUCGAUCUGGUCUCCGAGAUGGUUGAAUGGGAGAGGAACAUGAGAGGCCGAGCCCCAGAGUACGGUCGUCGCUGUCAUGCAGGAAGAUGCUAUAUCGAGCCUGCCGCCGCCGCCUCCACGCAGGAAGAGGCGUCCUGAGUGGCUACCGAGGCUGAAGACGGACAAAAGAGAAACCUCAAGGAGGCCGACGCAGGCGCGGUGGCGAAUGGCGCCUGGGAGGACGCCAGCCGACCGCAUGUGGAAGGCAACCCACAGGUUAAUCUCUACGACACCCCACCCCACUCUAUCCAUGUGUGUGUUGUACCUAGGGUUUAGUGCACAAACCAGUAAGACCAAUCUUGCAGUUGGACAUGCUAAUGCUGAUGACUUGUCUGAACAUAUGUGCAGGGACAACGUGAACCUGCAAAAUCAAAUAAGAAAAUGCGCAUGUACACUAUUAUGAUUUGUCAUGGGCUAAUGAAAUUUGCAAGCCUAAUUUGUCAAAGAAUGGAGAUCUCACCUGAUCCAUAUGGAGUAAACCCCACUCCCUGUUCCAGAUUUCUUCAAUAAUCUUAUCUGAAUCUUCAGACCGUUUGCCCCCAAAUGCCACCAUGUUAUAUAUGUAGUCACAACAACACCAGCCAUCCCUUGAAAUUUCUCUGUUUUAUCUUAUGUAAAACAGCUGUUAUGUUCAUCUCUUAUACUUGACCUGAGCUUGAACUGGAAUGCCCAUUUAUCAAUAGACACAGCAUAUGUGACUAAGCAUAGAUAACUCUUCUUAAUACGACAAGCUCCAGCCACACCUACCAAGGACAUACCAGCACCACAAGGCCUGACCUUGCUCUGCCUGCAAAGUCAUGGCAAAAAUUGUUCAGAAAAGGAGAAGAAGCAGCAGUUCAUACUCUGCAGAUACUUGAGUUCCAAAACUAACAAUUAACAAAUGAACCCAGGGCAGUAUUUUCUUGCUAACGCUGAGAGCAGUGAGACUGUCCCUAUAUUUUGCAUAAAUUUGACAGAUUAUUUCAGAAUUUGGUAGAAGUCAAUAAACCCAAAAGAAUGCUAAUGAACCCAAAAAUGUCCAUUGGGCAAAAAAAGAAAAUGCAUACUUCUAACCGCUAGCCUACACCCUACAAGGUAGAGAUCAUACUUUAGUUUGCGGAGCAAAUGCGCUGAGACAAUCUGCAAAUGAGCUCAAGUGCAACAAAAAUUUUACAAAGGAUGCAGAUGUUCUUUCAAAUGCCAUGACUCGUCCAGUUGAAUUGUUUGUAACUCAUGUGAGUAUUGACAAGGCUGAGCAGCUUAUUAAGAGUGUUAUAGCUGAGGUAUGCUAAAGGUAUCGGUUUGUAGUAGUUCACUUUAGAUGCAAUCUGUGAAGUUACAUCUCUAUGGUUCCAUCAAAUACAUCUAUUCCAGGCUGAGCUGGCGGUUCCUCUACCUUGAUAGCCAAAGUUUUUGGGUCCAGACAGUCCGGUUCAGAGGAGUUUGAGAGUGAAUGCAUGCGCUCGGGCUCCCCCAACCUUGACCUCGACGUCAAGCAGUGGUGCCCCUCUCAUGGCCAGUUGAAGUGGCGUCCCCAGGCACGCUGCCAUCAAGAUGGAGACCAUGCUUCAGCCCUUCAGCCACCGCUGGCCUUGUCGUCCUCUCUAGGUUCAAGGAGGAGCGAGUAGGAGGACAUGGAGUAGCACUCGUAUAUCGUGUGUAUCCUUCACUUUAUUAUUCCAAAUCAGAUUACCCUGCCAAGGUCAGUACUACUUUUUGUUGUUUCUUGUUAUCAAUAUUUUUGUAUCGCUUCUAAAAUGUCAAUUGCCAAUCAUUCUCCAUAGAUGUAGUCAUCCAGUUCUAUGACCUAAAAUAUAUGUUAUCCUUUGCUCAGUUAGUACAUAAAUAUUCAGAAAUAGUUCACCGUGUAAUUUAAGAUUAAAAUUUAUGUUAAUUAGGCUUUAGCUUGUCAUGCUGCUUUUGUCUGUUUGGUGAAGUUGAACUAAAAACAUAAUUAGCAUUUUUCUUCAUGUGCUCAUCAUCAGCCUUUAAUGUGGAUGUUGUACUGACAUGUAAACUUCUUGCAAUAGUUGUAGUGUGUACGGAUACUAAUUUAUAUGAUCUCUCUUUUCUUCCCUCCCUUUAUUAGGUCCGCUUGGUGGUUAAAGCGAUAUGUAAAUCAAUCAUAGUAAAAUACUGCACAAGGAAGAUGUCUUAUCUCCGGUCUUUAAUUUGGACGUCACAUUUAGACUUCCUGCCAUAACCAUGGUGUGUAGUGAUACUAAUAUGUAUGCUCUCUUUCCUGCCUCCCUUUUUAUUUUUAUUGUGAUAUGUUUGGAGGCUAAAGUAAUUUGUAUCUCAAUUAUUGCUAGAUCACUAAGCUAGGAAUCUGCUUUGACUAAAUGACUGAAUAAAUAUCACAUGUAAUCUUAGUAAGCUCUCCAGAAUAAAGGGAAACAACUUCUUGGUUCAUAUUCAGAUACUGAAAUUAACUUUUAUGUUUGCAUCAUUGCUAUUACUAUGUACUAUGCUUGGAUGGUACACCAGCCUCUUGUAACUUGAUAUAUACAAAACGUAGUCAAACUUCACCUCUUCUAUUGCUAACAAAUAUAUAUGCCAGGAUACACUACUAGGAAAACGGCUAUAGCUCAUAUGCACAUUAAUGGCGCACCAGGUAUAGCAGUGGCGCACCAGAUACAGGUACGCCAUUAAUGGCCAUAUUACUAAUAGCGCACCUGGUGUAUGAUGCGCCAUUACUAGUUUUAUCCUGGCCCCACACCCCUUCCCAGACUUAGCAGUGGCGCACCAGGGUAUAGUGCGCCAUUACUAGUUUUAACUAGUAAUGGCGCACCACACCCACGGUGCGCCACCACUAACAAUUUUUUUUAUAUAUUUUUUUCAAAACUAGUAAUGGCGCACCACACCCACGGUGUGCCACUACUAACAUUUUUUUACUUUUUUUUCAGAACUAGUAAUGACGCACCACACACCAGGUGCGCCAUUAGUAACCCUGGUUACCAAUGGCGCAUUCCUAGGAGGUGCGCCAUUGGUAACCUGAGAGCAGCUAGAUAUUUUCGACAGCCACCUACCACACUCACUUUCCCCACUUCAUUCUCUCCACCUCUACCAAGCUUGGUCUCGGCUGCCUCGUCCUCCUCACCUUUAUUGAGAAGACGUACAAUGACCGAGGCCAACAGAGGACGGACGGAGAUAUAAUCAAAGAGCACAACUCAUGUUUCACGCGUUGGUUCAAGGACAAGCUUCUGUCGUACCCUUUACAUGAGGAUUCUUCCGCGGAAGAAAAACUCAUAUUCGCCUUGUCACAGGGCGCCGAGCACAACCUGAUGACCUAUGAGGCGUACGGUAUCAACGGCUACACAUUCUACACCGAGGAAAAGGACAUGAAGAGCGAUUAUCAGAACUACGGGGUAACGAUGGAAUCCUACACCGGUAACGACAAGGACAGAUGCUACGGAAGGAUCGAGGAGAUCUGGGAGCUGAGCUACGCUGGAGAGAAGGUCCUGACGUUCCGUGUCAGAUGAGCCAAGAGCGUCUUAAAAGAAGACCGGUAUUUCACCACCAUGGUUAUACCCGAAGCCAAAUCCAAGACCGCGGGCGCCAACGUCACCGCGAAAAAUGAGCCAUGGGUACUGGCUUCCCAAGUGGACCAAUGCUUCUUCAUUACCGACCCGUCAAAGCCCAGUCGUGUUGUCGUGAGGAGAGGCAAAAGGAACAUCAUCGGAAUGGAUGGAGUCGCCAAUGAGCAAGACUUCGACAAGUACGGCGACCCGAAGAUGGAAGAUGACGACGACGAUGAAGUACCAUACACCACAAGAAGAAGCAGGACCACCCUACCUAAAGGACGUCCGUUCAAGAGAAGAACUCCAUUUGCGAAAAAGAAAGGCAAGAAGAUUGUGAAAAGAUAGCUAAGAUCGAAUCACGACGUGUCGACCGCGUGUGUAUCAGUGGCAAGCUCAAUUAUUACAUGCAACUAAGUUGAAGUAUGGAAAUGGCAUUUCUUCUGUUCUAGUCCUCUAUCCAGUAACCUCUUUUGUUCAAAAUAGUGGGGAUUAAUGUUGUCUGUACUUACCUUCCAUUUGUAACUUUUCCAUCACCAAGUUGAAGUAUCGACCACGCCUUCUUCCUGGAUAUUUAAUUUUUGUUCUUCUCCCUCUUGUUUUGUUGCAAAUCAUCAUUUACAGCCACCUUGGGCUUCUUUGUUUAUUCUGGUAUUUUAUUUUUCAGUGUUCCUUUUCCUGCUUAAAUUUGCAAACAUUUUUUGAAAAUGCGAAUAUUUUUCUAACUCACAAAAAGUAUUGAAUUUGUUAAUAUUUUUUAAACUCAUGAAUAUUUUUAAAUUUCACGGGCACUUUUUGAAUUCAUGAAUAUUUUUUCAAAUUUGAUGAUAUUUUUUCAUAUUCAUAAAUAUUUUACCAAUUCACAAAUGUUUUGCAACGCAAAUAUUUGAAAAUUAGUAAUAACUACUUAUAUCGUAACAUUUUAAAAUUUAUGGUCAUUUUCUAAAAAAUUAUUACAUGCAAAUAAAAUCCAAAAAAAAGUUAGUAAUGGCGCACCAGGAGAAGGUGCGCCAUCACUAUCACGGUGUUUAUGGCGCACCCCUGGAAGGUGCGCCAUUAAUAUACCAAUUUUUAUUUAUGUUUAUUCUGAUAUUUUAUUUUUCAGUGUUCCUUUUCCUGCUUAAAUUUGCAAACAUUUUUCUAACUCACAAAAAAUAUUGAAUUUGUUAAUAUUUUUUGAACUCAUGAAUAUUUUUAAAUUUCAUGGGCAUUUUUUGAAUUCAUGAAUAUUUUUUCAAAUUUGAUGAUAUUUUCAUAUUCAUAAAUGUUUUACCAAUUCACAAAUGUUUUGCAACACAAGUAUUUGAAAAUUAGUAAUAACUACUUAUAUCUUAACAUUUUAAAAUUUAUGGUCAUUUUCUAAAAAAUUAUUACAUGCAACUAAAAAUCCAAAAAAAAUGUUAGUAAUGCCUCACCAGGAGAAGGUGCGCCAUUGCUAUCACGGUGUUUAUGACGCAUCUCUAAAAGGUGCGCCAUUGCUAACUCUCCCCCACUAAAAGAUCCCAAAUCCUCCCCAAUCUCACACCUCUCUCCCCCCAAUCCUGCCCCCGUCCUGCGCCCCCGACCUGCGCCGCCGCCCCCACUACUGGAAUCAGCUAAUUUGCCAUCUGCCAGCUCUUUGCAGCUCUUUGCCAUCAGCUACCCAAAAGCAGACGGCAAAGAAAUGGCAGACGGCAAAGAAGCUCUUUGCNNNNNNNNNNNNNNNNNNNNNNNNNNNNNNNNNNNNNNNNNNNNNNNNNNNNNNNNNNNNNNNNNNNNNNNNNNNNNNNNNNNNNNNNNNNNNNNNNNNNNNNNNNNNNNNNNNNNNNNNNNNNNNNNNNNNNNNNNNNNNNNNNNNNNNNNNNNNNNNNNNNNNNNNNNNNNNNNNNNNNNNNNNNNNNNNNNNNNNNNNNNNNNNNNNNNNNNNNNNNNNNNNNNNNNNNNNNNNNNNNNNNNNNNNNNNNNNNNNNNNNNNNNNNNNNNNNNNNNNNNNNNNNNNNNNNNNNNNNNNNNNNNNNNNNNNNNNNNNNNNNNNNNNNNNNNNNNNNNNNNNNNNNNNNNNNNNNNNNNNNNNNNNNNNNNNNNNNNNNNNNNNNNNNNNNNNNNNNNNNNNNNNNNNNNNNNNNNNNNNNNNNNNNNNNNNNNNNNNNNNNNNNNNNNNNNNNNNNNNNNNNNNNNNNNNNNNNNNNNNNNNNNNNNNNNNNNNNNNNNNNNNNNNNNNNNNNNNNNNNNNNNNNNNNNNNNNNNNNNNNNNNNNNNNNNNNNNNNNNNNNNNNNNNNNNNNNNNNNNNNNNNNNNNNNNNNNNNNNNNNNNNNNNNNNNNNNNNNNNNNNNNNNNNNNNNNNNNNNNNNNNNNNNNNNNNNNNNNNNNNNNNNNNNNNNNNNNNNNNNNNNNNNNNNNNNNNNNNNNNNNNNNNNNNNNNNNNNNNNNNNNNNNNNNNNNNNNNNNNNNNNNNNNNNNNNNNNNNNNNNNNNNNNNNNNNNNNNNNNNNNNNNNNNNNNNNNNNNNNNNNNNNNNNNNNNNNNNNNNNNNNNNNNNNNNNNNNNNNNNNNNNNNNNNNNNNNNNNNNNNNNNNNNNNNNNNNNNNNNNNNNNNNNNNNNNNNNNNNNNNNNNNNNNNNNNNNNNNNNNNNNNNNNNNNNNNNNNNNNNNNNNNNNNNNNNNNNNNNNNNNNNNNNNNNNNNNNNNNNNNNNNNNNNNNNNNNNNNNNNNNNNNNNNNNNNNNNNNNNNNNNNNNNNNNNNNNNNNNNNNNNNNNNNNNNNNNNNNNNNNNNNNNNNNNNNNNNNNNNNNNNNNNNNNNNNNNNNNNNNNNNNNNNCCGACCCCGACACGGCACCCCGAGACCGACACGACACCCCGACCCCCGACACCUCCCGAAAAGGUGUUCUUUGGCCUUCCAGAAGCCGACGGGCUCAUGUAUUUGUGAAUUAUUAGUUAGGUCAUAUAUCUUUCGAUUUUGUUAUGAAAAACAUCAUAUAUAAUUGUGUUGAUCGGGUAGUUUUAAAUGUGCAGUCGUUUCAUCGCUGCGAGGUUUGGUGUUCGACGACCUCGCCGUGCGUUUGACGAGCUCUGCCCCUUCGUUCGUGGGUGAGCACAAAUGACAUGUCCUCCUCCCCCAUUAAUUAUUUGAUCUAUUCCGAUGAAACUUGAUAGCUAGCUAUAUAUGUGUCUUGAAUCAUCAGUAUGCGUAACCAAUAUGUGUCUCCCGUUCGAAAGCGUCAUAGUUAUAAAUAUGCAUGCAUUUGCAUAUUUAUAACUUUGAUUCUUUCGAAUUGUCCAACGCUAUCCAUGGACAGCCCGAGUAUGUUUAGAUUGGGUUCGUUUUCCCAUAUGCUUUGCUCCGGAUCCGACGCAUAAAUUUUGUCAGUGCCUCCCCUGUUGUUCUCCGGGUACACAUCCUCUCUGUUUAUUGCAGAGACGUGUAUCAGGAGAACAGCGGGGAGGUGCUGCCGAAAUUUUGCGUAGGAUCCGGAGCAUAGCAUGGGAAAAUGAACCCAAUCUAAACAUACUCGGGUGGGAUUAGGACCUAUCAUUACCUAUUAGAGUGUAGGUUGCAUGGACGUAAUAAAAUUGACAAAGUAGAUCAACUGAUGAAUAUAUACAUGGUGAAUUAUAUAUAUAUAUAUAUAUAUAUAUAUAUAUAUAUAUAUAUAUAUAUAUAUAUAUAUAUAUAUAUAUUUGUUGUGUGUCUAGUAGCUCUGAAAGUCAAGAUGAGUGAUCGUGCGUGGAUGUACACCGGUCACACUGGUCAGAACAAAUGGAGCACUGAAUGGUUCACAAAAACCAACGGGUUUGUGCGAGCCGCAUUUGCAAAUGGCCAGAGAAAAACCUGGUGCCCCUGUUUACGGUGCGGCAAUUGGGAAAAGAGGAUAGAGGCUAAAAUGGGCAAACACCUGCAGAAGAGUGGUUUUACGCCCGAUUAUACGGUGUGGACAUUUCAUGGUGAGUCUUCCCAACGUGACCGAGCUGAGGUGGAUCGUCGUCGCACCGACGAGCAUGGUACCGGGAUGGAAAACAUGGUGCAAGACUUCGAUGAUGCUCGGGAUUCGGACGAGGAGAUGGAGGAAUCUGCAAAGGCCUUCAAUGAAAUGUUGGAGUCUUCAAAACGUCCGCUCCAAGAGCACACUGAGCUUUGUCAGUUGGAUGCCAUCUCACAAGUAAUGGCUCUGAAGGCUCAGUUCAACUUGGGCAGAGAAUGCUACGAUGCAAUGAUGACAGUAUUUGGACGCUUUCUACCCAAAGGCCAUGUAAUGCCUGCAAACCUGUACCAGUCGGACAAAAUCCUCCGUGCACUAAAGAUGCCCUAUGAUAAGAUACAUGCCUGUGAGAAAGGAUGUGUCUUGUUUAGGCUUGACUAUGCAGACUUGAACUAUUGUCCCAUUUGCAAGUCUUCCAGGUAUGUUGUGGUAGACAAUGGUAUGGGUGAGAAGACACAGACCAAAAUCCCCAUUAGUGCUCUUCGGUAUAUGCCAAUCGUACCAAGACUUCAACGUCUUUUCAUGGUCGAAGAGACGGCCAGACAGAUGACAUGGCACAAAACGGGCAAAAGAACCGAACUAGAUGCACAUGGGAAUCUGAUGAUUGUACACACAUCGGGUGGUGUUGCGUGGAAAAAGUUUGAUGAAUUACGUGGUGACAAAGCGGCAGAUCCGAGGCAUCCUCGAGUCGGCAUCAGCACGGAUGGGUUCAGUGUGUUUGGUAUGACAGCAGCCCAAUACAGUUGUUGGCCCGUAUUUGUCUUUCCACUCAAUCUCCCCCCCCCCCGGACAGAUUCUGCAAAGAAAGAACAUUUUCCUAACGUUGAUAAUUCCAGGGCCCAACUAUCCGGGGAAAAAUAUGAAUGUGUACAUGCAAACGCUUAAGGACGAAUUGCAAGAAGCCUGGGAUAAUGGGUUCAAGACAUACGACGCCUAUAGCAAACGGAACUUCAUAAUGCGUGUCUGGUACAUGUACUCGACGCAUGACUUGCCGGCGUAUGCGUUAUUCGUUGGCUGGUGUGUGCAUGGAAGGUUCCCAUGCCCCACAUGCAAGGGAGCUCUUGAGUUUCGUUGGCUUCAGGCCGGUCGCAAGUUUUCUUGCUUCGACAUGCGUAGACAGUUCCUGAAUCCUCGCCAUAAGUUCAGGAAAGACAAGAAGAACUUCAUCAGAGGUAGAGUUGUCAAAAACUCUGCACCACCUGCAUUCACAGGCCAACAGACCCUGGAUCAGUUAAACGCUCUCGAGCCAGAUCUAGAGCGUCCAGGGUACUUCAAGGGGUAUAAUUCUAAGCACGCCUGGACUCACAAAACAUGCUUAUGGGAUCUGCCUUACUUCAAAGACCUCCUUUGCCCACACAACAUCGACGUGAUGCACACUGAGAAGAAUAUCGCCGAGGCACUUUUUGGUACAUUGUUCGGCAUAGAUGGGAAGUCAAAGGAUAAUACUAAGGCUAGAGUCGAUCUGGAGGCGCUAUGUGAUAGGCCGUUACAAAACAUGAAAGAACCGAAAGGAAAGCAGAACUGGACGAAGCCAAAGGCAUGGUUCAAUCUUGGAAGGCCAGCUAUGAGGGAAAUUAUCUUGUGGGUGAAAAUGCAGUUGAUGUUCCCCGAUGGGUAUGCAGCGAAUCUACAGAGGGGAGCCAGUCUUGAUAAAUUGAAGAUAUUUGGUCUCAAGAGUCAUGAUUGGCACAUAUGGAUUGAGCGGGUAAUGCCGGUGAUGUUGCGUGGCUUCAUCCCUGAGGAUGAAUGGCUAGUACUGGCAGAACUAAGCUAUUUCUUCCGUGUUCUUUGUGCGAAAGAACUAUCGCCUGGCGUGCUAGAAGAAAUGGAAGAGUUGGCGCCGGAGUUGAUCUGCAAGUUAGAGAAGAUCUUUCCACCGGGCUUCUCUAAUCCAAUGCAACAUUUGAUUUUGCAUCUCCCGACCGAGGAAAGAUUGGGGGGGCCCGUGCAAAAUCGUUGGUGCUAACCAACUGAGAGGAUGCAGAAGACGCUUCGACAAAAAUGUAAAAAUAAACGUAGAAUUGAAGCAUCGAUGGCUGAGGCAUUCAUCACUGAGGAGGCGGCAAACUUCGUGACAGCACACUACGAAGCCAAAAAUCGUCAUUUGCAUAAUCCGAAGCCUCAGUACAAUGCUGACGACCCUAAAAAGGGUGGAUCAAACCUCAGCCUAUUCAAAGGGAAUCUCGCACCAGCUAGUGUUUCAAAUCCAGUAUCUUUGGAUAACGAACAAUGGCGGACCAUUUCGUUGUAUAUCUUCAACAACCUGAUAGAAGUGCGGCCGUACAUCGAGUAAGUUCUCGGUACAUAGUUUCGCAACUUCUAUUUUCUUUGAACUGCUCUUAUUCCUGGAUAUUUCAUACAGUCGAUACGCCGCCUUAUUCUCGUAUGGAGCGGUGAUCCAAAAGGAUUCUGUCGAAGAGUAUGAGCUUCUCGCAAAGCAAGGAGGCGGCUAUCCCGGUUUCAUCUCUUGGUUCAAACAAACGGUAAUUUCUAUUAGACUUGUAGGCUAAUUUGUAGGCGGCUAUCCCGGUUUCAUUCGCUAAUUUGUGCGUAAUGCAACAAUCCUCUCAUAUUAAACUUGUAGGCUAGUUCAGAGUCUAUGGACGCCGAAUUGAGACAAGUCGCUAAUGGUUUUGACUAUAAGGUCCGUUCAUUUGACAAAUACGACAUCAACCGGUAUCGCUUUCGUACCUAUGGCAAAGAGCUAUCUAUGGCCGACCGAAAGUCUACAAAUUGUUGUGUAUCUGCUAUCGGCGAAGGAGGUACCGAGUAUUAUGGGAGAGUUGAAGCAAUUUAUGAACUUCUAUUCUAUGGUGAAAACCCACCGAAUGUCGUAGUCUUCAAAUGUUAUUGGUUUCAGCCGAAGGAGACUAGAAGGACUCAUGAACAUAUAGGGCUAGUUGAAAUCAACCAAAGCACCCAUUUAGAUGUUCCUGAUGUCUAUAUUACGGCUCAACAGGCGACCCAAGUAUUCUAUCUACCGUGGGCCUGCCAAACUAAUCCAAAUCUGAAAGGUUGGGAUGUCGUUUAUGAAGUGCCGCCACGUGCUAGACUAUCUCCCCCAAAGGAAGAGGAUUAUGAACCUCACAUUAACCCAGACACAUAUGAAGGAGAAUUCUUCCAAGAGACACGUCUUUCCAAAAAGCGUUUCAAGAACCGCUAUACUUCACCCCAAAAUAUUGAAGUAGACAGCGACAGUGAAUCCGACAUCACCCCAGAGGAGGAACAAGAAGAGCCGGAACAAGAAGAGGUUACUGCUGCGGAUGACCUGUCAUUGCUUGACCGAUUACGUCAAGGUGGCCUUGCACAUGUUGAUGCCACUGAACCCUAUGAGCCCGUCAUUGAUUAUAGUGAUGAUGAUGAUUAUGCAUUUAUUGAUGAUACUGAUCGAGAUUAUUAGUAGUGUCAGGUAUUAAAAAUUUUAAUGUUGUACUUGAUGAUGAUACACUUAAGUGAUACACAUAUUAUUAUUCAUGUCGGUCUUCUUUUUAUGUUGUACUAAUUUCGUUUACUGUUUGUCAUGGCAGGUGUUGAAAGAUGGUGGGCGCUGGUCGGGAGCGCGCCAAGGCCCCUUCUUCGUCGGCGCGUGGUCUGAGGUCUUCCAUUCCAGACGCACCUCUCCACCGAGCGUUGCUGGACAGUAUGGCCACACCGCCGGGCCCUUCUUCGUCGACCGCGGUGCCCAGCAGGGGACGAGGUAGGAAGAGAGGAGGUGGGGCACGUGGUCGCGGGAGAGGAGGUAGGGUGACUGCUACGGCGCCUUCCUCGCCGCCACCCCCAGCUGUUUCACCCGAGCACGUGACUGCUAGGGUGGACGCGUCCGAGGAGGAGGCUACACGGACUCCGGUCCACGAGCCUCCGGUCCACGGGUCUUGGGCCCACGAGCCUCGGGUCGACUGGCCUUCGGCCCACGAGAGUUCGGCCCACGAGACCCCGGAGGAGCACACGUCCGGAUGGGGUACCUGGCCGGAUCAGCCCGACGAGCCGAGUGGCCAUGCUGAUGAUGGCGGGGAGCCGACUGAUCUUGAGGAGGAGGGGGGCACCGUCUACCAGCGUGGUGCUACACGGCUCCCGUCCGUGUCGGCGACCCGCGAGCAUAGGUGGUUGAUUUUCCCUGAUGGGGAGAGGUACCUAAGUGCAUUUAAUAUUUUUGUACCUUGUGCAUUCACGUUUCUUUAAAUAACUAAUGCGUUGGCCUUGUCAUGCUGCAGGGGUUGGGACCACCAUCAUAGUGUCUGCCGGCCCAACUCCGUCCUUGGAGUUCUUUUCCGGCAAAACUUCCCGGGGUUUGUCACGUUGCCUGGUGAGGGUCGGCUUCCAGAGCUUGGAUUGAGCUGGGAGCACUACGUGGCUGCCCCGGCCCCGCCGGAUGUCAUUAUCGACGGUGUCGUGUGCGACACGAGGGAAGACAUGGUGAUCAGGACGUUCUGGGUAAUUUCUCCUUUACACAUUUAAAAAUCUUCAACUAGCUAGUUAUUAAUUGUACUAAUCAAUAUUGUCUCAUUUGAUUGCAGACAUUCUACAGGUGUGAGGAGGGAUACGAGGAGGACGCGGCACAUGUUAUCGAGAACGUCUGCAAGCGCCUACUCCAGAACUUACGGCACGAGGCUCAGGUGCAGGCUGUUCGAGACUACUACGCCUUGCGUGGUAUCAAGAAGACCAAGCCGGCGUGCCGCGAUAAGUUCCUGAGUAAGGAGCAGUACAUGAAGGUAAUUCUUAAGGCCUUCUACUUAAGUUCCUUCAUUUAGUAAUUCUUAGCCGUAGCGCUCAAGUUUCUAUUUGCUAACUUAGGCGCCUCCAAGAUGGUGUGCGGAUCGGAUGGAUUGUUGGGAGGUGUUGGUCGAUGAGUGGUGCUCAAAAGAAUGGCUAGCCCUCCACAACGAGGCCAAGGACAAACGUGCCCAAAUGGAAGGUGUGCCACACCAUCAAGGCAGCUCCAACUUAUAUCAGUUCGGGCGCAACUGGGUAUGUGGUUUGCUUCAUGAUUCAUGCAAUUCAUUCAUCAUGCUAGCUUGAGCCCUUUAAUUACUAAUUUACAUUGUUUCUCUCUUUCAGGCACGCCACAAUAAGGUGGAUAAGGUGCCAGAGGUGUACGACCUGUAUGCCAUGGCCCACACUGCCUCUUUCAAGAAAGUCAAGGCUUUCUCUCAGUCUGACCUCGAUGAUGCAAACAACUUCACCAACAUCUCCUCCCACAACAAGCUCGUGAGAUAUAGAGAUGAGGGGAAGGCGAGGAAAGGGGAGGACUUUAACCCGAGCCAGGGUCCCAUUGAUCCAGAGCUGGUGAUGAUAUCUGGUGGAGGGAGGUCCCAUGGCUCCAUAGCCAUUGGAGAUGGACUUAUCCGUUGUCCUAGCACUCUCCCGGAGAUCAAGGCGCGCCAGUCGAGCUCCGCUCCUGAGAUAAGGCCUCGUGAACGGCCAGUGCAACUCGCCAUCAAGGUUAGUGAUACGUACUCAGUUAUCUUUCUCCAUUACAUUGUGUGCGCUUCCAUCAAUGAUUACAAAUGGUCAUGUGAGUGGUGUUGCAGGCUGCUAUACAGAGUGAGAGAGAUCGAACGGAGAAACUUCUGGCGGAGGCGGCGGAGAGGCAGCGGGAGUUGGAGGAGAGGACGACAAAGAUGAUGGAGGAGGAGAGGGCACGGAAUGACAUGCAGGCAAGGGCCAUGUACGAGCUCCUUGUGGUAAGUUUCUUCUGCAGAUUAGCCAAAACAUUCAUGUAGUGUUUGUCUCAUUACUAACUAGUAUGACUGAGUCGUCGAAACCAAAUGUGCAGUCUGUGUGCGAGAAGACAGGUCAGACCGCUCCGCCGAUGCCAGUGAUUGCUCCUGGGACCACGGUGAGUUUUAUUUGAAUGGACAUUACUUGCUAGUCUUAACAUUUGAGUGUCAUCAUGCUAACAAGACAUUGGAAAUGAUCUUUGGUGCAGCGUAACUCCAGACAAGCAUCGCACGAUCCUUCUCCAGCUACCGACACGAGCCACCCCGCUCCUACACCUCCUGGAUCUUGGUAAGUUUAUCUAGUGUUUUGCUUAACACAUGCAUAAAGACCUAGACUUAGCUUUAAUUAGCUUAGUUAGCUCAUAGACGAUCCAUUUUACUUAAGUUAGCUCUAAAAUGACCCAUUUUACCUAGGUUACCUUAUAAAUGAUCCAGUUCAUCCAAGUUAGCUCAAAAAUGACCCAUUUUACCUAGAUUAGCUCCUAAAUGAUCCAUUUUACCUACGUUAGCUUUAAAAUGACCCAUUUCAACUAGGUUAACUCCAAAAUGACCCAUCUUACCUAGUUUAUCUCAUAAACGAUCCAUUUCAACUAAUUUAGCUCAUAACCGAUCCAUUUCACCAAGUUAGCUAAAAAACGAUCCAUUUCACCUAAAUUAGCUCUUAAAUGAUCCAUUUCACCUCAGUUAGCUCAAAAAGAUCCAUUUCAACUAAAUUAGCUCAUAAAUGAUCCAUUUCACCUAAGUUAGCUCAAAAACGAUCCAUUUGACCUUAGUUAGCUAAAAAACGAUCCAUUUCACCUUAGUUACCUCAAAAACGAUCCAUUUGACCUUAGUUAGCUCAUAAACGACCCAUUUCAACUAAGUUAGCUCAUAAAUGAUCCAUUUCACCUUAGCUAGCUCAUAAACGACCCAUUUCAACUUAGUUAGCUCAUAUAUGAUCCAUUUCACGUAAGUUAGCUCAUAAAUGACAUACUCUUCUUGUUCUAGUCUUCUUCUUGUUCCACUCUUCUUGUUCUAGUCUUCUUCUUGUUCUACUCUUCUUGUUCUAGUCUUCUUAUUCUAGUCACCUAUUUCUAACUUUCUUAUUUUUUAUUUUGCAGAUUUCAUUCACUUGACGAAAGCUUGCAUAGAUGGAGUGCUCCUUAUCCCUUUCUCUGUUUCUUUUGUAUCGUUGAACUAUGCAUGUAUCUUGGUAGUUGGAUGAACUAUGCUAUGUAUGAUGGAACUUGGUAGUUGGAUGGAACAUAUGUGAUGAAGUUAUGUGAUGGAACUAUGUAUGAUGGAACUAUGCAUGUUGGAUAUCUUAUAUGUUUGCUGUGAAAAUUGUUGUCAUAUAUAUCUUAUGUGAUGGAACUCUGCCUUGUGAAAUAUAUCUAUAUAUGCCAUAUAUAUUUUCUGUGAAAUUUUUUGGAUUUAAUAAAAAACAGAAAAAAAGACCCAAUAUGCAGGCUCUUUGCCAUCUGCCACCGACGGCAACGGGCUCUUUGCCGUCUGCCACCGACGGCAAAGAGGACACAUGGCAUCCAGCUGUGCUUCCUGGGAGCUGACCCAUUUGGUCAGUUUGCCUACAGUGGCAGACGGCAAAGAGUUUGCCGUCAGCGGCGGACGGCAAAGGCCUGCCAUGUAGUGACGUGUAGAUGACAUCAUACGGCGGACGACAAAGACAGUAGAAACUUUGCCGUCCGCUGGCAGACGGCAAAGGCACUAGAAUGUUUGCCGUCCGCGGCGGACGGCAAAGGCCUGCCGUUAGCCACUUAACGGACUGAGAGCACAAUUAUUGCCGUCCGCCCUCUUUGCCGUCCGCGGCAGACGGCAAAGAGCCUUUGCCGUCAGCCGCCAGGAAGCAGACGGCAAAGUAGCUGUUUACCGUAGCCUACUUUGCCGGAGCCUUUUGCCGUCCGCCAUUCAUGCCUUUGCCGUCCGCCAUGGCAGACGGCAAAAUAGCUGAUUCCUGUAGUGCCCGACCCACUGCGCCGCCGCCCCGACCCACUGUGCCGCCGCCCCUACCUGCGCCGCCGCCCUGCCUCCUUGGCCCCCCUCCCCACUUGCCCCCUCGCGCUUCCCCUCGCCCUCUCCGCCUUCUCCUCUCCUCCAGAUCCGCGUCGGCAACCCGCGCGCGACGCGCCCGUCGUCGGCCACCUCGCACCGCCGUGGCAACCGUCGACCUCGUGCCACACCGACGUGCACAAGCACUCCACCUUCCUCGACUACGUCUCCGCGGACAAGCCGCAGGACGCAGGACGCCCCCGCGACGCCUUCCCCGCCACCGGCUUCCUCCUGGGCCCGGCGGACUCUGGCGAGCUCUCCCCCGAGCCCGCUUUGCUCACCUGCAGGUCACCGUGAGCUCCUCAAGGUUUGCCCUCCACUUCCCAUCCCUUCCCUUCCUCAUCUCGGUUCCUUCCCUUCCCUGCUCUCUUCUCUGACCCCCAUCUCAUCUAUCUUCUGCUCUCUUCUCUAGGUAGGUGACGACCACGCCGCAGCGAGGUUCUCCAAAUCCCGGCGACCUAGGUAUGAUUCCCUCCUCCUCCGAACCCCCCUACUCAUUUGUCUUCCAUUUGCUGCGGCAAAUCAGCAGUCCAAGCCCAAGGUCCUCGAUUUGUUUGUGCAGCAAAUCAAGCUCGUGUCUUGCAAAUUGCCACAACUGAACCAGCUGUAGUCCUCCCUAGUUUACUAUGUAAUGCAUAUUUACAAGAAUUGCGCUUGUACCUCCCUUGUCACCAUUGCUGAGACGAAUUAAUAGACUCAUUGGGGUAUGACAAUCGCUGUGAACCGAUGAACAUAGCAAAGAAGGAGCCCAACUGAUGAAUUUGAGAAGAAACGGCUAUGCAGAUUUAAGAGGAAAAGCACUAUUACCGUUCAAAAAAAAUUAGCAACACUAUUAGGUGUAGGCAAUGCGAUGGUGGAAUUAAUGAAGUUAGUUGUUGUGUUGCUGGUCAUUGCCAUUUGUGUGUUAGUAGUUCUUAAGAAUUGGUUGAAUGUAAUCCUAAUGGCAGUUGGUUGAAUUGAGCAAAUUUGAGAGCAACUGAUGGUUAAUGCAGAAGUAAACUUUAAGCAGAAUUGAGACAUGCAAAAUGCAGGAAUAUCCUCCGAGGAAUAUUGAGAGCAAUUUUCAUUUAGAAAGGAACAAAAUUGAUGUUCUCUGAACGUGUUUGGGAGACAGAUAUGUACUUGUCUGAACAUGCAACAGAGCUUGCCCAUAAAUGUUCUAAAUGAACAAAAAGUAAUGUUGAGGACAAAUAUUUUUCUUGGAGCUCUCUUUCUGAAUUGAUGUCUGCGUGCACGAGUUCAAAUUGAUAGAAUUGAUGAAUACAAACUUUUUUUUGAGGGAGAUGAAUACAAACUUGAUGCAACAGAAUUGAUAGAAUUCAAAUUGAUUAGCCUAGUAGUGGAAACUGAUGUCUGUCUGUCUGUCUGUAUGCACAAACUAAAUUUCAGCACAAAUUGAUACCUCGUGAGUAAAUUUAUAGAGCUUAAUAAUACGUACAUUAUAUAGAGAGCUGGAAGCUGCCAAGGUACUCUGUUUUGUUUUGUGAUUCAACAUGAGGAGGAUCGACUGUCCGACUGACUGCAUUCUACUGUAGAUUUAGUCUUCUACAUUAAAUAUGGCUGGCAAUGGAGAUUCUCAUUCUCCAAAGUACAGUUAGCUCCAAGUGUCCAUUUCCUGUGUUAAUUUGAUUUAUUCCUGCAUGGGGAAAACAAUAUCUUUUCACCUGUGAAUUAAUUGAUUGAUGUUUGUUUUGUUCAGGUCUUGACUCAGAAGAAUCUCACAAAGCACAGAGGCUGUCUAGAAAAGUUGCAUAAGAAAAAAAAAGGUACCUAUAAACAUUCUGGUUAUCGCCACCAUGCUAUUUGCUCAUUGACUACGAAAUAAUUAUAUAGUUUUGAAGUUUAUUUAGGUGUGAACUGUAACUCCUGAUUAUGGGCAAUUAUCAAUCAUGCUUAGUAUUGUUUCAUGGUUAAUUUAGCUGAUGAUAUAUACAACAUGGAAGUGUGAGGGGAUGUUACAUUACAUUAUCAUGUAGAUAUCAGAAACCAUUUUUGGUUCUUUCCUCCUGGGGGAGGGGAAGAGAAUACAUAGGAACAUGAUGGCUGUGGGCUUCUAUAUGCUGGCUUCUAUAUGAUGGCAGCUUCCAUGGUGUUAUAUAUGAUGUUAUAUGAUGGCAGCUUCUAUAUGAUGGCAGCUUCUGAUGUGAAAUGACCCCUUUCUCCUGAAAUGUUGAUUAAUUUCCGUUUCGGUUGAGAAUGGGGCACUCCUAGGUCAAGAAAAUUAGCAAAGGUCAUGCCCAAUUUUCUUGACCUAGAAGGUGCCCGAUUCUCAACCGAAACGGAAAUAUUCCUCUAAAUCUGAGAAGGAUAGAUACUACCUUGAUCUCAUCCAAUAACUCUAGUAGCAUUUUUUCCUAUUUAGAGCGAACAUGGCCGACAACGAUGAGGCCGGCGGUUCGGGCAAGCCAUUCUGGCAGCUGUCCCAGGAGAUGGAGGAAGAACCUCACCACUAUGAGGACGCCGUGGAAGACACCGAUCCCGACUACACAACCCCUAAUGGCGUCGGGGAUGACACCACUGAUGGUGCCGCCGGGGAUGCCACCACUGAUGGUGCCGCCGGGGAUGCCACCACUGAUGAUGGCAGCGAACGCAUAGAUGGCAGCCAACCGAAGAGGCAACGGAAGGACUGGCGCCCGAACGUGCUCGGCACCGUCAAGGAGGAAUUUACUGAAGUGUCCUCCAGUGGGCAUCCAACGGCGCCCAAAGAAUUAGUCAGUGGGUACGUGGGACAACUCGGGUGCAUUCUCCGGAGCACCGUCUCGAUCAACACCGAGAACCUAAGGCAUCGUGACCAAGGGAAUUUGCGCAACCUCCUCUUCACGAAGCUGCACGAACGAUACAAGUUCCCCUGUGACUUUGCAAACACACGCCUCUCAGGGAAUAAAGUGAACAGUGCUGCCCUCAUGAAGAUGAGCACGGCCCUGGCUACUUGGAGAGCCGCGGUGAAGAGAAGGAUUCUCCGUGGUGAUAGUUAUGAGAAGAUCAAGGAGACAAAUCCUUCGAUCAGCGAAGCUGACUACCUGGAGUUCAAAAUCAAGUGCGAGAGCAACGCAUCCGCGGAAUCAAGUCAGUGGGGGAAAGAUAUGCGGGACUUGAACUUAGGGGUCCACAAACUCGGUCCCGGUGGUUACAGAGUGGCGGAACCUAUAUGGGACAAGGAGGACGCGGAGCGUGCCGAGCAAGGCCUACCGCCCCUCUUCUAUAAAUACCCUGAUAAGCAGACCAGGUACUAUGUCAGGGCCCGGUACAAGGUGGACCCGAUAACAAAGGAGCUUACCACGGAUCCGAAGACCAAGGCGCUUGAGCUUGUUCUGGUAAGGAAUACACCCCCGCGUAAUUAGCUUCAUAUGGUUGCAUUCUAAUUAAUGAAGCCAAAUUUCUAAAUGGUUCACGUUCCUUCCGCAGGAAACUGAAAGCAGUAGCGCGGGAUCUCAGAGCUCCCCUUGGGACCGCACUUUAAAUAGGGCGUUGAACGUAAUGAAACACAAGGAUAAGUUCAGUAAGCCGUCGUCAGCUGGUCGUGUGGCCGGUAAAGGCUUGUCCACGAAAUGGUCGGAAUACUAUAAGGCUGAGCGAAAGGAGAGAAAGACCACCUCGGAAAUCCAGGAGCGUGAGGUUAAAGAACUUAAGGCACAAGUGGCGCGGAUUCCGGAGAUAGUCCAAGAGCAAGUGCGAGACCAACUGGGAGCGACGAUCACCGCCAUUAUUCCUACCUUGCUUGAGGGGCUGCAGGCGUGGAUUGCGGGCGGCCAACAGGGGCCGCCCCCGAUUCCCAGCUUCACGGGCAGCAACUCGCACAACGCGCCGGCAUUGGUGUCUCCGGCGGAGGCGGCAUUGGUGUCUCCGGCGUCGGCGCCGGCACUGGAGCUUAAUGCACCCGGGUGUGGGAAGAAUACGCCGGCCGGCACCUCGGCAGCAAGCGGCCCCUCCGUCACUUGCACGCCCGCCGUUGGCGGUGCCUCGACAUUAGCCGAGCUCGACGCCAUCACGGUAACUAAGCCUCGGCCGAUGACUUCAUCUCCUUGCCUUUGACUGGGCAUCCCUGACGCCCUACAUGUUUUCGCAGGGUGCCACCGACGUUCCAUGCACUCUCCUGCACUUCGUGGACGGCGAGUUGAUCGAUGUCGCCAAGGCCAAAAUCGUUCAACCGGGCAACCGCGUGUUCCACGGUAAUCCGAUGCCACCCACCGUGUAUAGGGCUCAACUGGUUCGGGUGCUGCGGGGCUGCGACGACUUGUUACCUCCGUUCGACCCCCUAGGGCCGACGAAGAUGAUGUGAUGACCCUCAGCGCCUGCUUAAGCUGGCCCCUGCUUUGGCCGAAGAGCCAGAUUCGUUUGGGGGCGGGGGACACCACCCCACAGACAACACGCCAGCCGUGCCGGCGCCAAGCCAUGGCAAGACCGCCGCAACGCUACCGCCGUCAGCUGAUCCGGACAUGCAUAUGGCACAGGAUCCGGACGACGACGAUGACGGUACAUUUUCCAACGUCGAUAAGUACUUCAACGAACAUGGGUACGGUGACGAAUUCUUGGGGCCUCCUUCUCAAGAACCCAACCCUGCAAAAGACGAUCGCGAUCUAGCUGGUACCUCGGAGAAACCCAAUUGCAACAGGCGUCGUCUGGCGUUCAGUUCUCAGGAGACGCCUCCAGCUGCCGCCUUCACCGAGACUCAAGUAGCUGAGGUGCGAAAUAUUAUCGGCCCCAACACACUCAAGAAAGUGGUCUCUGAGCAGAACUCGAUCCCAUUACAGCAGAAGAAGCAAAAGGGACGGAAAAGAAAGAAAAACAAGGGUGCGAGCCAGCCGGCACCGAGUACGAUACGUGCUCAGGACGGGCCACCAACACCUAAGGAUAUCUUGAGGAGGGUGCAUGUGGCGGGUAGGCCGAUGCUAUCGACUAAUCUGCUCAAUGCAGCAACCGGUGCUAUGCGGAGUCUGCAUGACAGUGUUCUUUCUAUGGAGAAGCGGCGUCUCUCCGAGAAUGAUGUGGCAUACCCGGUUUUCGUGGCCAAGGUGCCAGAGAGCAGGGGCUUUGUCGAUAGCACCAUCGGGCGUAUGAUCGUCCUGCGGUUUGAUGACAUCUUCGCUAUGUUUAACCUUCAUCCGCUGCACUACACCUUCAUUCGGUUAUUUUCGCUCAGUAUGGAGAUGCGGAUCAUUAGAGACAAGACCCCGGACAUCGUGAUAGUCGAUCCCUUCAACAUGCGUGCCAAGAUCUUGGGCAGCGCUGGGGACCGGCAAGUCGCGAGUUCAUACCUCGAAGGCGUCGUUCUGGCGAACCCAGAUAAGGAUAACUUCCUUGUGCCUUACUUUUCCGAGUAAGUCAUCCCCUCACCGCCCCGUAACAUAUGAUUUCUUAGAUUAAGAUCGUUCUUUUUUUUCUAACAUUCUGUGUUUUGUGCAGUGACACACAUUGCACACUCAUCCUCUUAAGCAUGAAAUAUUCCAUGGCCACGUAUUUCGACUCGGACCGUCAGUCGAAGAAAGACUACACAAAUAUCAAGAAAGUUCUUGAUGAUGCUCUCCCCGGCUACGCCAAAUCUGGAGGCACCUUCAGGAGGCCAAUUUGUAGGUACGGCAAGCACGUGUUCACCCACGUAACAACGUUCCCCUACGUCAAGCAGCCGCCUGGCAGUCAGAAGGAUGCCUACUACGCCCUCCAUCACAUGCGGGCGAUCGUACGGGACCAUAAUCACCUUACGCUACCAAAUAAUCUCAAAGAUUGGGCCGCACGCUUGUCGGCAAUCCAGGACGAGGACAUCAGACAAGAAUUCUUUCGCAUCCAGUCAGAGUUUGCGGAAAUCAUCUAUCAAGAUGUCCUCGGGGCAGUUCUACCUCAAAUAUCAACCGUCCAACAGUGAAAUAGAAACAACGCUACAAAUGCAGGCCGACAACAACCGCACAUUCAUGCCCAUCACGAAAGACGGCGGCUUCAUCCACGCUCCGGGUCCCUGAGUCGAGUCGAUUAGCUCAUGUUGUAAUUAAACUUUAAUGAACUUGUUUGUCUCUUUAGUUUGGACAGUCGUUCAACUUAUAUGUAAUCGAUGCUAUUUAUUAGUAGGACCAUGAAUCGUGCUAUUAAUGUGUUACUUUUCUCUUCCGAUCCUUUUGUUGCAUACUUAUAUAUUGCUUAUAUAUUAUCUGUGAAUUGCUACUAACAUUUUGUUUGUCUAGUGCAUAGAGAUGCCGUCGUAUGUCGUGUGCAAGGGUAAGGUUCCCGGAGUCUACGACGACUGGGAGGAGUGUCGGAGACAGGUUCACCGUUUCAGCGGUAACAGUUACAAAGGGUACACCACUAGGGCGGAGGCGGAAGCUAGAUACACGCGCUAUCUAGUGGGAGAGAGGAGGGAGCGUUGGAGGAACCGGAUGAAGACCAGUUUCAUCGCGAUGAUGCUCAUCGUGACCGCAGCUCUCUUCUAUGUGAUGGUAGUUUAGAUGAUCGAUAUCGACUUUGUAAUGUGACGACAAACUCGGCUAAUAUGAUGAACUUUGCUAAUGUCUCGAGACCUAAACUUGGCUAAUGUUUGAACUUUGUUCGCUAUUUCGAAUUUGGAGACUAAUAUGAUGAAAAUUCGAUUGUGUGAUGUUUAUAUUCUGUGCUGUAACGUAUUUUGUAACCUGCGCAAAUACCAGAAAAGCAAAAAAUAAUAAUUCUUAAUAUUCAUAGUAGUGGCGCACCAUAUUGAGCAUUAGUGGCGCACCAAGGCUAAAUACCAGUGGCGCAUUUUGGGGCAUAGUAAUGGCGCACCAUGGGGCAUACGUGAAGGUAAAUAUGGCCCCCUAGAAGGCAUAGUAAUGGCGCACUAUUGGACAUAGUAAUCGCGCACUGUGUGGUGCGCCACUAUUAUCUGGGAUACUAAUGGCGCACCAGAGGUGCGUCAUUACUAUUUGUUACUAGUGGCGUGUUAAUAGUGGCGCACAUAUAGUGCGCCAUUAAUAGCAAAAACAUAUACAACACUAACAGCCUUUUUUCUAAUAGUGAUAUGUAAAUUUUAACCGACAAUGCAUCUUACAUAAAUUCAUAUCAUUUUAUUGUCAAAAUAGAUAGGCACGGCAACGCGCGCCACCCAUGAUCUAGUUAAGAAAAAUUUAGUCACAUGUGAGAAGGCAGAACAAGUCCUUCUCGUCUGAAACGAAACUGCCACAGCAUCGCCCGUGUGGGUGACAUGGGAGGCAAGCCAAUCCACUUUUCUCGGGGCAUCCUCCUUGUGCCCGUCCCUCGCCGCUGCUGCCGGCCAGCUCCGGCGUGCUGGCCACCGCAGCCUGCGGCGGCGGCGGGUCGCCAUUCAAGAUGCGUUUUGGACGGCGUGAAGCCUUGUGCGGACAGUAACUUGACGCAGUGGAGGUCCAGGUUGCAAUGGUGACAUCGAUCUAUGGUAUAUGGCAGCCUCGCUGCAACGCCUACCUGCCUCCCCCUCUCCCUGGAGAGCCGGCUCACUGUGGCCCGACGCGGCUCGUGGGUGUUGAACCUGUAUUUCCUAGCCCGGUUCAGUAGCUAGCUUAGUUUUUCUCCAGUUAGCAAAUAAAUGGCCAAGUCACGUGUGCAUGUAUACGAUGAGGCCGAUCCUAGUUUCAGUUAGUAGUUAGCUAGGUUGGCGCGGCUGUUAGUGUUGCAUGGGAUGGCAUGCAGCGUAGCUCGCGGCACGCGUGCAUCAUUCGCACGUCGAGCGUCGUGGGAUGGCAUGGCCGGUCUGCUCGCGUGUGGAGUUGAUCUUUUCUUUGUAAUCUCAGUACAAAUAAGAGAAAUGAAAACGGGAAAAGCUGCAACAGUACGCAGCACAAAACACCUGAGUCAUCGUCUACCUCUCCUCCUCCGUGUCAUCAUGAGCUAGAGCACGCCGGCGUUCUCGGUUCCAACAAGUGGCAUCAGAGCCGCGUCGUUCCUUGGUGACCAUGGCCGGUUUGACUUCUCGGGGGCACUCUGGUGACCGCUGACGCCGCGGCGGCGGCCCGUGCAGCAGCUGGCAAGAGCGACGACGACGGCGCACGCUCGCUGACCCCAGACCGCAGUCGCAGCCGUGGCCGCAGUCGCAGCCGCAGGCGCGGCAAGGAGAUCGUCGUCCACGAUCGCAUGGUCUAGGAGCGCCUCGUCCCGAGCGGCACCACGGUGUGGCCGAUGCUCACCCCGACGAACUAUUUCGAGUGGUCCAUGUUGAUGCAGAUUAACAUGGAGGCCAACUUGAUGUGGGACGCGGUGGAGGGAAACCCGUCGAGCGUCCCCAACGACAAGGCGGCGCUGGCGGCCAUCCUAUGAUCCAUUCCGCUGGAGAUGGUGGGUGUGAUCGUGGUGAAGAAGACGGCGAAGGAGGCUUGGGGCACGAUAAAGACCAUGCGCAUGGGUGUGGUGCGCGUCCGCGAGGCCACGGCGCAAUGGAUGCGCUCCGAGUUUGAGGCGAUCGUGUUCCGCGACGACGAGAUGCUCGACGCGUUUGACAUGCGGAUCACCUCGCUCAUCAACAACCUGCGCUCGCUCGGCGACACCAUGGAAGAGGUGAGAGUGGUUUAGAAAUUCCUCCGCGUCGUCCCGUCUCGGUACAUGCAGAUCGCUCUCGCCAUCGAGACGAUGCUCGACCUCAACAUGCUCUCCGUUAAGGAGCUCGUCGGUUGUCUGCGCUCCGCGGAGGAGCGCUACCUCACCAACGAUCAAGGUGGAGGUCGCGGGGCAGAGUUGUUGAUGAUGGAGGCGCAGUGGCACGCACGGAAGAAUCAGCGUGCCCAAGGCCAGAACAGCGGCCAGGGCGGCGGUCAAGGCGAGUCCGGUGGACCAGGCGGGUCUGGCGGACAGGGCGGCGGCUCAAACCGUCGCCGCAGCAAGCAGCAAAACCGUCGUGGCAGCGGCCAGGGCGGUGGUGGAAAUGGCGGGCGCGAUGGCGCGCCGAACGAAGAGCGCGACAUGUCCCAGGUCAAGUGUUACAAUUGUAACAAGCCUAGGCACUUCUCCAAACUAUGGGUGUUAAUCACAUGGUGAUGUGAACUAUUAGUGUUAAAUCACAUGGCGAUGUGAACUAGAUUAUUGACUCUAGUGCAAGUGGGAGACUGAAGGAAAUAUUCCCUAGAGGCAAUAAUAAAGUUGUUAUUUUAUAUUUCCUUAUAUCAUGAUAAAUGUAUAUUAUUCAUGCUAGAAUUGUAUUAACCGGAAACUUGAUACAUGUGUGGAUACAUAGACAAAACACCGUGUCCCUAGUAAGCCUCUACUAGACUAGCUCGUUAAUAAAAGCUGGUUAAGUUUCCUAACCAUAGACAUGUGUUUUCAUUUGAUGAACGGGAUCACAUCAUUAGGAGAAUGAUGUGACGGACAAGACCCAUCCAUUAGCUUAGCAUAAUAAUCGUUUAGUUUUCUUGCUAUCGCUUUCUUCAUGUCAAAUACAUAUUCCUUCGACUAUGAGAUUAUGCAACUCCCGAAUACCGGAGGAAUGCUUUGUGUGCUAUCAAACGUCACAACGUAACUGGGUGAUUAUAAAGAUUCUCUACAGGUAUCUCCGAAGGUGUUUGUUGGGUUGGCAUAGAUCGAGAUUAGGAUUUUUCACUCCGAGUAUCGGAGAGGUAUCUCUGGGCCCUCUCGGUAAUGCACAUCAUAAGAAGCCUUGCAAGCAAAGUGACUAAUGAGUUAGUUGCGGGAUGAUGUAUUACGGAACGAGUAAAGAGACUUGCCGGUAAUGAGAUUGAACUAGGUAUGUGAUACCGACGAUCGAAUCUCGGGAAAGUAACAUACCGAUGACAAAGAGAAUAAUGUAUGUUGUCAUAACGGUUCGACCAAUAAAGAUCUUCGUAGAAUAUGUAGGAGCCAAUAUGAGCAUCCAGGUUCUUCUAUUGGUUAUUGGUCGGAGAAGUCUCUCGGUCAUGUCUACAUAGUUCUCGAACCCGUAGGGUGCGCACGCUUAACGUUCAAUGACGAUUUUGUAUUAUAUGAGUUAUGCGAUUUGGUGACCGAAUGUUGUUCGGAGUCCCGGAUGAGAUCAAGGACAUGACAAGGAGUCUCGAAAUGGUCGAAAGGUAAAGAUUCAUAUAUAGGAUGAUGGUAUUCGAACACCGGAAGUGUUCUGGGGGUUACCGGGUACAUAUCAGAGUACUGGGGGGUUACCGGAACCCCGGGGGUGAGAUAUGGGCCAUAUGAGCCAUAAGAGGGAGGCACACCAGCCCACAGGCCCCCCCCCUAGGCAGGAGGCCGAAUUGGAGAAGGAACAAGGGGGGUUCAGCCCCCCUUCCUUUCUCUCUUCCCCUUCCCUUUUCUCUCCGAUGAAAUAUGGUAAGGGGGGAGGCCGAAUUGGGAGGACCCCAAGUAGGAUUCCUCCUACUUUGGGCGCCCUCUUGGCUGCCUCUCCUCCCCUCCNNNNNNNNNNNNNNNNNNNNNNNNNNNNNNNNNNNNNNNNNNNNNNNNNNNNNNNNNNNNNNNNNNNNNNNNNNNNNNNNNNNNNNNNNNNNNNNNNNNNNNNNNNNNNNNNNNNNNNNNNNNNNNNNNNNNNNNNNNNNNNNNNNNNNNNNNNNNNNNNNNNNNNNNNNNNNNNNNNNNNNNNNNNNNNNNNNNNNNNNNNNNNNNNNNNNNNNNNNNNNNNNNNNNNNNNNNNNNNNNNNNNNNNNNNNNNNNNNNNNNNNNNNNNNNNNNNNNNNNNNNNNNNNNNNNNNNNNNNNNNNNNNNNNNNNNNNNNNNNNNNNNNNNNNNNNNNNNNNNNNNNNNNNNNNNNNNNNNNNNNNNNNNNNNNNNNNNNGGCAUCGCUAGAAUACACAUCAACAAUUGUUAGCCGUGUGCGGCGCCCCCUCCACAGUUUACGCCUCCGGUCAUAUCUUCGUAGUGCUUAGGUGAAGCACUGCUCGGAUCACUUCACCAUCACCGUCACCACGCCGUUGUGCUGAUGGAUCUCAUCUACGUCCUCGACACUUUGCUGAAUCAAGAGUUCAAAGGACGUCAUCGAGCUGAACGUGUGCAGAACUCGGAGGUGCCGUACGUUCGGUACUUGAUCGGUCGGAACGAGUAGAAGUUCGACUACAUCAACCGCGUUCUCAAACGCUUCCGCUUUCGAUCUACGAGGGUACGUAGACACACUGUCCCCCUCUCGUUGCUAUGCAUCUCCUAAAUAGAUCUUACGUGAGUGUAGGAAUUUUUUUGAAAUUGCAUGCUACAUUUUCCAACAAAUUCAUCAGGUAGCUCCUCUGCUCCUGAUUUCUUGAGGUGUUCGUGCUCGAUCUACUUGCUCCUGUUACUAUUUGCUUGUGUCCUUCCAAGCGUUGCCAAAAAAAACUUGUGAUAUUGUGGCUUUUGUUCUGUAAGACAAAACCUUGUAUUCUUAUUUCAGAAUACUAAUUAAACUGCCAGAAUCUUGUUGGGGCUUCGGAAUUAGUUUCUCGAGUUUGUAUCGAUGGUAUUUAUCAACUGCCAUAGUCCCCUUCAUUUCAGUCUAUUAAGCAAAAUCAGGCCACGUGUAUGUCCCACAACAAGUUAUCCAAAGGCCCUAGUGUUUUAGAUUGACAAAAGUCAUGACAGUUUUCUGCUACAGCCUAGAGUGAAUUAUAUAUAUGACCUAUUAAUUUUUCUAUAUAGAUGUAAACUUUAUAAUACAUGAAUAUAACUUAUAUACAUGAGAAUAAAUAAAUACGGAUGAACAUUUUAUUUCAUAUAUAUGAAUAUAUUUUUUAAAUCCAUGAACUUUUUUUAAAACAUGAAAUAGUAAUAAAUGAAUUUAUUUGUUGUAUACAUGAACUUUCAAAUACACGCUGGACAUUAUGUAUUUCUAAAUCCCUAAAAAAUACUAGACUUAUUUAAUACAUUAGCAAUGCCAACAAAAUGUAACUUAUAGAACCAAAAGGAAACAAGAUAAGAAGUCAUAGAAGAAUGAAAAAAAACACUUACUGUGCCGUUGGUACACUUAAAAUGUCGAGAACUAAAUCACAAUAUGAUUGACAAAAGAGCCCCAUUCUUGCAAUCAGCAUGAAAAAGAAAUUGUAAACACAAAACAUACCGCUAGCACACAUUAAAACCUCAUAGCCCAGCACGUGAAGAAAAAUAAAGGUCCAAACAUGUGUAGCAAACCGAGAAUUAAGAAAAGGGAAUGUCCUACCAUUUAAUCAUACAUAUGCAAAAUAAAUCAUUGUUGGCUCACCAUUAAUUACAAGAUUCAGCUUGUAUGAAUCGUUAUUUCUAGCUCGUAGCGGGAAAUACUUCGGCAAUGGUAGAUGUGCGGAGAGUGGCUCACUCGCCUUAGUGUACCGAUUCGCAUCGCAGCGCACCGGCGCUCACGCGCAAGGGCCGACCCACUAAAGCAGAGUGGCUCGCUCGCCUUUGUUAGUUUUUCUUUUUGCUCGCCUUUUUUUUUGGUGUUGCUCUGUUGUUCAAGAAAAACAAAUCGGCUACCCUUUUUUUUAACUGAAAAAUGUUCAUGAAUUUGAGAAAAGUUCAUGGAUUUGAAAAAUGUUCAUGCAUUUUAGAAAUGUUUUUGAAUUUUAAAAAAGUUCAUGAAUUUCAAAGUUCGCAAUUCUAAGAAAAUUCAAGGAUUAAAAAGUUCACAAAUUUGCAAAAAGUUCACCGAAUUUGAAAAAAAUUCCUGGAAUUUGAUUUUUUUAUAUGAAAAGGAAGAAAAAUAAAAAGUAGGACAAAAACCAGAAUAAAAAACCGAGUAGAAAACACAGAAAUAGGAAAAAGAAAACUCGAUUGAAAGCUUCUAGAAGAUUCAAAAACCGGUCGGAAGCUUCUUGAAGCUUCACAAAACCGGUUUGGGAGCUUGUAAAUCUACUUUUCUUAAUUAAUAAAAAAUUACUAUCACGAACAUUCUUAUAAAUACAUAUCAUUUAUGUAAAUUUUUGAACAUGUUUUCAAAUUCUCGACCAUUUUUUCAAAUUUGGGAAUGUUUUUUCAGAUUCAUGAUUUUUCCGAAAUUUAUAAAAAAAAUUAAUAAUUUGUGAACACUUUUACAAAAAAUUAAAUUAAGGAAUAUUUCAAAUUGUUGUACAUUUUUUUUCAAAUUCAUGAAUAAUGUUUAAAUUGAUGUACAUUUUUAAAAUCUGCUAAUAUUUUUGGAAAGUCAUUAACUUUUUUACAAAUCGGUGAAUAUUUUUUACAACUUAACUUUUUCAAAAUUUUAAAUUGUACAAACUUUUUUUGAAUAAGUAAAAGCGCCUAGAAAUAACCGAUCGGGAAAACUGGCUGAAAGAACCGGCCGACCCCAUAAAAAUGAUCCUUGCAGGUUCGAACAAGAAGCUCAAGAAUGGGCGAGCCCACCCACUCCGGAUACACGUUAUAACGCCAAUUCCCCACAAGGGGCGGGGAAUCGGAGCUCCCAAAGAAAAUACUGGAAUAAAAGAAAAUCCCAGAAAUGUCCCAUGUCAUUCCUACCGAAUCACCAAACAUAACACAACACAUAAAAAGAAAGCAGCAAAACAUUGCAUGGAUCUUGACGCCUAGAUCGCGACCAAGAAUUACUCCCAUCGUCCGGGUGCUUAAGGCGGCUAACCAAAACAAGAUAUUCUAGGAGUAUUAGUCGUCAGUUAAUUAAUUAGCACCCUUUUUUUGCGAAGAAAUAAUUAGCACCCUAACAAAGCACAAUUUCAUUUGCAUGUGAGCGGCAUCGAGGAAAUCGUAGGAUAUAUGUGCAUGCAAACACAUGUGAGAAAGAGGGAUUUGCGCUCGUAACUGCAUCCUUUAAUUACGGGAUUUCCAUUGUGAUCGUGUUGAGUAAUUGAGGGAAUAAUUGUGGAAGAAACUCGCACCAUGGUUGGUUGUUUUAGCGCUUCAAACUUCACGCGAUUAAGGGCCAGUUCGUUUGCACGAUUCUCCCAGAAUCGAACCCCUCCCCAGCUUCUCCUAGAAUCUUUAACCCACAUUCGUUUGGCAGUCCUACCUAAUUAGACGGUAACUAGCUACUAGCUAGGAUUGUCAUACGAAUGAGGGUUGAAGAUUCUGGGAGAAGCUCGAAAGGGGUCCGAUUCCAGGAGAAUCUUGGAAAAGAACCGGCCCUAACUCCCACUAGCGUCUUGGUCACCCCGCACUUUGGUAAAUGCACCAUGCAUCCGGACGGAGGGAGUAACUAAUUCUAAGUCGACAGGGAACUAACAAAACUGUUUUUUUCUUUUCUUUGGAGGAUUUCGUUAGAGCGUGCAGUAACAAUGUACACAUAAUACAGUGCGCAUUAAUUUUGUUUGCAAAAGUGAAACAUCACUACUAUAUUUUAGGACGGAGGGAGUACAAAUACUCGGGCCUUCUCAGUCUCAGUAGUCGGGCCGACCCAGCUGCUGCUGCAACAGAAUGCGCCCUCCACUGGUAAAUUCUUGCUCAGUCCAAAAUAAAUUGGUUGUUAUGGAAACUAUAUUACACUGAUCUUGCAUUAAUUUCAUUGAUGCGUGACUGAGAAUCAUAGUGAAAUGGAAACACUGUUUGUACUAUGUGUCGAGAAGGAAGCCAGAGACUUUUCUUCUCCUGCGAGUGCAGCAUGGAGAGAGAACGACAGAGAGAUGGCCACAUGACCGUGGGUGGUUUACGCUUACAGGUGAGAGGAUAGGAAUUUUAGGCAGGAGACACGGUUGGUAUCCAUUCCUUCAUGGGCCCACCUUUUGGAGCAAUGCACGUCGGGGUUCAAUCGGAUUGGUCCCAAUGUACCAAGAAUCUUCUCUCUCGAUCGACUAGCCAGCUGAGCGAGCUGUCCACGCCUUCGGGAAUCAUGUACAAGCAGGGCCCAGCAGGCCGAGGCAUAGCCACGGGCCCCUCGUCCCAUGGGAGGCCCUAUUUCCAGUAGGAUCUUCAUCUUGGCGUGCAAGCCGAGAACCCCUCAGUCCGAUCAGGGCUUUGGGUCGGUAGCGAACCUUGUAGCCCUAGGUCUCGUCCCUCUUUAUAAGGCGAGACCAGGGAUAGCUAGAGGCAUCUGACAUCUAGCCAUAGUCUCGAUAGCAACAUCUCCCCUCAUAGUAAUCCCCUUACGUGAGGCGUUUAUCCCACAUCAAUCAAAUCAUAGNNNNNNNNNNNNNNNNNNNNNNNNNNNNNNNNNNNNNNNNNNNNNNNNNNNNNNNNNNNNNNNNNNNNNNNNNNNNNNNNNNNNNNNNNNNNNNNNNNNNNNNNNNNNNNNNNNNNNNNNNNNNNNNNNNNNNNNNNNNNNNNNNNNNNNNNNNNNNNNNNNNNNNNNNNNNNNNNNNNNNNNNNNNNNNNNNNNNNNNNNNNNNNNNNNNNNNNNNNNNNNNNNNNNNNNNNNNNNNNNNNNNNNNNNNNNNNNNNNNNNNNNNNNNNNNNNNNNNNNNNNNNNNNNNNNNNNNNNNNNNNNNNNNNNNNNNNNNNNNNNNNNNNNNNNNNNNNNNNNNNNNNNNNNNNNNNNNNNNNNNNNNNNNNNNNNNNNNNNNNNNNNNNNNNNNNNNNNNNNNNNNNNNNNNNNNNNNNNNNNNNNNNNCACGACAGGCAGGGGAUGCGCCGAUCAGAGACCUGACCCUGAUUGGAUCUUGACUUCAAGCCGGCGACUUCGCGCCGGGCGUAAGUUUCAUCUCUGGCUCCUUCACCUUCAUCACGGACAAGACGGGUCGGCUCUACAACAGCCCGCCGCCGCCCUGUCCGAACCCUCUUCUUCGGCACCCUCGAAUUCAUCACCGAUCGCUACGAAUACAUCCGACUCCGUGUGGCACCACUCCUCCGAGCUCUGGAUGCGGCUUCCAAGCAUGCUUCGGAGCUCGUGGGAGACUGAAGGAAAUAUGCUCUAGAUGCAAUAAUAAAGUUAUUAUUUAUAUUUCCUUAUAUCAUGAUAAAUGUUUAUUAUUCAUGCUAGAAUUGUAUUAACUGGAAACUUAGUACAUGUGUGAAUACAUAGACAAACAGAGUGUCACUAGUAUGCCUCUACUUAACUAGCUCGUGAAUCAAAGAUGGUUAAGUUUCCUAACCAUAGACAUGAAUUGUCAUUUGAUGAACGGGAUCAGUCAAGACCCAUCUGUUAGCUUAGCACUAUGAUCAUUUAGUUUGUUGCUAUUGCUUUCUUCAUUACUUAUACAUGUUCCAAUGACUAUGAGAUUAUCCAACUCUCGAAUACCGGAGGAACACUUAGUGUGUUAUCAAACGUCAUAACGUAACUGUGUGAUUAUAAAGAUGCUCUACAGGUGUCUCCGAAGGUGUUUGUUGAGUUGGCAUAGAUCGAGAUUAGGAUUUGUCACUCCGAUUGUCGGAGAGGUAUCUCUGGGCCCUCUCGGUUAUACACAUCACUAUAAGCCUUGCAAGCAAUGUGACUAAUGAGUUAGUUACGGGAUGAUGCAUUACGGAACGAGUAAAGAGACUUGCCGGUAACGAGAUUGAACUAGGCAUGGUGAUACCGACGAUCGAAUCUCGGGCAAGUAACAUACCGAUGACAAAGGGAACAACGUAUGUUGUUAUGCGGUUUGACCGAUAAAGGUCUUCGUAGAAUAUGUAGGAGCCAAUAUGAGCAUCGAGGUUACGCUAUUGGUUAUUGACCGGAGAUGUGUCUCGGUUAUGUCUACAUAGUUCUCGAACCCGUAGGGUCCGCACGCUUAACGUUUGAUGCCGAUUUGUAUUAUGAGUUAUGUGAUUUGAUGUACCGAAGUUUGUUCGGAGUCCCGGUGAGAUCCCGGACAUGACGAGGAGUGUCGAAAUGGUCGACAUGUAAAGAUUCAUAUAUUGGAAGGUUGCAUUCGGACAUCGGAAUGGUUCCGAGUGAUUCAGGUAUUUUUCCGGAGUACCAGGAGGUUACCGGAACCCCUUGGGGAAAGAUAUGGGCCUUAUGGGCCAUAGGAGGGAGGCUAACCAGCCCACAAGGGGCUGGUGCGCCCCCCACAAGGGAGGAGGCCGAAUUGGACUUGGUAAGGGGGCGUCACCCCCCUUUCCUUCUCCUACUCCCUCUCCUUCCCCUUUUCCCCCUCCGGUAGAAGGAAAAAAGGGUGGGGACGAAUCCUACUAGGACUGGAGUCCUAGUAGGACUCCCCUCUCCCUGGCGCGCCCCUUGUUGGCCGGCCUCCUCCUCCCCUCCUUUAUAUACGGGGGUAGGGGGCACCCCAAAGGCACAACAGACAAUCUCUUAGCCGUGUGCGAUGCCCCCCUCCACAGUUUUACACCUCGGUCAUAUCGUCGUAGUGCUUAGGCGAAGCCCUGCGCCGGUAACUUCAUCAUCACCGUCACCACGCCGUCGUGCUGACAGAGCUCUCCCUCGGCCUCAGCUGGAGCAAGAGUUCGAGGGACGUCACCGAGCUGAACGUGUGCAGAUCGCGGAGGUGUCGUGCGUUCGGUACUUGAUCGGUUGGAUCGCAAAGACGUUCGACUACAUCAACCAUGUUACUUAACGCUUCCACUUUUGGUCUACGAGCAUACGUAGACACACACUCCCCGCUUGUUUCUAUGCUUCUCAUAGAUAAAUCUUGCGUGAUCGUAGGCAAUUUUUUUUGAAUACUACAUUCCCCAACAGUGGCAUCCGAGCCAGGUCUAUGCGUAGAUGUUAUAUGCACGAGUAAAACACAAAGAGUUGUGGUCCAUAAUAGUCAUACUGCUUACCAGCAUGUCAUACUUUGAUUCGGUGGUAUUGUUGGAUGAAGCGGCCCAGACCGCCAUUACAUGACCGCGUUCAUGAGACUGGUUCUACCGACGUGCUUCGCACACAGGUGGCUAGUGGGUGUCUGUUUCUCCAGCUUUAGUUGAAUCGAGUGUGGCUACGCGGCACUAAAGGGUGGGGACUAAAGGUCCCCCCUUUAGUAUCGGUUCUGCACCCGACACUAAAGGGUGGGGACUAAAGGUCCCCCUUUAGUACCGGUUCUGCACGAACCACCGCUAAAAGGCCACCAUGUGGCACGAGCCAGCGUCGGGGGUGGGGAGCCCUUUAGUACCAGUUGGUAACACCAACCGGUACUAAAAUAUUUGGGGGGUUUUGGAUUCAUGAUUUCUUUUUCCUUUAAUUUUGUGUUUUCCAUUUAAUUCUUUUUCGUUUGCUGGUAUUUUAUGAUACUACAUAUUGUACACGUUAUGCAUAUAUAUAAAUAGAAUUUCCCGUAGAACCGAUCAUAUAUAUAUAUAUAUAUAUAUAUACACACACACAAUUAGGUAUAUAUACAAUUUCUCCUACAUUUUGCCUUGGUGCUUCGGAGCACGAUGACAAUUGGGAGUGGUUCAUGGGGACGGUAGUGGGUAAUGGUAUUCUCCUUUGGGAUCUAUGACCUGGUCGAGCAAAAAUCCCGCUAUUUCCUCUUGAAGUGCUCGUAUGCGCUCUGUUGGUAGGAGCUGCUCCCGCACGUCUUUGAACUGUUAAGAAGGAGAUCAAUAUGCAUGUGUAUUAGUUGUGUGACUAGAUAUAGAUAAUCAUGUAAAAUUUGGAAUAGUAUUCUGGUAAACGUACCCAUUGCUGUUUAUCAGAUUUGCUCCUUUCGGACGCCAUCAUGCGAAUGUUCUCGCAAAUGUAGUAUGCACACACUUCAGUUCCCGGAGCCUGCUUCAGGGCCUUUACGAGAAUGGACUUUAAUCAGAUAAUAAUUAAUCAAGCAUGAUAAUUAAUGGUAUUGAGACAAGAAUUAAAGAGAUAGCUAGCUAGUACUACUUAAUUACUUACCUUGGGUCGAAACCAAUAUAGCUUUUUUCGCCAUUUGCCUGGAGUCACGUUGAUGAACUUUGCCCAAGCCCUGCCCGCCGGCAAAGAAAAUGAAUAAAGGGGUUAUUAAAUAGUUGAUAUCAGGAAAUGAUGAACUAAAUAGGCCGAGAUAUAGUUAAUAAUGAUUGAAAUUACCUAUCGACUAUCCCCUUCGAGAUGGUGAAGUCACUUUCUUUUUUAAGUAGCGAGUCCAGUACUUCAACUGUUCCUUCUUCAACUUUAAUGAUUAACAAGAUUUGCAGGCGCACAUGUUUGCAUGUCUUAAUUAAGCGGGCAUGUGCAUAACACUAAUCAACUACCCUAAACCCUAUACACUUAAUUAUUAACAUCUAGCUAGCUAGUAAGCAAAAAAAGCAUUUGUAGUACAAGACAGUGUGGCUCACAUGAAGUUGUAAGGAAGUAGUAUAUCUUCAUUGGUAUUGAGGCGCUUCAAGAACUCUAGCAUGUUUUUCUGUACUUCUGCUUGAUAGUAUUUCAAUUUCCAUGUGUGUUCAUUAAUGGUAUUUGGGUCAAUGAACCCAAUGCCAUAGCGUCCAGCUUUUUUCAUUUCAUACAUCUUCAUCCUGCAUAAUAACACAGAAAAGAAUAUAGUAAGGAUAAUUACAGGUAAUGAUUGAACAAUGAGCACUACAGCUAGCUUGAGACUUAAAUUACAGAAAGAAAUCACUUACAGACAAUAGCAACUGACGAGAGAUUUGUCGAGUGCUUCUUGAUUGAAUAACUGAAAUAGUUCUGAAUACUCAACAGACAGAGCUAGCUUAUGGAAGUAAUGCUCUUCCUUGACUUUCACCAUGAGGGACUCUCGAUUGGAACUCUUGGUAAUUUUCAUGUACCAAUCAUGCAAUUCAUACAUUCUCAUUGGGAGGUUCUUGACCUCCUCGGGCUCGACCAAAGGUUCGCCGCAGACAUAUUUCCGUUUUAUUUCCUCCUCUCUAAGCGGAGACAUGGGCUCGAUCUCGAGGAGUUGUCCAACAGUGAUACCGAGCAUUUCAGCCUGCAUUCUAUGCUCCCCGGUUAUUACCAGCUAAUUGCCCAGCUGGGGAACGGUUUUCCCACAUGGGGCGCCGAUACUCUCAUGUGUUGGCACAACAAGCGGGGGGAUCGAUUGCGUCGCCUGUUCUCCUAGCUGGGGAACGGUUUUCCCGCAUUUUUUGCCAGCUGCUUGGCUCGAGCUCGAGCUCGACUCCUUCUGUAGUCGUGCUCGAUGUGCCUUCCUGAUUUGGCGCUCAUAGUCUGAGUCAACAGGCUUCGGAGCUAGUGGUCUAGCCAUAUGAAUAAAGUGGUCAAUCUUUUCCUCAAGCACUUUCUCCCUAGGCGGCGGUGCCGGUUUCGGUCCAAAAUGGGCGUCCACUUGGGCCUUCACUAUGGCUGUGUUUUGCUCCUCGGUCAUGUCGUAAGGCUUCUGAGGAAGAGGAGUGAGGCUUGGACCAUAUUUAUAUCGCUUACCUCCGCCUGUACCUCCUGCACUACCUCGACUCGUAUCGCUACGCACCAUAGCUACGUCGGCUCUCUUCCGUGAUUGCUGAGGCGGCGGAGACGGCUGACGUGGCUGAGUUGGAGCAGGAGGAGUGGCCUGACGCUGUGCCGGACUUGAAGCAGGAGGAGUGGCCUGACACGGUGUCGGACUUGAACUAGGAGGAGUGGUCUGACGCUGUGCCGGACUUGAAGCAGGAGGAGUGGCCUGACGCUGUGCCGGACUUGGAGGAGGAGGAGUGGCCUGACGCUGUGCCAGACUUGAAGCAGGAGNNNNNNNNNNNNNNNNNNNNNNNNNNNNNNNNNNNNNNNNNNNNNNNNNNNNNNNNNNNNNNNNNNNNNNNNNNNNNNNNNNNNNNNNNNNNNNNNNNNNNNNNNNNNNNNNNNNNNNNNNNNNNNNNNNNNNNNNNNNNNNNNNNNNNNNNNNNNNNNNNNNNNNNNNNNNNNNNNNNNNNNNNNNNNNNNNNNNNNNNNNNNNNNNNNNNNNNNNNNNNNNNNNNNNNNNNNNNNNNNNNNNNNNNNNNNNNNNNNNNNNNNNNNNNNNNNNNNNNNNNNNNNNNNNNNNNNNNNNNNNNNNNNNNNNNNNNNNNNNNNNNNNNNNNNNNNNNNNNNNNNNNNNNNNNNNNNNNNNNNNNNNNNNNNNNNNNNNNNNNNNNNNNNNNNNNNNNNNNNNNNNNNNNNNNNNNNNNNNNNNNNNNNNNNNNNNNNNNNNNNNNNNNNNNNNNNNNNNNNNNNNNNNNNNNNNNNNNNNNNNNNNNNNNNNNNCUGAGGAAGAGGAGUGAGGCUUGGACCAUAUUUAUAUCGCUUACCUCCGCCUGUACCUCCUGCACUACCUCGACUCGUAUCGCUACGCACCAUAGCUACGUCGGCUCUCUUCCGUGAUUGCUGAGGCGGCGGAGACGGCUGACGUGGCUGAGUUGGAGCAGGAGGAGUGGCCUGACGCUGUGCCGGACUUGGAGGAGGAGGAGUGGCCUGACGCUGUGCCAGACUUGAAGCAGGAGGAGUGGCCUGACGCUGUGCCGGACUUGGAGGAGGAGGAGUGGCCUAACGCGUUGGUGGACUUGGAGGAACGGGAGUCUGCUGACGCGGUGGCGGACUUCGAGGAGGAGUGGGCUGACGCGGUGUUGGUGGCCUUCGAAAGAUGAUGCAAUCCUUUCUCCAUAGGAUGAUACGAUGUUUGGCCUCUCCCAGUGUGUGCUCCUCGUCACCUCCAGGAAUGUCAAGCUCUAGCCCCGAAUAUUGGUCCACCACCUCAUCAACCACGACACGAGCAUAGCCGGCUGGAAUCGGGUUGCAAUGGAAGGUUGCAUCGGGGGGAUUUGUAUAAGCAAUGGCGUCCUCCACCUUCAUGGAUAUGUUCUUCAUUUUGAAGUGUAGCUCACAGUUAGUGUUCUCCAUGAUGUCAUCCAAAGGGUAUCUAUCUAGCAGUGCGUCGCCCGGGGCGGAACCCACGCUGCUUCUCGGCAUGGAUUGGACGGUGCUAUCCAAUGCUGGAUCAUCCGCUAGCUGCUGCCGCUGCUGAGACCCCCUUUCCUGGCUAAGUGAGGAGAUCUGCUGCUGCUGCCGCUGGAAUUUGAGUGCCAAGUCCGCGUGCGCUGAUUCUAGGCCUUGAAGGCGUUCUGCUUCCUGCUUCCUCUGCUCCUCCUCCAGGUUCCUCUUCUUCUCCUCCUCCAUCUUCCUUCUUGCACAGCUUCUGUAGUCCGUGUUCCAGUCCGAAAAGCCCUCAUACCACGGAACAACGCCCUUGCCUCGUGUUCUUCCCGAGUGUUCAGGAUUUCCCAGGGCGCGCGUAAGCUCGUCGUUCUCUCUGUUGGGCGUGAACACUCCCUUUCGAGCAUCUUCUAUUGCUUGAAGUAACUUAUCUUCGGCUCCUUUAAGACAUGCCUUCUUCGAAACCUAGCCUGUCUUCGGGUCCAACGCCCCCCCAUGCGCAUAGAACCAAGUUCUGCACCUGGGGGGGCAGCUCUUAGUAACUGGAGUGACCUCUGCAUCCAGCAUCUCUUGCUCAGACUUAUCCCACUUAGGCAUUGCCACCGCGUAGCCACCUGGCCCCAGCCUAUGGAACGGCUCCUUUUUUGCGGCAUUGGCCUUGUUUUUUCUCGACCGUUCCUUAGAUAAUUCUGAUUCCUUGAAUUUCACGAAAGCGGGCCAGUGAUCUCUUUGCUUCUCCAGUGUUCCCUUGAAUUCCGGAGUCUUCUUUCCUCCUUCGACGUACUUGGUCCAUAUAGUUUUCUUGUGGUUGUUGAAUGCAAUUGCCAUCUUCCUAAGAGCAGCGUCCUUGACUUUCUGCACAUCUGCAUCUGUGAAAUGAUCUAGUAGGGUGAAAUGUUCCAUGAGAGAUUCCCAAAGCUUUUCUUUUGCUCUGUCAUCGACAAAAGUAAGAUCUGGACGUGGCUUUGCUGGCUCUUUCCAUUCUUGAAUGGAGAUCGGGAGUUGGUCCCUCACAAGAACUCCGCACUGACGAACGUACUUGUUCGCAAUGUUCUUAGGCGCGCUUGGUUCGCCAUUAGUUUUGAUGGCAUCGAUGUUGUACUUUACGCCCUCCUUCAACUUUUUGGCCUAGCCUCGCACUGUCCUGCUGCCUGUAGAAGAUUUGCUCGAUCCGGAGGGCUGAAAGAAGAAAGAUCUAUUCGUUAAUAUAUCUUCAAAUCAUUUAAAACAUGUGAUGAUCACCAGAUGCCUGCUUAUAUAAAUAUACCUCGCCGGUCUCUGUUAUUUCAAGAUCAACAUUUUCUUCGUCAUCAUAAUCAUAGUUCAUGACUUCAUCAAUUCGGUCGUCAUGGUCGAAUAUCGUAUCAUCACCCUCCCCGGUAUUGUUCAGAUAUUGGGAGCCGUCAUCUGUUUCAUUCUGAUCAUUUGGCCCGCGAGGGGAGCGUAUGAGCUCGUGUAUGGCCUCUUCUCCCUCUUUGCCGGUAUUGUCCACCAUAGCUUUUAUUUAACUAAUCCAGAAGAAAUAUAAAACAAUUUAGUAUUCAAUUUACAAUGCAUGCAUGCAAUCAAUAAGGAAAAACUGAAUCAUAGUACAUAAUAUGCACAACGAAUAUAAUCUCGAAUACAUCGUCUCGAAUAAUAUAUAUAAUCUUGAAUACAUCGUCUCGAAUAAGCUAGCUAAUAAACAUCGAAUACUACAGAAUAAGCUAGGCCGCCACUCGCGGUUCCUGAGGCGCGGGCGGUGGACACCCAAAGAGAAGGAACCAUCACAGGAUCAUAGCUCCGGUCAUCUCCCCAAAGAACCUGCCAGGUAUUGGAGAACCUGACGUCCAUAGCAACCAUGUAGCGACGGACGUGCUCGUCCUCCUCCCUGACACGGCGACGUACCACCUCCGGCGGGGCCGGCUCUCUCCACAUCAAAAGUGGCCCACGUGAACGCCACCAAAGGAGCUCAGGGUUGACGACGGGACCCGGGGCCGGGUUCCUCACCAAGCGGCGACCCCUGAAGGUAGCACCUCCCAGUGCCAGCCCGGCGGAGCCUAGUCCCGGACAUGGGUCCUCUGAAGCAGGACGUCGUCGCGAACGGGUCGACGACGAGGAUGCGGGCCGGGCAUUGUCGAGACAAAUACUAUAUGCCGCAAAAGUAACAUUUUUUCAAUUAUUGGAUUGUGAUUUCUUAUAUACAAAUUUAAAAAUGCUAUAAUUGCAUAUGUCAAAAUUCUAUAUGCAAUUUCAUACUAAUUAAGCAUCUAACACUAAAAACAGAAAAAGCAACUUCUAUACAUCCAUUAAAAAACAGAAAAAUAACAUUAUAUAAAAAAUCCGUACUAAUUAAACACUAAUUAUAUCGAACUAACAUGCAUUCAUACAUAUAUACUAGUGAAAAAAUAAUAAUCUAAAACAUCUAAACUAAUUAAACAUACAAAAAUACAUAUAUACUAAUUAAAUUAAGGAAAUGUGUGUGUGUGUGUGUGUGUUCAUCAUGCUUGUGUGUGUGUGGGCUCGGGGAGGGGCGGCGCCCAUGGUGGCCAGGGGCGAGGGAGAGGGGGGAGAGCUCACAGCGGGGCGACGGCGACGGCNNNNNNNNNNNNNNNNNNNNNNNNNNNNNNNNNNNNNNNNNNNNNNNNNNNNNNNNNNNNNNNNNNNNNNNNNNNNNNNNNNNNNNNNNNNNNNNNNNNNNNNNNNNNNNNNNNNNNNNNNNNNNNNNNNNNNNNNNNNNNNNNNNNNNNNNNNNNNNNNNNNNNNNNNNNNNNNNNNNNNNNNNNNNNNNNNNNNNNNNNNNNNNNNNNNNNNNNNNNNNNNNNNNNNNNNNNNAGACGAGAGCUGCGACAGGGACGGGGGCGACGACGGCAACGGCGCGCGACGGGGGCGGCGACAGGGACGGCGUGGGACGGGGGCGGCGACGGCGUCGAUCGAUCGGGGCAGGCAGUGCUUCGAUGGAGAAACAGAGGAGGAAACAGAGGGAGAAUGAAAUUUUUUCAAGUGUUGUUUAUAUAGGAGGGACCUUUAGUCCCGGUUGGAGCCAACAACCGGUACUAAAGGCAUAUUUUUGGCCAGGCCAAGCGGCGGGAACGACACCCCUUUAGUACCGGGUCGUGGCUCCAACCAGUACCCAAGACCCCCCUUUAGUACCGGUUGGAGCCACGACCCGGUACUAAAGGUGGUGCACUGCCAGGCGAGGGCCCAGAAGUUUAGUUCCACCUCGUUAGCUGAGGGGCGCUCGCACCUGCUUAUAAGCCCCGCCGCCGCUGCUAUCUCGAGCUCCUCUCUAAAGCAGGCCUUUUGGGCCUACCUCUGCUACGAUGCCCUGUUGGGCCUACUGGGCUAGCGGGCCUGCAUCCUGGCCCAACUAGAAUUUGGGCUUCUAGUCGUAUGCAGGUCGCUAUGGCCCAGUAGGCGGGCUUUUUUUCAUUCUUCUUUUUUUUCUUUUCUGCUUUAUUUAUUUUGUUUUAUUUAUUUUUGAGUUGUUUUUUUGCUGUAUUUAGAGUUUCUUUGUGAAUAUUUUUGCUUUAGGUACAAAAAAUUACAAACUUUCUGUUAGUGCCGGUAGUUUUCAAAUUUGAAUAGUUUAAAUUUUGAAUUAUUUGAAAUUUGUGUGAAUCACUAGUUUGUGAAUAACUUAACUUUAAAAAUAGAUUUUUGAGUGAUUCUUUUUUCUUAUGUUUAAUAUUAGUGUGUUUUAUCAUUAUAUUCAAUUUGGUAAUACUUAGGUUAUUUAAAAAAUGAAGUGCCUUUGUAACAGAUGAGUCUUCGUCCGAAAACCUGAUACUUCGAAAGAGAUUGUCCAUUUUGUACACGAAGUGCAUCCAGUUUUGCCGUAACCCUCUCUACUUUUUUGCACAUGCUAUGUGGGUGAAAUUAUGAUACCAUGCCAACUUUCAACCUUUUCGGAGUUCAUUUGAAGUGUUUUUCAAUUUCAGGGUCAUUUAGUUGAAAAAAUCAGUAAAUGCAUGAAAGAAUUUGUUUGCACAUAAAAUUUCUUCGCGUUUCAAAUGCCAAAACACAUAAGUACCAUAACUAUUACAAAGAUUCCCUCCUGGGUGUGAAACACAGAAGGAAGUGAUGACACUGAAGCCGAUCACAUCCCAGGUCUUUGGGUGUGAAACUUUUUCUUCGCGUGUGUCCCUUUGCGCCGUAACCAUGGACAAUCUUCAUCAUUUAACUGGAUGCUCGGGUCAAUAUUCACUGUGAAUGGAGCAAUUUCAUCAAACUUUUCAUAAUCUUCUGACAUGUCUGUCUUGUCAUCCACUCCCACGAUGUUUUUUCCCAGAAAGAACUAUGUGGCGCUUUGGCUCAUCGUAUGAUGCAUUCGCUUCCUUAUCUUUUCUUUUCGGCUUGGUAGACAUGCCCUUCACAUAGAAAACGUGUGCCACAUCAUUGGCUAGGACGAAUGGUUCGUCUGCAUACGCAAGAUUGUUGAGAUUCACUGUUGUCAUUCCGUACUGCGGGUCUUCCGUUACCCGCCUCGUGUCAUAUUGACCCAUUUGCACCGAAACAAAGGGACCUUCAAACCACGUCCAUAGUCAAGUUCCCAUAUGUCCUCUAUGUAACCAUAAUAUGUUUCCUUUCCCGUCUUGGUUGCUGCAUCAAAGAAGACACCACUGUUUUGGUUGGUGCUCUUCUUAUCUUGGGCGAUCGUGUAAACUGUAUUCCCAUUUGUCUCGUACCCUUUGAAAGUCAUUAUAUUCGAAGAUGGUAACUGGGACAACAAGUACAGGUCAUCUUCAAUAGCGGCGUCAUGCAUGGCACAUGUCUGCAACCAGCCGGCGAAAGUCCCCGUUUGUUCACAUGUAAUCCAGUCGUCAGACUGUUCUGGGUGUUUGGAGCGUAGAAAAUUCUUGUGUUCCUCCAUAUAAGGAGCCACCAAGGAGGAAUUCUGUAGAACUGUGCAGUGUGCUUGAGUGAGAGAAUGCCCGUCCAUACAUAUUAUUUGAUCCCCUCCUAGCGUGCCUUUUCCAUCUAGUCUGCCCUUAUGCCGCGAUUCAGGAACACCAAUCGGCUUAAGGUCGGGAAUAAAGUCAAUACAAAACUCAAUGACCUCCUCAUUUUCAUGGCCCUUCGAGAUGCUUCCUUCUAGCCUAGCACAGUUAUGAACAUAUUUCUUUAAGACUCCCAUGAACCUCUCAAAGGGGAACAUAUUGUGUAGAAAUACAGGACCCAAAACGUUAAUCUCUUCACAUAGGUGAACUAGGACGUGCGUCAUGAUGUUGAAGAAGGAUGGUGGGAACACCAACUCGAAACUGACUAGACAUUGCACCAAAUCAUUCUCUAUCCUUGGUAUGAUUUCUGGAUCGGUUACCUUCUGAUAGAUUGCACUGAGGAAUGCACAUAGCUUCACAAUGGCUAAUCGAACGUUUUCCGGUAGAAGCCCCCUCAAUGCAACCGGAAGCAGUUGCGUCAUAAUCACGUGGUAGUCAUGAGACUUUAGGUUAUGGAACUUUUUCUCUGCCAUAUUUAUUAUUCCCUUUAUAUUCGACGAGAAGCCAGACAAUACCUUCAUACUGAGAAGGCAUUGAAAGAAGAUUUCCUUCUCUUCUUUGGUAAGAGCGUAGCUGGCAUGACCCUGAUGUGUGCCGUCUUUUCCAUGCAUACGUUGCUGGUCCUCCCGUGCCUCCGGUGUAUCUUUUGUCUUCCCAUACAUGCCCAAGAAACCAAGCAGGGUCACGCAAAGAUUCUUCGUCACAUGCAUCACGUCGAUUGCGGAGCGGACCUCUAGGUCUUUCCAAUAGGGAAGGUCCCAAAAUAUAGAUUUCUUCUUCCACAUGGGUGCGCGUCCGUUGGCGUCAUUCAGAACAGGUUGUCCGCCAGGACCCUUUCCAAAGAUUACCUUCAAAUCCUUGACCAUAUCAUGUACAUCAGCACCAGUACGGUGGCGAGGCUUCGUCCGGUGAUCCGCCUCACCUUUGAAAUUCUUGCCUUUCUUUCUUACGGGAUGCCUGCUCGAAAGAAAUCGACGAUGUCCCAGGUACAUAUUCUUCCUACAAUUAUCCAAAUAUAUACUGUCGUUAUCAUCCAAACAGUGCGUGAAUGCGUGGUAUCCCUUGUUUGUCUGUCCUGAAAGGUUACUGAGAGCAGGCCAAUCAUUGAUCGUCACGAACAGCAACGCCUUUAGGUCAAAUUCUUUCUGUUUGUGCUCAUCCCAUGCACGUACACCUUUUCCAUUCCACAGUUGUAAGAGUUCUUUAACUAAUGGCCUUAGGUACACAUCAAUGUCGUUGCCGGGUUGCUUAGGGCUUUGGAUGAGCACUGGCAUCAUAAUGAACUUCCGCUUCAUGCACAACCAAGGAGGAAGGUUAUACAAACAUAGAGUCAUAGGCCAGGUGCUAUGGUUGCUGCUCUGCUCCCCAAAAGGAUUAAUGCAAUCUGAGCUUAGACCAAACCAUACGUUCCUUGCGUUACCUGCAAACUCCUCCCUGUACUUUCUCUUGAUUUUUCUCCACUGCGACCCGUCAGCGGGUACUCUCAACUUUCCGUCUUUCUUACGGUCUUCACUGUGCCAUCGCAUCGCCUUGGCAUGCUAUUUGUUUUUGAACAAACGUUUCAACCGUGGUAUUAUAGGAGCAUACCACAUCACCUUGGCAGGAAUCUUCUUCCUGGAGCGCUCGCCCUCGACAUCACCAGGGUCUUCGCGGCUGAUCUUAUAGCACAAUGCACAAAUUAAUCAUCAUCCAACACAAAAUGAUGUCUCUCGUCAUCAUCUCGAAAUAGCGAUACAAGUUAUGAGAUGUCUUGAAUACUUGCAACUACAUCGUCAUCCAUCUAAAGAAUGAUAUAGACAAGAAGAGGUUUGACUAUGAGUGAGAGUGGAACUAUGCAGUACAUGAGGCGGCGGUAUGAGUCCUCUCUCGCGUUAGCGUGAAUCUCAGGUAACUAGCUUCCGCUUCUUGUCUGCUUUUGAACCAUUUAUGGAUGGCGCCCGAGACCCGCUCAGAAUAUUUUCCCUGCACAUAAUCAUCAUUUUCCAAAUAUAACAUGUCCAAAACAUCACAUGUCCAAAUUCCAAAUAUGACAUGUCCAAAUCACAUGUCGACAUAUCACAUGUCCACUUCAAAUUUGCAUAUAACAGGAAGAAAAAUAUAGAACUUGAAGAAAAAUGCAAGAAGUUUUUUAAAUAGGCUUCAUACCACCUAAUUAUAUCACAUGUCCAAAUUCUGUUUUUUUAGAACUUGAAGAAAAAUAUAUCACAUGUCCAAAUUCUAUUUUUUUAAAUAGGGUUCAUACUACCUAAUUAACUAGGGUUCAUACUAAUUUUUUUUAAAACAGCAACAAUUGCUUUAACUAAAAAACUUAAAUAGAAACAAUUGCUUUAACUAAAAAUAGCAAUAGUUUGAAACCUAGGGUUCAUACAAACUACCACUAAAAAAUAGCCACUAAUCUGUCCUAGGGUUUUCUUUAACAAGGGUUCAUACUACCUAAUUAAAUAGGGUUCAUACUAAUUCUAAUUAACUAACUAGCACUAAAAAUAGCCUAGGGUUCAUACUAAUUAGCACUAAAUAGCUAGGGUUCAUACUAACAGAGAGAGCUAGGAGAGAGCAGAGAAGAGGGGAGGGAAGAGUGCUUACAGAGGGGAGAUGGUGGCACCGAGGCGCGGUGAGGCGGGGUCGGGGGAGACGGGGUCGAGGGAGACGACGACGAGGCGGGAUCGAGGGAGACGGCGGCGGAGAGUGAGGGCAGGGGCUCCGGCGAGGGCGAGGACUAGGGCUCUGGCAGCGGCGCCGAGGGGGAGAAGAGAGAGUAGGUAAUUGGGGGAGGGAGCAGAGGAGGGAAGGCCGCGUGGGGGGUUAAUUAUGUCAAAAUAGCUUUAGCAGUAGCGUGGGAAAAGAAAACGCGUUGCUGCUAAAAUACGUAGCAGUAGCGCGCUCCUCACAAACUCGCUACUUCUAAGCUAGGCCUGCCGUGUGGACAAGUUCAAACUUAGCAGUAACACCCUACCCUAAAAGCACGCUACUACUAAUUUGAUAGUAGUAACGCGGUUUGCAGAAGGGCGCUACUACUAUACCUAGCAUGUCGGCAACGGUGUGGCAAUUAUAGUAGUAGCGCGUUUUAUUCCUGCCACGCUACUGCUAAGUGGAUAGCAGUAGCGCCCUUUCUGACCAAGCGCUACUGCUAAGUAGUAGUAGCGCCUCAUUUUAACACGCACUACUGGUAAGAUUCUGUGUAUAAGGUUUUCCCUAGUAGUGAUAUAAACCAUUGCAAGAGCUAAUCUAGCAAUGAGAGAUGAAAGGACAAAGUUGCUAACCUUUCUGAUCAGUUGAAUGGAUGGGGGCCUUCAAAUCUUGACAAAAUUUGGGAAAAAUUUGUGAUGAGCUCGAGAGGAAGAAGGGAAGAACAGAGGAGAGGGAGAGGGAAAGGGGGGAGAAUAGAGUGGGGUGGACGAAGGGUUUAUAUAGGACGACCUUUAGUACCAGUUCUAGGCACGAACCGGUACUAAAGGUGCUGGAGGGGCCCUAGACUGACAACAUCCUGCCACCACUCUCUUUAGUACCGGCUCGUGGCACGAACAGGUGUUAAAAGUUCGGCAAGAACCGGUACUAAUGAGAGCGGCCCGCCUAGCCGUUGGAAUCGGCACUAAUGGUCACAUUAGUGCCGGCUCAAAUUCAAAAAGGGACUAAUGAGCUGAACAUUUGACCCUUUCUCUACUAGUGGAUGAUCAUGUUUUGUAUAACUUAUCGGCAACUGGCAGGAGCCUUAUGGUUGUCGCUUUAUUGUAUGAAAUGCAAUCGCCAUGUAAUUGCUUUAUUUUAUCACUAAGCGGUAGCGAGAGUCGUAGAAGCAAUAGUUGGCGAGAUGGCAACGAUGCUUCGAUGGCGAUCAAGGUGUCAAGCUGGUGAUGAUGGUGAUCAUGACGGUGCUUUGGAGAUGGAGAUCAAAGGCACAAGAUGAUGAUGGCCAUAUCAUAUCACUUAUAUUGAUUGCAUGUGAUGUUUAUCCUUUAUGCAUCUUAUUUUGCUUAGUUCGGCGGUAGCAUUAUAAGAUGAUCUCUCACUAAAUUUCAAGGCAUAAGUGUUCUCCCUGAGUAUGCACCGUUGCGACAGUUCGUCGUGCCGAGGCACCACAUGAUGAUCGGGUGUGAUAAGCUCUACGUUCACAUACAAUGAGUGCAAGCCAGUUUUGCACGCGCAUAAUACUCGGGUUAAACUUGACGAGCCUAGCAUAUGCAGAUAUGGCCUCGGAACAUUGAGACCGAAAGGUCGAGCGUGAAUCAUAUAGUAGAUAUGAUCAACAUAGUGGUGUUCACCAUUGAAAACUACUCCAUCUCAUGUGAUGAUCGGACAUGGUUUAGUUGAUUUGGAUCACGUGAUCACUUAGAUGAUUAGAGGGAUGUCUAUCUAAGUGGGAGUUCUUGAGUAAUAUGAUUAAUUGAACUUUAAUUUAUCAUGAACUUAGUCCUGAUAGUAUUUGCAUAACUAUGUUGUAGAUCAAAAGCUCGCGCUGUAGCUCCCCGUUUAUUUUUGAUAUGUUCCUAGAGAAAAAUAAGUUGAAAGAUGAUAUUAGCAAUGAUGCGGACUUGGUCCGUGAUCUGAGGAUUAUCCUCAUUGCUGCACAGAAGAAUUAUGUCCUUGAUGCACCCCUAGGUUACAGACCUAUUGCAAGAGCAGAUGCAGACGUUAUGAACAUUUGACAAGCUCGGUAUGAUGACUACUUGAUAGUUUAGUGCACCAUGCUUUACGGCUUAGAACCGGGACUUCAAAAACGUUUUGAACGCCACGGAGCAUAUGAGAUGUUCCAAGAGCUGAAAUUUGUAUUUCAUACUCAUGCCCGUGUCAAGAGGUAUGAGACCUCUGACAGUACUUUGCCUAUAAGAUGGAGGAGCCCGUGAGCAUGUGCUCAUAUUGUCUGGGUACUACAAUUGCUUGAAUCAAGUGGGAGUCAAUCUUCCAGAUAAGAUAGUAAUUGACAAAGUUCUCUAGUCACUAUCACCAAGUUACUAGAACUUCGUGAUGAACUAUAAUAUACAAGGGAUGACGAAACUAGUUCCCGAGCUCUUCACGAUGAUGAAAUCAGCGAAGGUAGAAAUCAAGAAAGAGCAUCAAGUGUUGAUGGUUAACAAGACCACUAGUUUAAAGAAAAGGGCAAAGGGAUAGAAAGGGAACUUCAAGAAGAAUGACAGGUAAGGUGUCACUCCCAUGAAGAAGCCCAAAGCUAGACCCAAGCCUGAAACUGAGUGCUUCUACUACAAAGGAAAUGAUCACUGGAAGUGGAACUGCCCUAGAUACUUGGCGGAUAAGAAGGAUGGCAAAGUGAACAAAGGUAUAUUUGAUAUACAUGUUAUUGAUGUGUACUUUACUAGUGUUUAUAGCAACCCCUCGGUAUUUGAUACUGGUUCAGUUUCUAAGAGUAGUAACUCGAAACGGGAGUUGCAAAAUAAACAGAGACUAGUUAAGGGCGAGGUGAUGAUGUGUGUUGGAAGUGAUUCCAAGGUUGAUAAGAUCACCAUUGCACACUCCCUUUACCUUCGGGAUUAGUGUUGAACCUAAAAUAAAUGUUAUUUGGUGUUUGCGUUGAGCGUGAAUAUGAUUGGAUCAUGUUUAUUGCAAUACGGUUAUUCAUUUAAGUCAAAGAAUAAUUGUUGUUCUAUUUGAAUGAUAAAACCUUCUAUGGUCAUACACUCAAUAUAAAUGGUUUAUUGAAUCUCGAUUGUAGUGAUACACAUAUUCAUAAUAUUGAAGCCAAAAGAUGCAGAGUUGAUAAUGAUAGUGCAACUUAUUUAUGGCACUGUCGUUUAGGUCAUAUUGGUGUAAAGCGCAUGAAGAAACUCCAUUCUGAUGGACUUUUGGAGUCACUUGAUUAUGAAUCACUUGGUACUUGCGAACCAUGCCUCAUGGGUAAGAUGACUAAGACUCCGUUCUCCGGAACAAUGAAGCGAGCAACUGACUUAUUGGAAAUAAUACAUACUGAUGUAUGCGGUCCGAUAAGUGUUGAGGCUUGCGGCGGGUAUCUUUAUUUUCUGACCUUCACAGAUGAUUUGAGCAGAUAUGGGUAUAUCUACUUGAUGCAACAUAAGUCUGAAACAUUUGAAAAGUUCAAAGAAUUUCAGAGUGAAGUGGAAAAUCAUCGUAAUAAGAAAAAGUUUCUACGAUCUGAUCGCGGAGACGAAUAUGUGAGUUAUGAGUUUAGUCUUCAUUUGAAACAAUGUGGAAUAGUUUCGCAACUCACGCCACCUGGAACACCACAACGUAAUGGUGUGUCCAAAUGUCAUAACCGUACUUUAUUAGAUAUGGUGCGAUCUAUGAUGUCUCUUACCGAUUUACCACUAUCGUUUGGGGGUUAUGCAUUAGAGACAACUGCAUUCACAUUAAAAAGGGCACCAUCUAAAUUCGUUGAGACGACACCGUAUGAACUGUGGUUUGGCAAGAAACCCAAGCUGUCGUUUCUUAAAGUUUGGGGUUGCGAUGCUUAUGUGAAAAAGUAACUGUUGGGUACACCUUCUAUCACAGAUCCGAAGGCAAGAUAUUCAUUGCUAAGAAUGGAUCCUUUCUAGAGAAGGAGUUUCUCUCGAAAGAAGUGAGUGGGAGGAAAGUAGAACUUGAUAAGGUAAUUGUACCUUCUCCCGAAUUGGAAAGUAGUUCAUGACAGAAAUCAGUUCCAGUGAUGCCUACACCGAUUAGUGAGGACGUUAAUGAUAUGAUCAUGAAACUUCAGAUCAGGUCACUACCGAACCUCGUAGGACAACCAGAAUACGUUCCGCAGCAAAGUGGUACGGUAAUCCUGUUAUGGAAAUCAUGUUACUAGAUCAUGACAAACCUACAAACUAUGAGGAAGCGAUGAUGAGCCUAGAUUCCACAAAAUGGCUUGAGGCCAUGAAAUCUGAGAUGGGAUCCAUGUAUGAGAACGAACUAUGGACUUUGGUUGACUUGACUGAUGAUCGGCAAUCAAUAGAAGAUAAAUGGAUCUUCAAGAGGAAGACGGACGCUGAUAGUAGUGUUACUACCUACAAAGCUAGACUUGUCGAAAAAAGGUUUUGACAAGUUCAAGGUGUUGACUACGAUGAGAUUUUCUCCCUCGUAGCGAUGCUUAAGUUCGUCCGUAUCAUGUUAGCAAUUGCCACAUUUUAUGAAAUCUGGCAAAUGGAUAUCAAAACUACAUUCCUUAAUGGAUUUCUAAAAGAAGAGUUGUAUAUGAUGCAACCAAAAAGGUUUUGUCAAUCCUAAAGGUGCUAACAAAAUGUGCAAGCUCCAGUGAUCCAUCUAUGGACUGGUGCAAGCAUCUCGGAGUUGGAAUAUACGCUUUGAUGAGUGGAUCAAAGCAUAUAGUUUUAUACAGACUUGCGGUGAAGCCUGUAUUUAGAAGAAAGUGAGUGGGAGCGCUACAGCUUUUCUGAUAAGUAUAUGUGUAUGACAUAUUGUUGAUCGGAAAUGGUGUAGAAUUUUUCUAGAAAGCAUAAAGGAGUGUUUGAAAGGAGUUUUUCAAAGAAAGACCUCGGUGAAGCUGCUUACAUAUUGAGCAUCAAGAUCUAUAGAGAUAGAUUAAGACGCUUGAUAAGUUUUUUCAAUGAGUACAUACAUUGACAAGUUUUUGAAGUAGUUCAAAAUGGAACAGUCAAAGGAGUUCUUGCCUGUGUUGCAAGGUGUGAAGUUGAUUAAGACUCAAAACCCGACCACGGCAGAAGAUAGAGAGAGAAUGAAAGUCAUUCCCUAUGCCUUAGCCAUAGGUUCUAUAAAGUAUGCCAUGCUAUGUACCAGACCUAUUGUAUACCCUGCCCUGAGUUUGGCAAGGGAGUACAAUAGUGAUCUAGGAGUAGAUCAUUGUACAUUGGUCAAAAUUAUCCUUAGAGGACUAAGGAAAUAUUUCUGGGUUAUGGAGGUGAUAAAGAGUUCGUCGUAAAGAGUUACCUCGAUGCAAGCUUUGUCACUGAUCCGGAUGACUCUAAGUCUCAAUCUGGAUACAUAUUGAAAGUGGGAGCAAUUAGCUAGAGUAGCUCCGUGCAGAGCAUUGUAGACAUAGAAAUUAGCAAAAUACAUAUGGAUCUGAAUUUGGCAGACCCAUUGACUAAACCUCUCUCACAAGCAAAACAUGAUCACACCUUAUUACUCUUUGGGUGUUAAUCACAUGGCGAUGUGAACUAGAUUAAUGACUCUAGUAAACCCUUUGGGUAUUAGUCACAUGGAGAUGUGAACUAAUCAGAUAAAGAUGUGAACUAUUGGUGUUAAAUCACAUGACGAUGUGAACUAGAUUAUUGACUCUAGUGCAAGUGGGAGACUGAAGGAAAUAUGCCCUAGAGGCAAUAAUAAAGUUGUUAUUUAUAUUUCCUUAUAUCAUGACAAAUGUUUAUUAUUCAUGCUAGAAUUGUAUUAACCGGAAACUUAGUACAUGUGUGAAUACAUAGACAAACAGAGUGUCACUAGUAUGCCUCUACCUAACUAGCUCGUGAAUCAAAGAUGGUUAAGUUUCCUAACCAUAGACAUGAGUUGUCAUUUGAUGAACGGGAUCACAUCAUUAGAGAAUGAUGUGAUUGAUAAGACCCAUCCGUUAGCUUAGCACUAUGAUCGUUUAGUUUGUUGCUAUUGCUUUCUUCAUGACUUAUACAUGUUCCUAUGACUAUGAGAUUAUGCAACUCCCGAAUACCGGAGGAACACUUAGUGUGCUAUCAAACGUCACAACGUAACUGGGUGAUUAUAAAGAUGCUCUACAGGUGUCUCCGAAGGUGUUUGUUGAGUUGGCAUAGAUCGAGAUUAGGAUUUGUCACUCCGAUUGUCGGAGAGGUAUCUUUGGGCCCUCUCGGUAAUACACAUCACUAUAAGCCUUUCAAGCAAUGUGACUAAUGAGUUAGUUACGGGAUGAUGCAUUAUAGAACGAGUAAAGAGACUUGCCGGUAACGAGAUUGAACUAGGCAUGGUGAUACCGACGAUCGAAUCUCGGGCAAGUAACAUACCGAUGACAAAGGGAACAACAUAUGUUGUUAUGCGGUUUCACCGAUAAAGAUCUUCGUAGAAUAUGUAGGAGCCAAUAUGAGCAUCGAGGUUACGCUAUUGGUUAUUGACCGGAGAUGUGUCUCGGUCAUGUCUACAUAGUUCUCGAACCCGUAGGGUCCGCACGCUUAACGUUCGAUGACGAUUUGUAUUAUGAGUUAUGUGAUUUGAUGUACCGAAGUUUGUUCGGAGUCCCUGUGAGAUCACGGACAUGACGAGGAGUCUCGAAAUGGUCGAGAGGUAAAGAUUCAUAUAUUGGAAGGUUGCAUUCGGACAUCGGAAUGGUUCCGAGUGAUUCGUGCAUUUUUUUCGGAGUACUGGGAGGUUACCGGAACCCCCCGAGGAAAGAUAUGGGUCUUAUGGGCCAUAGGAGGGAGGCUAACCAGCCCACAAGGGGCUGGUGCGCCGCCCACAAGGGAGGAGGCCGAAUUGGACUUGGUAAGGGGGCACCACCCCCUUUCCUUCUCCUACUCCCUCUCCUUCCCCUUUUCCCCCUCCGGUAGAAGGAAAAAAGGGUGGGGCCGAAUCCUACUAGGACUGGAGUCCUAGUAGGACUCCCCUCUCCCUGGCGCGCCCCUUGUUGGCCGGCCUCCUCCUCCCCUCCUUUAUAUACGGGGGAACGGGGGCACCCCAAAGGCACAACAGACAAUCUCUUAGCCGUGUGCGGUGCCCCCCUCCACAGUUUUACACCUCGGUCAUAUCAUCGUAAUGCUUAGGCGAAGCCCUGCGCCGGUAACUUCAUCAUCACCGUCACCACGCCGUCGUGCUGACAGAACUCUCCCUCGGCCUCAGCUGGAUCAAGAGUUCAAGGGACGUCACCGAGCUGAACGUGUGCAGAUCACGGAGGUGCCGUGCGUUCGGUACUUGAUCGGUUGGAUCGCGAAGGCGUUCAACUACAUCAACCGCGUUACUUAACGCUUCCGCUUUCGGUCUACGAGGGUACGUAGACACACUCUCCCCGCUCGUUGCCAUGCUUCUCCUAGAUAGAUCUUGCGUGAUCGUAGGCAAUUUUUUUUAAAUACUACGUUCCCCAACACGUCUGCCCUCUGCUGGUUCCGAUAAAUAAGUUGCUGCACCUGGGUUAGCAUGGCGAGCCGAAAUAGUUGAGCGCUGUUUCAUUUUUCCAAUCAAAAUUUAACUAACCCAUGAAAAUAAGUGCGUUUACGGAUCAUGCGGCUGAAAGUGAUUUCAGUUUCAGUCGAUUGUAUCCGGACCGUUGGAUGUCAAUCCCCUCGCCCCCACCAUCCCACCCGUGGCAAGCCAACAAAGCAAACCGCCUCCCCGCCUUGCCGGUGCCACCUUCGCUGGUUAUNNNNNNNNNNNNNNNNNNNNNNNNNNNNNNNNNNNNNNNNNNNNNNNNNNNNNNNNNNNNNNNNNNNNNNNNNNNNNNNNNNNNNNNNNNNNNNNNNNNNNNNNNNNNNNNNNNNNNNNNNNNNNNNNNNNNNNNNNNNNNNNNNNNNNNNNNNNNNNNNNNNNNNNNNNNNNNNNNNNNNNNNNNNNNNNNNNNNNNNNNNNNNNNNNNNNNNNNNNNNNNNNNNNNNNNNNNNNNNNNNNNNNNNNNNNNNNNNNNNNNNNNNNNNNNNNNNNNNNNNNNNNNNNNNNAAACAUCUGCCUGUGCCACCGCGUCGUCGCCGACUCCUGUUCUGGCUCGCUACAGGGAGGCCUUGGGGAGACGCCACAGUUGGGCGUCAGACAAUCAAUUGCAUUUUCCAGGCAACUGACAAACAACAAACACAAAAAUUUCCAAUUACAAAGAAGACUACACAAAUGUACGCACCCAUGCGAGUCCAUUAAUCAACAAGUCCCGCAAAAUACUGAAAACAUAUUGUACGCAAGUGUGUGUACAUUUGUAUUUAAAUGAUAUGAAAUAUUCAAAUGGUGUGGAAUAAUACAAUGUCAAAAAUCAAUCGAAGCAUCAUGAUUGCACCAAACUUGUCAUGAUUUCAACAUUUAUGGAUAGGAUAAUGCCAGAUUGCUAGAACGCCCGACGGAGAGAAAAUUUUCAGUGUCCAUUAUAUUUUUGUAAGGUCUUUUUUUUUUGCAAAAAAACUUCCAAUCUAUUCAUCCUCAAUUAUGACAGUGUUGCAAGAAAACUUCCAAUCUAUUAAUUUUUUGCAAGAAAAUUAAUUUCGGAAAAUUAGUUACCCCUCUUACGUAGCAAGAGCACAAGUUUCUCUUCUUUUAGACUCUGUUUUUUGGCUACUCAAAGCUGCUGCAGUUCACAGUGCUACGUCGGUUACAGGCUAGGCCGGUUGUACCUGACGGCCCAAUGACAGCCUAGUGCUAAUGAAGAUGACAAAACAACGUGGCUGCUGCUAAUCUUAAUAGCUAAGAAAAACUAACACACCUAUACUACCAUGCUAAGAACCCCGUUUCGGUAUAACCCCCCACAAAACAUAUAAACCAUUGCGAAAUCAUACACAAAACGUAUGUCAAUCCCUAUUUGACGCCGCAGCAACCUAGCUUCGCUGAAGCGAGGGGUCCCGACGGCCCAGUUUAGGCCAGGCCAUGUCGCUCUGCUGUUUCUUUCUUUUUCUUUUCUUUUUUUAUUUCUGUUUCUAUUUCCUUUUUUUCCUUAUCUUUCUUUUUUCUUGUAUUAUACAACGUUCAUUGCAAGUUUAUAUACAAAAAUCUUCAUCAUAUAUUUAAGGAAAUGUUCACCCUACAUUGAGAAAAUGUUCAACAUAUUUCUAGAAAAUGUUCAUUGUGUACUUCAAAAUUGUUCGGAGUAUAUCACGAAAAUAUUCAAUGUGUACCUAAAUUUUGUUCAGUGUAUAUCACAAAAAAAACAAAUCAACGUUUAUUUAAAUAAUUGUUCAGCGUUUAUCACAAAAAAUUUGGUGUGUAUUUUAAAAUUGUUCAACAUAUAGUAAAAAUUGUUAAAUAUAUUUAUAAAUUUAUCAUCAUAUAUAAAAUGUUUCAAAAAGUAUUCGGAAUGUCAAAAGUUUGUUCAUGUUUUUAAAUUUUUGUUCACUUUUUUAAAAGAAUCUAAAAUUUAAUUAUUUGUUCGAAUUUGAAAAUUUGUUCACAGUUUUUAAAGAUUAUUCGAAUUUUAUGAGAAAAUUUGUUCACAAUUUUUUCCAAGAAAUGUUGAAAAAUUUGAAAUUUAAAAACCAAUCAGUAAAAUAAAAAUAGAAAUUAGAAAGCAAUUUUGUUUUGAAUUUCCUCGAACAUUUUUUGUGUUUGUGUAGAUGUCUUUUGUACCCAGAAAUAUUUUCCAAAUUCUGAACAAAUUUUGAAAGCGUGAACAUUAUUUAAAAUUCCCAAAUAGUUAUUGAAUUUGUGAUUUUUUUAAAAAGGGAACAUUUUUUGAAUUUGUGAACAAAUCUUGAAAAUGGUGACAUUUUUCGAAUCGAUGAACAUUCUUGAAACCCUCGAGGGCUUGGGCGGCCCAACAGGCGCCCGAUAGGAGCGAUGCCGUCGCCCAGUUAGGCGAAGGCCUGUGCAUUUUGUAUUUUGUAUUUUUUAAUUUUCUUCUUUUUUUUGCUAAUUCAUUUCUCCUUUUGAACCUUAUUAUUCUUUUUGAAACAUGUUCAAAAAUUUGUAAUAUUGUUUGGAAUACCAAAAUAACAUUUUUAAGUAACUGUUUUAAAUUAUGAUUUAAAAGUCUUUUUAAAAAAGAGCAUUUACUGUUUUUCAAUUUAUCAUUUUGUAUUUAUUAGUUAUGUUAAAAGGUAAAAAUAACAGUUAUUAAGUACCUGUUUAAAUUAUGAUUUUAAAUAUAUUUUUUCCCAAACUCGGCAUGGAUGCCUACCAUGGGCAUGCUCACCUCUUGGCAAAUUUGAAUUCGAAGGAACAGAUAUCGUACGGCGCCCACUGUAGGUUCGGGUGCACCAUGGUUCUGAAACUCUCCUCUCUUGUAACAAUCGCACGAACUUUGUUGACGAAUAAAGCAGCGUUGUUCCCUUAAAAAAAAGCGCGAGAUUGGUUCUCUCCAAAAAAAGGAGGAAAAAGAAAGUGCUGUUUCUCGAAACCGCUUUCUGCCUUUCUUUCACUUUUAUUGCUAGGUAACUUCGAGAGCCUGUCUUCCAUUCCUUCUCAUCUUCGAUAGAAGGAUCUGGCACCAGCUUCAAAGCACUCACAGACCCACCCUAGUACUAUAAAUAGUUCAGUGCGGGCCGUGACUUCAUCCGCAAUUCAACACCAUCGUCGUCAUUGUACUAGUCUUGGGCGGAGAGCAAGAAGCUCAAGGUAUGUGGAUGCCUAGUAUAAGAGCGGCCGCAGCGAGGAUCACCCGGCCCGCGUGGUCAGCUGUUGGGGUAACGGUGCCGAGGAGGAUGGAGGGCAUCGGCCGUAACUGCGCACCACGCUACUUCACCGACAGGAUCCGCUCCGGCAGGGUGCUCAGCGAGGAGGAGCGCGCCGCCGAGAACGUCUACAUACAGGUAACUGCUUAGCCUUUUUUUUUUGUAGGCGCUGUUGUGAAUCUAAGAGUUGAUAAAGAUUUGUGUUACGUCCAUGGUCCGUCUGAAGCAAGUGGGAAAAUAAAAUAAAGUUUGGACUAAACCAAACUGAACUGUAUUUACGUACUAUAUUUAUUCUGCAGAAGAUGGAGAGGGAGAAGCUGGAAAAGUUGAGGAGGAAGAAGGCGGAUCAGGAAAAGGCCGACGCAGCAAAGAGCGCCAAAGGAAACAACGAGGUAACAAACCAAACGAACCAUCUUUACGGGCCUCGAGUGUAAUUAACUUGUGGUCUCUCUUUUGUUUUUAUUUUUAUUUUCCAAAAGGAAAAACAAUAUGAAAGCUGUUUUCUCCUUUGGCUGCCACUGAUGAUCUGCUUUCAUUCUACUUACGCUGGGCUACUGCAGAAGGGUGAGGGAGCUCAUCCAAGCUGAUUCCUCAGAUCGAUCAGGUCCUCCGUUGGCGGCGCUGGUGUUACAUGUGAUACAUGUUCGCAAAUGUAGUAUUUUUCCUUCUGUUCUGGGGUUAUUUAUAGAUAGAUCAUGUAGAUGCUGUGUGCUGCUGUGAAAAUAUGUGCUUCUCGGUGGAGCUUUGGUAUGUUGUCCUUGGUGGAGGCAGGAGGCUCUGUCCACCAGAAUCAUAUCUUGUCGCUGGAGUUUUCUGUUUACUUUGGAUUAGCAACCUGUGCAUGAGCCGCCACCUGUGCGAGCCAUGCAUGCAUCUGCAGGGGCGUGAGAUGCACCCAUCUGCAUCAGGCUUUUUUCCUUUAUGUCUUGCAUCAGGCUUUUUUCUUAUCUUUUUGUGACGAAUAAAGCUAUAUAAGAGAAAGAAUCUAAGACCUUAUGCUAAUUUCAAGACUUUUAAUAAGAUGGCUGCAUGCAUCGCUUAGAUGCAGAGGCCGGGGGCAAGCCUUCUUUUUCAAAAAAAAAAGAGAAAGAAUAGACGAAAAGUUAACACGGCACCAAAACUGCUGUCUCUUGAGUACUUCUUCUCCACUGGUUCGCGUGUGUGCAGUGUGCUCAACCUUUUUCCAAAUAAUAGACGGAGAUUCCCUACCGUAUUACUCCCUCCGUCCUUAAAUAAGUGUCUCAACUUUGUACUAGCUCUAGUACAAAUUUGUACUAAGCUUAAGACAAUUAUUUUGAGAGGGGGAGUAUUAUUCGCGUCGUCGUACUAUUCUGAAAGGCUGAAAGUGUGUGGUGUAUGUGUCUUCAUUAGGGAGAGAAAUUGUAGGUGCAGCACAGUCCUUCUUUUUUAUUUUCGCUUUCAAUUUUUAAUCUAUUCAUAUCUUUUGAACUAAAAUAAAUUAAAUUUCAAAUGCAUAUUCAUGUUUCUGGUGAAAACGAGUGCUUUCAUAUGAGAUCCAUUUUGCAUACGUUUUGGUGAGUUACUAAAAAUUUCAACAAGUUUCAAUUUCUAAAACUUGGUACAAGCGACCGACGAAAAUUGUGAGUUUCAGAUCCUGCGACUCACAAAAAUGUUUUAACUUCAGGAACUUGGAAUGAGCGAUUGACAAUAUUGUGAGUUUCAUAUACGGCGACUGAAAAAAAUGUUUCAACUUCUGAAACAUGGUACGAGCGAUUGACAAAAUUGUGAGUUUCAAAUCCUGCGACCGAAAUAAAAGAUUCAACUUCUAACACUAGUACAAAACAGGGCUUUCGUCACAGGGCAAUUUUCACAUUAGUCCCGGUUCAGUCACGAAUCGGGACUAAUGUGAGCAUUGGUCCCGGUUCGUGCGGCUAAGGCAUUAGUCCCGGUUCACCUGGGCCCUUUAGUCCCGGUUGGUGCCACGAACCGGGACUAAAGGGUGCGAUGCCCAUUAGUACCGGUUGGUGGCACCAACCGGUACUAAAGGUUCACCAACCGGUACUAAUGGGCUUUGAGGCAUUAGUACCGGUUCAUGGCACGAANNNNNNNNNNNNNNNNNNNNNNNNNNNNNNNNNNNNNNNNNNNNNNNNNNNNNNNNNNNNNNNNNNNNNNNNNNNNNNNNNNNNNNNNNNNNNNNNNNNNNNNNNNNNNNNNNNNNNNNNNNNNNNNNNNNNNNNNNNNNNNNNNNNNNNNNNNNNNNNNNNNNNNNNNNNNNNNNNNNNNNNNNNNNNNNNNNNNNNNNNNNNNNNNNNNNNNNNNNNNNNNNNNNNNNNNNNNNNNNNNNNNNNNNNNNNNNNNNNNNNNNNNNNNNNNNNNNNNNNNNNNNNNNNNNNNNNNNNNNNNNNNNNNNNNNNNNNNNNNNNNNNNNNNNNNNNNNNNNNNNNNNNNNNNNNNNNNNNNNNNNNNNNNNNNNNNNNNNNNNNNNNNNNNNNNNNNNNNNNNNNNNNNNNNNNNNNNNNNNNNNNNNNNNNNNNNNNNNAAACAAAAAAAAUGAUGGAAAUGUCAAAAAAAUAAAAUAAAAUAAGUUUCCCAUGUGAUAUGUGGUCUAGUUGUUGGGAAAAUUAACAAAUAUGAAUUUCGACUUUAUUUCCAAAAUCUCUCUGGAAUUUCUUAAAAUGGGCAUAACUUUUGCAUACGAACUCGGAUGAAAAAGCUUUUUAUAUGAAAAAUCAUCUCCUCGAAAAGUUACAUCCGAAUUUAACCGGGGGGGCCCGUUAAACAUUUUCAAAAUCCUCAAAAACCUAACAGAAAAAAAGUUACGGGGCUUUUAAGAUCUGGAGAGGCAAAAAAAUUCAAAAAAUUUCAAAUUGUGGUCAAACAAUGGUCAAACUAAUUAUUCUAGAAUAUUAGUGUUAAUAAAUAAUUAUUUCAAAUUUUUUGAAUUUUGGUCAAAUCUGGUCAAACUGUGGUCAAACUGUGGUCAAACAAUGGUCAAACUAAUUAUUCCAGAAAUAUUAGUGUUACUAAAUAAUUAUUAUUUUUUAAAACAAUAGUUUCAAACUCAAACAGUGAAAUGUGUCACUUCAUGCUCAAGCUAAAUUCCUGAGGGUUAAUAGAAUUGACAUCUUACUAUUGUCAGGAAAACAACAAGUGCAGACUUGGAAACGAGGGAGAAUAGAACCCGGAAGUUAAGUGUGCUCAGGCUGGAGUAGUAAGAGGAUGGGUGACCGUCCGGGAAGUUAGAUGAUUUGGAAUGAUGAGGGGUGAUUAGAGAUUAGAGGAUAAAUUGAGCAGUGAUGAGGGGUGGUGAUUAGAAAUUAGAGGUUAAAAUAAUUCAGAAAUUUGAAAAUCAAAAAAAGUUUAAAAAAAUUCGCAAAAAAAAAUAAAGGUGGAGCUCCAGGCUGCGUCCACAUGGACGGCCUUUAGUCCCGGUUCGUGUAAGAACCGGGACUAAAUGGGGGAGGCAUUAGUAACGACCUAAAGCAUUUCACAAUGACCUGCACAAAUCAUAGAUUUUUCAAGGUGCUAUAAAUCUCUGAGGACGGCUAGACUAGAUUUGUUCAAAACGGUAUUCGUCUAGUUACACUUCCCCCUUUCAUUUCAGUCUAUUGAGCAACUUGAGCAAAAUCAACCUAGAAGUUUAUCAUAAGGAACUAGUGUCUAUGAUUGACAGAAUAUUCUUUUCGAGUGAAUUUGUCGAUAUACUUUUCUUAUAGCCAAUUUAUUUAUACUCUAGCUUCAACGCCAAUAGUAAUUACAUGCAGAAGAGUAAGUUGUCACCAGAAGUUUCGGUGGAAUAGCUCAGCUGAUAUAUGUCCAGAUAGAGAAUCCAGAAUUUUUUUAUCAAAAAAAAACAAAACUGACGAAUAUGGCUUUGGUAAUGUGCAAGGUUUUAUGCCGAGAGUAAAUAAUUUUGUAUGGCAAAUAUCGUUUUUGUGAGUAAUACUAGGUGUCAACUAAAGUCAGCUAUUAUCUAAUACUCCCUCUCUAUUCACAAAUUAAGAUGUUUUAACUCCAGCCUUCAAUUGUUGGUGCUUGACAUGCCGCUCAAAGCUGUCCUGAACCCUGAUGUCUUCUUCUCAGGGCUCUCCCAACCCAGCUGCCCCCCGAAGCUCACUAGCCCCUUCAACGGUAGGGGGUGCGAGCGGCAGCGCAGCCUGAAGGUCCAGCUCGCUGAAGAUUGCGCAUGCCAUUUCAGAUGGUGGCCUCUGGGGUGGUUGUUCUGCUCUUGUACAACACCCUGCGUAUCAGCAUCCAGACUUCCUGUAUUCGGUUUACAUCAAAAAAACACUUUAUAUGGUAAGUCCAAGGCUGAGGAGACUUGGUUGAUGAAUUCAGUUCAGUAGCCUGAUCAAAGAUGUGGUACAUUAUUCUACCACUGAAAGAGCUAAGCAUAGUUUAGAGCGUAGAUUCACUCAUUUUGCUCCGUAUGUAGUAUAUAUUGGAAUCUCUAAAAAGACUUAUAUUCAGAAACGGAGGGAGUAUAUAUUAGUUAUAAGGGACAUUGGUAGUCAAAGUUCAGGAAGCUAUGAUUUCCAAAUCUUUAACUUAAUAUUGCAUACACUCAUAUUUUAGAAACCAAACCGUACAACUUGUGAAUAAUGUAUAAUUUGUUUGAAUAUUCCAGACAGAUUUGCACCAAGAAAAGAUAAAGAAAUGCUUGACAGUCUGGACAUUCAGACACAGACUUGCAAAGCUACAAUCAUGGCUGGGCUGAGUGUUACUACGUACUAAUACUCUCUAUUUAUUUAUUUCUCUUCAGUCCAGUUUGCCUAACACAUCACAACAUCCUAAAGAAUAAACCACAAAGGCAGGCGUGCACAUGACAACAGAGUGAUGAUCAGUUCACAAAUUCGGUAAGUAAACACAGAGUAGUCUGCUCUAAACAUACUGUACUAGCUAGCCAGGUACAAGUGUCAAUCAGGUGCAGCACAGACACAAACACAAACACGUGGCUCUAACUGCAUUACUCUGUACUGAAUUAUUAUUACCAAAUCAAAUCAUGCAUGAUGAAAUCAAAUUUCCUGAAUUACUCUGGUGCUGCUGCUGGAAGACGUCAUUGUCCAGGGAAUUUGCAACUGCAUUUGUAAGGCACUAACUAGUUCAGGGAGCAAAAUCAAUCGCCAACAUUGAAUUUGCCAUCUGCUGCACGCAGAGCAUUGGAAUGGAGGAAGAAAAGUAGAAGAGUAAGAACCCAACUAAAAAAUUCAGAGUUAAAAAUAUUAACAAAAAAACUCAACAAAUUCAGAAGCAGACCAACAUCUGUGUAAGUUCAAAAGCAUUAGCUGAAGAGAUUUUCAGAACGCCAUAGCGAACACACAAGAGAGAAGACUGCAUAACAGAACAAUCUAAGAAGAUAAAUAACUUGGACAAUCCUAACUAAAUUAGGACACAAAUAAAACAAGAACCAACAACAUUUUAUUAUUUAUUCGGACUGAAAUAACAGCAUUGUUCCCACAUGGAGUGCACAAUUAUUAAAAGAUGACACGGUCCAACAUGUAACUAGAGCGUACCAUGGACGAUUCAAACUCUACGAGAAAGCACCCACAAACAAGAGACAGGGACUCUCCAGCUUCCCCGGGGAGAAGGAGACGCCGGCAUGCUGGAGGCGGCGGCAUCGUCUCCGUCUCGUCUUGUUACCCUGGGCGGGGGAUUCUACGGGAAUUGCGUGAUCGGGCGGACUAGCGUGGGGAAUCUUCGGGAUUUCGAGGAAUUCAGAAUUCAGUCAUAUGGACGCCACCCCCAUCUGAAAACCUCCAGAACAGCUCCAGGACAUUAAGAAGGGAGGGAUUAAGCUGAGCUAAGCAGCAUAGAUCAAGACCGUCAUGCAGCGACCGGAGCUUGACGGUCACGAUAUUGUCGUCGUCAGGGCAAAUAAUAAUCUGAGAAUAAAACAAAAGAAUGAGUAUGUGUAUUGUUUGGAGAAAUAGAAUUAAGAUAUAUCAUACAAAAAAACUCUGAGAGAAAGGACUGACGGUCUAUAAAGGUACGAAGGGUGGGACGGUUGUGAUGGGCGUCCGCUGCAUGCCUCAACACAACAUCCGCUUCCUCCUUGCACUUAACCGAAGAGCUUCCUUCCUCAAGCCAAAGGAAAACUGUGAUUUUCUGGAGGGAAGGGAGGUGUCCCAUGCCGACAUCCAGGUCACCGCGGCCAAUAUCUGACGCUUGGGCUAAGAAAACCAGGACUUCAAACCUUGCCAUAGCUCCUCGUGGAAACAUAGAUGGGAAACGUUUGCAUUUUAUACAUCCCAGAAAAAGACGGUGGCAACUCUCCAGGGGGUCCCUCCUGCCUCCCGCGUCGCGGCCUGUCGUCUUCUCCUCCGGCGGCAAGGGCUGCAGUCGGCACAGGUCGUGGGUGGCUGCCUCUUCUCCGGCGCGGGCUGGCGGAGGUGGCGGCGCGGCAGCGGUAUGCUUGACCCCCUCCUCUACGGCCGUCGUGGCGCAUGAAUCGGCUGCUGGUGGCGGCUCCUCUUGUACUCUGGUGUGGCUCGGCUGGCCGGUGAAUGGCAAGGCCGUCGCCGCGAUUUGGAGGUGCCAGAUCGGGUGUCUCUGGUGGCUGCAGCAUGGCUGGCCGCCGGCGUUUUCCCUGCCCAGAUCUGGCUGCCGGCCGCUCCUGCCAUAGGAGCUUGUUUGGGGCGGAAAGAUGGGGUCUUUGCUGCCCCUUCACCGGUUGACGAUGUCGGUGUGCGGGGGCGGCGGUCGAGGGGCGGUCUCGGAUACCGGGGCGGCGGCCUCGGUGGUGGGAGGCGCGAUGCUCGUGGGCGGAGCUCGCGGCUUGGAUCUUGGCCGGUUACCAUGGUCGUGCGGGCGGCGUGGUAGCUUGGGUAUGACGGUCGGUGGCGGUGGUUCUGCAGCGUGCUUGCGGCACUCCGUCUCGGAGGCGAAGAGGGCUUGCCGGGUGAAAACUCUUUCUGGCUUUGCCAGGUCGGCGGCGGCGGCGCCUACGGGCGUCUUAUCCUUCUUGAAGGCGUCGCCGUGGUUCCUCUUCCUCCUCCGUGUUGCUCCGAGGGAAACCUCGAUCCCUGGAUCAGGCGGUGGCGGUACUUAGGUUCCAUGACCUUGUUGAAGGCUCCGCCUUGGAGUAAUCGGUUCGUCGUGCACAGCUCCGACUCUUCGCUGUGAUUCGUUCACGGUUGAGGCACCCGGCGACUUCAAGCGGCGCUCUCUCUUCCUUCCUGUAGAUGGCUUGGAGUUGUGUUGGGUGGUGUAGCUGUUCCCAACAUUCUUGUAUCUUGCCCUGUGUAUGUUGGUGUGGAGUUGUAUGAGGUUGGUUGUAACUGGAUCGUUGCUUUAAAUAUAAAGCGGGGCGAAAGCCUUUUUCAAUAAACAUAGAUGGUGCUGUGAGAAAACCCAUGAAGCGGCUGUAUCUCAACCAUGGGAAUGCAUUAAUGCCAACAAUGAAUGUUUCGAUACGAGUGUGCUGAGCUUUGCUGCUCUCCAGCAUGAGAAAACGAAGCGAAGGAAGCUUGCUGAGGAUCUGCAUGUCAACUUCCGGCCACACUCUGUCCACUGUUAUCCAAGGAGGAGAGGAGGGGAAGCGAUGAUGAAUUAACCCACCUUGGCAAUGUCGUGGUGCAGCGGUGAAAAAAAAGGGCACGAAGCUGACAUCAAACCUUGCACCGCCGGGCCAGACACGAUCAGCAGAAAUUCUUGAGUUCGCAUUUUCCACAGAUUGCCCAGAGACGCCACCAAAGAAUUACACACGCUCUCAUCGUUCACAUUCCAAAUAAGGCCUAGCACUCUCGGCUUUAUCAGUUGCCCUAGCUCUUUCUCAGUCAUAGAAGAACCAUCAACCAAUACUCCAGUCAAUUCUUCUAAGGACGCCAGGUUCCCGAUCCCAACGGGCAACACCGCAUAGAAUACAUAUAGGCACAUCAAAUAUCUUCGACGGACAACACUUGAUGGGAUAGCUAUACUUGAUUUCUGCGCUUGUCCAUUGAUACGUCUUCAACGUAUCUAUAAUUUUUUAUUGUUCUAUGCUAUAUUAUAUUCUGUUUUGGAUGUUUAAUGGCUUUUAUUAUACAUUUUUAUAUUAUUUUUUGACUAACCUAUUAACCGGAGGCCCAGCCCGAAUUGCUGUUUUUUUGCCUAUUUCAGUGUUUCGAAGGAAAAGGAUAUCAAACGGAGUCCAAACAGAAUGAAACCUUCGGGAACGUGAUUUUCGGAGCAAACGUGAUCCAGAGGACUUGGAGUGGAUGUCAAGCAACCAACAAGGAAGCCACGAGGCAGGGGGGCGCGCCUACCCCCUGGGCGCGCCCUCCACCCUCGUGGGCCCCUCGUGGCUCCACCGACCUACUUCUUCCUCCUAUAUAUACCUACGUACCCCCAAACCAUCUAGGACAGAGCCAAAACCCUAUUUCCACCGCCGCAACCUUCUGUACCCGUGAGAUCCCAUCUUGGGGCCUAUUCCGGCGCUCCGCCGGAGGGGGCAUUGAUCACGGAGGGCUUCUACAUCAACACCAUAGCCUCUCCGAUGAUGUGUGAGUAGUUUACCUCAGACCUUCGGGUCCAUAGUUAUUAGCUAGAUGACUUCUUCUCCCUUUUGGAUCUCAAUACAAAGUUUCCCUCGAUUCUCUUGGAGAUCUAUUUGAUGUAACUCUUCUUUUGCGGUGUGUUUGUCGAGAUCCGAUGAAUUGUGGGUUUAUGAUCAAGAUUAUCAAUGAACAAUAUUUGAAUCUCCUCUGGGCUUUUUUAUGUAUGAUUGAUUAUCUUUGCAAGUCUCUUCGAAUUAUCAGUUUGGUUUGGCCUACUAGAUUGAUCUUUCUUGCAGUAGGAGAAGUGCUUAGCUUUGGGUUCAAUCUUGCGGUGCUCGAUCCCAGUGACAGUAGGGGAAACGACACGUAUUGUAUUGUUGCCAUCGAAGAUAAAAAGAUGGGGUUUAUAUCAUAUUACAUGAGUUUAUCCCUCUACAUCAUGUCAUCUUUCUUAAAGCGUUACUCCGUUCUUAUGAACUUAAUACUCUAGAUGCAUGCUGGAUAGCGGUCGAUGUGUGGAGUAAUAGUAGUAGAUGCAGGCAGGAGUCGGUCUACUUAUCACGGACGUGAUGCCUAUAUACAUGAUCAUACCUAGAUAUUCUCAUAACUAUGCUCAAUUCUAUCAAUUGCUCGACAGUAAUUCAUUUACCCACCGUAACACUUAUGCUAUCUUGAGAGAAGCCACUAGUGAAACCUAUGGCCCUUGGGUCUAUUUUCCAUCAUAUUAAUCUUCCGUCAACAAGCUAUUUUUUUGCCGUUUAUUUUGCUUUCUUUACUUUUAGUCUUUAUCAUAAAAAUACCAAAAAUAUUAUCUUAUCAUCUCUAUUAGAUCUCACUUUUGCAAGUGGCCGUGAAGGAUUGACAACCCCUUUAUCGCGUUGGUUGCAAGGUUCUUAUUUGUUUGUGUAGGUGCGUGGGACUUGAGCGUGGUAUCCUACUGGAUUGAUACCUUGGUUCUCAAAAACUGAGGGAAAUACUUACGCUACUUUACUGCAUCACCCUUUCCUCUUGAAGGGAAAAUCAACGCAGUGCUCAAGAGGUAGCAAGAAGGAUUUCUGGCGCCGUUGCCGGGGAGUCUACGCACAAGUCAAGACAUACCAAGUACCCAUCACAAACUCUUAUCCCUCGCAUUACAUUAUUUGCCAUUUGCCUCUCGCUUUCCUCUCCCCCACUUCACCCUUGCCAUUUUAUUUGCACUCCUUUUCUCUUCGCCACUUUUUCACUUGCUUCAUCGUUAUGGCUAGUCCUUUUUCUACUCCUUUGUCUCCCGAGAAUGAAGUUAUCAAUUUUAAACAAAGGGAGGGAGAAAAUUUAAAAGAUGCUUGGUAUAGAAUUUGCAAUGCUCAAAAUAAAUCUGCCAGAAAGCAAUCUACUUCCGUUCUUCUUCGCAACUUUUAUGUAGGCGUCACUCCUUGGAAUAGAUAUAUUCUUGAUACCAUUACCGGAGGGAAUUUCUUGGGUAGCCAUACUUUUGAUUCUUAUAAUGCUAUGAUAGAUUUGUUUGGUUCACCACCUUUUUUGGUUAAUGGAACUAUGUUAACUUUGAUUGAGAAUUUGGAUAAAAAGAUCCACAAUCAAAUUACCCAAUAAGGAUCUAAGGUAGGAGUUACUUUGAUUUUUUUUAAAGAAAAGGAACCCAUAGUUAAUGAAAUAAUAGAUGAAGAUUCCACUAGAAUCGAUAAGCUUGAGGGCACUAUUACCAACUUAGGGUCCGCUUUUUCUUCCGUAAAAAACACUCCAAAUCCUCCUACCAAAAUUUCCAAGCUUAUGUACGUUCCUAAAAAUAAGGGUGAAUCUUUUAGUAAGGAAACUGCGGAUCUCAAAUCAAUAAGUAUUCAUCCCAACUUUCUCGCUAUCAUUAAGGAACCUUUUGCUACGAAUGAUUUUCUUGAUUUCUUUCCUAGGAGUCUGAUCAUUAAUAAGAGGAAAGAAAUUCCAAAGGGUUAUAGGUGUUCUAUUGAAGAAUUGCCUACCAAAGAUGGCAAUACCUAGAUCUAUCCUUGUUUUUAUGCCUAGCUAGGGGCGUUAAACGAUAGCGUUUGUUGGGAGGCAACCCAAUUUUAUUUUAGUUUUUUGCUUUUUGCUCCUGUUUAGGAAUAAAUAUUUGAUCUAGCCUCUGGUUAGAUGUGUUUUUACGUUUUAAUUAGUGUUUGUGCCAAGUAAAACCUAUAGGAUCUUCUUGGAUGAUAGUUAUUUGAUCUUGCUGAAAAUUCCAGAAACUUUCUGUUCACGAUUUGUUUUUUUAAAAAUCACCAAAACGUGAUAAAAUACUGAUUCCAAUUGCAGCAGAUCAAUAAACAAAUUAUCUAGGUCGUCCUAUUUUGAUAGAUUUUUCUAAGUUCCAUAAGUUUGCGUUAGUUACAGAUUACUACAGACUGUUCUGUUUUUGACAGAUUCUGUUUUUCGUGUGUUGUUUGCUUAUUUUGAUGAGUCUAUGUUUAGUAAAAGAGUUUAUAAACCAUAGAGAAGUUGAAAUACAGUAGGUUUAACACCAAUAUAAAUAAAGAAUGAGUUCAAUACAGUACCUUGAAGUGGUGUUUUGUUUUCUUUCGCUAACGGAGCUUACGAGAUUUUCCGUUAAGUUUUGUGUUGUGAAGUUUUCAAGUUUUGGGUAAGAAUUUGAUGGAUUAUGGAACAAGGAGUGGCAACAACCUAAGCUUGGGGAUGCCCGAGGCACCCCAAGGUAAAUCUAAGGACACCAAAAAGACAAAGCUUGGGGAUGCAUCCCCUCCUUCGUCUUCGUCCAUCGGUAACUUUAUUUGGAGCUAUAUUUUUAUUCACCACAUGAUAUGUGUUUUGCUUGGAGCAUCUUGUAUGAUUUGAGUCUUUAAUUUUUAGUUUACCACAAUCAUCCUUGCUGUACACACCUUUUGAGAGAGACAUACAUUAUUCGGAAUUUAUUAGAAUACUCUAUGUGCUUCACUUAUAUCUUUCGAGCUAUAUAGUUUUGGCUCUAGUGCUUCACUUAUAUCUUUUAGAGCACGGUGGUGGUUUUGUUUUAUAGAAACUAUUGUUCUCUCAUGCUUCACUUCUAUCAUUUUUGAGAGUUCUACAAAACAGCAUGGUAAUUUGCUUAAAUUAUGAAAUUAGUCCUAAUAUGAUAGGCAUCCAAGAUUAGUAAAAACUUUCUUAUAAGUGCACUGAAUACUAAGAAAAGUUUGAUGCUUGAUGAUUGUUUUGAGAUAUGGAGGUAGUAAUAUUAAAGUUGUGCUAGUUGAGUAAUUGUGAAUUUGAGAAAUACUUGUGUUGAAGUUUGCAAGUCCCAUAGCAUGCACGUAUGGUAAACGUUGUGUAACAAAUUUGAAACAUGAGGUGGUCUUUGAUUGUCCUCCUUAUGAGUGGCGGUCGGGGACGAGUGAUGGUCUUUUCCUACCAAUCUAUCCCCCUAGGAGCAUGCGCGUAGUGCUUGGUUUUUGAUGACUUGUAGAUUUUUGCAAUAAGUAUGUGAGUUCUUUAUGACUAAUGUUGAGUCCAUGGAUUAUACGCACUCUCACCCUUCCAUCAUUGCUAGCCUCUUCGGUACCGUGCAUUGCCCUUUCUCACCUUGAGAGUUGGUGCAAACUUCGCCGGUGCAUCCAAACCCCGUGAUACGAUACGCUCUAUCACACAUAAACCUCCUUAUAUCUUCCUUAAAACAGCCACCAUACCUACCUAUUAUGACAUUUCCAUAGCCAUUCCGAGAUAUAUUGCCAUGCAACUUUCCACUGUUCCGUUUAUCAUGACACGUUUCAUCAUUGUCAUAUAUGUGCCAAUAUUGUUCUUGUUGCCUCUGUACUUCAAAAAAAUCAGUCACCAUGCAUAGACCUGCACUGGAUUGGUCAGUAAAUGACGUGUGAUAUAAGAUCAGACUGUAUCAUCAGCAUGUGGCAAAAAAUACUCAGGGAUAUAUUCCAUAAUCGACUCUUUUCACUAUGUCCGUUUUCCGUCCACUUUGGCGUUCUGGGUGGUUCGACUUUAAGUGAUUAUUCCUCACCUUUAUUUCGCUUCCACUUUAAGUGAUCCCUCACCUUAUUAACUACUACACUAUUAAUUCUAUCAGGACUUUCUUUAUACAAGCUUUUAAAUUCAGGCGCAGCAUGUGAUACUUGUUCAAUUAACUAGUACAUCUGGUGUGUCCAUGUGUCGACAUUAUUUGAGCGGUUUCAUUCAUAAGUUUCCUGAGUAAUAUAAUCUCUAUGAAAGACUAGCAAUAGGGAUAGGCACCUUUACACCCACCCACCCACCCAUAGCCACUCACCCUCCCACCGAGAGACCAUCUUAUUCCCACUCAUUGCCGCAGCUGCAAACACUACACCUAAUUCAUUAACAUCCAAAAGAUCUCACGGACGAGCGACUAUGGAGGUCGUGACCGGGGCGAUGAGCACUCUCCUGCCUAUGCUCGGCGACCUGCUCAAGGAGGAGUACAACCUGCAGAAGAACACCAGGAGUGAGAUCAAGUUCCUUAAAGCCAAGUUAGAGAGCAUGGAAGCUGCCCUCAUCAAGGUUUCAGAGGCACCCUUGGAUCAGCCACCUGACAUCCAGGUCAAGCUUUGGGCAAGGGAUGUCAGCGACCUGUCCUAUGAGAUUGAGGACAGCGUUGACAGAUUCCGGGUGCGCCUUGAGUGCCGGGAACAAAAGAAGCCACAGAGCUUUAUGGGUUUCAUCCAGAGAAGUAUGGACAUGCUGACAAAGGGCAAGAUGCGACACAAAAUUGGCGUCGAUAUCAAAGACAUCAAGAGCCGUAUCAAGGAGGUCUGUGAGAGGCGUGAAAGGCACAAGGUUGACAGUGUUGUGCCCAAGCCCACUGGCACAAGUACUGAUACCCUUCGCCAGUUAGCCUUGUUUAAAAAGGCGAUCGAGCUUAUUGGCAUCGAAGAGAAGAGCGUUGACAUGGUCAAGAUGCUAAUGGAGGGAGACGAGGUGAUCAAGAAGCAACCCAAGCUGAUCUCUAUUGUUGGCUUUGGAGGCUUAGGGAAGACAACUCUUGCUAAUAUGGUGUAUGAGAAGCUUCGAGAGAAAUUUAAUUGUGGAGCUUUUGUUUCCGUUUCUCUUAAUCCCGACAUGAAGAAGCUUUUCAAGAGUUUGCUGCAUCAACUUGGCAAGGACAAGUACAAUAACAUCAUGAAUGAAUCAGCGUGGGGCGAGACACAACUCAUAAGUGAGAUAAGAGAAUUCCUCCAAAACAAGAGGUAUGUGUGUUGUACGCUAGUGCCGCUGCCAAUUUCAUCAUCUAUUUAGGAGUUCAUCUUAUCAGCUCUGGAGUCUUUCCAGUUCAUGUGUGUGCUUACUAUGUACUAGGACAGUGUUUCCUACUCCCUCAAUUAAUUCGUGCUGGCCCUAAUUAACUCACGCUGCAUCGCGCCUCGCUCCACGGGCGGCAUGCCCUGAAUGGCCGGCCAAUUACUCCCGGAUUAUAAAAGCACGCCAAUCUGACCUAUUGGAUCCAAACCAAGUAGAAGUAGUACUAUUAUACUAAGUUGAGCCGUGGAAAUCUGCGCAGGGGUGAAAAUGGAACAGGAGUCAUAAAUGUGCCGCCUUAAUUUUCAGAACAAACUUCAAAAAGGUACACGCAGUUUUUCCGAGAAUGGAGGGAGUAUUAUCUAUAAUAUAUCACAGAGACACACACACACACACACACACACAGUGAAUGCCUCUCUCCAAAAACAGUAUUUUGUUAUACAAUUACCGAGAAUAUAUCUAACAAUAACUAAUAGAUCGUGAAAAGCAGGGUCUGUAUAUGUAGGAAGCUGAAAUUUAUAAUGUUACAAUUUAAGAAUAAAUAAAAUAUGUUUCUAUCUUUUUUCAUCCUAAAUUUACUAUCUUCCAUUUUUUAUACUUGGAGGGACUUCUCUCUAUAAAUUAGACUUAUGUUGAAUAUUGGCAUCAUAUCAUCCGGCAGCACUAAAAAUUAGACGUAGGUUGAAUAUUGGCAUCAUAUCAUCCGGCAGCACUUCCCCUAUAUCAGGAAUGCCCACAACAAACAAUCUGAUGUCAUAAUACUUUCACAAGUAUACUGUUUCUCAAUAGUGAGCAGAGGCAAAAGUAAGUGCAUAUUAAUGAGGGUGGUGGCGAGGUGGCCUCAUGGAGCUCGAUGGCUCCCCUAGCCCCUUAUCUAUUUUUGAAUUAAGUUCCAAACUAUCUCAACUGUUCAAUUAGGUGAAAUCCUAGGUCAAACUAUGCGGCUCAGCUGACUUAAACAAACUAACAGUCCAUAUUGUUCGCUUUGACGAGGUGAACUAAUUAAAUCACUGAGUAUGGUUAUCCAAAUGAGGAUUAGAUUUUAAAUUCCAUUUUCCACCCAUGUGUCUCACAAUUUAGGGUUAAGUUAUUUAUGGGGCGUUGCAACUUUCCUCAGUUUCCUGAUUAUUUAUUGCAUUGUACUAUUUCACUUAGGUAGCUGAAUACUUUAUCUUUACUUAUAUAUGGCCUUUUGGCAUUACGUCGCAGGUACUUCAUUGUCAUUGAUGACAUAUGGGAUAAAUCUGCAUGGAGAAUUAUUAGAUGUGCUUUGAUUGAGAAUGAAUGUGGUAGUAGAGUAAUCGCAACAACUCGUAUUCUGGAUGUUGCCAAAGAAGUUAGUGGUGUUUAUCAGCUUAAACCACUUUCUACUAGUGACUCAAGAAUGCUAUUCUACCAAAGAAUAUUUGGAACUAGAGAUAAGUGUCCUUCUGUUCAGUUGGCUGAAAUAAGUGAGUACAUCUUACGGAAAUGUGGUGGAGUACCAUUAGCUAUCAUUACACUGGCUAGUAUGUUGGCUAGUAAAAACGAACAUGAAAAUACAUAUACCUAUUGGUGAAAGGUGUACCAAUGUAUGGGUUCUGGGCUAGAAAAUAAUCCUGACCUGAUAGACAUGAGAAGGACACUAUAUAUCAGUUACUAUGACCUGCCUCCAAAGCUUAAGGCUUGUUUACUGUAUCUAAAUUUGUAUCCAGAGGAUUAUAAGAUUAAAACCAAAAAAUUGAUAUGGAAAUGGAUAGGUGAAGGAUUUGUUCAUGAAGAGCAGGGAAAGAGCCUGUAUGAUAUAGGAGAGGAUUACAUUGCUGAGCUCAUUAACAAAAGCUUGAUCCAACCGAUGGAUAUCAAAUUUGCUGAUAAGGCGAACUCUGUCCGUGUACACGACAUGGUGCUUGACCUUAUCACUUCCUUGUCAAAUGAGGAGAACUUUCUCGCAACAUUGGGUGGUCAGCAGUCCAGGUCACUGCCAAGUAAGAUCCGUCGACUGUCUCUCCAAAUCAGCAAUGAAGAGGAUGUCCAGCC
This 201677-nucleotide long non-coding RNA is filed under the name Triticum aestivum (bread wheat). Its description in RNAcentral is "long non-coding RNA (TAES_LNC012494)". The stretch from base 14802 to 14935 matches the Rfam family "MIR1120/MIR1122 microRNA precursor family". The record is from RNAcentral. Lineage: Eukaryota; Viridiplantae; Streptophyta; Magnoliopsida; Poales; Poaceae.